This 269360-nucleotide long non-coding RNA is filed under the name Fragaria vesca (wild strawberry). RNAcentral's name for it is "long non-coding RNA (FVES_LNC000066)". The record is from RNAcentral. Lineage: Eukaryota; Viridiplantae; Streptophyta; Magnoliopsida; Rosales; Rosaceae.
ACUUGCCGAAGUCCAGUACCUCAUGAAUUUGUUACUUGGUUUUAAGACACUCAUAUGGCAGGAAGGAAUCUGGAUGUUGCAAGUUAUAUUGUACUAAGGUGGUCAGUCAAGUAUUUGAUCCUGCUUGGUUGUUGCUCGGACUAAGCUAUCAAACUUCUCCCAUCCCAACCGGUGUGCUUUUUUAUUUUCCAUCUCAUAUGGUGUUCUAUAAAAUGAUUAAAAUCAAGAUCAAGCACGGGAGAAGGUUGAUACAAGAUCAAGCACGGGAGAAGGUUGAUACAGUGUCUGUAAUUGUAAGAGUCUCCUUAGGGUGAACAAACGGGUGACACUCCCCAAAAUUUAAAUAAAUGCAGAUACCGGAACUCAGUGAUUGCUAUCAUUCGUUAAGCUGGUAUGUAUUGCUCAUCACGAUGGGGAAGUUCAGUGUCUGGUGAUGUUUUGAGAGCUUGAAAGCAUAUGUUGUUUUUGUUUUUAGAGAAAGGGGUUGUUCUUAUAUUUUCUUUACCGAACGGUUCAGUACUUGUCCGACAAUGAUGCAUCGAAUAAGAUUAAAUGUUAGAUGUUUAUCUAAGAUGACUCGUCUUUUAAUUACAUAUGGUAUGCAUAGCUGGUUACUUUGGUUGUGAUUUGUGAAGCUGGUUAAUGUGAUCCAUAGUAUUAUAUAGCUAUGUAUAUAACACAAGCCUCUAUAAGUGCUUUUUCUGCCCCCACAAUCUUGCCAAGCUUAAGGCGCAUUUCGUGUUAGCUUCUUUUGAAUCGAAACCUUGAACUAGUAGCGUUUCAAGUGCAGAAAUGAAAGCAUUCUUGUCUGCAGGUAGUUUGUGAUCAUAAGGAUUAACAGUGAAUACAAUGUCCUCAUGCUAAAAUUGUUUUUGAUGGUUCUCCUUGUCAUGCAAUUUAAUUCCAGCUAGCUAAUCUGCUGCUGCAUAAUUCUCUUGAAAAGUUGAAACCAACUCAAAAGUGUUCUGCAUUUUAGCUAAUUGUGUUCACUAAAACCAUAUACAUCGUAGGGUCACACAUCAUAGUUGACAAAUUGAUGCAGGAAUGGUCCAGUGUGAGAUUGUCCACUGUGGCUCCAUGUGAUCUCUACGUGCUUAUUAGAACACUAAGCAUUAUGAUAUGCAGUGCAUCUAAGAACUUCUACUGCAUUUGGGAAUUUUUAUGAUAAUAUCAAAUCCACCGGCCAUUUUAAAAAGUAGUGAACACCACAAGAAGGUAGGAAAGAAAUGGCAAACAAAACCAGAUGGAGAUCUGAGGCCAGUCCCUACAGCCACACCUCUCCCCAGACUAGCUAGUAUCUUCUAUUCCACUAAAUCACUAAAAGUAGUAUAUGCUCUCUUUAGUUAUCAUUGUUUUUUUCGCAUACCAUGAUAUGAUAUGUAUAAGUUGCCAAUUGUUCAAAUGGUAGAAGCUUCUCAAUUUUUGAUAUUAUCAGUUCAAAGAUAUUAUGCACAAAAUGUUAUUUCUUGCCUGCAGAUAACAGGUUUAGUUAAUUAGGUGAUUAAUGUUAGAUGCAUGUUUGUCGAUCUCUAUGAUGACUCUUAGUUAUUUAUUACAUCUGGCAUGCAAAUUAAGGUUUGAUUUCAUGGUGCUGUUUCUUUGCAGCAACAAAUCAGAAGUUGAUUCAUGCAACAAAGAAGAAACAAAAACAAGCUAAUAAUCAUAUAUAAAGUUUAGAGUUUAUCCAUAUACCUUGCAUAUUUGAUUUAAUGGUCUAGUUUGUUGGCGCUUAUCUAAUGUGGAUUAGAAGCAUUCGUUGCUGCGAUAUCAUCUUCAUCUGUAUAUCUGGUGUAAGAAAAAAUUUACUCAAUUAAAAAGUUCGAGUAUUUGUAAACUGCGAGUUUAGACUUCAAUCGGUAGAACCAAUAGUGUAUACUUCUCAUUAGUCAUUAGUUCGAGUAUAUAUGGAUUAGUAAUAGCUUUCACUAUUCAUUUACAGCUGAGUUUUUCGCUGAGUUCUUUAUGUAUGCUUCUCCUACGCUAGGUUUGCAGAGCCAAAUGCAGCAAAGAGGGAGGAAAUUACACAUUAUGAGGAACAGACAAUCCAAGAAGAGUGUGAGCUUGGUGAACUCAACGAAAUAUUAUUCACAAAUCACAUGUCAAAAUUUAGGGCUUAGGGAGUAUUAUCAUGAUGGUGAUCAUCAUCUAUAUUGACUAAAUUAAGCUGCUGCACACCAUAAUAAGAAAGGAAAGAAAAGGCAAAUAAAAUUGUAUUCCCUGAUUUACCCCUAAUCAAAGAUAAGUAGGGGUAAAUCAGGAAAUAAAAUCUUACGAAAAUAUAAGGAGAUAAAUUUCAUAAAUAUGGAAGUGUUAGCUAGAACCCCUAUGUAUUAUGCAUUUAUGCUAGUUUUUUUUUUUUUUUUGUCAUUGUCUUUGUCUUUGUCGAAAGGCAUCAUCCUUCUUUAGUUACCAUUUUCUUUUUCACAAAUACUUUGACAGUUUGAUAUUACCAGUUUGUUGCAAUGCCAUCAAAGAUCAUUUGUACAUGCACCUUUUUACUGUUGCAUGCAGAUAUCAGUAGUGGUCGUUGAACAUGAUAUCAAACUCUAUUGACAAAAGAUAGAUAACUUGUAUGAAUGUAUGUAGAUUAGGACCGUGACAGCCAUCAAAGUUCCUAUGUUAACGAGCAAGAAAAACCUUUUGAAGAAAUAGGCAAUCUGAGACUUUUCUUUGUCAUCGUUUCCAUCAGAUUGGUCUGUUCGGAAUCCAGAAACACUUGAUUUCACCCCACCAAUGCCUGAUGCAGUUGUAUAUAAAGAAAGCCACCUUGUUUCCUGCAAUUUUUGCUGCUGUAGUGAGACAACGAGGUGGGUGCAGAUUUGCUAAUUUUACAAGAUCACAGUGUAUGGAGAACUAAGGCCCAAUACCCAACUACAGGUCCUGGCCCAAUACUACAUGAAACGAUGGGGAGACAUUCGACUCGAGGAAAACAAAACAAAACUGAAUUGGCGAUCACCUCUGCUUGGAACAUAUGGAAUAGCAGACGUAGGGGAUGGAGAACAAAGGAGCUGGGCGCGUUGAGCCUCUAGUAAGUCAGCAACAGCAGCGCAGAAUUCUCUCGGAGGUUUUCCGUUUACUUAUGCAUGGAACAAAACAUGACCAUUAACAUAACCCUUUGCAGACUCUAAAAGAAGCUCAUGAAAUUCAACAAUGAUGGAUAAACAAUACGUGCAAUUAAGGUAAUUUAUCCUUUAUGAUAGACAAAACAGUUCCAAUUUUGUAGCAACUUCUUUGAUAGAUUAGAUUGAAGCUUUGAUCCAACUGAUUAUAUUUGCUAAUUUCCGCAGAACUUUUCCAAGCACAAAAUGUUAUAAAUAAGCUUAUCAAUCACAAAAGAACAUAUACCCAAAAAGCACCCAUUUUAGAGACUAUUACAAGCAGUCCUGACUCCUGACCAUGAGGGCCGAGCAUCUAAUAACAAUUCACAAGAUAGAGUUCAUAAGACAUAUGCCCAUCUGAGUGUGUUCUACAAGAGUCGUAUACCCCCAUUUGAAUAAAAAAAUAAUAUACAUAAAGACAAGAGUGGAUAGAAGACGAAUGUAUAGAUUGAGAACUGAGUCAUUGGGGAGGGGCAAAUUACUCGUAUUACUCCCUUGUAAUGUAUAGUCCCUCAUUGCCUGCUACCUGCCUCCUCAUCUGCAAGAGAGAGUAACCCAAUUUUAGAUGACAUUAUACAAGAUUUCAAAACCAAUAUGUAGCGCCUGCACUGAUUUGGUGCAACACUGCACAUGACACCAGCAAGUAGAUUUUCAAUUAGCUCUACACUAGUAGUGUUCAGACCUCCCUCAGUUGCAAGGUUCAAGUCAAGUUCCAAGUGCUCUCUCAAAGUGAUUAUGAGAAGGUCACAAUUAGCUCUCCAUUAUCAGUAUUUUACCUAUUCUCUUAGAUUAAGAACGGACUAUAGGUUCAAACCAGCUUCAGCCGGUAGCAUAAGCAAAUGCAUAUGUCACACUAGAAAUUCACAAAAGUAACAAGGGAAAAACAUUACUCAAGUUAUUUAUUUGAAAGCAUAUCAAGGACUCGUAAUGUCAUCAAACUAGCCAAAAAUGCGUAUCUGAACAAACAAUGCAAUCAAAUGACGAUGAUUCCCGUGCCAUAUCCAAAGAAGAAAGGGAAAAAAGGGAGCUGCAAAAAGUUAAAAGACCAUAAUUCACAAGAGCUCCACCAUGCAUAUGAAAUGGAAAAUCAGCUGCCUCUACAACUCGGCCUUUGAAAUUUCAAGUAACUACAUGUUUAUCAAGGAUAAUAUGGCAUGGGAACAUUUAUCCAGCUAGCUAGAGCCAUGAAAUCAAAGAUUGAAACACAAAGUGCAUAAUGGAUCGUGAAAGCUAUAGUAGCAUGUUGAAUACACGGUACACUGGAUUGUGAAAAACUGAAAACUAUAAUAGCAUGUAUAGAUGAAAAACAAACAGAAACAUAUGCAUCAUACUCGGAGUCAAAGAGCUAUUGAAUAGGUAGACCUAUGUAUCGUCUAAAGCAAAUAAGUAGUCAUAUCAAAAUGACGAAACAACAACCAAAUUUUGAUGAGAGAAUAACUACCAGAAGUUUUAGAACUAAAUGAGUGAAAAAGAUCAAUUUACCUAUCAGUUUAAUCCUCACGACGGCGAAGUGGCAGAUGCAUACCGAAUGCAUCCAUGUAUGAUUGAAGUACUCCCACCACCCACCAACCAAUAACCGCACCCGUGACCUUGAGGAUGAUCUUCAAAGCAGUUACAUAGUUUCCCUGAUGGAUCCCCCAAUACUGGAGCAGCUCAAGAAGGAAGAAUGAUAAACAUCUUGAGUAAACAGCAAACUGCUCCCGAUUGGCCAUGCCGCCUUCUAUCAUAGCUAGUCGGCGCGCCGCAUACAUGACAAUCGUGACACAAACAAUCCAAAUAACGAAGUAGGGCAUUAUGUGAGACUCCUGGUAGAUAAUCUCAAACACCAUGCCUAAUAUUUCCGAUGUCACAAGCAGUAUAACAAAGCAAUUUGACCUCAAGUGCUGCUCCAGUAGUCGAACCAAAUGAGAAUUGUCCCCACUCAUCUCCAAGGGAGGUGGAUAAUUGCCACUUUGAGGCUCAGCAUUCACAAUGUACAUUCGGAAGUCAUCGUUCAUUGGGGUUAUGUCGCUCCUACCAACACCUAAGCGGCUGCCUGUAAGCAGAUAACCUGCCUCCACAUCGCCAGUUUGGAUCACAAGGGUGUCACCCAUGCUGAUCGGGGAUGCAAGGCCAAUGCCUGCAAGCAUACGGCGAAUGCGGCCUCCCUCCACAUUGCCAGUUUGGAUCACAGUGCCACCCAUACUGAUCAGGGAUGCACUGUCAAUGCCUGCAAGCAUGUGGCCAAUGUGGCCUCCCUCCACAUUAUAAAACACAGAGGUGCCACCCAUACUGAUCGGCAGGGAGGCAAAGUCAAUGCCUGGAAGCAGACGGCCUCCCUCUCCCUCCACAUAAACCAGUGGAAGCACAGGGGUGCCACCCAUACUGUUCGGCACGGAGGUAAAGCCAAAGGCGCCAAGCAGACUGCGAGUAAAGGCUGUGAAGCCAUUCUCAUUAACAGGUGGAAGCACAGGGGUGCCGCCCAUACUGAUCGGGGAUCCAAAGUCAAUGCCUGUACCUUCCUCCAAGUUGCCAGUUUCAAACAAACGGCCACCAAGCAUUGCAAAGUUACCCAUAUCGCUCCUCCAAACUUCGGGAAGUAGACGAACACUCAAGCGACUGCGUGGAAUCAAAGCCAGAAAGGGGUUGAUUGUUUCGAAGUUAACCGGAUCGAUAGGAGAUUCAAAGCCAGUACCUCUCUCCAAAUUGCCAGUUUCAAGCACGAGGUUUGUAUCUUGGGGCUGAAGGUCCGGAUAGUCACUUUCGAUGACAGCAGAAUCAGUAGAGCUGUGACCGUUGCUUCCAUCGGACGAGAUCCCAGCUCCGACGCCGACGUGUAGCCCGCAUCCGGAACCGACAUUAGGCCCGUCUCCGGCGACAGCAGUACUCACUGUGAUAUUGUCUUCAGUGGCGGCGACAGGGACAGAUGGAUGCAGCAGGCACUCGACUCCGACGGCGCAAGGAGGUGGACUCUGCCCGUUCUUGCAAAUCUCAUCUCCGCCUCCGGCGACGGCCCCAACAGGUGAGCUCUUUCCACUUAUGCCGACCGCGAUAUCACGUCCGGCGACGGCGGGACUGGGAGGUGAAUCACUGGCCAUGAAGCACGUCUGCAUCGAGUGAUCGAAUUUCAAAGAUUCAAGAUCUUGUGAGAUACUAAGUAGUAGAAGAAGAUCAGAAGAAGAAGAAGAGAAGAGAAGGGUGUGAUUACCUGCAAGUGAUGAUGGAACCCUUGUUUGACUGGAUUGCAAAUUUGCAAUGGUGAAGGCCCGACGGACUGAUGACGUGACUUGGGAGUAGUAGGGUUUCAGGACAACUUCAGGUCAGGGGGUUUCUAUUUUGCGUCAGAGUGAAAGAGAGUACUAGGUCGCAGGUAGUGUGUUCGGUUUUGCUGCUGGUUUUAGUUUUUACAAAAAAGGAAAAUCACAAAUCACAAAUCACAAAUGUGUUGUGUUUACUACAUACAAGUGAUACAAACUAUGUUUUUUUCUCUCUUAAUUCACUCGUUUUCGUCAAUUCUUCUUUUACUGAACUCAAGUUUGAAGUGAACUUUUAUUAUUACGUCCAGUUUAGUAUUAAGUUUUGAGGAUUAAGAUCAAUUAUAAUCAUCAAUUUAGAUAGAUUAUAUGUUUGGUAAAAUCUUAAAAGGUGUUAAUCUAUAACUUUUUAGUUUAAAUAACCACGAUUUUAGAAAGCAGGUUGGGGUUGCUUAUUUAAAAUUGAGUUUUUAAACCACAAUAUCAAACUAAGUUUUUAGAUACGUGAGUUAACGGUGCGUUCUGAUGCUUCUUACCUAAAUUCUUGAGAAAUUUUGAAAUGAUGAAAUUUGAAACUCCGUCAACUAAAAUUUCGAUAAUUUCAAAUUUUAUUAUUUGGUUGUAUCCAUCUAGAAUUUUAGAUGUGUAAUUAAUAGAUUAAGAAAGUUAUGAAUAAUAAAAUAUUAAAAACAAAAAUUUUAAUUGUUUUGGAAACUAAUAAAAAGAUAAGAGCAGAUUUUCGUAUGAAUUCCAAAAUGAUACAUAUUUUGGCAUAAAUUCAAAUGAGGAAUUUAAACAAUUUUUUUUUCCAAAGAAAUUUGAAAUUUCCUAUUUUAAUUAUAACGCUAAACGAGAGAAUUGAAUUCCGUCGUUUUUUUCCCUCGUCCAAACACACUAUUAAAUGAAAAACAAAGUUAAAGUGAGAAAGCUAAAAACAACUUCAAUAACUUUCAUAUAUUCGAAUUAUUAUUCCGGGUAGAAUCCAAACAGUAAGAGUCGAAUCAGUUUUACAGUAAAGGCAGAUGAGACAAAUCAUCCUACAUGGAGGAGAUUGAACUCAAUCCUUGACCCAUGAGCUUCCCUUAUGGAUCCCAAAACACCUCCCGCUGACCGAGCGUUUCUGGAAUUCUCGAGAACUUAUUCUGAUUACAGCAAGAAAUAUGGUGAUGGUUUGGUGGUGGAAUUGAUGGUUCAAGGAGACGAACAAGGAGAGCUCGAUAGAGAGAGUAUUGGUUGGGUUUGCUAGUGUGGUUGCUUAUCAGUUUAGGUAGUUUGUCACACACGUGUGAAUAAAUUUUUUGAGAUGGCGAUUUUGAAUUUGGUUGUGGAUUUUGUAUGAUUUGAUUGGUUAUUGUUGUUGUUUAGAUUUAUAUAUUGUUGUAGUUGAUGGAGCUACUGAUCCUUAAUGUGUUUUUUUCCGACAUGAUCCUUAAUGUGUUUUAAGUACAUCAAUGUGAACAAUAGUUUUUGUUUUCUUUUCAUACGAAAUAUCUAUAUAUAAGCAUCUCUAGCAGCAUUGAUAAAUUAAAAAAAAUUAGAAAUUUAUCAAUUUUUAAAUGAAUCUUUGCUCCAGCAGUAUACUUAAGAAAAUAAUAAAUUUAAAAAUUGGUAGAGAAAAUUGAUAAAUUUAUCAAUCUUUGGGAGACAAUUAACUAAAACUUAGCUAAUGUAUACAAUUUAGCAAUAUUGCUGGAGCAAAAGUUCAAAAAUUGCUGUUGUAAAUCUAAAUAUUGAUAGAUUUAGCAAUAAAUUUAACUGUACUGCUAGAGAUGCUCUACCAUUAAGGAAGUAGCAAUGUUCAUUUGGGUGAUGGAAUGACCGUGCUACCCCUUAAUGCGUGUUAUCUAUAAUACCUUACAGCUCUCUUCCUCCACGAAGAGAACUGCUUUGUGUGAGUCUCCUCAAUGUGGGUAUCACUCCAACACUGAGAGACACUGAAUUAGAUCAUGCUCUUCAACAUUUCGUUGUGUCUUUUAGGCCUGCACAUCUGUUAAUAAUGGGUAUAUCGGGUUUUUCUCCGGAACCUGUGGCGGGCUUCAAAAAGAACGAUAUAAAGCUUUGACAAAGCCAUGAAGAGGAAAUCGGGUUGUGGCACACUUGCGUGAGAUGGGGAUUGAGUAUCAUUUAUCAUCAAGACAUCUAGAGUUGAUUAGUGGGAAAAUCGAAGAGUGUUUGAUCAUAGGGUUUGAGGGCUUUGGGGUUAAUGGUGAUUGAGUUGGGUUAAUGGUAAUUGGAACUCAUCUAUCUAUGGUAUUCAUCCCGUGGUCUGUGUUAUUCUUGACAAGGUAGAAGAACAACUGGCAUGGGUUUGAACGAAGGGAAGCUUAGAGCAACAAGGCAACAAGUCUAGCCAGCAGCAAGGCGCAGUGAUUGACUAGUGUGAAUAAUAGUUGUUGGAAAUUGACUUCAAAUUAGGUUUGGGCUUCUAAUAUGUUGAUACGGCCGUGUUGUGCCCUAGUUUACAUGUAAGACAAUCCCAAAAUCUAGUAUAUGGGUCAGUAGAGCCGGAUCGGUCCAACUCUACCCAUUUUAGAGGCAUGCCAUAAGAGCAUCUCUAACAGCUUAUGUAUAACUAGAAUUACCUUUAUUUUAGAGGAAAAACAUCAUUUUUGGCUCCAACAGUUCAUGUAAAGCAUCCUCUAUUUUAUAAAAAGUGGGAAGAGAGAGAAAGAGAUUAACAAUAUCUAUAGAAUUCUUAAAAUUUAUAUAUUUAUCUAGAAAUCUCUAAAAUUUAUUGUUUGCCUUAUAGAAUUUAUUCUCUCUUCUGUAAAGAUGGAAAAACGUCAUAAAAUUAAAACAUUUAACAUUUUUUUUAGAAAGGACAAUAAGUCAUUUUAUUGAUCACCGAAUUGUAGGAAUACAAUAAAAACAUAACACACCCGCAAGAGCAACGAUAGAAGAGAGCUACGAUAGAAGAGAGCUAUACAAAACAACCUAUAUGACAUUAGUCAUCUUAAUAUUGUAAACCCUAAAAUAGACACUGUGAUCAAUAAAUCAGAACUGCCAGAAUCAUAUGACUUAAUUGAGAUCCAAGAAUCUUAGAACCAUGAACUUAAGCCCAUUGUAACAAGGCCUAAAAAGCCCAGCCCCAAAGGACCCAAGUCCAUCUGCUAUGGGCACCCAGAUGGGGAACCCAAAAACUCCACACUGUCCUCUGCCGCCAUUGAUUCCGGCAGUCGGCUGUGACUCCACCACACCACCAUCAACCUGCGUGAGCCUGACUUCUCGACGAGCCUAGACGAAGCGCCGCUCAACCAAGCCAGUCAGAGCCUCAUCCAACUGGUCAGAUCCACUACCCUCAAUCCGCCCUUACCUGAAAUUAACCGAUUAUAAGGCAGUGAAGUCCCCUCCGCUAAAGUAGCCCACCCAAACCAGAUCGCACCGCCCACCGCUGCCUUUCCUCGAACCGAGAUUAAAUCUCGUCAAAUUCUGAACCGCUGCUACCCUGCCACCGCACCACCGAUCAAAGACUAAUCUGAGGUUCUUAGAUCAAAGCUUACAGAUCGAGAAGCUAAUCCCAAUCCAAACCAAACCCAACAGUUGUAGAAGAACUCCGCCCCAAAACCCACGACUGAAGACACUGGUUCAAGGCACAACCACUAAAGCUGAUUCUAGAACCACCGCCACCGAUUAGAGGACGCGCCGAAAAUUGUCACCCUUGCCGUUGUCGCGCUUCUCAUGUGCUAUGCCAGAGGAAACCCUAGGUUUCACUCUCACUCUCUCAUGACCUUGUUAAGUCGAAGUUAAAUUGUCACAUCCCGAUCCUUAAAUUUUUACCUUAUUUACUAACUUGAUUAUAAUAAGAAUUUUACAGUCUCCGUCAACGAAGUUAUAGUUUAAUUAGUCCCUAGAGGGGUUUUAGGGGACGAUUAUUUCAGAGAGUUAUUCGUAGGAGAAAAAUGUGACGAAGGUAAAAAUGGUAGAUUUUAGCUAGUAAAAGGUAAUUUUUAAUAGGGUAUUUUGUUUUGGGGUGUUAAAUUGGUGGAGUUGGGUAUUAUUUGUGGUGUUGGGCCGAGUUAGUGUGAGGCCCAAACCCCAUUUUCUCCUCUCUUUUUCCUCUAUUCUUCUCCUCUUUUUCUUUCUUCUCUCUUUCCUCCCGGUUCUUCCCUCCUGAGCUCUCUCUUCCUCUGCCUGAAAUCCACCGCUCACCGCCGUCGUCCGGCCGAACCAGGCUGCCGCACCGGUCCCGUCUGGACCAGCAUCUCCUCCUCUCUCAUCCUUGGCCGAUGAGCGCUGCCACAUCACUGCCGAGCAGAAGGAAACUUGUCCCGAAGGACCGACUGUGUUCUCGCCGGAGCUCCCUCCUUCAGCCACAAAUCUGGGCAAGCCUUGUAUGGUUUUGUAGGUCUCCAACCCAGCUGCCUUGUCUUAAAAUGACUCACCCCGGUUCGCUUCAGGUAAGGAGAAAUUUGAGGUGGAAGUUCUAGGGCGUUUUUUAUGUUUCCGUUCGAUUAGUAUAGCUAGGCUUGGAUUUUGGGUUUGUGCUAGUUAGAAAAGUUGUAUAGCAUGGUGAGAGGAUUAUUCUGUCAAAAUUUCAUAGGCAUUGGAGGUCGCCAGAAUCGGCCUCCGGCCACCGCUAUUUGGGAGUUUUGUAUAGUUUUAAGUGUGGAAUAUUAAGGGGAGUUUAUUGAUGUGAAUUAUGAAAUUUUCGGAUGAGAUUUGGAUAGGUUUGUGAAUUUCCGAAGUGUGGUAUUUUUUGGCGGUUGAAUAAUGUAGAAUCCGGCUGUAAGAUUUAAGUCAUUUUCUGGGGGAAGUUGUAUUUAGGACUGCCGGUAUGUUUGGUGAAGUUUGAGCCAUUUUGAGUUAAGAAUGGCGAAGUUGGGCAAUGAUGAGUGUGAGGGAGGCUCACGUUUAAUUUUGCCAAUUUUGUUUAAUUAUUGGAUUUUUAGUUGGGAAAUUAAUUGUAUAUUUGAUUCAGGACGAGAGGAGGCCCGAGCAGAAGAAGCCUCAGAGCGACAUCAGGUUUAGGCCUAAUUUGUGAGUGGACCUUUGUUUUAAUUGAAAAACAUGCGAUGAAUUAUUUUGUUGAUCAUUUAUUUCUUCUGAUGAGACUUAUUGAUUUCUCGGUUAUUUGACAAUUUUUCCUCCUUUGGAGAGAUCUCGAAAAUGAGAUUUUCGGUGGAUAUGUUUAUUGGAUGUUAUGAGUAUAGUAUGUAUAUAAAUGCUAGCUAGCCCUACGUGCUUGGUCCGUCAUAAUGAAGUAAAAUUCCAUUAUAGCGUGACGUGAAUGUUAGACACAAAUGUCAUAGCCCUAUAUGAAAACUACUUUCUUUUAUGGUUUAUUUAGGUUUUCAUAUAGGGAGUCCACACGUAUAUAUACACCAUCCACUUCGGUCAUAAUGAGGAAAAAUUUCAUUAUGGCACGACGUGAGCGUUAGACGCAAGCGUCGUAGUCUUGUAUGAAUUUCUAUCUUUCUAAUUUGUUCAUAGAAUUCAUAUAAGGAGUCUGACGAGUGUAAAUACAUACACAUAUAUGUUUAUAUAUAGUUUAGCCUGAGAGGCUCCAUUUUAUUUGAGUUGGUGACUAGCCGUAGCUAGUCGUGAAAUUGCCAGUUUUUGAGUUGAGCGCUUUUGAGCGGUUGCAUGCAGCAUAAUUUCUUUGGAAAUUAAAAUGGGAUGCAUAAAUAUUUUUAUUAAUUUAUUUUUGUCCACUCACUCUAACGUUAUUAAAUGUUUUCCCCUGGGCCAUUCGUUUUAAAAUAUCCAGUCUACAGAAUACGGGUUGGAUCUAGUAGGAGGCGAGGCAUAGUCACCCACAUUUCCACCAUUUUUCAUCUGUAGGUUACCUGUUUAACCUACUUGUGUUUUCUUACUUCCGCUAGUGUCUAAUAGCUCUGAAUACUUGAGUUUAAUGUAAAUUAUUUCGGUUGUGGGCGAAGUCUUGUUGACAUUUUAGAAUAUUUAUCGGAGGUUGUACGUUAUUUUAUUUGGAUAAUUAUGUGUUGAUUUGGAAGAUGAUUUAUUAUUCUUGGUGGUGGUUGUGUUAGGGAGCACAUAGGCUCCAGAAGUUAAGUGUGGAUUAAGAAUUUUAGAAGUGUUUACAGGUUUUCUUUAGAAAAGGUUGUCCAUUUUCACGGUUGGUUAUGCCGAAUUUUCAGUAAUAUCUUCCUUGGAGGUGGUUCCCGCAUGAUUUGCUCCGGGUUUUAGGGUAAAUUUCGGGGUGGGUCUUGACAUAAAUCCUCAAACUUCAUGUUAUUUUCAAAUGAAAAUUUUUACAUUAAAACAUUUAACAUUAAAUUUGAGGUUUAAUUUGAAUAAAUAUAUAAUAUUUAUAUAGAUUCAUAAAUUAUAGAGAAAAAACAUUUAAUUUUGUACAAUAGAAUAGAAGAAUUGUUAGAAUUGAGAUGUUUUUUUCUUUUAAAGAUUUUGUGAUUUCAUUCUUCAAAAUUGAUAAACUAUAUGUGAGUUGUUAGAUAUGCUGUAACGAGCGAUAUUAGUCUUGUCAAUUAUACAUGAUUAGGUUAGAUUACGGUUGAACACUAUCGGUUCUUGUCCACUGUAAUCGUUGGUGUUUCGGGUAAGUAGAGAGAAGAGUGAGAAAUUUAUUUUCACCACUAAUAUUUUUUAUGGUUGUAAUAUUAUAUUUUUGUUUAAUGAAAUUUUUGAUAUUUUUUUUAAAAAAUAAAAAUAAAUUAUACGUGAGUUGUCAGAGAGCAUAUCAGUCUUUUCGUCUGUGUUAGAGCACGAAGCGGAACUACAUUUGCCCCGUCAGAUUGUGUUCCCUUCCUUCGCCCGUCGCAUUCGUUCUGUGACUAAACUACGGGAGUCGGGACGGCUUUUUCUACAAUAAUAAUAAUAAUAUAAAAAAAGUUAUUGUGGUUCACACCUACUUUUAUCUUUACUGAGGACGCGUUGAUACCUAUCUACCUGGGACCUUCUGAAACAAAAUUUCUCCGCGGCGGAGUGCUUAGUCUCUUCUUCUCUCAACUUUUUGGGGAUCUCCUGGAUGGUAAUAUGUAGUUUCCUCUCCUCAAAGGCCAUGUGAAACUCCUGCGUGCUUUCCUUUCUUCUCUCAACUGUUGUUCAGAUUGAAAGUCACAAUCCGUCUGAAGGCUAUGUUUGAAGUCCGACCGAUUCUCCACUGCAUACGGGUCGCCGCUUCAGAAUCCACUCUCUCCGUGUUCCCUACUUUGAAGAUAUAGGUAUAUAUUUUCUCUAUUUAUAGAUAUAGAUUUAUAUUUGUUGUGCAAACUGCUGGAUCUAAAGCGGACGUUCUCGAUCUCCAUGGCGGAUUCAAUUUCACCUCCCAACUGUGUCUGUUGGUUUACUCAUCUUCAAUUUCUUGUUAUGUAAUACGGCCUGAGAACCACGGAAGUUGCAGGGAGUCUUCAGUCUGCAGCCUAUGCAUAUAUGCAACAGAACUCUCUUCUCUUUAGACUCAGAGUGGUAGGAUGGUUGAAUUCUUCUUCGCGCAAAGAAGUUCUUGGUAAUACGAAAGAUAGAUCAACAAGGGGGAAGGAAGAUCCCCACUUAUUUCAUUCAGUGCCUGCUGUCCCCUUUCACCCGGCUAUUCCACAAAGAUCCAUAAUAGAAAAGAUAGAUCAAGAAAGAACGUAGCCUCCGGCACCGUGGAAGUUUAGUAGUGUUUUCCAGGAAGCUGAGAAUUGUUGUUAUUCAGUGUUCGUUUAGAUUGCCUUAUUUCCAACACUGUCCUAGACUAGCUUGACUUAGCUUAACUAACACAAUUUCAAACUUCUCUAAAUGCCUCCUCCAUACACACAACUGUUAUCCAACAAAACUUAAAUCUGUUACGUGUGUAGAUCAGUUGAAAAUUUGUGUUAUAUGUUUUCAGUUUUACUAUUAAGUUGUAAUACUUCUUUUUGUUGCAUUCCAUUGAUCGUUUGAUUUCUUAGCUUUGUUGUGUAUGUGUUAAAGCAGGUUCUAAUCACCGUGCCAAGGAUCUUCCUACAAGCAAGCUUAGUAGUGAAGUACUGGGCUGAGACCACCCCAUAUAGUCCCUGCAGUUAUGAACAUCCAGCCUUAUUAUGAUGGCGCAAUUGGAUGGUGGAUUAGUAAUGAAGGGGCCGUGAUGCCACUAACGGAUGAGCUUAUUAUCCAAUUUCUAUUUUACAAGCAAACCAUACAUGAAUUUGGUCCUAUUAAAGAAGAAUACAACUUCCUCCAGCGUGAAAGGGUCAUUAAGAUCACUCUUUCCGAGCUACGUACGGAGGAUACUACUAGUAUUAUGCAAUCUCCUUCAAUGCGUAAGAUCAAGCAGGUUAUCGACAUUGAAUUUCCUUCAUCAGAAACUGCUGUGCGGCUUGAAGUUGAGGAACGUAUACUUCAAAUUGUUCAGAACCCUGGGACACCCAUCUUAGUGCCUCCCAACCAUAGAAUUUUCGUCAAAGCAAUUGACGGGAUAAAGAUUUUGCAUGAUACUUGUGACAAGAAUGCAAAACAGAGAAUACAUGAUCAUUUGGAAGCUACGAGACGCGCAACAUGUGCUAUAUGUACAGACGACGUUAACCUUAGUAAACCUAGUCGAUUGCCUUGCCUGCACUUGUUUCAUCACUGUUGCAUUAUGCAGUGGCUGGAGAUCAAGCAACAGUGUCCCACUUGCCGAAGCCCAGUACCUCUUGAAUUUGUUACAUGGUUUUAAGACUCAUAUGGCAGGAAGGAAUCUGGAUGUUGCCGGUUAUAUUGUUCAGACUAAGGUGGUCAGUCAAGUUUUUGAUCCUGCUUGGUUGUUGCUCGGACUAAGUAAGCUAUCAAACUUCUCCCAUCCCAACUGGUGUGCUUUUUUAUUUUCCAUCUCUUAUGGUGUUCUAUAAAAUGAUUAAAAUCAAGAUCAAGCACGGGAGAAGGUUGAUAGAGUGUCUGUACUUGUAAGAGUCUCCUUAGGGUGGGUGAACAAAUGGGUGACACUCCCCAAAAUUUAAAUAAAUGCAGAUACCGGAACUCAGUGAUUGCUAUCAUUCGUUAAGCUGGUAUGUAUUGCUCAUCACGAUGGGGAAGUUCAGUGUCUGGUGAUGUUUUGAAAGCUUGAAAGCAUAUGUUGUUUUUGUUUUUAGAGAAAGGGGUUGUUCUUAUAUUUUUUUUUACAGAACGGUUCAGUACUUGUCCGACAAUGAUGCAUCGAAUAAGAUUAAAUGUUAGAUGUUUAUCUAAGAUGACUCGUCUUUUAAUUACAUAUGGCAUGCAUAGCUGGUUACUUUGGUUGUGAUUUGUGAAGCUGGUUAAUGUGAUCCAUAGUAUUAUAUAGCUAUGUAUAUUACACAAGCCUCUAUAAGUGCUUUUUCUGCCUCACAAUCUUGCCAAGCUUAAGGCGCAUUUCGUGUUAGCUUCUUUUGAAUCGAAACCUUGAACUAGUCAUGAAGUGUUUCAAGUGCAGAAAUGAAAUCAUUCUUGUCUGCAGGUAGUUUGUGAUCAUAAGAAUUAACGGUGAAUACAAUAACCUCAUGCUAAAAUUGUUUUUGAUGGUUUUCAUUGUCAUGCAAUUUAAUUCCAGCCAGCGAAUCUGCUGCGGCAUAAUUCUCUUGAAAAGUUGAAACCAACUCAAAAGUGUUCUGCAUUUCAACUUAUUUUGUUCACUAAAACCAUAUACAUCGUAGGGUCACACAUCAGACUUGACAAAUUGAUGGAGGAAUGGUCCACCCAUCUUAGUGCCUCCUAACCAGCUGUGGGUGCUUGUCAAAUUAUUUCACAGGAUAACGAUUUUGCAUGAUGCUUGUGACAAGAUGGCAAACAUUAGAAUACAUGAUCUUUUGGAAGCUACAAGGCGUGCAACAUGUAGUAUCUGUUUAAUCACUGCUGCAUUAGAAAGUGGCUGGAGAUCAAGCAUGACUGUCCCUAUUGCCGAAGUCCGGUGCCUCGUGAAUUUGUUACAUGGUUUUAAUACUCGUGGCAUGAAGGAAUCUGGAUGCUGCCAUUAGUAUAGUGCAUGUUCAGACGAAGGCGAUCAUUCAAGUAUUUGAUCUAGCUUGGUUUCUUGCUCCGACUAAUUAAGCUUUUAAACUUCUCUCAGCUAGCUAGUGUGCUUUCUAUAUUUUCAUGGUGUUUAAUAAAAUUAAGAUUAAGCAUGAGAGAAGGUUGAUGUAGUGUCUGUACGUGUUGUAAGAGUCUCCCGUCUUCCUAAAUUUGAGAAAUAUUUCCUUCCAGUCUGCGGCAACGAGCCACUCAGGAAAAAGAAAAAGAAAAAAAAACGUGGUCGGCAGGAUUCGAACCUGCGCGGGCAAAGCCCACAUGAUUUCUAGUCAUGCCCGAUAACCACUCCGGCACGACCACAAGAUACUAAGUUGAAGCAAUUUACAUUAUUUGACGGAGUUGUAACCACAACUUUCAACUAUUUCCUUUUCCCUUGAUUUUUAUUCAUAGGCUGAUUGGCUUGUGUUCAUAAUUUACAUGUGGGACUGAACUUAGAUAUUUGUAUAUCCAGGAUUCCCUCCAUUUCUCUAACAUUUAUAAGCUAGAAGGAUGGUGGCAUGGUGAUCAAGUUUCGAACAGUUCGAAGUAUAUGCUAUAGCUCCUCAACUUCCAGUUAUGCAUGCAAUAGGAAAAGCCAGUUUUGCUGUAACUAUUCGAUAGGUUAAUUAGAUUGAUUGAAUUGAAACUUUGAUCCAACUGAUUGUAUUCCAGGGCCAAAGAAUGAUUACUCUAUUUGUUUGCCUUCCUAUAUAUUGGAGUGUUAGACCAAAUUCAAUAUAGAAGCUAGCAAGUCGAACUAGAUAUCAUUGUUUGAGCGCGACAAAGAUUAGUAAUACCAACAUUUUUGUUUAAUUCAUUAAUCGUAUGUAUACUAGUUUGAACUAGAUAUGCAUGUUCUAUACCUGUAGCUAUGUGUUCUUGACCUAGUUAACACUGUAUUAAUCGUGUAUAUAUAUAGCUAGCUUCAUCCAAAGGCCAAGCCAUAUACAACUUGCCAACCAAACUAAUAUCCUGUCCACAAUAAUUCGUCAUUUUCUUCGAAAAUAAUUACCAGAUUAUUACUAUUAUUUACAAAAUUUUAUGUUAUGGUCAACGACGAAACUACAUUGUAGGCUAGUACGUAGGACUAUAAUCCAUAUGAGAAAACACUUAGUAUCUCUACUACAAUAAAGUUAGACGUUUAGAAAUUCACCAAAAUAUGUUAUCCUAUAUUACCCAUAUAACGUUAACUGAGACAAUAUAAUUUAGGGUUAUUAUAGUAAAAAUCAAAAUAAAAAAAAAUUAAAUAAAUAAAUAAAUUGCAAAGAAAAAGAUAAUUAUGAAAAAUAAACGUGGAUAUAGUGAGAGUACAAGAUUAAAAACUGUAAUUCCACUUAAAAAAUCAGAUUGAUAACUUUAGAUAGUCACUACUCCUUAAUUUUAGGUGAUUUUGUAACACCAUGCAAAUAUGCACGGUAAAGGUAAAAGCUUGUAUGUAUAACCAUGGGUGUUAUUUCCCAAGACGCUUUAACUCGUUCAGUUGGCAGAGUGCUGAGGAAGUUUCCAUUCUAGAGGGUUCCGUCACCAUAACCAGUUCCGGCACUGGUUGUGAUGAUCAAAAGCAAAAAUUCACAAGUCAUAAUUGACAAUCAAACAAUCUCCUUCAACAAAAAUUAAAAUAUGCCAAAACCAAAGAGGAAUAAUAAUCAAGAAGUACAUGAAUAUUGUGGUCGAUCGAUCGGUACAAAUCACACUGCACAAAAAUAGUACUGCUUAUAUUACUAGCUGCUAGCUGCUCCCCAUGAAAAACAAAGCCAGCCCUAGAGCCAAUCCCACGAACGAUCCCACAGUCGUCUUGCUCGAACCACUAGUCCCAUCCGUAGACGGCUCCGCGGCCACCGUCCCUUUCGUCGUGUUGGUGCUUCCGGCCGGAGUUUUCGCAGCAGUAGGAGCCGGAGACGCCUCAGCGAACAUGUCAUUAGGCAACAACACCUUGUCAAUUUGGUACACAGCCAACGGAAACUGCUGCCUCAAUGCAUUGUUGAUCUGAGUAGUCACCGCCCCACUUGACACGUUCACUUGGUUCCCUCCGGAUCCGGUGAAGUUCAGCCCGUAAGAUCCGCCGCCGUUUUGGGAGGAGGACUGAGUCCUCACGGGGUUUGAGACUGUUAGGAGACUUGCGAGAGUGUAGUACUUGGGGAGAACAUGGUAGAGAACGAGCUGGACUUGUUGUUCGGAGGAGAGGUCGUUUAGGGUUCCGGCUUUGAGGUUUGUGAAGGCGUUGUCGGUGGGGGCAAAGACGGUGAGGCCCUCAGUGGUGGAGUUGAGCUGGCUUUGGAUUUGGGUGGCGACUUGGGUUUGGGAGAGGAGGCGGAGGAAGGUGGUGUAUUGGCCAGCUUUGUCUAGGAUGCCGGUGAAGUUUAGUGGGCCGGAUGGGGCCGGGGCGGGAGCGGUUUGGGCUUCGGCGUGGAAGACGACGACGGCAAGGAGGAGGAGGAGGAGAGGGAGGGAAUGUGUGGAAGCUGCCAUUGUGAUGAUGAAGAAGAUUAAGGUGGUGGUGGACUGGUGGUGGGAUGAAGAAAUAUAUGGGAUAAGGAAGUAAGGUAUGGGGGGUGAGGCUUGGGUGGAAUGAGCUGGAGAACUCAACUAUAGUGUAGAGUGUAGACUAUAUUAAUAAUCAAGACAAAGAAGAAGAAAUGAUAUUUGGGCACAAACGUGACAGCCUUAGAAAACAAAUGUGAUUGGAAAAUUAUAUACAAGCACUAGAAUUAUAUUAUUUAGCAUAUUAAUUUGAUCAAACAUCUCAACUAACAGUUUCCCCAGCUUUGAUUUGGAUGCCUUCACUUGAUUUUAGUUUGAUAUACAUGAUCCAGCUUUGUUUUUAAAAAACACUCUUGAUCAAUUUACAAGAUAAGAACCUUUUUAAACACAUUCACACGCACAAUAUAUUGAUUUACACUCAAAAUUGAGAUACUCCGUUAAUGUUUAGCUAUUACAAAACCGCAAAAUGAAGUUACAUGAGUUGAAGUGGAUCGAAAGGGUUUGAUCAACUUGACUUGCUUCUAAAUGGGAGUAAGCUUUCUUAAAUCAUGAAAGGGUUUUAGCUUUGAUUAGAUAAUUGGUGUCUGACUCUUACAUAUUUGUAAUUAUUGACCAAAUACCAGAUCUGAGAUAUAGUUUACAUAUAAUUCUAAUCUCUCUGGUGGAAACAGCUACUAGAGCGGGUUAAACUAAGACCAAAUCAAACUUGCAUUAAUUCAACUUCAACCAUCAUCGAUCUCUGACUUAGUAUAAAAUGAAUCAAAACCUGACUAAUUACAGAACCCAUAAUCAUAUACAAAUAAACCCAGAUAAGUUUGGCAGCCUGGAAAAACAUGGCAUGUGAGAUUCCCUUUAACAACUAUAUGCAAAUGGUGUCCACCAUUUCAAAUAAUUAUACACAAGCUAGUAUAUGCAUGGUUGUAACUUUGUAGCCUUGUACCGAACUCUCUUCUGCCUUGUGGUUCAUGUUGCUAUACAAUAAUAUCAAGAGGAGGACCAAUCACCUACCAUAUAUUCAACCUGGCAAUUAUUCAACGAUCAUCAUAUAUUCAUAUACUGGUGCUCUUUCAUAUUCUGUACAGGUAGACGAUGGAUGAUCAUCAAUUAAUUAGGGAAAAAAAAAAAAAAAAAAAAAACCUCGAUCAUAUACCAUUCUAAAACCCUAAACCCUGAACCAUUAUACAAGAUUACAAUAUAAUGAUAUAUGAGUAUCAUAUUGGGUUUUGAGUUUGGAGUUUGGAGUGAGUAUUGGGCCUUUUGGGCUUGGGACCGCACCGUUUAGAGAGGGUUUAAGACUUUUGAAAAGAGAGUUUUGAGAGGGUUUAAGACUUUCGCGCUCGUUUCUCUCAAUGUUUGCCUAAUCAGAAAUGCUCGUUCCCGAACCCAAAACCAGCUUCCUAUUAGUUUCUCAUGAUUACCCGCCAAUUGAAUUUCAAAACCCUUCAACGAAUACGCAAGCCCCGACUUACAACCUCUACAAUCUGCUCAAAAUUCCAUUCUUAUAACCAUGAACACCACCUGUUCGACGAAAUUCCCCAACCAGAUGCUGCCGCAGUUAACCGCUCUAUGCUCAACUAUAUGCACAGGAACCUUUCUGCUACUUCCCUCGACAUUUUUACUAAGCAAUUUCAACAUUUUUCGUAUCCUUGUAAUAUUGAUGAAGUUACUGUUACCCUUGCUGUCAAGGCUUGCCAAGGAGACCCAAAACCCGGAUGCCAAAUCCACGGCUUUGCUGUUUCGUCUGGGUUUAUUUCUUAUGUUACGGUUUCUAAUUCAUUGAUGAGUAUGUACAAUAAGGCUGGGAGGUUUGAUAGUGCAAUGUGUAUCUUUGAUGGUAUGUGUUACACUGAUAUAGUUUCUUGGAACACUGUUCUUUCGGGGUUUCGGACGAGUGAGGGGGCAUUGAGUUUUGCUUGCAGGAUGCAUUCGAAUGGGAUUGCUUUGGAUCCGGUGACUUAUUGUACAGUUCUUGCGUUUUGUGGGGAGUAUGAGGAUUUUCUCUUUGGAUUGCAACUGCAUUCUCUCGUGUUUAAGUCUGGGUUGGAUUGUGAAGUUUUUGUUGGGAAUGCUCUUAUAAGUAUGUAUUCAAGGUGGAGACGUUUGAGAGAAGCUAGGAAUGUGUUUGAUGAAAUGCGGAAGAGGGAUGUGGUUUCAUGGAAUGCAAUUCUAUCAGGUUACUCUCAAGAGAGAAAUCAUGGCCUUGAGGCAAUUAUACUGUUCAUUGAAAUGGUGAGAGAAGGGAUGAAACUAGAUCAUGUCUCAUUUACUAGUGCUGUUUCAGCUUGUGGUCAUGAGAAGAACUUAAGACUCGGGAGACAGAUACAUGGCUUGACAGUAAAAUCAGGAUAUGAAAGUCAUGUUUCAGUUGGGAACGUGUUGAUCUCCACAUAUUCAAAGAGUGGUGUCAAUGAAGAUGCAGGAUUGGUGUUUCAGCACCUGAAAAACCGCAAUGUAAUUUCCUGGACUACAAUGAUUUCUAUGGACGAAGAGAAUGCCAUCUCUUUAUUUAACAAGAUGAGGUUGGAUGGAGUAUAUCCAAAUGAAGUUACAUUUGUUGGACUAAUCCAUGCAAUAUCAAACAGAAAGUUGGUGGAAGAAGGCCUUAUGAUUCAUGGGUUUUGCAGAAAGACUGGAUUUUUGUCGAAGCAUAAUGUCUGCAAUAGCUUUAUCACCAUGUAUGCUCAGUUUGAGUCCAUGGAUGAUUCUUUCAAGGUUUUUGAGGAGUUGGACUUCAGAGAAAUCAUUUCAUGGAAUGCUCUGAUCUCAGGCUAUGCUCAGAACAAGCUGUGUCAGGAUGCACUGAGGACAUUCUUGUCAGCAAUUAUGGAGUCCACGCCCAACAACUACACAUUUGGUAGUGUGUUGAGCGCAAUUGGUGAUGCUCAUGACAUUUCUCUGAAGUAUGGCCAGCGCUGCCACUCCUUUUUGAUAAAACUUGGAUCAGUUACUGACCCGAUUACAGCAGGUGCGCUCCUUGAUAUGUAUGCAAAGCGAGGAAGCAUUUGUGAGUCGCAAAGAGUUUUCAGUGAGACCCCUCACAGAACUCAGUUUGCUUGGACAGCAAUAAUAUCUGCAUAUGCUGGCCAUGGAGACUAUGACUCGGUGGUCGAAUUGUUCUACCAGAUGGAUAAAGAAGGGGUGAAACCUGACUCGAUCACAUUUCUUUCCGUACUAAGCGCAUGUAGUAGAAAGGGAUCAGUUGAGAUGGGCCGCCAUUUCUUUGAAUCAAUGGUUAAAGACUAUCAGAUAGUACCAUCUCCUCAACAUUAUGCUUCUAUGGUGGAUAUGUUGGGACGAGCUGGGAAGCUGGAGGAAGCAGAGGAACUGAUGAGUCAGAUGUCUGGACAGCCGAGUUUUUCUUUGUUGCAAAGCUUGCUCGGGGCUUGCACAAUACAUGGGAAUGUGGAGAUGGCUGAGAGAGUAGCAGGCGCUUUAAUGCGAAUGGAGCCAACUGAAUCAGGUUCUUAUGUGUUGCUGUCCAACUUGUAUGCAGAGAAAGGGGACUGGGAAAUGGUGGCAAAAAUAAGAAGACAGAUGAGAGAUAGGGGAGUGAGAAAGGAAGUGGGAUAUAGUUGGUUGGACAAUGGUGAUGCUGAUGGCUCUUUGUAUCUCCACGGGUUUUCGUCAGGUGAUAAAUCUCACUGCCGGUCUGAAGAGAUAUGUAGAAUGGCAAAGUUCCUAGGAUUAGAAAUGAAGUUUUUGAGAGAGAACAUGUCUGAUAUAGACUCUGUGAAACAAAACAGUGAGACACAUUCUGAAGUCCCUCGUGAUGAAGGCUUGUAUUAGGUACUUGUAACAUUUGAUUAUUCAUGAUCUUUUACUGUACUAAUAUUUUCUGGGGAAAAAGAAAAUAGAGGGAAGGCUGAAAAAAGCGUGGUCGGCAGGAUUCGAACCUGCGCGGGCAAAGCCCACAUGAUUUCUAGUCAUGCCCGAUAACCACUCCGGCACGACCACAUCUUGCCGGUAACAUGUGAACUUUGAUACAUACCCAAACAUACAUACAUAAAUUUCGAUUUUUGACACACAUUCCAAAACCCAGAACCCGAUUUCAUCUGUUUCUCCGGUGACAGCAAUCCCCAAGAAGCAGUGGAGUCGAUAACGUGCAAGGGAAGAAGGAACCUUCCAAUUCUGCCAUUUUAAUUUUUGCUUCGUCUUCUUUCUUUUGCUUUGUAAUUAUGCUUCCUUUUGGAAUUUUAUUUCUUUUCGGUAACGUGUUAAAUAAAAUCUUGAUUUUGAAAUGGUGACUGGUGAGUGUAAGGUGUUCUUCCAUACUUGGCCCUGUUUCUGACUUGAUCUCAGUGGUGUCUGACUUGAUCUCGAGCGUAUCAGCCUUGAUAUUAAGUCAGACACACUGAGAUCAAGUCAGACACCACUGAGAUCAAGUCAGGGAUCAAGUCCGAGAAGACCGAGCUCGAUGCUGUUACCGCGAAGUUACUUUUGAGAUUGGAUGAAUUGGGCCUUGAAGUGAAAGAAUUGAAGGAAUCGAAGGGUCCUCAGUCCGUUGCUGCUGCUGCAAUCCAAGGAUGGGCGGAGAACCUUCCAUCUGUUGUUCCUGAUACUGCAAGUGGAGAUGCUCCCCAAUUUUCAGAUGAUGAGGAUGACGACUUUCAGUAGUACGAAGACGCCACUGCUGUUGAUGAAGCUGAAGCUUUGGUUCCAUAGUUGUGAAGCUGCAAUUCCAGAGGUAGUGUUAAUAAUUGGUUUCGUUUAGGGUUCUUGGAUGUCUGUUAGACGGAAGUUUCUUAAGACUUGGUUUGUUCAUAUUCGACUGUUAGGUCCAUUUUGAGUUUAAAAACAGGCUAGUAGAAGGUUCCAUAGGUCUUAGCUGCAAUGCGGAGGUAGUGUUUGUUAAUAAUUGGUUUGGUUUAUGGGCAUUAGACUGACUUGGUUUGUUAAGUUCCUUUUGAGCUGGUAGACUUUAACAAAUGUUUGUGACUGAAAUUUUUCCUGAAUUUGCAUUUGGGUUUGUGACCGGCUGUUGUUCCUUUUGGUUUGGACCUUGUUUCAAUGCAUAUAUGCAUUUUACCUGAAUUUUAAGGUUCAGCGUUUCAGAUUGCCACAAUUUCAGGGUGCUAAAAUGCAUGUAUUAUAAUUAUCUGUGAAGUUGAUGAGUCUUAUAAAUCUGGGGUAAUUUGUGACUGUUGACAUGAAACACUUGGUUCAUUCUUUGGGGAGCUAGGAAGAAGAUUGAUGGUGCCAUUCAUAAUUUUAAAAUAUCAUACUGGUAUAUGCUGGAUUUGUUCCUCUAGGUGCUCAAAUAGUCUAAGGUUUGAGGGGUUGUUGGUGUGGUCGUGUCUCUGAGCUUGAAUUUGUGCGGCUGUGAGCUUGCAUUCGUGUCUCUGACUUGAAUAUGUUAAAGGGGUUGUUGCCUCUGCUGAUUGAUACGCUUCAUCUUACAUUUUUACAGUUAUUGUUCUAGAAAUCUCCAGCUGUGUAAGUCCUUUCUGUAGUACUUUUGAAGUUACUAGGUGCAUUUUCACUAUCUCUCAGUAUCAUUUAGCAGAAGUGCUACUACAUUUUGAUACACUAGUGUCUGUGAUUUAGCGACUGUGAAACAACGAAAGGGUGUUGGAGUUGGGUUAGGCUGCACUGGUUUACUUUGGGGACGGUUAAGCCGUUUAAUAUCUUCAUGAUCCAACCCCUUCAUAGUCUUUUGGUACUCUUCUUGUUCUUUUUAGAAGAUUCUCUUGGUACCUCUUCCAUUACAUAUCUUCUUGUCUAGUUGUCUAGUCUGCAAAGGUCAUGCCCCAAUUAACUAAUCACUUAAUUGGGUUAUGGUUCUUCUUAACAAUAAUGUCCCUUUGAUUAGUGUGUUAUGCGGAAGUGACAACUCUUAAUUGAUUAACUAAAGCAACAUUACCGUUGUAAGUUCCUUUUUUUGGUCUGAUACCGUUGUAAGUCCAAUGUGCGAGACAUAUUUGGCAUUAAAGAAACAAGAUUGCAGAUAUCUGAAUAUCUCUUGCCACAUUUUUACCAGAAUCCCUCAUCUUUGCCACAUACUUCUUCUGCUUCUUCUUUCCCUUUCAUUUUGGUCUGAACAGAAGUACAUAAUGCAUCAGAUGGUGUUAUAAGCUGGGUGAGUCCUUCACUUGAUUCAUCUAUCUGUUGACCACUAAAAUGAGAAAAUGACAGGCUAUCUUUUUCUUUCCCUAUCCUACCAAAAUAGCACAGAUUAUGAUAUACUUAUAGGGUUUAGGGUUUCAGCCAAUCAGCUCGCUCUCACUUAUAGAUAGUUUGUUCUUGUUUGUUCUCCUCUCUUUGUAUCUCUUUAAUCUUUCUUUCAAUAACUUCUGAGGUGGUACGGUACUCAAGUACUAGAGGAACACAGUCUCGUAGUUGAAGACAUCCGCGAAUUCAAAGAUGGACUCCGCCGUCUAGAAGAAUGUUUGCGCCAAUCUAAAGACCCACUCCACCAUCAAGAAGCCUUGGCGCGUCUGAAAAAAUUAACCCAGAAUCUAGAAGAUAUACUACUUGAACGCUCUGAAACACUAGGAAGAAUUGCUGAUCACAUCAAUGACGCAGGUGCAACUGGCUCUGGAAGCGGAGAUCAGGCUCAACUUUGUUAGGAAGUUCUUCAAAGGUCUUCAAUUUUAUGUUCUUCAAAGCAAAGUCACGCUUCAAAUCCUCCAAAACUAAUACAUUUUUUUUCCGAUAAGUCCAAAACUUAUACUUUGAAUGAGGUUUGCAUAUUGCUAGCAAUGAAAAAUCAGGCAAAUCUACUAGUCAGCUGUAUUCUAUGAACAUACAUGAAUAAGCAUAUUGCUAGCAUUGUGCAGGGGAUCAACUUAAAGUAACUACUUUGCAAGGACUAUAGUACAUGUUCAAUUUUUCAUAACCAAAUCAUGCUAAUUGAGAUCAAAGAACAACAAAGCAAAAAGUGUUUUAAGCUCUCUCAAAGCAUGUAUGAGAAAUCAGUUAACUCAGUACAAUCAUGUACCACAACACUAUCACUGCUCUUUGGUAUAUCUCCCUCUUUGACCAAACCCUCGGACUCGAACCUGACGAGCUAUGCAUCAUCGAGCACGCAUCAUCCUCAAGAUCAUCUCCACUCGACGCAUAGCCCUGGCUAUGCCUCUGCCUCUUGUCCUGUUUUACUGAUCCUUGUAUCGAUCCUCCUAAGUUCCUAACCGCAAUGUUAUCAAAAUCGAAUGAUAAGAUAUUAUUGAAAAGGUAAAAUCAAAAGGUAAAAGGUCCAGAAAAAUAUCAUCUAACCACUUUUCUGAUAGAGUAAGAGAUCCGGUCUUAAAGAUGUAACACUCUUUCCAUCAAAAUUAUAAUAACCACUCACCAUGGAAAUAAAUUAAACACGAAUAAAAGCAAAUAACUCAAUUCAUAUUAUGCAAGUUGUUACAAUAGCUUAUACUUGCAAAUAGAGUUUAGAGUUGGCUGCUUGGCAGUUAAAUAGAAAUAAAACUUCAAUACAAGUCAACACUAAAAUUUUUCCUAGUAGUACAACUUCCUCAGUCCAAGCCUCUGAAGUAGCAACUACUAUAGUUUGAGAGGCCCAUCACACCGAAUCACACCAAACCACACUCUGAUAUUGAUUUAGAUAAGGAGCUUCUCAAUGGCAUCCUGCAAUUCACGUGUAAUAACAGUCAGAAUGCAGCAGACAGGAUCAAAUUCAAACAAGGAAAAAUUAUAACAAGCUGUCGACAUAAAACAGUAAGAUGGAUAUACCUUGAGCUGUUGUAUUUGGACUUUCAUUUGGCUGCCCUCAUUUGUUGUCACAGAACAAGCAAUGACAGGUCUUGAGACACCACAUGCUCGUCCAAGAGCUUGCUUUGAAGGCACGAACACAUAGGGCACAUUCUGUGAAUUCAAGUAUAAUGUUUUCAAUAUUAAUUUAUGAUCCAGAGUUUCAUAAACUAGAAUGCUUAGCUAUCGUUGCUAAAUUGUCUGCAGCAUGGUUUUAAUAUUCACAACUAAUAAGAUAGAAGCACAUAAAGAAGCAUGCCUUUGUUCAAACCAACAUCAAGACAACUGACAUGAUAACAAAUAAAAUGUAAGUUGGAUAUGCAUAGUUUUAGUUUAUCUACGAAACAAACCAUAAAAUUAGAAUGGAACUGUUUCGAGUCCAAAUACAACACAGCACAUGUCCAAAAACAUAACCAAACUCAUUGUUUUCCCUUAGCUUUUCCACAUAAUCAGUAAACAACUCUUUUAAGUAAUACGAAAAAGAACCGUACACAUAAUAUAACACUAAAUCCAAAACUUAGUCCACUAACUGUACAAAUACCAUGUCUUAGUAUACCACACACGAUAAACAUAACCCACAUGCCAUAUCCAAUCUUAAACUAUACAAACAAGUUUAGCAAUCCUCACAGCAACAGUAAUCAACAUCAAAGCAAUGGAAUCAGGAUUACCUUAUCUUCAGCCAACAGGGGAAGAUGAAGAAGGAUCUCCAGCGGCUCGGUAUCGGCAGCCAUCACAAUGAACUCAGCAAUACCUCUGUUCAGGGUCUUAGUAGCUGCAGAAAAACCCAACAAAAACAAACCAUCAAAUCAGUUCCCAAAUUUUCCAUAUAACACAAAAUAAAUCAAAGACUCAAACUUUACACAAGAAUCUGGGUCGAACCUUCAUUGGCGCCCUUUUUGAGCUGCUUGAAGUUGAAGGCUUGCUGAACCAGGUCGAGAAUGGUGAUGGUGAGCUGGCCAUCGGCCAAGGGGUAAGCUUUAGGGUUCACUGCUUCUCCGGUCUGCAAUUGAAAUCAAGCAAAAACAAAGUGAUUAAUCAAAAACCCAGAAAGUUAAUUGCAAUCUUGAAGCGAGAUGGAGAGAGAGAGGGUACCAUUGUGUUGGGGUUGAGGAGGAGGCUAGGGUUUUCGAUGCGAGGAAGCGGGGACUGGAUUAGGGUUUAAGAAGGAGAAAUGCGUUUGUCGUAUGAGGGGUAUUUAUAGAAGAGUUUGAUGGACCGACGUCGUUUUCCGUGCCCUGGUUCGUUUUGUUAAAACCGGGUUGCCCCGGCCCAAAGCAACAAAAGUUUGCGAGGCCUUUUGUUAAUAAUUAAUUUAAUUAUUUUGGAACUGGAAUGACAAUGAAUGAAAUAAUUUCGGUGGACUCUACUUUUCUUGUGUUUACUUGGCAUGAAUGUGGAUCCUAUUUUCUUAAUAGGAAUCGAUUCCUGACAAUGUGAGGAGUGUAGGCUAUGUCGUGAUUCUCAUACCGGCUCAUUAUGAGGAAUUUAAUUGGUUUCUUAACCAUUGUGUUUGGGAAGAGGUGACAGUUUUUGAGUUUAUGGAAUGAUAUAUGUACUGAUUCGUUUAUUCUUGUUGUUUUUGAUUCAUGACUUAGUUUUGAUCCAAGUAAAUAGAUAAAUAAAAAUAUCAUAUAAAAAUCAUGUCAUAGAUUUCAUAUCACUAAAUGUGCCAAAAUAACAAUCAGAGUAGCUACUUAUAUGAUUUUCUAAUUCAAUUCUUAUUCUACAUGUCACCUAUAGUCUUGUUCGAUUUUAUGCUACAUGUCUAACACUUUAUGAUAGGUAACUUUAUGAUAGGUAAAUCGAAACACGUUAGUCAUAAUAGAUAGAUCAAAACACUUAUCAUUUUGUGUAAUCCAACAGCAUAAUCACUUUACUGAUUAGUGCAUUGUGAAUGAUGUACUAGGCAAAGGGUAUGGACAAUACCAUAAAAAAAAUUGACUAACAAUGUGUAAAACAUAAAGUCCAAAACGUUUUUGUGAAGAGUUUAGUACUUUCCAAACUCCAAAACAAGAUUUAGAGCCUAUUUUUUUCUUUUUUCUUUUUCCAGAAAUGGAGGACUUUAAACUUGAUUCAAUGCUUCCAAUGGGACUUUAACAUCCCCAUUUUCUUCUUCAUCUUGAUCCCUCAUAUCACCACCACCAAUUUCUUCCAACUCUGAAACCAGACCACUCUGCAGCUCUCAAUUUCUCACAUUGCUUAAACAAAUGGGUUGGUUCGGGGACACCGUGGACUCCAUAAAGUCCAUUCAGAUCAGGCAAGCUCUCACCCAAGCCAUCAAUUUCGGUCAGUACCAAUACAAAUCAUUUCAAAGUCUUCAACUUUAUCUGCUUCAGAUUCAAAGAUUGCACCUUUACGAGUUUUCUAUACGUUUUCAGGCUUGAUUGUCACUUCGGCGCUGAUAAUAUGGAAAGGGCUGAUGUUGGUGACUGGGAGUGAAUCACCUGUGGUGGUUGUGCUCUCUGAAAGCAUGGAACCUGGGUUUGCUAGGGUGAGUUUGUCAGUCUCUUUAGUUAAAAAAAAAAAAAAAAAACAGUUUUACUGUAUUUGAAUAGUUACUGUGUUUUGUAGUUGAAAGAAUUGAAAGACUGAGAAGUACACAUUGUAUGAAAUGGUGUAUUUAAGAGGAUCAAACUUGGUUAAUAUUAGUCAUGUUAGUUGCAAUGUGAUUACUCUUUUGGCUAAAAAGGUGUCUGAAUGGUGUUUAGUAAUGUGAGUCUUUCUUUGGUUCUUGGGUUUAACUUAUACAGACUUAUCUUUGCUUUUCGUUUUGGACCUGACUAUCUGUUAUUCACCAUUGAAUGUGCAAAAAGCCAAAAACAUAUGUGGUUUCUUUUACUCCUAUUUGUUUGUUUGCUGGCUUGACCUUCGGAUAUCUUUCAGGGUGACAUUUUGUUCCUGCAUAUGAACAAGGAUCCUAUUCGUGCAGGAGAAAUUGUGGUGUUUAACGUGGAUGUAUGCUCCCUUUUCUGAUUUUACUCCUUUCCCCAAUAUAUGAUAAAUGUUUGUUAUUUGAUUAAUCCAUUUCUGGGAAAGCCAUUCACUCUGGAGGUUAUCUUAUAAGUACCUUUUGCAUUCUGCUACAGGCCUGUGUAUAUUAUUUUGUCUAUACUUGUGCUGAGAUAACUUUUACUUGCUCUCCAGGGACGUCCAAUUCCAAUUGUUCAUCGAGUAAUUAAGGUAAAAUGAUGGGUUACCUUCUUCCUCCCUCCCUGCCUCCCUCUCUUUUCUUUUUUAGUUCCAUUCAACUUUUACAGAUAAACCAAUGGCUUGCCUGCAUUUCAGAAACCAGAACCCUGUGACAUCAUACAACUGCAUAUGACUGUCAUCUUAUGAUUAUAUUUUGUCUUACUAAUCCUUUCUGGUAGGUUCAUGAGCGGAGAGACACUGGAGAAGAUUAUGUCCUCACAAAAGGUACUGCAUUUUCAUGUAAACAGACUUAUCAAAUCAAUUGUGUUCCAUUCUAUUGUUCCACUGUUUUUGCAAUUUAUAAGAAAGUGAAAAUGAAAGAAAUGUUGAAGUCAUUACAUUAUGGCAGAGAAAUACCUUAAGAUGUUUAACUUGAUUCAGAAUUUCAGGUUUUGUUUCGUUUUGUUUCGUUAGCAUACAUUGUAUGGAACUAACUGUGGUGUUGGUUACUUGGUUUGCUUUUGUAGGGGACAAUAAUCCUGAUGAUGAUAGAAUCCUUUAUGCUCCAGGCCAGCGUUGGUUGCAAAGACACCAUAUCAUGGGGAAAGCUGCCGGGUAUGUCUUUAUCUUGUUUUACUUUGUUCUGAGCUGUUAGGUGAAGUUUACACAGGAAACUGAAACGUACAUUGACAGGUGGAGACGAUAACAUGUUAAAUAGUCAGAUAGCUCUAAUCAUGUGUGCAAGUCUAAUUUUGUAUGUCUUACAUAUCUGAUGCACCUGUAAUUCUCAAACACAAACUAGUAUAAGGCUGGUUUACUAUAGUUAUUCGACAUACAUUUCAAUAUGGUGAAACUAUCUAUUGAGAUGGUUCAGUGCAUGUUAAAAGUAAUGGCUUCUAUCACGGUUUGAGUCAUAAUUAGGAGAUUAAUACUUUUGGGGUUUCUCUGCCUCUCUCACUGAGCCUGGUUAAGUUUAAAAGCAUUGGCUUUUACUUAUCUUUGAUACCUGAGGUUUGAUAUCAAGAAGAAUCUGUCUACUGUCUAUCAUCAUGGAUCCGUUACCCAUAUGCAUAUCUGGUCUUCGUGAAUACUGUGUAAUCUGUACAUACACGCAAUUCAUGCUAAACGAGUGAGCUUUCAUUUUCUAGAUGUAUUGUAUUUUAUUUUAUUUUCGCUUUUCUGCAGGUUUUUGCCUUAUGUUGGCUGGGUGACAAUUAUCAUGACAGAAAAGCCUAUAAUCAAGGUAUGCCUUUAUUGGAAUUUAGAAUGGCUUCUCGCAUGUGUAUAUCCCUAACUAGAAAAAGUUCUUCACAGUUGCUCAUUUGAAUAAAAUUUCAAUACCCUCUAUUUCUCGGGCAUCAACAGCCCACAAGCUUGGGGAUUUUUUUGAAAUGCAACACCACUUCAUUGAUACAAGCUAGUUUCAUAUCUUGUGUUUUGGUUCUUGCAGUACAUUAUCAUAGGAGCGCUGGGAUUGUUGGUCAUUACCUCGAAGGAUUAGAAAUACAAUUUUAGAGGCAUGGCAAGGUACAAACAUCUUUUUCUUAAGCAAGGAGUGAGAGAGAAUCAGAGUGAAAGAUGACUGUACUCCUAUUGGUUUUGACCAAGGGAUUAGAGAUUACAUCUCCUCCCUGCUUGUAUUUUCAAAUACUCGGUUGGCAUGUAGAUAUACUUGUAUUUCACGUUACAUGCACUUCAUAUUAACAAAGGAUAAUGGCAUUUCAAUUUGAUACGAGUUCCGAGUUUGGAUUAUGGCGAUUAAAUCAAGCUCAAACAAAGUGCCUUGUGACUUUGACAAAUUCAAGUGCUCGAAACCAUUGACAAAUUUGAAUUCAUUCUUUCCCUCAAUAUUCACAGCAAUUGAAUCCAAAAACAACACCAAAAGCUAAAGCUGUUACCAUGUCACAGCCCCGAGACUGUUAACAGCACAGUUGAAACAAGACAACAAGCCUCCAACAAACCGCCUCACUCCACCUCUGCGUCUUCUUCUCCCGCCGUCGGCUAACCUCCCCGCCGCCGGAGAGUCCCUCCGCAGCUGGUGCCGGCACAUUGGACACGAACUAUGGUGCGCAAGCCACUGCCGGAUGCAACGGGAGUGGUAUGUGUGCUUGCAAGGUGUCUCUCUAACUUCAUCUCCCAAUUCCAUUGCUUCUAUGCACACGGCGCAUACCUCCAUCGUCGGCAAUGACUCCACCGCCGGUCGCUGAUCUUUGACCUCGAUCGUCGUCAAUGACACCACCGUCGGUCGGUCACCGCCACCGUUGUACUCCACAACCGCCGAACUCCACCGUUGUUGGCCGCAGUCCGGACACGCCAGUGGCGAGUCACCGCCGCCGGCAGAAACCGUAACGAAGCUGCUACAUCUGUAGCACCAGUAAGAUGACGUGGUAGCGGACAUGGAAUCCAAACAACAACACUCUUAGUAAACUAGCGAGUAUCUUCUAACUAGUUGCAAAGAUUGUUGGUUUCUGAAUCCCGAGAGAAAUGCUGGGGAGGCUCUCAGUUUCCUUUUUAAAUGGUGGGCCUCACCGCCCGCUAGGGCCCACGUCACGUGGACCGCCUAGCCAUAUCAUGUCUCCGCCUAGGUCGGAGAAAUUGUUUUUCUUUUCUGAUUUUUCUUUUUUACGCUUUUUUUAAAUGGUGGGCCUCCUGAACUGUUAAGACCCACCACACCUGAACCGCCUAAGCCCAUCCCUUUCUGCCAAGCCCAGAUAAAUUAUUUUUCUUUAAAAAAAAAAGAAUUUGGAUAUCUACGCGAAUGAUACCUAUAUCCGGAUUUGGAUACUCGUAUCCGAUACGUGCUACGUAGCGUGUGCUAAGUACUAACCUUCUUCUAACAAUCGGAGCAGCAUCACGGCAGCCUCGGCGGUGCGCCAUAGGAGCUUGGCUUUGGGAGAGUAAGGAUGAAGAAGGUCGUCGAUUCCGACCACAUCGAAAACUUCGACGCAGAGAUUCGAGUCUUGGGACUCUGCAUCAGUGAAGACGAGGAGGAGACUGAGGCCGAGAGAAGAGGAAAGGAGAAGAGAGGAGGGAGAUGAAGUUGAAGCAGAGCCAACUGAAGGCGAAAAAAAUAAGCAUUGAGAAAUGUCACUGUUUUCGAAAACGAUUACAAAGACACUAUGAUUUACGUAGAAUCAGGCGUCUUUCUCCCUUUGUAUUCGACUUCAUCUCUCUGGUGCAUGCAUUAUAAGAGCUCUUCUCACCUGCCAUUAGAGACGGAGUCAGGAUUAAGAGUUACGAGAGGUCCAAAUAUAAAAAUUAUUUUUUGUCAUCUUAAACAUCAAAAUGAAAUGUAAAAUGAACAAAUUAUUAACAUAAAGUAAUGUUUUUUUAGCUUUUUAUAGAUCAAAAUUCAAUGUUUGAAUAUCAAUCAAGCACCAAAGUUAAGAUUAAAUAAAUUUAUUCGUUCCAAUACCAAAUUAAAAGAGAAAGAGUGUCCAAAAUAUCAUAUCAAAAGAAAAAGAAUCUCCCAAAUGUUAUCUAACAGGGGUUCAAAUAUAGUAUAAUUGUAAUUGUUAAAGUGAUUUAGUUAGCUAAUGAAGGAGGUACGCAAAAGCUGGCAGGGGUCUGAACCCUCCCAGACCCAAACACAGUUCCGCCUCUGCCUGCCACAGUUCAUACAUUAUAUCAAUGACAAGAUCCAAUCAUGAAUCAUACAAAAGCAUACGAUUUGCAGGUAGAUAAAUCCAAUAUGAUAGCAGAAUAUAAAACUGUAAUGGAAAUUCAAGUCAGACGUGUAUUAUUGGUUUUCAAACGGAUACUCACAAUCAGGGACGGAUCUUAGUGCAUCGCUCUCUGUGCUACAACCCAUAGAGUUUUUUUCUUUAUUCAAAUUAGACAUGCAUAAUUAUCAUGGAUUAGAGAAAAAAUUAAAGUUAGCCCAGUUAAAAAAUAAGAAGUCCAACAACCAAUCAUAACUGUAGCAUAAGAAAGUAAAGAAACUAAAACUAAAAUUCCAUUAAAACGAUAAAUCUCAUGGAUCAUUUUUCUGAAAGCAUCUCAAGCAAGUUAAACACUAUAUUUUCUCUUUUUCUAUGCAACGUUAACUCAUUUUAUAGUAGUUAGACUUAAUUAACUCACUUUCUAGAGACCAUGAUCAACAUUCUUCCAUAGGAAUAAAAUCUACUUGUUCUAUGAAUUAAUUAUAAGCGAAUUUAUUAUAUAUUUAUAACAAUUUUGCAACAAGAUCGGCCUUUUUCCUUAAAAAAAAAUUUGUAAUAAAAAUAUAUAUAAUUUUGUUCAAAUUUUUUUUUAACCCAUCUUAAUUUGAAAUCCUGGUUCCAUCCCUGCUCACAAUAGACUCAUUCAUUCCCAUUCUUGUUUGGUUUGGUUGCUAUUUUCUCUAGGUGACUGUCAAACAGGUUCAAAUUACCUUAACGUCAUUUGCCAUCUCGGGACUAAUAUUGACUUGUUGAUAAAUUCCAGACCGUGCUGCGUCCAUUGUGGAUACAGUAAAGAGUCUUACUGCUUCAGUCACAUUCUCCUCAGUAGCAACACGGGAUCUGAAUUCAUAAUGCAGCAGAUAAUUAGUACCCGUUCUCCUGUUCAUAGCAUUACAACUCUAAGUUUUUACAACCAAACAGUAUCACACUUACGGUUCAUUUUUGCAAGCGACUCACUCAACCUCACUAUAGCUUCAAGCUGCCUUACAGUGAUUGGUAUUGCAGCAGCCGAUCCCGUUUCAUUUGCCUGCUAACUGUCUCAUGUCCUGCAAGAAAACCAUGAAGGUAAUGACGUCAGUCAGAUUCUAAAAUAUAUAUUUUAUAUAUUUAUUUCAGCACCAUAUAAGCAUUGCAGCGAGCAAGGCUGAUCUACUCAAAAUGUUUAGUUCACAGCAAGAAUACCCGUCUGAUUUUGACGUAAUGGUUCUGCAGGGAUUUGCAAGCAGACUCUAACAAGCGGGAAUGACACUCGGUUCGACAGUAUUGUAGGUAUCAAACCCGACCCGAUGAUGAAGACCCGGUUGCUCAAGCUUUUUUGUUUUUAUAGACCAAGGGCAGGUUUACGGCGUAGUCCGUAAUGUUCAUGAGCAAUGAAAAAUUGAAAAUCAAUGAAAUGCAACAUUUGGGUAAACUGAGUUUCAUCAAAAUGUAUCACCUUGAUCUCCCAAGAUCGAGUCUUUGCAGCUUUUGAGGUCCUAAUAGCUAGCCAUACCACAGACCGCCUCCGAUUUGGUUGAUGAUAACAGCUAUACUCUACUGCUCUCAUCCUUAAUUUGGAGGAGUCUUGCAGGCAAUGUAGGCAAUACUCAUUACUACAAAACACUCACAGUCACCACUAUAAACAACAAACUCACCAUUGUGUUUGCUCCUUCAUCCCAAACCAGACCAAAAUUUUGCGAGCUUCGACGAAAAUCUCGAAUACAAGUAAGGCUAUUAGUUAACAAUCGAGUAAUGUAUGACAUUGAGAGCAAACGUUACCUUCCACCGGCGCCGACGCCGGCCCCUCGCCCGCAAAAUCGCCCAUGGUCUUGCCAAGAUAAUUCCCCGACCUACUUUGGUUUUAUUCAAGUCUUGGCAUGUUUACUUCAGCCUCAUACUAGAACAUAGAUAAGUUCAGUUCAUAAAGCUUAAUCACCACAAAGCCCAUCAUCAAGUUUUGCUUUCUUUGUAACAAGCCCAAAUUUGAAUAGUUCAGAUAACUAGAUGAGUCACUGGGAUUAUUAAGAUUGAAACAUGGUCUAAAUCAAGCUCAAACAAUGUGCCUUGUGACUUAGACAAAUUCAUGUGCUCGAAACCUUUGACAAAUUUGAAUUCAUUCUUUCCCUCAAUAUUCACAGCAAUUGAAUCCAAAAACAACACCAAAAGCUAAAGCUGUUACCAUUGCACAGCCCCAAGACUGUUAAGAGUACAGUUGUAACAAGACAACAAGCCUCUAACAAACCGCCUCACUCCACCUCUGCGUCUUCUUCUCCCGCCGUGCAUCUCAGUGUGAACAACCGGAUGCUCCCCACCGCCGUCGGCUAACCUCCCCACCGCCGGAGAGUCCCUCCGCAGCUGGUGCCGGCAUAUUGGACACGAACUAUGGUGCGCAAGCCACUGCCGGAUGCAACGGGAGUGGUAUGUGUGCUUGCAAGGUGUCUCUCUAAUUUCAUCUCCCAAUUCCAUUGCUUCUAUGCACACGGCGCAUACCUCCAUCGUCGGCAAUGAUUCCACCGCCGGUCGCUGAUCGUUGACCUCGAUCGUCGUCAAUGACACCACCGCCGAUCGUUCCAUUCUGUUUAUAUUGUUCUGCGGUCGGUCACCCCCACCGCCACCGUCAUACUCCACAAUCGCUGAACUCCACCGUUGUUGGCCGCAGUCUGGACACACCGCUGGCGAGUCGCCGGCGGCGGCCGAAACCGUAACGAAGCUGCUACAUCUGUAGCACCAGUAAGAUGACGUGGCAGCGGACAUGGAGAACCCAAAGAACAACAAGCAUCUAGUCUGUUCUAGUUUUUCAUUUCCGACAUAAGUUGAAGACAGACAUGCGAGGAAGGCUCUCAGUUUCUUUUUCUUUUUUCUUUUUCCGAAUUAGAAAACAACGGACAUCACGUAACAAAACUCACUCUCCCAGCCGGUCCAGAUAGAACGUUACUCACUCAGGGUGAGAAUGAGCAAAGUCAGCUCGGAGUUCCGUGACGAAGUUGGCUUCACGUUGGUAAUGACUCUUUCAUGAACAGAAAUAUGGAAACCAAACAUGAAGAUAAGUUUUUCAAAUCCCUCAAACUUAAAUAUUGAUCACCAUCUUAUUCAAAGAAAAAAGAAAAAAAAAAUUCAUCACCUUCCGUCCAAGUUAUGUUACAAGGAUCAUACUAGCAUUAAGUAAUGCUAUCAAUACGUAUGAUCGAGGACUUAUACAUGGCUGAAAUACUCUUUUUUUAUUGAAUUGAAAUAGAUACAGAUCAAUCUUUCAUUUAGUUAUUCUAAAAUUGUUAUAACAUACAUCAAAGGAUUGAAUGUGAUUACCGGAACAAAAAUACCUAGAUCCACAUGCAUAUAUGGAAGAGUAUGUAUUGAACAAGAUAUAUAUGCAACAUUAACAAUUGCAAAGCUUUCAUACUAGCUGAUGAUAAGUUGAAUCUCAGACAAUUUUAUGGUGUCAUGGUGUCAUUAUGCUUAUAUCUGACUAAAGAACAGAAAACUUGUGGAGGCUGCAGAUGCUGUCCAGAUGUACGAUGUAAAACACACAAAUUUGCAGCUACUAUCCUUCAUCUCUUCGGCUUAUGCAUUAUGCAACAAGGAUAGACGGAGAGAUUGGCACUCAGUGAGCAAUCUGCAAGAAAGGAACACCCAAAUUCAGAUGACUAAACAGUGUGAUAUUUUCAGAUCCACAACUGUUGAAUUUAAAAGGAAACUCGAGAGUUGAAUAGUCUGGACUGAUUUGGAGGAACAUUAUCCUCACGUUAGUAGAUUUUAAAUUAGCUCUACUCUAUUAGUAUUUAGAAUACGUGUUUAUAAGUAUCCAUUCUCUUUUAUCGAUCAAUUUAUCUCUUGAAGUGGAAUCGUCUGAUCCUGAAUCGCUUCCAAUCAGCAAAAGGCCAAAAGCAAAUCUCUAUCCAAUACUAAAUAUUCACACAGGUCACACUUAAAGCUGUCAUUUCCAAGUUUUUAAGUAAACUAAAAGAGCCGUCAAAGUAGCAAACAGAGUAGUAAACAGAAAGUUGUCAAAUGCAGCAAUACAUUGUCCAACAGCGAAAAAUGCAAUGACUCCAAAAUACUAUAGUUCACCAGAACUCCACGAAAGAAUGGAACAUAGCUGCUUCUCUUCAAAGUAAUAUAUUCUCCAAAAUUGAUGCUUUGACAUUUUCAUAUAACGAAACAUCUAUCAAGUUAUAUGCUUUAUUUACCAAAUGGAAAUUCUUUUAUGAAAUCCAGCAAGAGCCAUUUUAUUAACAUGUAUAUAUUGAUAGUUGAUCACAUAUAGAACACCAGUUCUGCAUAUUACCAUCAAUAGCAGCAUUUGUAAUAAACAGAACUCAUAGAACACUGGGUGUUCAAGCAUAUAGUGUCAAGAGUAAAAUAGCAGAGAAUCAUUUAUUGCACAUUUCAUCUAGACUAGAUAGAAAUCUGUAUCAUCUCAAGCAAAAGAUAGCAGCAGAAAUUGGACCUUCAGUUCAAGACAUCAAGUUGCCGCCUCAAACUGCUUCAACAUGUCACAAUGUGGUGUUUCACGUACAAAUCCCCACUGGCGACGCUGCAAUUCUAGCCGACAGUUCUGCGACAGAACACUGAAAUAAUCUCUCUCAACCUGCUGAUCAAGCCUAGCACGGUCUAAGCUACCUGACGGGUAAUCUUGCUCAAACUUGGUUGACUUGACAUAAAAAUUCACACCCCUUUCCGUAGUAAACCGGUACUCAUAAGGAUGAUUCCUCGACAAUGAGUAAACAGGCUCUGAAGACGGCAUGAAGUUGAGAAGCAAAAUAAGCAACACAGGCAGCAACUGAAUUAGAGUCCUAGCAUUGAACCCACCAGAGCCAUACUCAGCAGGCCUCGCUGCCCCCAUUCCUUGCCCGAAACUGAACCCCCGGAACUGUGUAGUUGCCGGAGCCAUUCCUCCCCCGAAAAAGAAGUUCCUAAAAAUCUCAUCCGCAUCAACAUCACCUCCCUCAUAGAAAAACCCAUUCCCUCCGCCGUGCCUAGGAGCACGCCUCCUCUCGUAAACCGGCUCAUCCGACCCCGAAACAUCAUACUUCUUCCUAUUCUCCGCAUUGCUCAGACACUGAAACGCCUUCGAAACCGAUUUAAAAGCCUCCUCGGCACCGGGGGCCUUGUUCUUAUCCGGAUGAACCUUCAAAGAUAGCUUCCUAUAAGCUUUUCGAACAUCUUCCACACUACAACUCCUCUCCACUCCCAAAAUCUCAUAGUAAUCCUUCUUCUUCUUCAAUUCUUUCACAAUCGUCACCUGCUCCGCCGUGUACCCACUCGCCGACAACCCGGACCCGGACCCGGACCCCGACCCGGUAGCUUUCCUUUGACGGAGCGGAGGCAUACCCAGACCCGACCCGGCCGGCGCGUCGGCGGUUUUGGCGCCAUCAGGCGGCGGAGGAUCGGAGUCUUUCUCCACCGACGAUAACAGAUCGUCGAUCGGUAGGGACGGAUCGAGCCGGCGAGCUUUGGCUAAGAAUUUCAAGGCGCGUGUGCGAUCUCCGCCGUCCAAAGCUUCCUUCCCGAUUCUGAAGCAUUUCAAAGCGUCGUCUUUGUUGCCGUCCAUCUCAGAUUUCUGAGAAGACCAAACCCCAAAUCAAAUCCCAAAUCCACAGAAACUAGGGCACAGAAGAAAAAAAAAUCGAAACGAAAAUAGAGGAAAUUGAACUUACGGGUGAGAUGGAUCUGAAGAAGGGUCUUCUGGGUCGUGAUCGGUUUCUGGAGAUUGUGAUCGAGUCACUGUGAUUUCAUGGAGUCUAGGGAUUUUGGUUUCCCCCAAAAUUCCCAAAUUGGUUUCCGUUGAAAUGUAGACGUCGGUUGUUAAACCAAAAGCUUUUGACGCGUCUUGGGCCGGCGGCAGAGUUUGUAAGCCCAAUGGUCUUUUUAUAAUCUUAAGCCCAAUAAGAUAUAGGGCAACCAAACGGCGCCGUUCGGUUGGAGUUACAUAAACCCUUGGAAAGCCUCUGUUUUGCUCUCUUUUCUUCUGCAGCUUUCAAGUUCUGAGCUGCUAAACCAAAACAGAGUUUGUAGAGAUGGAGACCGAAACGACGGCGUUUCAGAUCGACUUGGGUAAUCUCAUGGCUGUUGACCUUCAUCACCAAUUUCCUUCCAACCCUUCUUCCAGGUUUGUUUGAUUUUUUUCGAGUUUUUAUUGUUUUUGUUUUAGUGUUGUAUAAAAAUUAUAUAAAAAUGGUUAUUGAACUCAAAGUUGAUGUCUUUCAAGCUUAAUCUACAACUGUGGAACUGGGUUUUUCCAUUUUGCCUUAAUUUUUGUUAAAGUUAGAAUUUUUAUGUAUAUGGAUUGUUUGGAUUUUGGGGUAUUGGUUUUGGGUAGGAGUUUGAUAUUGAAAUUGAUACUAUGCUCAUAGGCUAGCAUGUUUGGUUGUGCCGUAUUGAAAAUGUGUAUAAGAGUUUGGUUGUUUGAUUUGAUGUGAGAUGGUUUUGUUCGGUGAGUAAUUUUGUUGCUUUUAUUGAAUUUUAGGGAGGAUUUAGUGAAGGAAUGUAUUGCAAAAGGAACGGAGUUAGUUCAAGCUAUUGCGAAUAAUCUAUUCAAUUUGCCUUCAACUGAAGACAUUGAGGGUACCCUUGUGAAGUUGCCUGCUCCAACAACUAGACUGCCCAGAGAGAAGCAUGUAAGUGAUCGAUCCCUUAUAGGUUGUAAAGCUCCAAGUCUUCUUUGUCUAUACAGUAUGGAGAUAUGGAUUUUGUAGCUGGUAACCGUUCUAUUAUACCUGGCAUGAAAACACCUUGCUUGUUGUUACAAGAGGAUAAAGUAAUGGGUUUACUGUUGAACAUUGGAUAUUGCAUAAUGCUUCGUAUUCUUUAACUAGGAAAUAAGUGGAAUGUUGGUUCAUGGUAAGCAAUGCUACGUUUCAUUUAAUGGCAAAAUAUGGUUCUCUGUCCUACUUGGUUGAGUCGAAUGUUGGCCUGUGAUAGUGAUAUUAGUUCAGAUUUCCCUGAUAAGCAUGUAGAUCUAUUUAUUAUAAACUGUGCCCGGUUGCUUUGAGUAACAACUUACGACUUACUAUUGUUUUAUUUUAGCUUAAACAAUCACAUUUUCCUUUAUUGUCUACAGAUUCCAAAGCCUAAACCUCCUACAAAAUGGGAAGUGUUUGCCCAAAAGAAAGGUCAGUCAUUGCAGUUUUAUGAAAGGAGUCUGUUUUGUGUCCUUUAGUCUCUCUCUCUCUCUCUCUCUCUCUCUCUCUCUCUCUCUCACACACACACACACACACAUCCAUCUAGUCUAGUUUACGAUUUUGAACUGGAUUGUGAUUUUAAUUUCUUGCAGGUAUCAAGAACCGUAAGAAAGACAAGAUUGCGUAUGAUGAGCCCAGUGAAACUUGGAAACGUCGUUAUGGAUAUGAUCGUGCAAAUGAUGAGGAUGAUGUACCUAUCAUUGAGGCAAAGAUGACUGAUGGUAAUUACUUCAGAUCUUGUUGCUAUGGAAUGAGUCAUUUACUACUUUGUUUAUUUUGAUACUGAAGAUAGCACAUUAUAAAAGUUUCUUUGACCGACUUGUUAUAGAUCUUAUAAAUCUAUGUUUUGUCAUAGAAUUGAUCUUCUUUCUCAUGGUUGCCACUUGUCUUUGCAGUGCCAGGGGAGGAUCCUUUUGCUAAAAGACGAGAAGCUAAAAAGAAUCGUGUUGAAAAGCAAGACAAAAAUAGGUUGCAGAACUUGAAGCAAGCUGCAAAAGUUGGUGCUUUGCCAAGGUAUUCCCCUUUCACUUUUCUAUGGUGUUCAAAUUAUAGAUAGUUCAUCAUAAGCCCACAUAGUAAAUCACUUGGCUAUAUGGACAUCCACAUUGAGAAUUUGUAAGUACAACUAAAUUUAUUAUAUGAAGUCUAGAAACUCAAUUAGGUAGCCUUAAUGGAAGUUCACACAUUAGCCAAGUUUCAGUGAUCUUAAUAUGAGAGAUCAUUUGCAUAUAAGAUCAUAAUUAAACUCUUUCUGCAGUCAUGUUCAACUAGCUGCGACAAGGUUGCCUAUAACAGGAACCCAGGCUGCACCCCAAAAGGUUACUAAAGAUGAACUUGGGAGUGUAGCUGGAAUUGCAGCAACUGCAACAGCCAGUGGUGGAAAAUUUGACAAAAAAUUGCCAGGUGAAAAACCUGGUAAACAUAAAGGAAAGUAUCGCAAGGUAUGCCUUUUGAUCUCCUCCUAGCAUUUACUUGUGGGGUGCUCGUCACGAUAAAGUGAUCAACUGUUUAAUCCUUUUUUUCCUUCUGUUUCUACUUUCAGUUUUUACCAGUUAUAGGAGGAAAAGGAAUACACACGCAAGAGCAGGAGCAAACUGAUAAAAUUCUGAACAAGCUAAUUUCUAAGAACUCCCAUGAGAUGCUCAAUGUUAACAAGGUUUGCUUCUCUUUUGCUGGCAAUGGGUUCCAGGGAAUGAGUGAGUUAAAUUAUAUACUUAUGAGUGAAAUUCUGUGUGACACAGGCUGUUAACAUGUAUAAUGUGAAGAAAGAUAAGAAGAGAAACAACAGACCGGAGAAGUCUUCAGGAACCCCUGGCCAGUUGAAAGCAAGGAAAAACCUUACAAAGAAGCCAUUUUACAAGGGCUCUUCAAAGUCAUUUGACAAGGGAUCUAAAAAGCCAUUUAACAAGGGAUCUUCGAACAAAGGCAGAAAAUGAAAUUCUUACUCAUGACAGUGAUACAAUGUGGAAGUUUUGAAGGAGAUUCGACUAGUUUAAUUAUUGCUGUGUAUCAAAGUUUAUUGUGCAAGACUUUUGUUAUUCAGAGGAAAGCAUUUCUACUCUCUUGCUAUCUUUAUGUCUCAAGCAGCCAACUAUACCGACGUGAUUGAUUUUGACCUUUUGUAUAGCUGGUGCUAUUUUACCUAUGUUUUUAUUUUUCUUGGAGAUAUGAUUUGUAAGUGUAUGUAAAACAUCGCGCCUGUAGUUUAUUCUCCUUGGAGAUUUUCAAAACGUUUAUCCAUUCCCACUUAUGCCGCAAAACAAAUCUCAACCACCAAAAUCUCUCAAGGCUUGACAGCCAACUAGUUUGAUCUAAACCUCGUGGCUUUCAAAGUGCCAAGAAGCAUUACUUCGUCUUGACAAUGGAAAAUCCAAGUAAAGCAUUGUAAAACACAAUAAAGUGAUAAACUAGACCAACCACGUACCACAAAAAUUCAAAAUAAACCCCAUUUUGCAAUUUAUUCCCAGUUUUGGAAAAUGUAAUCAGAUUAUCAGAAUAUAUUUGUAGUUCACGGAGCUCUUUCUCAUAUACCACAGACGUUGCCUUUUAGAUACUUUCAUCAUGGCCAUGCAAAAAUCUCUCUCUUUGUAUCACAGAUCACCAUAGUAGUUGGAUUUAUGUUCUCUUGUUUCAGAAAAGAUAAAUCCUUUUGCCUACCCUCUAAGCCAAGCAACUCUUCUUCUGCUUGAAAUUUCAUCUUGGCAGUAUCAAAUAAACAAAAACUGGUUCAUGAUGGAUAGAGGAAGAUUGCAAGUGAUUGAACAUGCAAGUGAAGAAUUUGUGUUGUUUUGUUCUGGGAUUAGGAUUCAGUGGAGUCCUCCAGAGAACGCUUCUCGUGGCUUAUUUGCAAGUAUUGGUCAAGUGGCAAUGGGAAUGGGGUUUGGUAUUUCACCUAAUCCACAGAAUCUUAGGAUGGACAGCACCACAAAACUACUGAGCUCCACAUACAUGAGAUAUGUGCCUGUGCCGGAUUUGGGUUUUCGGGUCAGUGGAGUUCAAGAGUUGGUGAUGGAAGAAGUACUAGAGAUUGAAGAGGAAGCAGAGGUUGUGACCAUGAACAAAAUGAAGAACAGAAUACAUGGUUUUGGAAAGAAAAUCAAGAUUGCUAAUGCAUCACUAAGAAGGCUGCUGAGUGGAGCCAUAGCAGGUGUUGUGUCAAGGACAGCAGUUGCACCAUUGGAGACCAUAAGGACCAACUUAAUGGUGGGGAGCUGUGGCAACUCAUCCAGUGCAGUAUUUCAGUCUAUCAUGGGAGCUGAUGGAUGGCAAGGCUUGUAUAGAGGCAAUUUGGUUAAUGUCAUUCGCGUUGCGCCAAGCAAGGGUAUAGAGGUAGGUUUUGCUGAACUCUUAACCACUAGAGCUACAAGUCGCGCAACUCUAGUCCUUGAUCAUUGAUCCAAAAACUUGAGAAAACUUGAUAAUUUAUGUUUGCUGACGGAUACUUACUUUGUGCAGUUAUUUGUGUUUGAUAUGGUGAACAAGUACUUGACUAGACCAGGGGAAGAGCUGAAAGUCCCUAUUCCUGCUUCAUCAAUCGCAGGCGCCCUUGCUGGAUUUAGCUCAACCUUGUGUACAUACCCUCUUGAGCUGUUAAAAACACGAUUCACUGUCCAGGUAAACUCAAUAAUAUAUAGCCUUAAAGGAGGGACUGGUUUUAUUCAUUAGCUUGUUUUCUUAGAGUUGAUACAUUACUCAGACAAUUUAAUUUGAUUGCAGAGAGGAGUGUACAAUAACUUUUUUGAUGCAUUUUCCAAGAUUGUCAUAGAGGGAGGACCUGGAGAGCUGUACAGAGGCCUUACACCAAGUCUAAUAGGAGUAAUCCCAUAUGCUGCCUCCAACUAUUUCGCUUAUGAUACACUCUCAAAAGCUUAUAAGAAGGCUUCCAAGAAGGAGGAAAUCGGAAAUGUAAUGACGCUGUUGAUUGGAUCAGCAUCUGCUGCAUUUUCAAGCAGCGCAACUUUCCCACUUGAGGUUGCUCGGAAGCAAAUGCAGGUCAAUGGGAGACAAUACAAACACAUACUUCAUGCUCUUUGUAGCAUAUUUGAAAGUGAAGGACUCGCUGGUUUGUACAAAGGGUUAGGGCCAAGCUGCAUGAAGCUGGUUCCUGCUGCUGGGAUAUCCUUCAUGUGCUACGAAGCAUGCAAGAGGAUACUCGCUGAGAACGAGAAUCAGGAAGAAAUCUAAGACUUACUGAAAAACAAGAAUUUGCAAUUUUGAAUGGCUUUUAGUUCAUCAAGCAAGGUUUGUAUACAGCUGCUGAGCUUAAUAUUGGCCCCCAAACAUGUACAGUAAUUGUUUUGGUCAAUUCAUUCUAUUGCAUUUUUCAACUUAUCAUCAUAAACAUGUAGAUUCACAAUGAAUAGAAGGGAAACGAAGAGAUCAGAGAGGAUCGUACAAAUCCUAACUUGAUUACUUUCCAUUGAUAUAUUAACCUGAGGCUUUGGAUCAUAACAACCAUAAUGUGAAAGCAUGCUGACAAAAUACGUACUGCGAGAUUAGGUUCAUUACAAAAGGAUCACAUCCUAACACAAAACGAAACUAGCUUCUUGAUACUAUGAAGGUCAAGAGGCAAGUUAGCUCAGCAAUGCUUUCAAGUACUUGUAUUAGACCAUUUCCCAAAAGAUAUUAGGUUGAAAUCCUCCUACUUGUAGUUAGCCCCCACUCUUCCAAAACUAUUUUUUUCACCAUUAUCUAUAAAUAUCACUCCUCAUGUACUGUUAACAUGACAAUCCUGCGGAUCUAUUCCCACCCACCAGCAACAAUAUUCUCAUAAUUUCCAAAGCUCGAUAAACCAGCAGUAACAGCAGCAUCUGUUUCACCCCCAUUAUAAGAAGGACCAUUAUAGGAAGCAGCAGGCUCAUCUACAUAAGAAUUCCCAAAUUUUUCUCCAUAUCCAGAUGAAUCAGCAGCAUAUGAUCCCGAAGCAUCAUGAAAAGUAGCAGCAGCCAUAUCCACACCCACAGAAGAAUCACCAUAACCAUAACUACCUGAACCAUAAUGAUUCUCACUCCUACGGAAGUCAUAUCCACCAAAGUUACUGCUACCACCAUACCUAUGGCUCUGGUCUCCACCAUAAGGCAAUGAUUGUUUAGCAUAAUCAUGAAGCCAGUUAGGAACCUCCUGCUUUGAUUCCUUCAUCAACUCCGCUAAAGACUUUGCAAGUGGCUGGUUCUUUUCACUGAAGAAAGCAGUUGCAAGACCAGAUUUACCAGCACGUCCAGUCCGACCAAUUCUGUGAACAUAAUCAUCUAUGCUCUUCGGAAAGUCAAAAUUGAUGACAUGGGCAACAUGAGGGAUAUCUAAACCUCGUGAAGCAACAUCUGUCGCCACCAGUAUUGGAGUUGUGCCACAUUUGAACAAUCUCAAUGCUCGUUCCCUCUCCUACAAAUUUGACAAGCAACAUAUGAUUGCAGGUAGGGGAAAGGAAUAAAAUGGUAGAUGGAAAUACAGUGAUAACUCAAAUAUGAGAUUCUAACCAUUUGCACUUUGUCACCAUGUAUUGCUAUUGCAGGGAAUCCAUUCCUGGACAACCAGUUCUCCAACUGAUUUGCUCCUUUCUUGGUUUCAACAAACACCAAGGUUGAAGCAAGCUGAAACACAAACAAUAUGUAGCAAUAGUUCAGAAUAAAUAUGUGCCUUUCUUAAUCAUAACAGAUCUGUCAUUACCAAAUCAAUACUAACUACUACAAAUUCAAUGGUAACAUGUUGAAAUCAUACCUUUCCAUGAGUUCCAUUAUCCCUCUGAUUCUUAAGAAGACUGCAUAAAUGCUGAAUUUUGUCCAUAUCCCUGACAAACUCAACCUUUUGUGCUAUAAGAUCAGUGCUUGACCCGACUUUCCCAACAGUCAGAAAUAUGUAGUUCUUCAGGAAAUCUGCAGCAAGCCUCUGCAAGAAAUGUAAAUGAUAAGAAAGACAUAGAGAACAUAUGGUAUUUUCCUGAGAAAGUUCAUAAAAGGCAAAUUUGGUGUUGAUGCUUAUUAACACAAGUAAUACGUCCCUCAAAGUUAUCCCAAAACAUAUGCACCCUAUGCAAACGGCUUAUUUCAACAUGUACCACGACAAACAAAAAUGACAAAACUUUCAGCUUAAUAGAUUCCUCAAGUAGGUGACACGCUUUUCAAUUGAAUAUAAUAAUCCAUAUAGAAACACAUUUUAAAGCAUCAACAUUUACCCACCUGUAUUUCAUCAGGGAAUGUUGCACUGAACAGUAAUGUUUGCCUGGCACCUGGGGGUGGCAUGUCCAUCCGUUGAACAAUCUUCCUUAUUUGAGGUUCAAAUCCCAUGUCCAACAUCCUAUCAGCCUCAUCUAGUGCCAAGUACUUGAUCAUCUUGAGGGAAACUCGUGACCUUUCAAUCAUGUCCACCAAGCGCCCUGGAGUAGCAACUAGGAUGUCAACUCCUCUCUCCAGAUCACGAAGCUGCACAGUCAAUGUAAGCAUCAGUAAACUGGACAAAUGUAGUGCACUAGAUUAACACCAUACAGUCAUACUGCACCAGCCUAUCUUACAAGUAGAUAUCAUAACUCAAUGUGCAAACGAACGAAGAAUUGUAAUUGAGAAGCACAGAGAAUAGGUAAUCAAAAUGAACACCAUCUAUCCUUGUCGACCUUAUGGCAAGUAACAGAAGUCUUGAAAAUAACAUUACAGAUUUAAAAAUCCACCAGUAACCCAAUUCGAUUAGCAGAUACCAAGUUCAACAACGAGCACAGAGCAACAAACCACAAACAGAGCGUAGCCUAGUGACGAAAUGUAACACUUCAAACCCCAUAGAAUCACCAGAUCGAGACACAAACCUGCUGAGUCAUCGGCGCCCCACCAUAAACAACAGCCACCUUCACCCCACUCUGAUAAGCAAACUUCUUAGCUUCCUCAUAUAUCUGCAACAAGAGCAUUCAACACCAUCAAAACCAUAACAUGUUAAGACCAAAACCACAAUGUACCUUAAACCCGCAAAAACAAACACAAACCUGACUAGCCAGCUCUCUCGUCGGAGACAAAAUCAGCGCAAACGGAUACACAGUCCACCCAUCAUCACUCUGAGACCUCCCCUGAGACACAUUCAACACUCCACUGAUGAUCGGGAAGCAAAAAGCCGCCGUCUUUCCGGACCCAGUCUGAGCACACGCCAUCAGGUCCCUUCCGGCCAAGGCUAUCGGAAUCGCGUGGCGCUGCACCGGCGUCGGCUUCACGUACCUACACCUCUUGACAUUGUUAUUCAAACACUCCCCCAAAUCAAUCUCCUCGAAACUCCCCGCCGGCGCCGGCACGUCCUCCCCGCUCGCCUCCACCGGAAUAUCCUCGUAAGCAUCGAAAUUGAUCCCCGCAUUGCUGACGUCACCGCCCUCACUCACUGUCACCUGCUCGAGCUUCUCGCACACGUCGUCAUGCACCGCCGGCCUCGGCGGCGGCGGCGCCCAGCCCCGAAUCCGGCCGCCGCCGCGAUAACCACCUCCACCUCCUCCGCGAAACGGACCGGUCCGGCCGCCUCCGCGAUAACCACCGUGCUGAGCCGGCUCACCGAACCCUCGGCCGUACGAGGCGUAACCGCCGCCGCCGAGGCCGCCGGAGUAGCGGAGAUGCGGAGGGACGUAGGAGGAGGAGUUGAGAGGGCGGCGAGUCUGGUUCCGGGUCGACUCGGUGACCGCUUCGGCCCAAGCCAUGGUCCUCAGGCUCAUGAUCACACCGGAAAAUCAAAAUGCAAGCUUUAAAAAUGGGAGAGUCUCUCCGAGAGACCAAAAACAAAGCUGGUAGAAAGCUGAGAGCUUUCUGGGCUUUGUUGAGAUUUGGGGGUGAAGAAGAUUGAUGGGUCUGGGUUUAUAUAUAUAUAAUGUGAGAGAGAAAUUGAAAGGGUUUUAAGGGAAGAAGAUGUACGGACUGAGAGAGACUGAGAGAGAAAGAGUGAGGUGGUGGUGGGUGUGGGUUUGGUUUAAUGGUCUCGACGUAUUUGGUUGAAAAUGACUUGGGGUGGAGAGAGAGGGAAAAGGUUCUAUUUUUUUAAAGCUUUGUUUUUGUCCUUCUCCCCCAUUAAAAUACCUGCAAAACCCUAAUUGAGAUUCUGAAAAAACAAAGCACCUAGCAACCAAUGGGAGUCUGAGCCUUACGGGGUAAGGCCAGUUUCUGUACUAAUAAUAACUUCAGAAUAAAGUUACUAUUAAUUUCGGUAUACUAGAUAAAUGAAGGUCUUUAGUAAUUUUACUUGUAUUAUAGAACAAAAUUCAUUAGUAACUUCGUGAGUUUGGUGUCCGGUUUAGCUAGUAUUGAAAAAUUAUGACUUAGAUAUAAGUCAUUUGAGAAUCCCACAUCGCAAACGUGAAUGAGUUAUUUUUAGGUUAUAAAGAAUGAUACCACACACACUAAUGCCAACACCUUUUGUGUAAAACCUCAUACCCGUUUUUUCAUCGGGUGGCUAAAGUAAGGGGAGUAUUGACAUUAUUGGACUCAUGUGUGUGGGACCGUCAGGCCCGUCGGCCGCAUCCGCGUAAUAGCUAGAAGGCUCAGCCCUACAUUCGGUAUUGUUUAUUAUGUUAAUCAUGACACGUAAACCCGACCUACGGAUAAACGAUUAUAUAGAUCCUCGUAAAAAAAACCUUAAAUCAUACUUUUUUGUCUACCAUCGUUAUUUGUCGUGAGUUCGACUCAUAAUAAUAGAUUUGUUGUUGAUUUUGAGGUAUUUGAUUAAUCAGAAAAAUAUGACGAAAAUAGUCUAAAUGUCUCGAGUUUAUGUCAGGGAGGUCUUGUGUUAUGUGAUGUGGGGAGAUUUGAGUGUGGUAGUAGGGAGACGUAGGAAUGCUGCUUUUGGAAAUAUCUUCGACAUUUGGUUUGGGAGAGAGUCUUCGGUGCGACAGCCGUGCCACGUGUCCGUGCGACCGGCCUACGGUCGUGUGACACGUGUUUUUUUUUUUUUUUUUUUUCACAGCAGCACACACGUUCUCCUCCGGCGAAGCUUCUUCUUCCUUUCUCUCGAGAUUCUUGGCUCGUCGGAGCUCCGGGAGAGAAUGGAGGGGAGAGGAGAGGGAUCCGGAGAGGUGUAGAGGAAGAAGAAGGCGGAGAGAGGAGGGGUAGGGUUUCGGAGGGUGUGGCGGUCGCGGAAUUUGGGGAUGGAAAUGAGGGAGAGCAGCGGAGGAGGAUCUGCGUCGUGGUUGGCAAUGGUUUCGGCCGGCGAGGGUGAAGGAAAAACAGAAGAAGGUUCGCCGGAGGAGAACGCAACUGCUGCUGUGAAAAAAAAAAAAAACACGUGUCGCACAACCGUCAGCCGGUCGUACAGACACGUGACACGGCCGUCGCACCGAAUAAUUUCUCUUGGUUUGGGUGUUGACCGUGUUGUAGUCUACACGCGUAUUGAAUGCGGGUGGAGUUUGAAUAUUGACAAUGUAGACGGCCUGGAGGGUGUAAUGGACAUUUGCGCGAUCAUGUAAUGCUAAAUACGGUUUAAGUGUCUCUGUGUCUGUUGGUGACUUGGUGUUCCCCAAGGAUUCACAAUCACUCACAUUUUGUUUUGAUUAAGCCAUUUGAAUAUGUUUUGACUGACAAGAUUAAACAAGUCUUUGAAUUUUAAACAAAACAAACUAUUUGAAUUUCAAAUAAAUUUUUUUUUUCAAUAAUUUUUUUUAAAUGAUUUAGUCUUUGGCUUUCGAACAGAGGAGAAUAAUCAUCCAAUCUAAUAAAUGACAUUCGACGUCUAUCUACUUAUUUCGAUUCACUUGAAUUUGACAUAUUUAAUAAGAAACAAAUUUUUUGUCGACUCGGUUGCAAACUUUGGCCACUCUACACCCAUUGCAAGCCGGAACCAAAGCCUCCCUCUUUCUGUCUCUAUUGUUUUCAUUUUUGAUUUUCACGGUAUAGGUUGUAUUAGAGAUUAUUUUUUUUUUCUUUUUUUUUUUUUGUUAAUUGUGUUUGUACUUUAUUUCAUCAUCGAAAAACAAUUUAAACUGUACCCUUUAAAAAAAAAAAAUUAACUGUUUAAAUGAUGAAAAACAACAGGCCAAUUAUUUCGUUGGAGCCCAAUUAUUUCGCUUUAGAUUCCAUCCUGAGGGACAUUUAUAUACAUGUGCAGUUGAUAAUUGAAUUGAAGGAUCAAAUAUUCCAACAAAUAACGAAACAAGGAUGAAAUAGCCAAUAGAAAAACAUACGUUGAACCAGAAUACAGAUAUAUUAUUGAUUUGCAUUUGAGGCGAUCAUGAAUACAGCGCUAGUAUGAGAAGUCUGAACCGCCAGUACAGAAGAAAUUAAGCAGAAUGCAUAUUACACUGCAACAAAAUGAAUGCAAGUGAUAGAUGAGAAAUCAUCAAGUCUGGAUAAAAGGUAGGUCACAAAUUAAAGUAGCACACAGAAUAGAAUAGUGCAGAAGAUGAAUUAAGUUAAGGUGAUUAGAGCACAAAGCAACCAAGGGUAAGAGGCGGAAAGGUAGAGUCUGGACGUAUAUGAUAUUCGAAAACGCGAGGAGGCUGGAAUUGGGCAGUGAAACAAUUCUUCCUGUCCUUGUCGACCUUGGAGGUAUCAAAUUCGAAUUGAAAUGGUAUGGCAGCACCUUGUAUAGUAUAACUCAUCACAAGCCUAACUUCUUUAUACUCUUCAUGAGCAGGUUUUCUGAUACAGGUGUUGACAAGGCACAUAUUGUUUCCCCCUAGAUGGAGCAAAUGACAAGUCACUCGGUUCUUGAGGGAGCGCAGCAGCUGGCAGAUUCAUCUCCAUUAUUUCACUGAUAUCUUCCUGGUUUUCAUCCAAGGACAUAAGAUGAACUACUAGACUAUUCCGGAAAAAGCCACCAUCUUUAACCGAAAAGAGCAACUUUUUGUUACUGUGUUUUGGCUGCGGCAAGUCCACCACUAGAGCUUGGCCUGUAAACGGGAGAGGGCCGCCUUGGCACAUGCUGGGGACUCUCCUCCAUUCUGGGUCACUGGCCGCAAGGUCAAAGCAGCGAAUUGAAGGGUCCUGUUUAAGGUAGUUGCUGUAGUAGUUUUCUUCGCCCUCUGGCACUGGGGUAGACAUAAACAAUUUGGUUCCGGCUAUUGCAUAAGAGUAGAGGAGGCCAUGAUUGGGAUAUUUUGGCAGACGUGACCAAGUACCCUGUUGGGGGUCAAAUACCUCAAAUGAAACGUAAGUGUUAUACUCCUUAAGGGACAGUACAUAGAGUUUGCCGGCAAACUCAGUCAUCAACGGUUCAUGCUUCCCUCCGUUCAAAGCGGGCAUCUCGACUAUUCCUUGGUUGGGGUCAUGGACAUCAAAGGCAUAUGCAUCUGUGGUGGCAAGAGGGCCGAAUGGGAAUCCGAAAACCGGAUUGGAGUUGGGUUUCAAGCCGCUGGCGAAAACGAUCUUGGAGCCGAAAACACCGCAACCCCCUUCAUAUGGGAGAUCAUCGUCGACCAGAUUGGCCACUUGUCUUAAUUCUAAUUUCACCGACGACGACAGCAAAUCGGAAAGAUUGAUGGAACGAACAACGUAAGAAAACUUCCCAUAGGCUCAUACCCCGCAGGAGGGAUGGUGGACUUUUUGUGAGUUUCAAAGCUACAAAUGAUUAGAGACUUGUUAUCACCAUAUUCGUCGGACAUGGUGUUUCUCUGUUUGCUGACUUUGCUCUCAAGUACGAUGAUGGUACGGCUACAGCUGAGUUUGAGGCUUCGCAGUUUAUAUAUAAACAUUCUUCUUCAUCACACUGUUGGAUUUCCAUUUCCUAAUAACAAUUGGAUGAGAGGUCCUAAUUAUUAUUGGAUUUGGAUUGGAGUCCAAUAGAUAGUUGGGGCUCAAACGAAAACUCGGCCCAGUUGCUUUAUAAUUAUUCCCCAUCCUUUUUUCUUAAAUUAAUAUAUAACGACCCGCUCUAUUCUAAAUGUCAUAAAAAGUUAUGGCCUAAGUUUGCAGAUAGGUCUAGCCGUUGGAGUAAUUAUUCUCUGUACCCGGAACAUCACGUGGCACUGCCAGGUGUUGUACUCGACCAAUUAUAUAACUCAGAUUCAUACGGGGACCAGCACGGGGUGGAGAAAAAAAAGGAAAAGUAAUUAAAUACACCAAUCAGAAAUAAGGAUAAAACACGUGAACCAAUGAGAUUAAAGAUGAACAUAAAACAGGUGGUGUUCCGGGUUUAAAUAAUAAUUUCCCUAGCCGUUGUACGGUUUUCAACCCUUUUCAUCUCAACCGAUGCCGACCUAAAGGUAGACGGUAUACGAAAACUAGAUCGAAACGGCCAGAAUUUCAUUUCAUCUUCACAAUUCCUCAACAUCAAAAUAAUAUACUUUAUUCCUCAACUAGUAAACAUACACAAACCAAAGCCACAAAGCCAUUCUGAAUUUCCAACACACAAUCAUACAAAUCGAAUCAAAAAUGAAACUCCCACAUAAUCACACUGAGGUGUACCAGUGUCUGGUCUCUUGCUAGGCUUUCUGCAUUUUUUCAGGCCUUUAUUGCGAAGAAAGAACCCCUUUUAUGAAGUCAACUUCGUCACUUAUUAUGGGACUUCAACAACUAAGAUAUGUAAAUAUGCCAAGAUGAUUUGCGUAGCAGAAACUGUUGGAUGAUGUCAAAAAUUGUAAAAGUUCAUGACACAUUGCGUAUGGAAUACAAGUUUUGGCUGCAUUUUUCACCAAAAAUUGAAGCUAAAAUUCUUAUAUUGUUUUGGUUUUCAACAUUGUCUUUUCGUGAAUUCAAAAAAUUAUUAUGUUUUUAUUUUUAAAUUUUUACUAUGAUUACGUAAUACAUUACAUAUUAUAUUAUGAUGUGAGAUGCUUUGAAUAAUCGAUUCAAUUCACCAUAUUGGAACUUCGGACUGUUUAAUCCGAGCAAGAUCUUGGAUGAAUCUUUUGCUUUUGAUUUGAUUUGAGAGAGACCGAAAUGGAAUGCCAAAUCAACCUCUUUUAGUUUUCACCAACCAAAUCCUUGUCAUUUUUCAAGUCGUUUACAACAAAGGGGCCGCAAACUUCAACAAAAGUGUACCAACCACACUUCAACACUUGGCUCCUUUUCAUCACCCUUGGAAGUUGACAAUGCAAAAAGGGCACCUGUUGUAAUGUCACAUUUGCUUCAUAUAAUACUUAUCUACUUUUGGUUAUUUAUGCUAUAUAAAAAUUACAUAAUAGUACAUAAUUAAAUUUAAAAAUAUAAAAUCCUACUUUCAAUUUUUAAUAUUCAGUAACUAAUAUAUAACUUAUUAUAAAAGAAACAUUCUUGUCAUUUGGCUUUUUAACACAUUUGCUAAUCUCCAUAAAGUCAAGGUUGGAUUUUGUGGUAGUAAUAGUGACCCAAAUGAUAUAUGAAUUAAACAAAGAACAAAGUCAGGAAAAAAAAUAUAUGACAUAAUUAUUAAGAGAUACGUCAUACUCAUAAAUGAUAUUAUCAGAAUCUGAUUAUCGAUCCAUACAAGUUAUCCGUAUUAUAACUCUAAUUAGUUCCUUCUAACACAAGCAAGAUUUUCCAAUUACACAAAAGUCAUUGAUUACCAAAUUAUUUAGAAGCAAGCAACAAAGAACUGUGUAAGGAAAAAAAAUAAAGAAGACGGCGACGAUGGACAAAGAAAAUAGGAAAAAUCGCCCGUCUAAUCCGAGCGGGGGCACAUCCGUCAUUUCAACGAAACCGGAACUCUUAUAUAUAACCUGGAAAAUCGCGAGGCUCUUUCUUCAACUACUAAACGUUGUUGCGUUUGAAAAAUCAAAGAAACAAAAAAUAUCCAAAAAAAACCAGAAGAAGAAGAAAAAUCGUUGAAGGCGAAAAUGGGAGCGGUGAACAACAUCUGGAACGCCAAAGAAGUAGCUGAAGCUCCGGAUAACUCUGCCAUCCAAAUCCGCUUUUCUUCUCAAUCCGUCGACCCUUCCCUCCCUCUCCCCCAAAUCACGCCGCUCGUUACGUCCGUUUCUCACUCCCUACAUUUUCCGGUGCUUCGUUUUCAAUUUUUGUCGCCGGAGAAAAAAAUUAAACGGCGCGUGAUUCGGAUUUGUGCGGUUCGGAUUGAUUUGAUUGUGAUUUGUUUGGAUUUGCAGGAAGCUGUGCAAGGAUCUGUUCAAGGAAUGGUCGGAUUUGGACGAUUCUCGCUUCUCCGUCGAGACGGUUUCCGGCGGCAUCACGAAUCUCUGUGAGUGUUUCGGUUUUUGUGUGUUUGAUGAAUUGGAAUUGGUUCUUGUGAAAAUUGCGAUCCGCUGUUAGUUUUUGAUUGAGCUUGUGUUUUUUGAUUGAUGUAGUACUGAAGGCUACUGUGAAGGAGGAUGAUGGAAAUGAGGUUUCGGUGACGGUGAGGCUGUAUGGACCUAACACUGAUUAUGUGAUCAAUCGCGAGCGCGAAUUGCAGGUAGUUUUUGUGAGCAUUUAUAGCUGUUGGAGUAUUUUUCGUGUCGAUAAUGUUUGCUGAGAUUAGUUGUAUAUGCUGAAGGUGUAACUGUGUGCUGUGUUUCGGUUGGUUAGGUUAGUUUUGUGUGUGGUUUGCUUUGUAAUUGAUUUCUGUGUAUCUGUUCAGGCAAUCAAGUACCUCUCGGCUGCGGGGUUUGGUGCGAGUUUGCUUGCAGUUUUUGGAAAUGGAAUGGUGCAGUCGUUUAUAAAUGCACGUACACUCGUCCCAUUAGGUAGGUGAUGUAUAUUUCUUUGAUAAGUAGCAUCCAUUUAAUGAAAGAAGUUCCGAUGGGAAGCAAAUAUGUAAAAAAUUGAACUGAACAUCAUUCUCAAAAAUGUUUUUGGAGGCAUUCUCUUCAGUUUUAAGUGGUGUACAAAAUUCAAGACGAGGAUAUCAUUUUCAUUGAAAUAAAUCAUAUGCAUUUUCAGGGUUCUUGGUGAACUGAAUCAGUCUAUUGACAUGAUCUUAAAUUCUUCCCAUCUCGGCAGACAUGAGAGAUCCAAAGCUGGCUGCUGAUAUUGCCAAGGAACUACGUCGGUUCCAUCAGGUGGAAAUUCCUGGUUCUAAGGAACCUCAGCUGUGGACCGACAUUUUCAAGUUCUACGAGAAAGGUAUUUGUUGUUUGAAGAUCAGUUACCAGUCUUUGUGUUCUGCUCUAGAAGUGGUCUGUUCGUUGGCUGGUUGACAAUUGUUUAACUUUAAAUUCAGUUCAUAUGUGCAAUUUUCUCAUUGUUGAGUUGCCUCCUUGUUGCAGCCUCUGCUCUUGAAUUUGAUGACAACGAGAAGCAGAAGAUCUACGAAACCAUUUCAUUUAGUGAAGUUCACAAUGAACUCGUUGAGGUCAAGGUAUCUCUCACUAUUAUUGUUACUUGGUUGUUCUUGUUGCGGAUUUUAUGAUUAUACUGUGCACUAGUGGUAUUUAAUCCAAGAUGCCUCCGCUGAUAAUGGAACAGGAAUUGACUAGCCAUUUUAAUGCUCCCGUGGUUUUUUGUCACAAUGACUUGCUUUCUGGAAAUAUAAUGGUGAAUGACGAAGAAGGUAUUCUACUAUGUGCUCUUCUUUUUAGCCUUUCCCAUUGCUGACUCCUGCAAAUUGUAUUACCUUCUAUUGUUUGUAAGAGUUAUUUCUGGUCUUGUUGCUUUAAAUUAUGAGCAUCUUAUGCUUUGCGAAUGAACAAAAGUUCCAUAGGCGCCAAAUAGAUUCCAUGUAUAUUUGUCAUCUUAUUUGGCUCAAGAAUAAUUUUCUUAACUUGUAAAAUGAACUAGUAUAUAUUGUUUUCUGCUUUUUAGUCUACUUACAGUUCUUGUCUGAUGAUUAUCCAGAGAAACUCUACUUCAUUGAUUUUGAGUAUGGAUCAUACAAUUACAGAGGCUUUGACAUCGGUAAUCACUUCAAUGAAUAUGCAGGCUAUGAAUGUGACUACAGCUUGUAAGUUUUUCCCACUCUCUCUCUCUCUCUCUCACUCUCAUUUAUUUAUACUAUUUUAUUAGCUGCAGAAGAUUACCUUCGCACGUGUUUUUGAAUGCAGAUACCCAACCAAGGAAGAACAAUACCAUUUCUUCAGGCAUUAUUUGGGACCUGAAAAACCACAAGCGGUACGAUAUAUAUUAUUUUUCUUCUCAAAUAUGUUAAGUGAAAACAAUCAUAUGGGGUGGUAGUUUAUUAUAUUUUUCUCAGAUCCACUGUGCCAUUUGUUAUAAAGGUUUCAGCAUAUUCAAGUUUGGUAAAACUUUUCCAUUGUUUUAACACCAACAGGUAUCGGACAAAGAUCUUGAAGCUCUAUAUAUUGAGGCAAAUACAUAUAUGUUAGCUUCACACUUGUACUGGGCUUUAUGGGGAUUAAUCCAGGUAACAUCCCUGUUUCUCAAGUUAGGUUCCUCCACAGCAACCAUCUAUCAAAUUCAUCUUUAUUCAUAUUCGAGUCAAUAAUGUGCAGGCAAAGUUUUCCCCAAUCGAGUUCGAUUAUCUCAGUUAUUUCUUCCUGCGAUACAACGAAUACAAAAAGCAGAAGGAAAAGUGCUUAUUGUUGGCAAGAUCAUUCCUCUCACGAUCUAAUGCAGGGUAACGCGUAACGCACAAGCACCUGCCUGUAUGUUAUGAAUAUGUAGGGAGUGCUAUUCUUUUUAGUCUGUUACCAUCAGGUGAUGUUGUAAUAUAUUUUUUUGUAGCGAUGAAAAUUAGACAAUACGAGCAAAUAACUUGUAUUAGGGGCUCUCCGAAGCACUGUAAUGCAAAGAAACUAGUGUAUUCUAUCAAUGUAAUAUUUUUGUGCUCUCAUUCAUGUCAACAGUUGUGAGAACAUUCUUGAUUAAAUUUGUUGAAUAUUACUUGCAGCAAUGCAACAAAAAAGGAUGGAAUGAAUCCUAGUAAUCUGUGUUUCAAUGUAGAUGUUUAUAACAAAAGAAAGUCCACAAAACAAACAUCCUUGACCAUCCAGCAAAGAUCGCUAUGUUAUAUGUGUGUACCAUAUAAUAUGGCGAUCCUUCGGCUUUCUCUACAUAUAACAUAUAUGGUCCAUUAAUCCAAAAACAUAUAAACCAAAGAAAGCACCUUUGGUUUUCAGUGCAAUUUACAGUUCUAAGCUUGAAGAACCUGGCAGUGAACUAUGUGACUUUUCAGGCGGUUUCUGCCGGCAAGGCUUGACCACAGAUUUGUGACCAUAGUCCUGAACUGCCCUUUGCCUGCUAGAGUUUCCCACAGAUGUUCAGCACUUGCUCCACCAGCAUCAUUUGAUUUCGAAACAUCAACGAGUGAAAUACUCAUAUUAUUUCGGAUGAUGCAAAGUUUACCGUUAAGGGGAACCAAGGAAGCUGCCUCCAAGGCCCUAGAGUUACCCAAAUGUAUCUUACUGUCAAUAUGCUUGCUCCAAGAAUCAGUUGCUUCAUCAUAGACUCUGAGUUUGCAGCCAUCCUUGCACUCCAAAGCAUAGAGAUGCCCCUUCAAAGAAGCACUUGGGUUCCUCCAGCCUGCAACCAUUCCGUCAUACACAGAGUCCCAGCUGUCAUUUUCCGGUUGAUAGACCUCACUAAGGACUUGUCGAUGAGACCCUAGCCCCUUCAAGAACCAUUUCCCUUCGUAAACAACCCCAAUGAAAGGCACCAUUGCAGUGCUCAUAUCUGAAAUGAAGGACCAUCUAUUCUUGUUGGGAUCAUAGACUUCUGCUGAUCUCAAGGACCUAUGCACCCCCUCAUUCUCUCCACCAGCAACAUAGAGGCAGUUAUUUAUAACACAUGAGCCAAAAAAAUGUCGUCUGCGAAGCAUAUCUGGGGCACGAUGCCAUUUAUUGGUCCUGGCACUGUAAAAAAUGACUCGUCUCAUUGAUCCCUUUAGAGGGUCUUUUCCUCCAAACAGAUAGAGGUGACACCCACCGAGUACAGCACAACCAAAUCCAAGGGCUUCAGAAUAUUCCUUAGGGACAGGAGGAAGGGACUGCCAAAGCUGGUAUACGGGGUCAAAGGCAUGCCAAGAUAUUUUCCCAUCUCGAUCUCUUUUAAUCAAGUAUAUCCAUUCUUCAGCAAUGCCAAUGCUCUUACGGAGAGAGUAAAAGAAGUUGCCAGCCAAAAGACGGUACCAUUUUUUGCAAACUAGGCGAAGCUUGCGAUGCUCCACUCUUGGAACCCGAAUUAGGCAAGCAAUUGCAAGAUCAUCGGGGAGUCCAGGAAGAAGAGGGGAUUGAUUGCGGCUACUCUCACCACGUGCAGGCUUACUUCUAGUUGGAUGAAUGGAUGCUUUAAUGUCUGGUUGAAGACAAAGCUUUGCCCCAGGGACAUACUUUUUUGCUCCAGCAACAGUUUUAAGACCAGCAUCAACUCUGCAUAAACAUGCUGUGCUAUCCACCUGGAAAAGUACAUGUGUAAUAGUUAAUUACUUGUGAAUAAUUUCUAUCAUUAUUUCUAAUUUGGCAGACAAAUUCUUGUGUGGAUUAGUGCUUAAGAAUGAUAGUCUAUCAUGACUGGGGGAAAAUUAGAGCUCCUUUCAAAUACUUGUGCAGUCUGUUACUCUAAUGUUAUGAAUGGGUUUGCAGCCAAUUUCCAAGGCAUAUGAAACUAGAGCAAUAGCAGUAACCAAAAAAGAAUGCCAUGACAGUUCAGAAAAGAAAGUUUCAAAUUGAGACAAGCAUAUUUCUACCAAUCCAUCUGUUCGAAACCUAUAUGUUUAACCACUAAAAUAUUAAGCUUUACUGAAAACCAACAGUCAACAGUUCAUACAAACCUGGAAACCAACAAGAGACAAAAUAAUAAAUGUAAAGUUUUGAAUUAGCUUGAAGCCAAAAUUUACAUCCACUUGUACCCACAGAUAGAAGAUUGUCUCUUUUGUGAUCUUGAUGUCCAACUACUCCUCAUUUAGCGUUUCCUAUACCUCUCAUGGCCUAGGCAAACCAUGCAGAUAAGUGCAUCACUAAAGGAAAUUCAGGUUGUAGUUGCAAAUUGGAACCAGUCCAGCAUAAUCAUUUUUCUUUCCUCCCUCAAACGGCAACACAUCAGUUAAGAACCAUCGUGCCUAUAAAUUUUCAUCCUCAUUUGACAGGCAAGGAACAGUCUUUCGGGAUUGAAGGAGAGCAGAUGACCUUAAUGACCAUCUAUUGACUUCUUAAAAUAACUUCAUCAUAGAUUCUUGGACAGGAGAUAUCUUCAAGCUAAGUUUGAUAGAAUAACUAAAUUGUAUUCAGGAAGAGAGGUAAAGUCUACAUUUUGAACUAAAAGUAAACUCUGGGGGGCGCUAGAGUAGCUCUCCUUAGUCUUUCCUCAUCUAGACAAAAUCAGUAGAAAUGACUUGACACAAUUAACAUACACACUCAUGAGACAUGAAAAUCAACGAUUUUGAAGAUGUAAGCUUGAAAUAAAGGAAAUCAAAGCCAUUUAUAUUUUAAUAAUUCCCUUGCAUGAAACAGAUUAUGAUAUGAUUAUAGGAAGCAAAACAUUCCAACAGCAGAAAAAGUUGACAAAGAAGUUACCAAUGGAGGCUGUAUCAUUCUUCUUCUGUCCAUGUUUUCUUCCUUUAACACCAGCAAGACCCAAUUUACCACAAAAACUCCACCUCAAGAAUCUAAUACCUUUCUCUUUCAAUCAUAAUGACCUACUGCUUUGUUCAACAUAAGCCCAGACUGGUUCGUUCAUCAGAAGCCAACAAUUUCCAUCAACACCACCAAAGCUGAACUUGCAAUAUGACCCCAAAUCUUGAAAUUCUCUACAACCUACAAUUAGAGAUUGAUUCUCCAAGUACCCUAAACAUGUCCCCUAUUCACCUCCAGUAGUCAAAAACCCCUCUGAAAAUAGCUUGUAGUUGACAUAUAACCAGCUUCAGAAUCACAAGCUCUAACCAUUACAGACACAGAGCCACUGAACCAGAGUCAACCCUCAGUUGGAAACAAGACAAACACAACAUUGUACAAAUCAUCACCUCAAAACCCCACACUUAUAAGCCUUGAAAGUUCACAAGCCAAGGCAUCCAAGGGGAAUAAUCAGAAACCCAAAGAUCUUAUCUUUACAAUAAAAAGAAGAAAAGAAAGGAAACCCAAAAGGCCAAAACCAUGAAAUGCUAGACAGCACAAAAUUAGGGGGCAAAGAGAGCACUGAAGCAAUAGAUGGAGAUCCCUCUCACCAUUUAAUCUUCAGUGGAGUUUAGGGCCCCCAUUUUUCUCACCUCAAGGGCGCAACCCACCAAGCACAAGGGUGUGUUCAAUAAACAAGAAAAGCAAAUCCAACCUAAACCAUUAAAGGGUCAAAGAAAGAGAGAGGCUUUGAAUGAAUGACUUGUUUCAUGAAACAAAAUUGAACCAAAACAGUUCACAACAAGAGUUGGAAGAUAGCUGUUGUUUGAGUAUGAGGAAAGAGAGAGUGGGAAAUGUGUGAGAGAGGGUUGAAAGCUCAUGUUGAAGGUUUCAAGUCUUAUAUAUAUUUGGUUGCCCUAAAAGAGAAGAAUAUGGACAAAGAUUCAAAAACAAUAAAAAUAGGAGGUGACCCAUUGGUCCCACAGCUUCACAAAUCACAACACAACCCCCCCAUCAAGUGCCAAAUGCCAUUAAUAUACAAGAUUUCCCAGUACUGUGUGUGUUUGACCCACUGCACAUCAUAGUGAUGAUCAUACUAUCAUCUGCCUCCGACUCCACAAAGGGUAACUUGGUCACCAAAAUUCAUGACAUAUUUAGUCCUCCAGUUCUUGAUGGGUGAUGAUCACGGCCAUGGAUACGAUAGAUCUUCUUCCUGUGAUAAGAUUAUGAUCACCAGAGUAUAUAAAUCCUCUUAUUUCAAUAAAACCAAGUAGUUAUAAAAUCUUAUCAAUUUAUCAGUCUGAACCAAAUGAAAUGAUUAUGUUUAUCAAAAUGGAGAGCAGAACAAGCAUCGUGUUGUAUAAAGAGAGAGUAUUGAGCACCACACAAAAUGGUUGUUCAAAUUUAAAAUUCACACAUUUAAUCUUUCAACCAUUUCUAGAAGGGAUGUGCACCUAAGUCAUGUCUAAGCUCCUAACCUUUUGUCCAACCUUUUUGGCUAGUUGCUUUAACUUGUUGUUAUACUAACAAAACAAGACCAUUAGCUCAUACUUGUUUAUCGUGUUGCUCUUUUUUUGGUCUCAUGAUUGGGAUUACUCCUAAUCUCCAAAGCAAGAGGAUUACUUUUCUUAAAAGUUCCACUAACCAAUCUUUGAACACGUAUUAAGGAGACAGCUACGUAUUUGAUUGAGUUUACUAAUCCCCUAUUAUUGUUAAUCCCUAGCUCACAAUCUUGUGAUGGGGAAUAACAAGACUUUUGAACUAGUCCUGCAUAAAAAUCCUGCAUGUGAAUUGAUAGAUCAUAGAUGUUUGGCAUUGUGACCAAUUUUUCUCCCUUUACAGGUUUAACUUAUACUUGGAAUUGAAAUCAAACAAAAACUGCUUAUGUAAGACUCCUGUGUAUUCCUGAAAAAGCAUGCAGAGGUGCCUAGUUCAACCUUAUCGUUCUCAGAAAAGUCUUCCAUCAUAUUUUUUGCUCUCUUUCAGUCUCCAUCACAGAGAAAAAAUAACUUCAUGAUAAACAAGUCCGUUCACAUUAGCAACUUCAUUAUUUUCCUCACCAGGGUUUUCAUUAUCUUGGAGUACUGUUGCAUAGUACGAGCUCUGGUUUGAAAUUUUCAGUAGCGUGCUAUAUAUGUGAUAUGCAGAUAGAGAAACUGAAACCAAUUAUUCUGAGCACUAAGUCGAGAAUGAUGAGACUACUUUUCCUUUUUGAUGAGGAAUGAAGGGGAUGUGGAAGGUUGAAGUCUUUCCCAACUUGGGGGACAAGGCAUGGUUGAGUUCUUUUGUGGGGUUUUGAAAGCAAGUCAUGGCUAGCUGUGGGCUUCACAUGAUUUUACUUUCUUUCAUUCCAUUGUUCAUGCUUUAUACAUUGCAUUUUCACAGUUCUUCUGAUCAUUCAAACAUUCAUCAUCGAUCGAUCUUCAAAUCAAGAUUAGUUGAGGGAGCAUACAGAAGAUGAAGAUGAACAUAACAAAAUGAAGUAGAUAUAACACAGAAGAAUCACAUAACUACAACACAGAAAAGCAACCACUUUCACUCUUCCUCGUACUGCUGCUUAACCGAUUUGAAGACAUAACAGAAAACAUAAAAUUGAAGACCUUCCUAACAAAGUUGAGCCUGAUCUCCGCUUCCAGAGCCAGUUGCACCCGCGUCAUUGACGCAAUCAGCACUUUCAAGUAGUUCAAUUUCUACUAGAUCCGCCGAUAGUUCUUCUAGACUCUGGGUCAGACCCGCCAAGAAAUCUUCUUGACGACGUUGGUGGAGUGCUCCUUUGGAUUGCCGGAAACCUUCUUCUCGACGGUGGACUGCUUCUUUGAAUUCCCGUAAACCUUUUAGAAGAAGGGUGAAUCCUUCUUUGAAUUCGCUGAUGUCUUCAACUACGAGACCGCUGUGUACUUUUUCAUCAAAGUGCCUUCUUUUUUCCUUCGAUACGGUGAUAUGCUUCUUCCAGUUCAACUACGAAGUCUUCAAUCUCUCAUUGAGGAUUCUCAAUUUCAUUUGACGUCGACAUUCUUCUUCUUAACUAAGAGGAUGACACAGCGAUGUAGGACUGAAGGGAAAAGGAUGAGAAUUGAGAACACUGUUCCAAAAACAAAAAUUGGAGAACUGGGCCUUUCGUGGGCUUGGCGGACGUUUGGCACCGCUAGGCGGUCACUAGCUUGAUUGGGCCUAGGCAGGCUAGUUGGCCCAACUUUAAAAAACAUCUCUCUUCUCUCUCCGGCGACCCAGACUCGGCCGGAGACCGCCGCAACCGGCUGCUCUGUCUUCCAUUAAGAAAUCACAAAUCUAUAUUAGCAUUGACCCCCGAAAUUGAGGAGUGGGAGAGCAAUUACUCUAACAACUGGACUUCUCAACCCUAUUUACCAGAAUAUAUAUUAUAGAGUGAGAGGCCAAUAUUCCCUUUUAGUGUCGUCUAAGGUAAAUAUUAUUCAUAGCCUUCCUUCCUUUCUCUUUGCCGUGCCGUAAAUUGUAGGGUAAGCUUUGCUUUCCAAGCAGGCAAAGCAGCAGCGCCAACCAAAGCAAGUCAAUUUGAACCAAAACCUCUGACUUUACUAGUCUCCCCCAAUCCGUCCUCGCCAAGUUUCUACCAUCCCAUUCCAUCUCCAAAGUUCACAAGUCCAAAAGUCUCUUAGUCACACUCAUACCACGUAAUACGUCCUACUUUUAUUUAUAUCGCACAACAACAAAAAAAGUGUCAAGUUCGAAAUUUGAAAUAUCUAAAGUGUUCUUGUUACAUUGCUACAUUACGAGAUUGGUGGUCGGACAAAUUUAGUGGUCCGACGGCUUGAUUUCGACCUACAUUAACAAUGUGACUAAAGAAAAAAUCGGACCAAACAUGGAAGGACACCUCACACACACACCAGCCACCAUUUCAAAAUCAAGAUUUUAUUAACACGUUACCAAAAAAAGAAAUAAAAUUCCAAAAGGAAGCAUAAUUACAAAGCAAAAGAAAGAAGACGAAGCAAAAAUUAAAAUGGCAGAAUUGGAAGGUUCCUUCUUCCCUUAACAAAUUCUUCCCAACGUGCACGAAACGUAUCACAUCUUCACUUCCUCUUCUUCUCUUCCUAAAACCCAUUUCUCCGAUAAUACCUGAAAAGACUAAACUGCCCUUGCUCUGCUUUUCUCCGCUGCUUCUUGGGGAUUGGUGUCACCGGAGAAACCGAUGAAUUUGGGUUCUGGGUUUUGGAGAGGGGCUGAAUUCCGAAACUGGGUCUGAAGAAUUCGGGGAGUUCGUUAUUGGGUGGCCGAGGAUUUUCAGUUCUGAAGAUGGGUUUGUUCUGAAAUUCUUGCUUGGUUCUUUAGUUUCUGUGUUCAAAAUUCGAGAUGGUUUUGCGGGAAAUUGAGCUUCUGAUUCAUUAUUGGUUGUUUGAGAUUGUUUGCUUUGAUGAGCAUUCCGAGUUCUUUUGUUUUAGGUGACACCAAUUUUUCGUUUUUUUUUAAUUCGAUUUUCGAAGAUUGAAACACAUUGUGGGUUAGGAUUGAUAUUAGAGGUUUAGAAGGAUCAGUAGAACAGGACAAGAGUGUUAGUACAUUUUUUGUGUGUGUAGAAUUGUGGAUUUUUCGAGUUGGGUUUAGCAAUUGGAGUGGUUCUGUGGUGUUUGUUAGUGUGAUUGUGUAGUGUGUCACUAUGUCGGGUAGCACAACACCAACUGGUGGAUAUAUGAGGCAGAGGCAUAGCCAGGGCUAUGCGUCGAGUGGUGAUGAUCUUGAGGAUGAUGCGUGCUCUAUGAUGCAUAGCUCGUCAGGUUCGAGUCCUAGGGUUUGGUCAAAGAGAGAGAUUGCGGAGAAUGUGAUUUGGCUUGUCUCGGCAGCAGGCAUUAUGUACUUGGGUGAUUCAAAGUCCAACUUGAUAUUUCUCUUGUGGCAUGAUGACCGAAUAAGAAGGUAUAUUCAGUUUUAUGUUGGUCUGGUAUGCUCACAUAUAAUCUGUACUACUUGUAAUUUUAUGGUAUACUAAAGAGCAGUGAUAGUGUUGGUGGUACAUUAUUGUACUGACUACUGAGUUACCUGAUUUCUCCUACAUGCUUUGACAGAGCUUAAAAGUCAUUUUGCUUUGUUCUUCUUUAAUCUCAAUUAGCAUGAUUUGGUUAGGAAAAAUUGAACAAUGUACUCUAUUCCUUGCAAAGUAGUUACUUUAAGUUGAUUCCCUGCACAAUGCUAGAAUAUGCUUAUUCAUCGUUCAUAGAAUACAGCUGACUCGUAGCUUUUGCCUUAUUCUUCAUCGUAUAGCAAGUUUAUGUGUAGUAAGGUAAAACUUUGACUGUUCACAAGGCUAGUAAGUAUAGGAAGUUUAUGCUAGGUAAUCAUUUCUAAUCCCAAUUCUCGUCAAUAUGGUAAGUUUAUGGUCAGGUUUUUCAUGCAUUCCUUAAGAUUUACAUUAUGUCUUUCAUGUUUUUGCCGCAUUUGGAUUGCUGUAAGGUUUAAGCUUUACUUGAAUCAAAUUACUAGUUCCUCAAGACUUAGAUAGUGUGUUAAUUGCUGAGACUCAAUGACAUUUAAAUUAUAAAGAAAAAUGACUUUUAAAGCUGCAUUUUUUCUUAUCACUUUCAUGUAUCUUGUAGAUUGCCGUUGUACAUUGGGAUGGUGGGCGUGGUUUUGAAUAUAAUCAUCUUCUGUUACACAAGUAUAUCAGCAUGGAGUGUUGGGCGAUUUGAUGAAAAAUGGGAGUUAGCAAGUAUAUCUGCUCUGCCAUAUGUGACUCUACUUGGUGCCAUUUCCUUUUGCCUGUAAGAAAACCUGUUAUUCAGUUACCUUCUACAUUCUUUAGGUGUUAUGUUUACAUUGCUGCUUCUGACUUAUUGAUUGGUUCUUUGGCAGGUUCUGCUUUGCUCUGUGGCCAAUAUGGGGAUUCUUAACCCUUCCUCUUUUGGUACAUCCCAAGACUAAUUUUUAUUUUGUUCAUGUAGAUAAACAGUUUAGUACUUGUGGCAACUGUCUAACUUUAUUCUUGUUGUUGCAGUUCACGCUGUUUAUGGCAGGCAUGGUUAUAUUUCCAUACAUCAUAAUUGGGAUAUUUAGGAAACAACAUGAUGCGCUGCGUACAGAUAAUGCCUCCUCAGAUUUUAGUGAUAAACUAUACUGACCUAGAUCAAGAGCUGCUAACUCAACCAUGGACAGACUGUCACAUCAGUAGUGGAGCGAUUAUUGUCUUCCAAUCAGUCAGGUUUCGAUUUUACAUACACAUUCUUUUGAUACACUUGAUAGUACCACAGAGUUCUUUACAAACCUGGAGUGGACUGGUUGGGAUGUAGUUUUGGAUGUUGAUGCCAGUGAGCAUUAGUUGUGUAAAAAUGUUGAGUUUUCUGGAUAGGAAUGAUGCCUAUGUUUCUGGUAUGAGUCCAUCUUUCAGUAGGGAGGAGAUUCUGGCAUUGGUUUGGCAUUAUGAAAUUCAGUUUUUGUUUACGUUUCUCUUUCAGAUUUCCUUUCUCCUAUAUUUUGUGUUGUUGUAAAUGAGCUAUUGGGUGCAGUACGUUUGCACACUUGGUUUUUUUUUCUUGGUUUGAAGACAUUUGGGGCGCUGGUGAGUUUGACAGUUGCAAAUUCAGCAGAGGUGCCAUGCAUCUUCAAUAGUCUUCUAAUUCCUUCAUGGCAUCUUUCAAGAACAUUUCCUCUUAAGGGUUCAUAUUCAUCUAUUAAGGAACUACAGGAAAAUGAUGGUUGGAAGCUUCCAGAGUUGAAAAUGUUAUCUGGAAUUGUUCUAUGGUCCUUGGUUCUUACUCGAUCUUAUCUUUUUCAAUUUGAUGUUUGCUUCUUCUUAUUCUCUACUGAUUUUCAGGUAUCUAGCUUAUUCUAUUGCAGUUUCUAAAUCAAUUUUCAAUAGUUUGCCAUGUAGUUUGGUUUGGAAGACACCGAGGGAGAAGAGGAACCCGAAUUUGGGUUUGCCUUACUUUCUAUCAGCUUUUUAGCCUUAUCUGAUAGACAUUUUCACAUGAUCCAGCUAAUUAAGGUUUUUGGCUAGAGAUUUAGACAUUUACCACAACAAUUCUUUUACUUUUACCUUGAUAUCACUAACCAGAACCUGAGUAACAUGUAUAUGAAGCAUCAAUAUAUCAAUGCUGUGCCAAAGUUUACACCGGAGGUAUCAGACUAAUUAUUAUUAUUUAUUUUAUUUUAUUUUUGAGAACUGAGGUAUCAAACUAAUUACCUACCCCAAUCUGUCGAAAAAAUAAAUUACCUACACCCCAAUUUUAGUCAGGUUUUUCAUUACCAACCUUGAAUCAAAAAGGUAAAACAAUAAACAGAAAGGUGAAGAAUCAUCGAAUAAUAUCCAAAAUAUCAAAGGUCUGAAUCAUCUAAAAUUUAGGCAAGUAAAUCCAAGAAACCAAUAAUAGGCAAAAGUUUGUUGCAGCACAACAUUACGUGUCAAGAAACGAAGGAGACAAUGCCAAUCUUAUGAAAUGAGUCAUCAACGUGGAACCUACGUGUAAUCGACAUCAUUAUCUAAAACUAUUACAUGCAGCUCUAUAUAUACAUACUCUUAUUUCUAGCUCUGUUCUAUCUAUGCAUUGCCAAUUAUACAUCAUCAUCUUCCAUUUCUGCUAUCGAAUCUGUUGUUGGUUUUGAAGCAUAUUAGCAAGGUGUCCCAAGUUCUAGCCUCUGUGGAAUUGUGUUUUGUAGAAUUGUAGCUGAAUCUAAACAUCAAGGAAAACCAAUCAUGAAAGAAAGAACGGGAAAUCCUCUGCAAUUGAAGUCCUUGAAUCACAUCUCACUUGUUUGCAGGUCGCUCGAGAAAUCCCUCGAUUUCUACCAGAAUGUUCUUGGCUUCUUUCCCGUUAGGAGGCCUGACUCCCUAGACUUCAAUGGUGCAUGGUAUGAUAGCUAACAUUCCGUCAUUCCCCAUUGUAAAAGCUAUUGCAUAACUAUGGACCUAUUGUGUAUUGUUUCGUGUUUUGAUGUUAAUUAUAUCUGCUUGGUUUUGUUGAUCAUAUGUAUGUAGGUUAUUCAACUAUGGCAUUGGCAUUCAUCUUCUCCAAGCUGAAGACCCUGAGACGCUGCCCAAGAUCAGCCACAUUAACCCCAAAGAUAACCACAUUUCUUUCCAGGUCUCUAGCUCUCUCUUUUAUAAUGGAUGAAAAUGGUCAUUUUUCAAUACAGUAUUGCAUUGCUACAUUAUAUACACAAAUUAAAUCUAUCACCAUAUAAAUGUAUACAUCGAAUGGACUAAUCUAUGGCUGCAUGCAUCUGAUUAUCGAAUAUGUGUCAAUGAUCAAAUUAUUAUUACUAGUUAAUGUAAUGUAAUAAUCAUUUGUGUUUGACGGCUAGAAUGACAUAAAUCUGCAGUGUGAGAGCAUGAUCAGAGUGGAGAACAAGUUGAAGGAGAUGGGGAUCGAAUACGUGACGAGCAGCGUAGAGGAAGGAGGAAUCAACGUUGAUCAGCUGUUCUUCCACGACCCGGAUGGCACCAUGAUCGAGAUCUGUAACUGUGACAACCUCCCAGUGAUACCCCUAGUCGGAGAUCAAACUCUCAGGUCUUGCACACGUGUGAAAUGCAAUGUGCAGCAGCAGCAGCAAGAAGCAAUAGCACAGAUGAAGCCUCAACAGCAAACCAUGACCUGCAUGCGUUCUAAUGCUAUACACAUGAAGGAAGAUUAUCUUCCUUGUGCUUGAUUUAAUUAUGUGAGAAAGUUGAUGUGAUCCCCAUAUAUAUAUGUCACAAGCAAUGCAUGCUUAGAUAGAAGUAGUUAGCUAGUUAGUUACUACUUCUUGGCCUGUAAAUAACUCCCCGGUGAUUCUGAGAUGAAUAAGAGUACUAAACCAUAUAUGGAAACCACAAUACCAGCUUUCCCUAAACAUGCAUCAAAUGCAUGGUAGACUCGUAAAGUUGGUUCAUGGGAGAUUAUAUGCAAUUUGCAAAGAUAUAAGACAUAGUGCUCUUAGCAAUGUAUCAAGUUGAAUUGAACAAUGGGCUAGAAUAAGAGGAGAAGAGGACAAGACGCUCACUAUGGUUAUGCAACACCGAGCAAAAGUACGCCUUGUUCUUGGUGUUCCUCCAUUAGUCCCAGAGAAAUGUUUGGUCUUCUUCAAAAUUUGCAGGGUUUGAAGAUCAUUAGGCACUGGAGGUAAUAAUGAAAGUAAAAUAAGAGAAACUAAAUAGAACAAAGUAAAACCAAGUGAUCAAUGCCGACGAGUUUUCGUUGGCAAAACCACUAUUGCGGACGAAUCGAAGUAAGCGAUGAUGGUUUCUAAUCCAAAAGGCCUUAGGAAGGAUCGGAGGUUCUUAAUCCGACAAGCCUUACAGUAACCAUUUGCCUCUAGAAAUGAGAUGAAAGAUGAUCGAGGAGUUGUUAUGAAUGAAAAGAGAAGAAUUAGGAGCUCCCUUCAGUCCAAAACAAUGAGCAGUAUAUCUCAGACGCAUAUAUAACCACUGUUUUGGGCUGCAAGGAACUCCCAUUUCUGCAAUUUUCGCAUGAAAAAAUUAUGUGAUCAAGGGAAAAGGAUGAGAAACUAAGAGGUAAGGAACUGAGGCACUGCGCAUUUGGUCUUAUAACGCUAAAGAUCUUUAGAGUUUAAGGUGGUCUCUACUUCUCUCCUUACAAUCUGUAUAUAGGCUUAAUUUGUUGACUAAUUGUAAAGAAGAGCUAGCUUUAGCUACAUAAUUCACUAAUUAAGAGGCAGAUGAGCUGCAAUUAAGCUCUUCAACCACCAUUUCUAAAACAUUAAACCUACAUAUAUGCUAUAAUUUCAUGAAGAUUAACAAAGGAACUCGAAGAGGAGAUAGUAAAUGGUUGAAGAUGAAUGCCAUGAUGACCUGAUGAGUGACAUCUAACAACACCAGACGAUAGAUAUAGAGGCGGAUCAAAUAUGAAGUUUUCAUUCAAUUAUUAUUUCCCAAAAAUAAAAUGUAAUACUUGCUUUUGUUCUUCCUCCAUUUUCCUCUCAAGGAAAAUGAUAUUAAACUCUUUUCCAUUCCAUAAUCCCUCGUAUUAGUUACAGGAUAGCGAACUUUGCAGCUAAUAACAUCAUUCCUUUUAGCUAAUUUUAGCUAUAAUAUUGACUAUGCAACAUCCUAUCUACUCUCCCUAGUUAUAGCUUUAGGUCUGGUGAUUCAUUUGCCUUAUCUCUCCUGGGUCACUCAGGAUCGAUUCAUAUAGUGUAUUUCCAGGGAGAAAUAUAUAUCACCGAUCGAUUUAUUGUAGUAUAAGAAUGGUUAAUUUGGUGCACAUAUGGCUAUGCCUCGCCGGCCAUUUUCUGUGGAUUUGAAUCAUCUGCUACGCACAAAUCUCAGAUAUUUGGUGAGUGGUUGUGGAUUAUAUAAGAAACCCAGAUUAAAUUCACAAACAGCUCACAUCUCAGGCGCGGCACUUGGGGCCUCUCACUCUCAUUGUCACACAAGUAUGAGAAUAUGCAUGAGAGAGGGAUAUAUAAUCUGCUUGCUUUAAUUAAGUAUGAAAAACGACCCUCCCCCUACCCAGUGAAAGGUUUGGUGCUGAGGUUUUAGCCCACAGAAUGUCCUUUCGAAUCUGGGGUUCACCUUAGCGUUUGUAACUUCAAACCCUACUUGGAGAAUGGAGAGUGUAUUAUUAUGAUGAAGAUAAGCGCGCAACUAAAUCACAGACUCAUCCAUCACCUCCAUCAAUACCAUAACAAACAAUCAAACAUGCUUCUGCAUACACCCCACAAAUUUUAUGUGACAUUUAAUGUGGAAUAAUAGGCUCCUAUUUCAGUAUUUUCUUAGGGUUUUUGGGUGUAUGAAGGUUUCUGUGGCACAGAGCUUGCCAAAAUUUUGAGUCUACAAGCAUAUGGGACAUAAUGUUAUGAAUAUCGUCAUAGGUAAAAUCACAGAAUACAUCUUCUCAUAUAAUUUUCUAAUUAUUUUCGUCUUCCGGAUCGACUUAUAACAAUAGAGGAAAACUUGAUCCCAUAAGAACAUAUUUUUUUCCCAACAAGAUCUUAUUUCAAAGUUGGAGCACAUGUUAGGUCAUGAAGAUGCUCAGCAAAGUUCCAUUGACUAAAUUGAAAACAAAGGAUUUCGGCUUCCUAAUCUUCAGAUUAUUGAACAAUCCAUAUUAAUCAAACAUAUUAAUUCUUUGUGUAAAGCUUCUUGUCGUUUCAACUCUUUUCUUCUUCAUGCUGGUUUGGUGAAGAUUCUGAUUUGAAGAAAAGAACUUUGAAAAAUACAAUGGUGGUUACAGAACAUAGCCAAAUUGUAUAUGAGUAUUGGAGCUAGCUACAAAUCUAUACAAAACUUGUGCUGUCCUACUCCUCUAUAAUGUUAUCAAUUAUCUAGGUAGAUAUAUACUCUCCAAUUCUAAAUAUAUAAGAGAAGCAAAUCAAAGACAGCGACCCUUUUUGUUGGCUACCCCAACAAAUAAGCGGUGGAAGGUAGUGAGGGUCUGGGGGUCCUCUCCUGGUCUGUCUGGAAAUCGAAAACCAUUGCAGACAAAUAUUGCUCCCAAACAGCAAUUAUAUCAUCAUUUCCAUUAUUGAUUUUAGGCAACAACAACAAAAUAGGUUCUAUCGUGCUUGGAUCUAUGUCAAGUUCACCACACAAUGAAUCAAGCUCAAAAGAUUGACAUAUUGGUUUUACAUGCAGCUCAUGUAAUGAAAAGAAAGAGUUUGAUCUGAUUCAAUGUGCUAAUCCCGCCUAGUUUUUAACCAAAUUAAAGAAAGAAUUUGUUCGCAAACAAUAUGAUGAGCAUGUGUAUUAGUAUGCGAGGAAAGCUAGCGACAUUUUCUUUAGCGAAACUCUGAUAAAUCGUUGCUAGCUAACAAUUAUACGUCUCAAUUUGAGAUCAGCACAUGCACUAACAGUCUAAGUCUAACACCAUUAAUCAUGCAUAAGGUAGUGAAUAAGAAUUUCAACUAAACCAUCAUCAUGGAUAGAAUAUGGUACAACUCAAAAACGACAUACGAGUCGAUUGUCUUGUCACUCUCUUAUUCAAAGAAGUUACCAAACUAAUUGAUCAUGGAUUCAUGGAAGAUAUAAAUAUCCAUGAUUACAGGCAAGCACACAUGGUUGCUUCUAUAAACUAUGUUACCGUCUUAAUCAACUAUUAAUCAAUCAAUUUAUACCCCCAUUUCCUUUGUGGCCAUGAUUCCACAGUCCCUAGCUAUUUCCUCAUUAUAUAGUUUUGUACCACAACAAGCACUCAACUAAAGAAAGAGAGCUCGCCUAUCAAAAAGAAAAAGAAAAAAAGAGACCUCAGAAAUGAACACCCCCUUUCAUGACCAUGACAAGAAGCAGAAGAAGGGUUUCAUGUCCUCGUACAAACCCAGCCCCGGACGUCACCUGAAGCCGGAUUCUAAGCCUGACAUGGUAGAUAAGUACCCGGUUUUACGUAGCUGGUUCAGUUUAUCCAGGAAGUCGAAAACACGUCAAGAAGUAGUAGUAGAUCAGUUGGAGCAUGCUGAUGAUCAGAGUCAAAGAGAAGAACCAGAUAAGAAAGUUGUAGUGUUGGUGGAAGCUUCAAGAAAGUCGGUUUCUCAUGUCGAAACCAACUUGGCAUCAGUGGCUUCGUUUCUGCAAGUGAAGGUCUUGGUUUCAGACAUGCCUGGCUUCAUGCAAGUCCAUGCCUUCCGCAGCGCCAGAAGAACCUACGACAGUUUGGAGAAGUUUAGCCCCAAACACAUGGCUUACAACCUCAAAAAGGUACACCAAUGUUGUUAAUUAGCUAGCUUUUCGUUAUCUUAAUCAAACGAGGAUUAUACGAUAUUAGCUCUUCGAGGGUUUGACUGUGUCUAAAUUCUUCGAUUGAUUUCAUACUAUAAUUGUUGAUGGGGAUGAGUCCUUGAGAGGCCAAGAGACAAAUGUGUCUGGAACUUUGGAUAUACGCGAUUGUAUUCUUGCUUCCUGUAGUUUCUUUUUGGAGUUUCUCUUCUUUCUGUUAUUGAUGAUUGACGAUGUAGGAUCGAUCGUAUAGAACAACCCCACUUGAGAACAAUAUUGAAUGUGUGAGGAAGACAAUGCACUGACCCAGAUCUUAUUCUUGGCGUUGAAUUCUGAAAACACAGCACGAUGUCUCUCUUUCGCUUUGUCUAUCAUUAUUGGGGCCAUGCACUGUCGUCUGACACCUUCAGAACACAGAAAUUUUGGAUCUUGGAUCUGAAGACUCUAAUAGAAUAUAUAAGAUAUAACAUAUAUAUAUAUCUCAAUUUCUUUCUUUAAUACAUUUUAUCGAACAUUUUGUAUUCGGUUUUAAUAGAUAGACUAAUUACAUUAGCGUUUCAUGUGCAGGAGUUUGAUAAAACGUAUGGACCGGCAUGGCAUUGCAUCGUGGGAUCCGGUUUCGGGUCGUUUGUGACGCAUUCGACAGGUUGCUUCCUAUAUUUCUCAAUGGAGAAGCUAUGCAUUUUGUUGUUCAGAACCAAAAUCCAGAAAGCUGCGGUUUGAGUCUUCUUGUCUGUAAAUUUAGUCAUUAUUGUGUUCUUAUAGUGUGCAUAAUAUCAAAUUACAUUAUCAGACAUACAUAAAUUUGCACUUAAUUAGUUAAUCAACACCGUUGUGUUUAAACUCUUUGGACCUUCUCUUUGGUGGGCCUUUUAGGCUGGUUAUCCGCAAAAUGGAAAUUUUAAUUUGGGCCACUCGGAUCAUUGGAAGCUCAGGUGGUGAUUACUACGUGAUUAACCACACACAGUGUAUGUGAUGUGAAAAAAGUGAAAUGAUCAUGAAAAUGAGUAAAACAAUUGUUUGAUCGUCAUGGUUCUCAUGUAAUUCAGAGGUAUAUUAUCCUCAGUUUCUGUUUUCAGACGCAUAGACCAAAAUGAAUGGAGUUAUUCCCUUUAACACAUCUAUUUGUGAGGUAUUGAGAGAAAUCAAACAAGGUUUUCUUGAUAUAGAAUGUCUCUGCUUUAGUGUUGUAGAUUUUGCAUCUCUCCGUCUAACUCAGUUUAGGUCUUGGAACCAUCACAACACUGGUGAUGUGUGACUUGGGUGGAGAAGAACCUCAAUUUAUUGUUUAUUGAUGAUUCGGGUUUUGUAAAUCUCUGUCAUCCUUGUAGUUAGGAUCUACGUAAUUUAUCUCGAAGUAACAAGUGCAUACACAUGUGACGUUAUUGAAAAUGUUUCUUGGUUGUGUAGAAAUUAGAAAAAAAGGACAAAUGGAAAUAUAGAAAUUUCUUUAUAGAAACAAUGAAAUGUAAUGAUGUAAUUCUUAUUAACGUCAACAAAGUUUAUGUUUUAACCUCAAUAGUCAAUACUAUAAAUUUGCUUUGCAUUUUGGUUUUGUCUAUCAUGUUUUACUUCUUAAUUUUGGCUUUCUUCAAACAAUUCAAUCAUUGCAAGAAUUCGAUUACAUGAGAAUGGGAGAUACAUCACUACAUCCUACUCGGUAGUAUGAGCAGUGUUAUAAAUGUUUAUUCCAGAGCUCGAAGCAGUAAAAAUAAACGAAGAAAGAACUAAAAUGUAAAGCAAUCACUAAUCAUCAGGUUUAUACAGAAUCUGAGGAGAGGCAGAAGAACUGAAGAAGUCGUGAGGAUAGAAACAUAAAGGAGAGGUAAGACUUGCAAGUCAAGAAUGGGUUGCCAGUUUGGUCUGACCCUUCGUUUCUGGUCCUAAUUUCCUCCUAUAUUGGAUUGUCGGCUUUCUUGAAUUUGUCCAAGCAAGAAGCAUGGGUUUCUGUUGCGGCUGCUAAUUGCCAAUUGGCUAAGUUAAGAUGGCUUUCUGGUAUUUGUCCAAAGCAUCAUAGGGUGGUCGGGUUUAGUUUAGUUUUUAUUAUCCUAACUAUGAAAUUGACUCCUAAGCAGUGAAGAUUUCUCUAUAGAUCGACAUAUCUCAACAUGUAGAGUAUCUCAUGUUGUAAUAUUCUAACACGUAUUAGUUUAUUAAAUUCUGUCAAACUUUCAAUGUAAAAUCAUUACGAAAUGAUUUGUACGUUUCAUUCUAUGAUUUAUAGAUAAAAUUGACGUAUAUGACUAUCAUUUUAGAGAGCGAGUCUCAUGUUAAUCGGUCAUACACAUGUUGUAAUAUUCGGACACGUAUUAAUUUAUUAAAUUCUAUCAAACUUUCAUUGUAAAAUCAUUACGAAACGCUUUGUACGUUUCAUUCUAUAAUUUAUAAAUAAAAUUGACGUAUAUGACUAUCAAUUUAGAGAGCGACUCUCAUGUUAAUCGCUCAUACACAAUUUGUUAACGAGGCAUGAAGUCAUAGAAGAUCUCGAUCAGUAGCGAUCAAGAGAAAGAUAAAAGAAAAGGUAGGGCAAGUACGACUUAAAAGGUAGAGUUGCCGUUUUGGUCUUGACCUUUCCCCUCGAUCAUGUAUCAUGCUGGGAUUGGCUUAAUACGGUUACUUGGUGAUAGGAUACAGAUUGAAUCCAUUUUCCAUUGAUGUUCUUCAUAGUUCAUACACAUUGAUACACGAAGGGAGAGGCCGCAAAAUUGAAAUUACAAACAAAAAAACAAAGGAAAAGAGUUUGUAAUAUGAGGGUGCACCUUAUCCUAUCCUUACGUGUCCCCCACCAUGAAUAAUCCAAAAUCCUCACUGGCUCACGGUUCACUCUAUUCAAUAUUCAUUGGCUUUGAUAUGAAAACCAAGAAAUUUUGGAUUAGAGGACGAAUUAGCUGAUAGCUUUAUUAGCUGUCUCCUUUUCACAUCCCAAUCCUUCAAUAAUUUUGCCGGGACCAACAACGCCAAAUUGCUAAUGCAUGAGUUUCAUAUAUGAAGAAGAAGAAAAGAUUAUCAUUCUCGAAGAUACUAACAAGUCUAGAGCCUUCUUCGAACAGUUUCACAAAUCGAACAAGAUCAUACGCUACAAGUAUAGCGCAUUCUUCGUACAAACGAACACCACAAGAGUCCGCUCAGUUUUUUUUUUUUUUGAUACGCAAAAGAGGGAAGCAACACAAGAACUUUUCAGGAGGUCACCUAUCUUAGUACUAUUCUCGCCCAAACAAACUUAACUUCGAAGUUCUGAUAAGAUCCAGAGAGUCCGCUCAGUUUUGGAUUGUCAUUGUUUUGAAGGCACUGUAUCGAUGAUGACCUAAAUCUAAACCAAAGCAUAAAACUAUGCUUCCCUGUUGUACUCGUAUCAAAAUUAACUCUAAAAUAAACCCCGGAGGCAACCAAUCAUUAGAAUAUUCCGGCCGGCAAAGAUAUAAAACAAAAUAUUCCAGAUGAAAACAAAGCAGGUACUUACCAAAAUACCAACUAAAAAAACCAACCAGCACACUCCAGGUUUCUGACAUUAUUGUAUAAAUAAUACUAUGGUCUUGUAUCGAAGGAAAAAAUGGGGAGCUAGAUGCUAAACGCGUAAUGGUAUGCGCUGUCCUAAACCUAAAGGGCCACAGUGGUUGUUAUGUAAUUGGAAAUUUUCAAACUAACCCACAAUGGAAACAAGUCAAUAAUGGUAUUUGGUUUUCAGGACAAUAUAAAAACCAGCACAACUUUGUUGAACAGAUCAAACUUACAGUUCCCACUCUCUAAGAAUGGUCAUGGAAGGAAAAGCUAAACACAAAUGAUUGAAGAAGAAGAACCCAAUUUCAAACUACCUCACUUGUGAAAUUAGCAACAUAACCAAAUUUCGGAAUGAUCCGAUAUUAGCUGUGUCUAAAUUUUCAUCGACUUAAAAAGGGUUUGAAACUCAGCCUAACGGACCGAACACUCAGGAUUAGAACAGUUUUUGUAGCGAAAAGGGUAAACAAUACCUCUUAAUCCACCAAAGUGGAGUAAUUUACUUAUCAACAAUCUCAUCAUUACGAUAUGGAAAAUAUUGAGCAAUCAUACAAACAUGAUCGUAGUUGUAUAUUAGCUAGGAAGCUAGAUCAAACUCCAAACUAUCAUCUAAAUUUUUCGGAAAUUCGAAACUCAAGGAGAAAUGGAAUGUAAAAUUAACACACUAAUCAUGAACAUGAACAAUGGAAUGUAAAUUGAUACACUAAUCAUAAUAGCUCACCACCACCAAAACACCACCCAAAAGUAUUUAGAAUUAUACAUUUUUAUCAUUAACAUUAACAUUACAAUCACUCACAAAAAAAAAAAGAUCGAAAAUUCAAAACAUGCAGUGUUUAAUUUAAUUUUUUUUUUUUCUUAAAACUAAUUUAAAAUUGGAGCAAGAACAACCACACCUACUUUGACCUCCGCUUGUUCGAUCUGGGCCGCUUCGACGCCGCCGGCUUCCCAAACACUCCACAACACCCUGACACCUUCGGCGACGGCGGGUCCAUCAUCGGCGGCGCAACCUUCACCGUCCGAUACCCCCUCCCUCCUCCUCCUCCUCCUCCAGCUCCUCCCUCAGAAGCCGCAGGCCCGUCUGAGCCGCUCUGGCCUUGACCGGCGGCGGCGGCGGCGGCUUCGGCUUGCUUCUCGGCCUCGACUUGAUUCAAAGCCCUCUGUAGAAAUUUAUCAUCCCAAAUCAAACCGGACGAUCCUUGCCUCCUGAAGGUGCUCUCGGACCUCUGCAAUUCCGCCAUGGACGAUUUCGAUUUUCCGAUCGCCGGUGAUCAGAUCCCUGAGUUGUUGAGAUCGGUGGCGGUGAUGAUGAGGGUGAAGAAUUCUAGAGAAUUUUAUGGAGGAUUUUUGAGAAGGAUUUGAAGUGGUGAAUGUGAGCUGAGAGAGGUAUAACAAGGACUCAAAAGGCUUUUAUAUUAUAGAGAGAAGAGGAGAGGAAAUUGGAAAGAGGGAAAGUGACUAUAUGGUGUCGUUUUGGAUGCGUUUGUGUCGUUUUUAUUGUGGGUGUGGAGUUUUGCCAAUUACUGGCUUCGAUUAUUUCUUCCCUUGUGUGUUGACUUUAUUGGUGUUUUGGUUGGAUGACUUGGAUCAAGUUAUCGAGAGAAAGAGAAUGUGAAAUUUGGAUGAAUAAGAUGAAGAAUUAUUCGUAGUUUAGUAAUGUUUCAAAAGAUCAGAGAAUUUCGGUUUGAAAAAUAAUUUGAUGAUCAAAAGUGUUUCGUUUUUAAGAAGAAAAGGCUGAGUAAACGUAAAUACGUUAUAAUUACGAGCCAAACAGUCUUUCCUGACUAGGUGGACCUUGUGGCUAAUAGUGAAAUAAAAUUUUGUUGAAAUGAAGGAAUUGUUUAUGAAUAGAAUUAACAAUAUAUUUCGGAGUUAUUUGAGGGUACUUACUACUUACAAAUGUGAGACUAAUAGAUCUGAAUAUAACUUUCUAAUCUGGAACAACACUAAUAGAGCUAUGAAAUGCCCGAAACGAGGCUAGAAAUAUGAACAAACAAGCUAUAACAGUUACAUUAGAUCGUCUUUUUUGUAAAUUAGAGCAUCAAACUAAUAGGUAAGUAUCCGAAAAUUAGGAUAAAUAAAUAUAUAAAUUUAGUGAUAUAGUCAUUACUUUGUGGAGGCGUGUGGACUAUUAGGCGGGCUUGGGCCAGGUUUAUAUAAAACCCACAAAAUAACCACAUGUAAAAAUGGGUCAAUUUGUUCUCUGACCUUCUUGGUCAAUCUUCAUGUCCUAAAGCUUCUAAGAGAAUGCGGGUUUGACUUGGUCAAAAGAAAGAAUGUUAGGACCGGUUCCCCUGUCAAUUAGCUGUGCGCUGUGAUUAAACAACACUGACUUGAAGACAUUAUCAAUGUCUGAUUCUCUUUCGUGUUCUCAUUUGGCGAACCAAGAACAAAACACACACAAGUUAAACGAGAACAUCAUGCAUCAGAAGCUCAGAACUAGUCAAUGUUACUCCCAGAUAUAGGCGAGAAAAGAAACCAAAUGAGCAAAAUAUGAGCAUAAACGAUACCAGUGAAACAUGGCUCUCCUGUACAAAAAUCAAAACGAGCUUCCUUUCAGUGGCUUCAAGUCUUUUUCGGGAGUACGAGUCUGUCAUGGCUCGGCUCUAGGAAGAGGUUAGGCUUCUGAUAGUAACUAAGAUGUUAGGGGGCAGGCGGAGGCUCAAGUGAUGUCCUCCCAAACAAGUUUCUAGCACCCUGGAAUGUAAGGAAGCUAAUGUUCAAGUGCAUUAUAUUCUUCUCCCUUGAAAAAGGUCUCCGCAAAAUGCAGGUAAGAUUCUGCAAAAAGGCGCGCAUGCACGCACGCACAAUCUUCAUCUAGCAAGUACUUCUACAAAUCUAAUUCUACCUAGUAAUGGUCACAAACAACAUUUUCUUCAGUUGCUGCCAGAACCACUCCUGUCAGCUAUCUUCCUCUUCUCUUUUAGUAUUUCAGUGAAAGGUUUAGGGCCCUGGAAGUCAUCUCGAGUUCUCUGCACACAUCUCGACUUCCUAAUACCACCUCCAUUAUCUCCUGCUUUCUUCUUCUCUUCUUUAAUCUGAGCAAGGGACUUGGGUCCUGUAAAGACAGUUAAAUCCUCUUUAGAUGAUCUCUUCUCCCUUGGUACUGGAUUCCUUGUGAAUUCAGAUGAAGGAAACUGUGGCUGAGCCAGCCUUCUUUCCCGAAGUUUCCGAGAUCUGUACUGCUGCGAAUGCUUACGUGGACGGCGUUGAAUUCCAGCACUGUUAAACACUUCAUUCUCCUUGCGUGUGUCAUGAGUUCUGUUUACUACUUCUGAUGCCAAUCUCCCAGGCCGACCCGUAUCAUGCCUUUGAGGCCAUUCUUGCCUUCUACCAAUUAACUGAAGUGAUUCAUGCAUUCUUGAUAAUCCAGAAACUGAACAAUCAUCAAUCACUCUUCGUCUUCUCAGGUGGUUUCUAAGAUCCAAACCCUCCUGGUCAUCUUCCAUUGGCAUAAGCUUCCUCUUGCGGGACAAUAUGGAAUCCAACAUUAUAUUUUCUGCAUAGCCAUGAAUACUUCUCUCAUUACCAAAAAGGUACCUGGUAUCUAGACAAUCAUAAGAGUCAUAAAUUUGGUUUUCAUAUAAAAGUUCAGCACCAGGACACAUGGGAUCAUACUCAUCUGGAUUGUCAUAAUCAUGCCACUCCUUAUUUAGUUCCCAGUGCUCUCCAUCUAGUGUGGGAAAGUACUCAGGGCUCACCUCACCACCCAAAUUAUCGACAAUAACAUCAAAGUCCGGAGAUGAUUCCCACCAUUCAUCUUGCACAAUAAGGUCAUCUGCUCUCUCCUCUGAACUCUGAUCAGUGAAUACUGGAGAUUUGCUAUGAAUAGAGCCUUCAGCUGGAAGAAGCAAGGGGUUUGAUCUAAUUUCAUCAACCUCUUCAUCCCCAUAUUCAGAAACAUGAGAAACACUUUUCUGUGGUUGUUCCCAAUCAUCAAGAUCCUGCUUAGGAUGGAAUUUUGUAUCUUGUAUCAACUGCUUAGGAUGGAGUCCAACCGUUGGUGCUGAUGCUGUUUCAUUUACUACAGAUGCCUUGUUUUCUGAAGGAAGUGCUUCAGUACAUGUAGAGGCUGUGUUCGAACAUUUCCCAGUUGAUACACUACCUUCAAUGUCAUGCAAGAACGUGCAGCUAUCACCUUUGCUGCACAUCCCAUUCAAGUAAAAGUAACAAGGAACGUUGCUCUUGUUUGCAGAUAUGGAAGAUGGGGCGGACUCUGAUAGUGCUGCUUCAUGCUCCUCCUCCAACGGCUUCAAACACAACUAUUCAAUAAGUAAUCAAAUGACCAAGGGAUUACAAACAGCCACUAAAGGUAUAAAUCCACCAUGAAUUGAUAAAAAUCUCCACUAGACAAUUCCAAAAAAAGAAAAAUACAGAUGUAAAACCUCAAUGCAAUUAAGUAAUAAUUUUCACUUGGUCAGAUGUCAACCAUCUAGUAUUCCUAAUACUUCUAUCCCAAAACGGUACUAGAAACAAUAUGUCACAAGGAAGUUUAGCACUUCAGCAGAUCAUUAUACACAAUUCAGUCAUCAAUAUGUCCGGAAUUUGUUUCAUAUAACAAGAGAAGGUAAUGUGAAGCUUACAGGAUGCCUAAAAGCACAGGAGAGAUUAAGACAAUCCCCAGCCAACCAGUACCAGCAAACUUUCGGAUUGAGCCUCGCAAUCUUGCUGUGUCGAAACUCACAUUCAAGUCCCUGAGUCACAAACAUCACCAUCACCAAUGUCACUAUCCAAACAAAGCACAAAGCACAAAGCACAAAGCUCAAAUGGUAUAUUCACACCCAAAUAAACAUUAAAAAGAAAACAAUGACGAAAUUGCUUGAGCAUUACAACAUGUAAAAACCCUGAAACGCAAAGCCAGCCAUUUUCAGAAACCCUAAACCUAGAAAUUGUAGGGUAAUCUGAUAUGAGAAUGGGUGACGAACCUUGUCGCAGGCGGGAGGGGUAGCCAUGAAAUGGACGCAAUCGGUGUUUCGCUUUAGCAAAUCUUCAUCAUCCAUUGCAAAACCAGAAUUGGCCACGAUCGAUAGGUAACAGAGAGAGCGAGUGAGAGCCUGAGAAGUUUAGUGAUUAGCAUUGUUGGGCCAAACCCAAUGCAAACUAACAGCCCAAUACAAACCAAUUGUUACAAUCGGGAGGAUCGAAAAGGUGUUUAAACCUCUAUGAAAUUUAAUCAGUGUUUAUAUUCCGAAUCAAUAAAACCACAAAGUGUUGAAUCAGGUUUUAUAGUCAAGUUGUCUUCCUGUAACAAUUUGUAUUUGCAGGAAUACAGAUACAGUGAACCAAGUCAUCUCAUCAUGCAAACGUAGCAGAUUCCUAUGCACACUAGGAUUCCAUUUAAAUGGGUAUAAACUCCAUAGAGAAAUUGUUAUGCUUCCUAUGAAAACAUCUUAUUGGCAGCAAACUGUUCCUAGUAAUUGGCUAAUCGCUUCAAAACCUAAACGGCCUCUGCUAAUUUUCAAAAUUUGUAAACCAUUUCUUCUGUGUAGCCAAGUUCUUUUAGUAUGCCAGAGAGCUGCAAUAAAGCAAAGAGAGAACUUAUCAGACUACAAAGCAGGAAGAAGAGAGAAAAGGUCAGGCAUUCGCCAUGAAAACAACACGAUGUCUUUCUUACCUCUCCUUGUGACCAGUCUUUAGCCUUGCCUCCAGAUAUGUGUUCCAUCAUCCCAGGAGGACCGCAUACCUGCAUGAGUGGACAAGUUGAAAUGAACGUUGGUUGAUGAAUUUGAGCAUAUACUGAACUAGAAAAAUACUUUUUUCUUAAUAUUCUAAGCUGUACAUAGUUAUACAAUACUAUAUGCAACAAGUAGAUGAGCAACUCCCCCAAAUAACACUUACAAGGAUGAGAGUAUCUUCAGAGGGACCAGGUAACCCUUUAACUGCCAUGUCCUUUGAUAUGAAGCCUUUCCCUCCUUUCCAACUCUUUGUAGGAUUAUCAACUGUGUAAUAGACCUGAUUUUUCCCCAUAGAAUACAGUCACAUUGUUUGAGAAAAAUAUUAAAUUUGGAAUGGCAAUAGUAAUUCUAAAAUGAGGCAAAUGGUACCUUCAAAUUAGGGUGGGCAGCUGCAAGUAGGUCAAGUUUCUGUUUAAGCAGUAUGUCAUCUGGAGACACAUUAGCAUAAAGCAGUGACACCUAUGUCAUCAUCAAAGUUUAAUAUUCUCAAUCAGACAUUAUUUUCAGGAGGGUAUAGUGAAUAGUUUCAUUGGAUUGACCAUAAAAAAAUGACAGUCACACAUAUGCGCUAAAUAUAGAAUUGUGAAGAAAACUGUAGUUAGACUCACCUUGGUUGUGUCAUCAGGAUUUUUAAGUAUAGCCUCAAUGACCUGAAGCAUUGGAGUGAUACCAGAACCACCUGCAAUCUGGAUGAAAUACAGAAAUUACACGUGAGAGGUGACCUACAGAAUUCUAAGUAAUUAUAACCGACAAAUGACUGCCCUUGAUAACUUGCUCUUACCAUGCCAAUGUGUUUCUUCAUGUUGGGAAUAUAUCUCAACUUUUCAAUAGGCCUGAAAGAAACAGAAACACCUGAUUAUAAGACAACUUAGAGUGUAUCCUCUACUACCCAUUUCACUGGUAAAAAUAGAUUACCCCUUCACUUCGAGUACAUCGCCUGGUUUUAAGCUUGCAAAAUGCUGGCUCAUUUUCCCUUCUGGAUACACCUACACACAAUUCCGAUGAAAGGAAAGAAACUUGAAAUCACACCCAUUAAUCAAUAAAUCAUUAAACACACAGCAAAGCAGUGUAUGUGACCACCAUAGACAGCAUACCUUAAUCAAUAAGUCAAAGUAUCCCUUGGACUCUGGAUCUGAUAUAGGAGUAUACCUGGAUAUAUAGGCACACCAAAUAAGUUUCUGAUGUUAUGGAAAUAAAAUUUGAGAACAACCACCAAAGUGAAAAGUGAAAUCCAGAACUCUAAUAAAUGGAUUCAAGUAAACGGCAUAGUUAAUGGACUUCAAAUGGUACAUAAUAAAGUUCUGAGAAAAUUGACGUUUGGAAAGAAAGACUUACGGGCGUGUGACAAAUUUUGGUUUCCCUUCAGCAUCUUGUCCAAUUGGAGCCCUAGUGUCAACAGGACCACAUCAAAAGAGAUUAGAUAUGAUGAAUAACUUCCAAUGAAUUAAGAGUUUUAUGACAAAGCAGAGUAUACCUUGUAAUGAGGCAUGAAGCCACAUCUAAACCUAACUUGGCGGUUGGGUCAAAUGUAAAUCUGCAAAUUUUGGAGAAUAAAGAUAAUUUGUAUAAGAACAUUUGUAUUGAAUAUGCUCAUACUAUUUGCAGAUCUAAGAGUAAGUUGAAAACAUUCCUGUUUAUAGUGCACCUCUGAUCAAAAUAAAAUUUCCAUCACUGUUGUGUAAGUAAAUUAAGGAUCUGACAAACUGACACAUUCUAUUCAUGUUAGCAUGUAUGAUGCCAGUUUCCAUAUUAAUCACCUGUAUGCUAUGUGUGGGCAACACAUGUUAUUUUUUACCAUAAGCUUUUAAUGGGGGAGGAUAUUAAAGAGAAAGCAUCACUGAGAAACUAGGAGUAAAUAUCAAACAUCAAACAAUAAGGUAUAGAGUGAUUGCUGAUUUGAGAGAGACUAGAAGAUUAUACCUGAACAAUUGAGUAUUGUGGCUAACUCUUGCCGAGUCUUGCAGCUUAAAUUCUGUCCAUUUAUUCGGAUUAAGUGCUGGAGAAACACGUUAAAAACAAUUACUCAGUAUGAAUUAGGGGUGACAAAACUGGACAUAUGGCAUAUGUCCAGGAUUCAUGCUUGAUAUGAUAAGUUGCUAAUACUUCAAGAUGAAAACCUUUAAGCUAAAUAUAUACUCUUAAAAAGUCCGAUCAAUUUUCCUCCAAGUGUUUGGGAAAAGAGAGACUCACCAACUUUUGGACCAGUCUGUUCUUCUUUGAUUUCAUCUAGAUAAACCUGUGAAAGAAAUAAGAGUAUUCAACUCUCAAUACCGAAGAACAGACUUACUCACAAACAACUUGCUACUUUGGCUCAUAUCAAAUGACUAACAUUUAGCCGAAAUGUAGCAUGUCAAUGUAUCACACACAGGUUUUACGAAGAAAACAAUACACAUAAACAACGUCGUAACAUGUUUCCCUCGACUCCCCAGUUGAUUAAAUUUAGUUGACAACGAACACCGAAAAAAAUGGGAAUGCAAUCAUCCAAUAAUCAAUGAAGGACAGACCUAAUUGACCGACAUAAUCCAGCAACUCUUGCAGUCGUAAAUGUAAUGCAUACAUGAUCUCCUGUAUUUUUGUUAACAUCACUCUUUCAACAGCUAAGCAAUAUCUAUUAUCUUACCAAACACACUCACUACUCUUAUCGAAACGAAAACCAAAUGCAUGAACAAUCUCUACAAGCUCCAAAAGAAUCUGAAUGAACCUCACAAAUCAAAUACACUACUAUCCUAAUCACUUUAGUUAACUCAACUCUACAUUCCAGAAUCAACACUAAAAAAAAAUCAAAAUCAAAGAUUAAGAUCACCAAAACCUAAUCCGCUACUCCACACACAAAAGCCACUGAGCUACACUACAUUGUGACAAAACAGGACUAAAAACCUAGACGAAACCGGCGAGAGAAUCUUACCGGAUCGGAAACCGACGAGUGGUAGUAGACGUACGAGAUUCCGCCGGAGACAGCCGCGAGAGCACCGAUCGGAAAGCGGAAGGCGGACCUGGAGUGGCCGGAGCCGGAGUUGAAGGCGGCGGUGAAGGCGGUUGGGGUGGCCUUGGCGAGUCUCUGAAAGAAGGCAGCCAUUUUCUCUCCAGGUAAAAGUAAAACCCUCGGUGCUGAAGAAGAAGAAGACUGAAGAAAAUGAUCUGGUGUGUACGCGGCAGUGAAUUGUUUUCCUACGCUGCUUGCGUGGAGGUCUUUGAUUCGAUGAGGAGGGAUGGUUGUAUCCAAGUCAGAGACGUGUAUUUUGGAUUGGGCGGGCCAGAGAGUCGAAUAUGGGCCUGGCCCGGCCUUAUACUGCGCUGUAUAAGGGUUUAGGGGUUAAGAAUGAGGAAAAAUUUGUGCAGUUUUUUGUUAAAGACAAUUGAAUUCUUGAUCUAUUGAGUUAUGAAAGUUUCAGAUUGAUACAAAUUUGUGAAACACGUUUGAGAUUUGACUCUGCUAAUGCAAAUAGUCUAAAUAAGCUUUACCAUAGAGAACCGAAACAAACAUAUAGACGUGCUUAGUGAGUAUGACGUGCAAUAUGGCACAUCCGUCACGCGGGAGACUUGCUUGUUGGUGAGUAUAUGGCACAUCCGUCACGCGGGAGGCUUGGUUGUUGAUCCAAAGUGUUUUUGGCCACGUAGACAAAUCUGUGAAAUAUGCCAUGUCUGCUUCACAUGGGUUGGACCCCCAUUCCAUCACAAAGAUUGGAGUCAUUAGGUUUUGGUGAUACGUCCUUAGCUACUGGUUCAUGCUGACAAAUUCCAGUGUUAUAAAACUAUAAUCAAUUUUUGUUCCUUAAAUUCUUGUUAGUGUCGCCAGUUACUACUUUAUUCACAAGAUCUAUAUUUCUUGCUCAUGAGAAAUCAACAUUUGUUGCUAAUGUGCAUUAAUACACACUGGUCUCAUACUCAUUGCAUUUGUUGAAUUUGAUUGUUCUAUGAUAUGACUUUUACCUUUAUAUAGAGAGUACAUAAGUUAGGUAAAAUAAGGUGAGUUGUUUUGAGCUGAUAUAUGUAGAUGAGACGUUGGAAGCAAUUAAAAGUCAUUUACAGAUAACCGUUUACAUCAAUUAAAAGUCUGUAUUCGUAUACAGAGAUGUCAAUCAAUCACUUGUUUUGUAGACCGUUUCGUGAGACUGUCCUCGCCUUUAAAGUCCCGUGCAGAUAACCAUGCUGAUUUAGAAUAGUUAAAAACGUUUAAUUAUUGAAUAAUGCAAUUCUCAGCAAGUAACCAAGUAUAGUAAAAUUGCCAAACAAAUAAAUUUAUUACGUGGGGUUAAGCAAUGAGCAUAUGAUUCUAUUGAGCAGUGAGUGGUGUGAUCCUGAUAAGGAUGAUGAUGAGGAUAAGUUUAUCGUUUCCAGUUUGUAUAAAUCAGUCACUUUCUCAACAGUUUAUAGCUGGAUUAAAACAGUGAAAAAUGAUAAGCCAGAUAAUCAACCCUCACCUUCAUCUUAGACUCAACUAGCAAAGGGGUAGGUCCCUUCAUAAAACAAUUCUUCAUGGAGAUUGCCAGAAUCUUCAAACAAUUCUUCAUGGAGAUUGCCAGAAUCUUCAUCUGGGACAAACCAGGAAGAUAUUUUGGCUGGUGUUCAAUACUAUAAAUGGAAAAAAAUGAUAGGGGAAGAGAUAUUUUGUGUUUCUUAUAAUACUAUAAAUGGCUCAUGUUAUUUUCUUAAGGAGUGAAAGUUGUUUUUCCGACAUGCGAAGUUUAACACGUUACAUUAUUUACAUUCCGGCAUGAUGGUGUAACCGCUCUCUUGUGAGCUCCGGCACAUUCAUGUGCUUAACAUUUUGGCCAUCUGAAUUGGAUACGAUAACAACACAAAAAAUAGACCAAACAUGAUCUGUAGUUUAACAAUGGACUAAUUUCAGUUUACCCCUAUUAAUUUUAGGUCGAUCAUCAUGUUAAUAUUUUUUUUUUCAAUUUCAUCAAAAACACCCCUCGACUUCCAAUUUUCAUCAGCCGUGUCCAAACAUCUGUUUUCCAUCCAAUUUUUCUGUCAUGUGAUGACUUGCAUUAAGAAGAAAACCAAAUUUGAAGUCGUUGAGCCCACAAAAAACGGCAAAAUAGACAAAUUACAUCAAUUUCAUCAAAAUCACUAAGGUUAGGUGGUUGUGAUGGGAACAGAGAUGUGUAUCGAUAUGGAGGGAAAAUGGUCAGAAAGGUUAUUUUUCGAAAUUUGAUUUUCUUCUUGAUGUCACAUCAUCACUUAACGGAGGAAUUAAAUGGAAAACGAAGGUUUGGACACGGCUGAUGAAAAUUGAGAGUCGAGAGGUGUUUUUGAUGAAAUUGAAAAAAAGAAAAACUAAUAUGAUAAUCGACCUAAAAUUAAUAGGGAUAAACUGAAAUUAGUUUUUUAACAAGCAUGAUCAUGAGAAUGAGAAUAAUAAGUUAAAAUGUUAUGAUUGUUAUUAUUAUCUCAACCAAUGGAAUCCAGAUGAAAUGUGUCACUGAUCUGACUGGUGAUGAAGAGUCCUCAGAACAAACUUGCAAGAAUUUACUAUAUUAUGGUACAUGUGAUAAGGCAAAGAAAUGAUUUGUAAACUAGGUGAAUGGACUUGGAAGAAGACAUGUGUAUCUGCCUGUCGAUCUGUGUUUCGCUGAGUUCAAACGGUAGUUCCAAUAAUUGGAGGACGACCAAUGGUAUAUGACUAUAUGUCAUGCAUGAUGAGUUUAGUACUCACUGGUUGAUAUAGAUUGAAAAGACUUUUUGUUGUUUCUUCAUAAGCAACCAAGUACCAACAACAAUAGUGAACCGUAUGGAGAUCCUAUGGAGAUUCAAGAUCGAAGAUUGGAGGAUGCAAUGGCGGAUCCAGUCCAUGGGUGCCUGCAGUGAACGCAUUCCAAGUGUUCAACCUGUUCAUAUUUUAAGAUGUUCGACAAAUUACUUCAACAUGAUCUCAAUAUGAUAUGAUAUGUAUAUUACUUGCUUCAUCGUCAGUCAAUGUGUUUCGCUUGUUUGGGAGAAAAUCAAUCCUCUAGAAACCACAUGAUGUCCAAUUCAUGGUUUUUAUACAAUCUAUGAUUGAUAAUGACAACAUCAAUUAAAUCACUCGAGUAGUUUCAUGAGUGUCGACACUGUUAAAAGUGGGCGAGUAAGAUGUUCGAUAAAUUACUUCAAAAUAUCUAGAGAAACAAAUGAUCGCGGCAUUUACACUACCUAACAACAACGAAAACGAGAGGUGUCAUAUUGUACUUCUGGGUGCGUUCAAGACUACCCAAGUUUACUCCUGAGAAUUAGUUGAGCACUCACCAUCCUAGAAGUAAAUCACAGUGAAGUCCAGAUCACACUGCAAUCCUGAUCAGAAUUAACAGAUAGAUAUAUACAAGUCCAAGGUGGUAAAUAAUAGUCUUCACCACAUAGAUAUUUUGGCAUUCAUUUUUCUUCAGUUGCAUUAUAUUAUAACAUUGUUUCUUCAACGGCUGAGAAUGAAGCAAUGUUGGCAAAACCUGACAAGAAAAUUGUGUGAAGAUUCCUUGGAACUUUGCAUGAUUGGACCUUCACUCUGAUUAUUUCCAUAUAUAAAAGCCCUCCAAAAGUUCAUAACUCCCCUUGUGGUCUGGAAAUGCCUCAUCACAAUUCUCACUUAUAGCAAUGAAUUCUUCUUAAGGGUUUUGGUAUUUAGUUUGUAAUACUGUGCUGCACUAGUUUAGUGUAGCUUUUGAGUAAAGGAUCUGGGGUCUGAAAAUCUUCCAUAGAUUCUUUAGAUCCUUGUGUUCUUGGGUUUCUUUUUCUACAAGCAACACCAUGUAUACUUGUAGAAGUAGAAAUAUGCUUAUGGGGUCUUGAUUAGUGCAAAACUAGCUUGACAAUGUUCUUCCAUACCCAAAAUCGUCCAACUUUUCUUCUCGGUGUUCUAACCGUAAACAGAACCCAAAACAGAACCAAAUCAAGCCCAUCUAUAGCUGUACAAGUAUCCUCAGUUCUACAAACUAAUGGAAAAGGUGGAAAUGGGAAUGGAAAUCUGUCUGAUCAACCCAAGAAAGGCAUGGCUCUAAAAAAGCGUCAAGUCUCUAAUUUUGUACUAAGCCAACCAAACACUGUGGGAAUCAUAGGAGGAAUGUCUGUAUAUUCUAGCCUACUUUUCUUGGAGAAGCUUGUUUGGUGGAGUUUGAAAGACGGAGGUGAAUGCCCUCCUUUCCUUGUGUGCAGUGAUACAACACAAUACAAAGAGCUUCCGAUUCGCAGUUUGUUUCAAUCACUCAGGAGAAAAUCUACUGAGAUCAAAUAUUCAAGCAACAAUUGGGCCAUCAUUGACAGCUUGUGUCGAAAAAGGGCAUUCCUAGAGAACUCUGGGGCUCAAUGCAUAGUCAUGCCAUGCCAUCUGUCUCAUGCUUGGCAUGAACAGAUUUCUCAGGACUGUUCUUUGAGCUUCCUUCAUGUUGGUGAGUGUGUUGCUAGAGAGCUCAGAGAAGCAAAGAUGAAGCCACUCGAAGCUGGGAGUAAUGUGAGGAUUGGGGUGCUUGCUGCUGAUGCAACUUUAACAGCUGGUUUUUACCAGCAGAAGCUAAGAAAUCAGGUACACAUUUAGAAGCCACUUAUAUGAACCAAGCUUCCUAGCAUGAGUUGCAUUGUAUACUAAUUCUAACAUAUUUCGGGUCUAGUUGUCGUCUAACAUGUUGUUCAUCAGUUCAUGAUGUGAAGAGUCUUUGGUUUCUGGUGCAGGGUGAGGCAUGGCCUAUGUGUUUCUCUUCGCCUGCAUUUCUACAGCUAGAGUUUUCGAGUCUAGUGAUUGUGUACUCCUUAUACCAUAUAAGCUUGUUUAAAUUGAUCAAAGUUGUGUAGAAGCAAUGAGCAUGGACCUUAAGUGAUACUAACCAGCACAUAAAUACUUUGUUCAAAAAUGGGUGUCACUGGAACAGUUUUCUUUGUUUGAAUGGAAAAUGCACAGGGCUUUGAGGUUGUUGAACCAGACAAAGCAACAAUGGAACAUGUCAUGAUUCCUGCAAUCGAGGCAUUGAAGAGAAGGGACAUGGAAGGGGCACGCAAUCUGUUAAGAAUCGCGGUGCAGGUUCUGUUGGUGAGGGGAGUGAACAUUGUCAUCAUCGCUGCUGAUGAAUUGCAGGGUGUUCUGCCUCAUGAUGAUCCUCUUCUUAAGAAAUGUAUUGAUCCCAUGGAUGCCUUGGCCAGGUCAACCAUAAAAUGGGCAAAGGGCACAGGAAACGGUGGAUGAAGAUAGCAAAAUGAGCAGCAGACCCAAACAUGUAUAUAAAAUCUUGCUGUCAUUGGUGAUGGCUUUGUGUCCAUAAACCAAGCUAUGCUUCACCCUCUCUCCACAAAAGCAUUUAGAUCUUGAAAAUCAACUGGAGUAAUCAAAGAAUGAAGGACUUGAAAAGCAACACACCUGAAGUUGAUCAAGAUUCAAUGACUAGGAGUCGGGUUAUUCUGUGUUUGUACAAUAUGUUAUGCUUUGUCUAGCUUCCCUGCUCAUACAUUGAAAUUUAUUGUAAUAAAUCAAGUUCAACCCACAAGAGAAGAAAACUAGUAUAUUAAGUAAAUUACUUAUGCAUUUAUAAGAUUCAAAACAUAUAUAGUUAUACAGGUAGUUAUAUACACAGACGUUACAUCUGGAAGAGUAAUGUGAUCAAUCAAAAAUUAAACAAUAUACUGUUGCAAGGAUGGAAUGGUAGGAAUAAUCUCAAGAAGGAAAAGCAAAAUUCAGACAUUGAAUAACCUGGAUGUAACCUGGAGUUUAGUUCACAAUCAAAAGAGAACUAAUCCAGGAAUUCGAAAUAUGGAUGAAGUGAAUCACGACUACAAAUUCGAAUUAGAACCACAAGGUUGUUUUGAAUGUGCUUUGGCACUGUCCGGUGCAUCCUGAUAAACCCAAGAAGAUAUGAGGUGAUGGGCAAUUGCAAAUGGCCCCGGUAUAAACAUGGGAGCAAGUUCACCGCUUUCCACAUUGAAGUCGGCAGACAAGUUCUGUCCUUUCUCAACACCCCUGCACAUCUGCUCAACCUUCUCUACCGCUGUUUUCUGUGCCUUCUCGUAUUCAGCAAACGUUAAAGCUUUUUUGACAUCUUCUCUACUGUGCCACUCGGCGUCUAGUCAAACAUAAGUGUAAAGAAGAUAAUGAGAACUUCAUCUAAUCUAAUACGACUAAAAUGUAGCAUAUCAUUUUUAUCAAAAAAUGCACAAACAAAAUUCUUGCAGAUGCUCCCAGUUCUAUCACUAAGAUGACUUUCUUUUUAGGUCACGAUAAAAAGACUGAAAUAGUUCAUAAUCUUUAUCACUAAACUGUUUCUCAUGGGAAAAACAGAAAUCACACCAAAUUUAUUUUUUUCCACAGGAGGAAAAGUUGAUUAUAAAGACACGGCAGCUUACAGUCUUAUACUAUAAUAGGGCUUUAUUAUAAAUGAUUAAAUGCAACAAUAUAUUAUAUCCUACGUACCUUCCAACUCUUCCUUGUCGACAUUUAUAUCAAGUGAUUUGGCAUAUGCAAAGAAACCAACCAUCAACUGGCAUGGCAUGCUACUUGGUCCAACUGGAGACAAGCCAAAUUAAGAACUCAAUCAAUCAAUACAGAGCUAAAGAAGAUAUGCAUAAUGCUGAAACAAAGUUUGAAAUGUACCCACCAGGCCAUGGUUGAGAGCUAUGAUAGACAACUUCUCCUACUUCAAUACCAGUCUCCUCCCAUGUUUCUCGCUUCACCGCUUCUUCUAAGCUUUCUCCUGGCUAAGGACAACAAAAAGAUCGAAACUAAUGAAACUGCUUUUUAACCCCCAAAUGGUCCUCAAAUUGGCCAAGACACUAACCUCUAUAAAUCCAGCCAAGCAACUCCACAUUCUAGGUACAAAUCGAGAUUGCCUACUUAACAGAGCACGGUCAUUUUCUUUAUCAAUCACUAACAUUAUGACAACCUGUUAAAAUGGCAAAUGUAUAAGACAAUAUAUAAGGAAUUGAAGCAGUUACUAAUUGAAAUCUAUGAUAGAAGCAAAUUCACACCGGAUCAACACGAGGAUAAACUCGCUUUCUGCACAGCUCACUAGAACACUGCUUACGUCUCCCAGCUUCUUUGGGGACUGUCUUUUCUCCACAAUGUCCACAAAACAGUGCUGUACUAUGCCAUUCAAGCAAAGCCCUGGCCUGAUCACCCACACAAAAACCAUACAACACAUUUCAAACUAUAUUCGAAAACAAUCAAAACAAGAUCAAACUUCAAUGGAAAUGUCUAUUCUAUUAUGUCAACACUCAACACCAACAUUUGCAUCAAUAAUCAAACUCGAAAGCAUUAACCACAAGCACUUACAUGACCAGCAACGGCCAGCUCUGCCAUAGCCCUUUCAUCAGCCCAAUCAGUAGCCACCAUAAGCGUUCUGAGCUCAACAAAACACAACUGCUUCCCACCCAAUUCAGGAACCACACCAUCCUCCUUAGACACAUCAACAGCCCAAUAAACCACAUCCUCCUCAGGCCUUGAACCCAGAUACACAAGUGAAUCACCACUCAACUCAACCCCACAAUUACCCAACAAUCCCUUACAAUCAGCCAAACUGAUCCAACCCAGACACCAAUUUGGCUUCAAAUCACUGAUCCCACCAUUGGUUGAGGCCAAAGGCCUCCCCUUUCUGAAAGGCAGGACCUUGAAGCUUGGUGAACAAGAGGGCAAGUGGGUAUUGUCCAAAAGUUGAGUCUUGAGGGUCUCAAGGGCUUGGGUUGGUGAAAAAGGGUCACUGAGUUUUGGGGUCUUGGAUCUCAGAGGAUUGCCAGCAAAGGCAUGGGACUGGAGGUUUAUGGACAUGGUGGUGGGAACUGAACAAAGGGUUCUUCUUGUGAAAUUGGGGAGAACAAGCUUUUUGGAUAGGGCUAGGAGAUGCAGUGAGCAAGAAGAGAAGAGAGAUAGCUUGACCAUGUUUCCAUUGGGUGAUUGAUUUGUCUAAUUUUUUUUGGGAGAAAGCCAACAGAGGUAGGUGGUGACUAAGGACUCUGGUAUAUCGACAACUGUCCUGAUUGAGACCCCAUGGCUGCGGCUGCCUUGCCAGACUUGCAGCCACAGAAUCAAAAUUUGCAUUUCCUAACCAGAUUUACCCUAUUGAAUCACAUCUAUUUUUGAUGUCACAAAUGUGAAAUUUUAAUGCAUUCAACACCGACGUGAUUCAGUGUGGGGAACAAACUUCAGUCCUUGUUAUACAGUACACAAGAAUGCAGCAUCCAAGAGUUUGAAGUACAAAACAUACCACAUUGUAUUGGUACAAUGGUACAGGUAUUUUAUUGCUGAUUUGGAAUAACAUGAAAAAAUGUAUGUAAAAAUAUAGGUAUUUUAUUGCUGAUUUGGAACAGUACAAUCACAUUUACCACAAUCAAGAAACUCGCUUAUUUGAUGUUGUAAAACAAUGGCAAGUUUUGCAACAAAACUAUGACACAAUAGGGAACCAGAAUAAGAAACAUAAAACCUAUUGACCUCAAUGAAAACAAAUCUUCCAGGACCACAAAUAUUUCAAAACUUGGCAGCAAUGCUAAGAUAUGAACUUGAACUCAGCUCUCCACCAGCGGGACAUCAUCAAGCCAGUCACCAUAUAUGCGAUUGAUCUGCUUGAUCUUCAUGGAUCCUCUCCAUUUAAAUCCGCACUUCUUACCCUGCACUUCUUCGUUUACAGCAGCAGGCAUUGCUGCCAUUGCAAGUGUAGAUGAAUCAUUAAUAGGAACAGCUUGUGGUUUCGUUGAAAUGGGAGCACUUGCCAUCAGUUCUGCUUCAACCCGCAUACCAGGCGCUUGUAACUCUGAGAUCAAGAGUUCAAUUUUAUGUGAUAUUAGCAACCAAAGGGCCAAACAAAGUAUGAGAACAUAUCCUAAAGCCAAAUUCCAAUUCAUCUCACAAGAAUGGAAAGAUGUCACAAACACGCUCAGACAAGAACUCCAUGAGCAUGAUAAUGAUAAUGUAUACACCAAGUGAAGGUUUAACUUCUAAAUGCAACAUACCACAGAAAAACACAAUGCACAAAUGGAGAGAUUCAAGUACAAGCAUUUAGCAAACACUGAUUUAGGUUUAGAAACUGAGAUUCACUCGGUCCAACAGUUUUACAGUUCUGUUCCAGGAAGGUUCACCAAUGUCUAGAGGCCAGUGCCAAUAUGGUUUUAGGACCAAAUUCAGAGUCAAUCUAGGUUUAAUUUUGAUAUGAAUGUAACUAGGAAUGCCUGUUCAGGGUUAGAGUUAAUCAUAUUAAGCAGAUGACCAAUAAGCACAUAGUGACAAUGCUAAAUUCAAGAUUACAUGAGACUAGCAAAUACCUUCUUGCCCAUGAGCAAAGUGACACUUCUCGCCAAACGGACACUUUCCUGUUUGCUCCCACUUAUUACAAAUCUUAGUCUUCCAAUAUGGCUUCGGAGUUACUAGGAAGGUAUUUAUACCAGUGUUUGGCCUAUUCUCCUCCAAACUAGUGCUACUUGCAUGUGGCAUCGGUGCUCCUGUUGUCCCAAUGCUGAUUGCUGCAUUCUCCCUAUACCUACUCGAAUCCUCCCUAAACUUUGCUGGUUCUUCAUGACGAAAGUUACACCUGUCUCCAUAAGGACACUCCUCCCCAUUAUUAAACUUCUUGCAGAGCUUCAUCCUGUGAAUUAUCUUCUGAUCAUCCUCCCAAUUACCAGUUAAUGGCCUAUCCUCGUCACGCACGGUAACAAGCUCUUGCCAAUUGGGAGGCGGCUGGCGAAUGUCAUCAAUGCCAUGUGCAUAGUUGCAAUUCUCACCAUUCCUACACGAACCAUUCUUAAAAUUUGCACACAGACGAGUCUUGUAAAAUAUGUUGUUUGCUCCUCUAUUAACCGGAGCAUUUGAUGGGGGCAAUCUAGCAUUGUUCAUUGGCGGAUAUGGCAUUGGAUUCGAUUGGGGCUCCUCGGAAUUUCUAGGCCUCUUAAAGGGUGGACCUUGCUGCUCAAACUGAGAAUGCUGAUCUUCAUUGUUCAUAGCAAUAGGAGGCCAGCAAUUAACAGCAUCACUGCCUCCAACAUAUAGCGAUUGGACCGGCAUAAACGAUGUUUGAUCAGAAUAAUUCAUAUCCAACAAACUACUCUAAAUCUUGCCUCUGUAAUCAAAUCAAAUAAAAAAGACUUAGGCUUUCAAACCACCUAGAAUCAAUAAUGCAAUAUCAAAUCAACAAUCUUUACACAAUGCUUAAAAGCCUCAAAAUCCUAUACAACCAUCAAAAGUAGCAUUUGCAGUGAAGAAUCAAAAGAACUGACCAGAUGGAUGAUCAAAACAACAAGCAGGGUCUGAUCAACAACACCCAAUUCUGCAAAAGUCACAAAGAACCAAACUUUAACAAGAAAACUUCAAACCCUGAUGAGAAUUGUGGGUAAAAGCAGAAAACCCAAAUUGGAAUUUGGGUUGAUCACACACAACCCUUUAUAUAUGAAAGAAUAAAGAAGCAAACUUUAUCAAAACCCUAGCCGCCAAGGAUCUAAAACCCUAAGUUGUUUUGGUUAAGAGGAGAAGCGAAAUCGGUGACUCUUAGUCGUACCCACUACCACUAAGAAAGAGCUGCGCCUUAAACCCUGACGCGUCCCAAAACCCUGAGAUUUCGGGGUAAAAAAAAACUGAUGGGAUUUACGGCUUUGUAAAUUUUUUUAGUUUAACGUUUUUAUAGGCAGGCACUGUCAUACGAAAGCGGUUACGAACUGGAACUGUGGGGCCAUCCUUUGUACUUGCUUUGCACCACGUGUGUCUUCUCCUAGGUUUCUUUUUGUCUGGUUGUAUUUCCGUUUUGGAUUAGGAUAAACCCUUUCGAGUCGAGUUGAACAUGAUCCAGAAGGUUUAGAUCAAACUUAAGUUCAAGGCUUGUGUUUGGCAGUUGGAACUUGAUUAUAAACACCUUUAGUAUGUGCUACAUAAAAGUUCAUGUUGAACUUGAACGUACAAUAAAGUAGAUUUUUUUUUUUUUAAACAAUCAAACUACUCAAACGAGGCCACAUGAAAGAAGUCAAAUACAAGAAGAAAGUGAAUCUUAACAAAAUUGAAAAGUAUGUAGCCCCAAAACAGAAUAGCUAUAAGAGCGAAUAAAAUUUGAAGACAUGUCCCACCAUGGUAGAUCAUCAUAACUGAUAUUCAAGUUAUCAAGAGCACUAGCAGAUUGGUUCCAUUCUCAAUAAAUAUGGGAAUAACGAAAUGCAUUUGAGACAUACGUUACAAACAAUUAUGCCGCUCAAGCUGUAACUAUCAAAGGACCAAGUGGAAAGAAUGAAUAAAUGAAAGAACAAGGGUCGAAUUCUAACCAUAUAUGUUUUAGUAUUCUAUUUGGUUACACUCAAGCUAACCUAAUGUCUUAAUGAUCGUCGUAGAGUUCGUUGCCACAUAGCUCGAAAUAUUAAGAUACGAGAAAGUUAUGAACUUGUGCCAACUAUACACUAUUACAACCUUUACAAACUAAAUAAGUCGAGCUUGAUUUCUAUUUAUUUUCUAAUUUGCAUCGAAGUUUAACCUUUAGGUCUAGAGCUUAAUGAGUCGGAGACACGUUUUUACACUCUUACCGAGAACAAAUCAAAAUAUAACUUCAAUAAAUGUUGGUAGGUUUCGUAUGGUUCUUAGAGCAUCGAUCUCCAACAGCUUUCCUAAAAUUUCUCUAAAAUGGAGAAGCAAAAGCUAAAAUAUCUAAAAAAAUUAUGCUCAAAAUCCAACAGCUUAUCUAUUUUGGAGAUUUAGACAUUUAAUACAACAAUAAAAUAUACUAUAUCAUUAUUAAUUAUAACAAAAAACCAUUAUAUAUUUCAUUGUAACAAUAAAAUACCCAAUAAAAUAUUAUAUUGUUAUCUUGAAGUCGUUGGAGCACGUGAAGAGUUAAAUUUUGGGGAAGAAAUGCUUUGUUGCAAAUUUGAGGAAUGAAAAUUUUUUUUCUUCUCCAUCCUUAUUUUGGGGAAUGAGAUGGGAAAACUGUUAAAUCUAAAAACAGCUCUAUAUAAGUGGCGGAUCCAAGAUCUAAUAGUUAUCUAGGCUAAUUUUUUAUGUGCAAUUUUUUUUUUUUUUAGUUAAAAAAGUGAUGAGCUCUGAAAAUAGAUAUCGGCCAACAUAAGCACAAAUAGAUAUAAAUCAUAAAGAGUUUAGAUCCCUAAUAAGCACCGCAGCUUGCUUUGUGGUAACAAUUACCAAUCUUGGUUGCCGAUCUCUACCUUCACAAGUAGAUAGAGUAUAGAUCCCAAUUUAAUUAUUAACCACUUGAGCUUCGUUUUAUGGUAUGAACUGUAAUUUACUGGAAACAAUUAUCAAUCUUUAAGUAAGAAGUCGAGGCUUAUAUGGAGUAUGGUAAAAGAUAUAGUACUCAACACGGCUGCAAUAUAUAUAUACCCUACUUGAGGCUUUUUGUCCUAAAAUUCUCUGUAGGCUUGAGCCUAUAAAGCCUUGUACAUGUAUCCGCCCAUACUCUAUAUUCUUUAAAAUUGAGAAAUUAAAAAAAAUAAAGAAGCUAUAUAAUCAUCACACAAGAAGCAUAAUCGGUUCAAAGAAACCCAAUUUUGAUGACUAAUCGAAGCGUCAAGCGACUGAGGUAAAGAAAGUAACAAAUCAACCAAUGAUCGAUAAAAGAUGAAAAACAAUGAGAAGACAAUAUCAUGAGAGAGUGGUAUUAUUGUUUACGGUAAGUCAAAGUUGUUUGUCCCAAGCAAGCCCCCUCCCCAGUCCCCACUGCAGAUGAACUCUCUCCACCGAUCACCUGUACUCCGUCCACCACCGUCUCCACGCCCCUCCAAUCUCGGCGCCGGCGGUCUCCUCUUCCAGACCUCCAUAAAGCAGGUUCAUUUACCAAUUCUUCCAUUAACAUGUGAUACGAUCGAUAUUGCGAUUGGAUCCCAGAAAAUUUUGAUUUCAUUCCAUUGGCAAAACCUAUUAUUGUUUGAUCACUUCUAAAGUUUAGUUAUUUCUAUGUCCUGUGUUCGAUUUCCCUUUUGCAUGCACUCUUUAGGCUAUGUGGGAUGCUCCAAGUUGACAUUUUUUGUUUAUCAGUUUUCAAAGUCAUUACCUUGAUCUCAAUAUUACAUGUGUUUACUUUGAUGAGUUAUACUUGUGGCACUAGAAAUCCAGAAUCUUACGAAAGCUAAGUAAUGGAGUGUAGGGAUAACAAACCAUAACAUAUCGAUGAGUCCAUUUCGACAAUGAUAUACAGCUCUGAUGAAUUAGAGGUCAAUGAAGGAAGACCUAUUAAUAUGCUCAUGAAGUUUUAGGCCGGUUGGGAUUUGAAACUUUUAUCAGUUUCAUCCAAAUUUAGAAAGGGCAUUAUGAAGGUGGAAUCCAAUGACAAAUCUUUUCUAGCUAUUGCGCAUGAUGUUCAGUUUAGGGUGAGUUUGUGUGCUUUGUUUGCCAUCAAAUGAAAUGCUAGAGGUAUGGAGGGAAAAGUUGAAUUUGACUUGCUUUGAACUUCUGAUAUAUGCAUCUAUGCUUUAUUGAAUCGCAGCAUCUGGUUCUUAUCUGCAUAAUUAUUGGUUGCUCGGAUAUUUGAUACUUAAAGGGAUUGUAAAUUAUUGCAGCGAGAGAAGGCCCUGUCAUCUAAAGUGAACAACUCAGAGAUUCCUUGAAUCCAAUAUCUGUUUUUCUUUUCUGAGCUAUUUUCUUGUUGGUUUGAAUCUAGAGCUCUAGUUAACGGUCCACGAUUUAGACUUCAAUUUUUCCGUUGAUCUUUGUAACCCCUCUGAGGGUUGGACCAUGUUGUAAAGUAGUAUUGAAUUACCAAUAACAUAUGUUCCCCACCCACACACACAAAGCCUGAGUGAGAGUUGAUAGAGGUACAGAAAACUAAGUAACUCCAUUAAUAAAAGACAGAGAGCAGAAGAAAUUGCCUAAUUCAGUUGCACCUUGCAACUUAAUUGGAAACCCUCCCUAAAACAGUUGUAUGAUUGAUUGGCUAUACUUGAGAAAAUGUGCCUUCAACCAUGACCACCUAAGUUUAUUUAUUUCUUAAAGGAAAGUGGGGGGAAAUUAAUAGACAGAUUUUGAGAAGGAUCUGAGUGUAAGAGUCUUCUACGCCUCAUUUCCUUAAACGUCAGCAUCUGAAUUCUGUAUUACAGACCUGCAACCAAGCAACAUUUACAAUCAUGUUCAGAGCCACUUAUUUUGUGUUGGGAAACCAAUGACUUAGGAAGAUUAGUACAUACCGUAGUCCUUUGGAGUUUUGCAUUUGUAACAUUCUUGCCGGUUAGCAUAAUUGUGCAUUCCACAUCCGACUCUGUUUCCAAUCAAAAUGCCAUAACAAUUAGGAAACUGAAGAGAAAUGACAGUAUUCUCUAGCACUAUACGUACAGAUCCUUUAAGUUAAAUGUAAAAUUUAAGUUAAAGGAGAGUGCUAUAGUUAUAGGCUUAUAGCAAAAUAUGGUGAAAGAUUGGAGGCUAGUUAUCUCGCAACAUGCAUUUUCAGUGGCAACUGCUAAGUGAGUAUGUUCUAGUCUACAUUAGGUUCUAUUUUAUCUAGAGACUUUGCAUGCAAAAUAAUACACAUAUUAUCUAUUACUAGAUGUGAAGUUACCUAGUGCAAAUCCAGUCACCAGCUUUCCAUCCUGGUGGUGCACUGCCAUCUGGAGCCAUCAUGUUGUACCCACCACAGUAGUCAUUUUUCAAUGCACCACAUCUGAAGCAAUUUGGUCUCUGUGCAUAGUUGUGAGCUCCACAGUUGCAAAACCAGUCCCCUGCCAAGACUUCUGUUCUGUUGCAUCCAUAUGUUGAGGGAUCAGGGCCACCAUACUUAGGGUAUUCGCAUCGUUGGCAUGCUUCUCUCUUUUUAAAAUUCAAGUGCUGGCAUGCGCCACACAUCCAGUCUCCUCCUGCCCAGCUCAUUCUUCCUGUGUAUGCAAUCAACAUGAGAUUUAGCAUGAUAAACCAACAUUUUAAAUAUUUUCAUUUUGUGUGAUUAGAAAUUUAUUGAGAGGCUUCAUCAGCAACAAGAUGACAGCUUAACUAGAGAAGAUGUAUUGUUUUGUGAUAGCUGAGAUAUCCAAGGAAGUCUAAAGACAAAUAUUAAUAUAUGGUAAGGGAUACUAAUUCUACUAGCUCAUCAGUACUAUUCCAUGAAUGAAGAAAGAUAUUCUGCAUAAACCUGGUCCCUGGCCUGAAGUUCAUAUAGUGUUUCAAUAAUAACAGCUUUAGGAGUCUCAAAGACAGGGAAUUAUCUGAAUUCCAGAACACAAAGUAGAAGGAAGGAGCUAGAGAUCACCUGAAGGAAAUACAAAAAAAUUGGGACUGUAGUAGCUCUGCUUGAACUGUGCCUGUUGUAGAAGAAUACUACUUGUCGAUGAGUUGGUGUUCUUGUUGUUCGGCUUGGACGGUUUAUAUAGUAGUUGUUCAAGGCUAGAUGUGUGGGGGCCAUGGAUGUUCCUGUUUUAUUCUCUGGCUUUCAGAUAGGUUUUCCUUAAUAUGCAUAGAGGAUUCCGUAAGAUUGUUUCUUCAUGUAUAUUUUAGGAUUCUUCACUCAACUAGUUACUUCGGUUUCUUUUACUACUGUUGAGAGUUAGAAGAGCAGGGUGGCAAGUAGCAUGGGUUUCUAAAGGUGGCAGGCAGAACUAGCCAGUUGAGUUCAUGCAUGAUGCAUACACACAACACAAUUUUCCCAAUAAAAUUCCACAUGUGACCCCCACCCCUGCCCCAUCUUUACAAUAUUCUUCAUGCAUUAUUGCCAAAAAUACACUUGGAACUAUUAUUCCUCCUGUUCUCAGUAUAUCCAAAACAUUUAUGUAUGAAGGUGUUAUGAGGGGAAGUUGCUACUUGAAAGUUGAAGGAGGCCCAGAGAAUAUAUCUUCCCUGUUUUAUGUCAAAGGGACUGCAAUCUGAUCGCGUAAGUUAUCUGAUCACCAUCUUGUAAUACUUAACCUGUACUUAAUACAUCCCUUAUCAUAUGAUAAUCUGUUGACUGAUUAUUGCCGCAUGGUGCAACUUGACACUAAUGUGAUCGGAAGAUAUGAUGUGGUUUAUCUGGUCACCAGUUUGUUGCAGGUAAUGUGUAUUCAUUACAUCAAUUAUUAUGAUGGAUCAAAUUUAGCUCUGUUAUGUAUUGUGAUCGAAAGAUAUGGUCCUGCAGGGUUAGUCUUUUUUCUUUCUUUCACAUCUCUAAUUCUCAUAUGUUUUCACGUGGGAAGCUGAUAUUUAUGUGCAUACACACACGUCACACGCCAAGAGUGCUUCUCAUCCAGUUUGCGCAUACACCUUCCCUAAGUAGUUCAUGCAGAUGUGGGUCAUGUUAGAAAGGGCCACUGAAUGGAGGUAGAGAGGAACUUUUCUACUACUAGUUUUUCACUUAGAAUCAAUUCCUCCAAAUGCACAUUCAUUACGAAAUUCUUUUAACCUUGUCUAGGUUGCUUUUUGCCUUUCAGCUAUAAUUGAAAUGCCAUUCGAAGAUUCAUAUCACAUUGCUUGGUUACCUAUCUUUAACCAUUAAUGUUUAAAACGUAGCUAAUCAUCCAAUUCUUUAAUUCAUAUGGAUUUAGAACUUUCGAUCAAUCAAUAUGUUGUAGGAUAUCGUAUAUUGUAGGUCUCAUGUGAUACUCGUUUCAUACGAGAUAGAGAGGAAGGAACUUGAAAAGUAGUAAGAGGACUAAUAUUUCCUUUAUGUAUAUACAAACAUUAAUUUGUGUAAACUGUUCAUGUAUUUGUUUAGUCUCCUAAGAAUGUAUAAACUCAAAUGUGAUUUGUUAGGUGACUAACUGGGUCCUCUACCAGGUGGUGAUGGACACGUGUUUGGGAGAUCAGUCUUGAAAUGAAGAUAGCAAAUAGGUAUGGGGUAGCAAAUCUUACCCUUCCAUGCAGUUCCACUCUCUUUAUGGAAAAAGGAAUGCUUUCAGUAAGUUUACUUGGAAUAAGAAUCGCGGCGGACCGACGCUGGUUAUGCACAAUGAGCUGGAGAACCUGGUAUAUCACAAAAGUGCCACAUAGGAACUAGGAAGUAAGGCCUUCUAGCCUUUUUCUAUUGAGCAACUGCAACAUAACUCUGAAUGCAAAUUAACUUUAAUCUAGUCUAUGCAAUUUUCUUUGCCUGAAAAUAUGUUCUUACAUUAGACAGCCUUUCUUCUAAAGGACUUUAAUUUAUACAGCCUUUGUUUACUGCAAAUUAAUAUCAGGCCAUGUUUGUUUGCUGGAAUUAGCUUUUAUGAAAGGAAUGCAAUCCCUCGGCUGAAGGGAUUUGUUUCGUCCUAUUUGGGCAUUGAGUUUGCUCUUGCAGAGUUGCAGGUAUCGUUGGGAAGCCUCCCAAACGAGACCUCAAUUCAUUCAUCACCAGAUUUUCAACAGCUGAAGACUGUUUAGUGAAGCAUAUCUCUACUACUAUAAAACCAGCAGUAGGAAAUUCACCAAAUUAUGUUUUGCCAACUAGGGUCAGCGAUUCAAUCUACCGCCCAUGUGGAUGCAGGAUGAAAAGGAGGUCGAAGCAUAUUAUAACUUGCAAACCCAUCACAAGCUUCUUCAAGAACCAGAAUAUAUUGCUCCCGUAACACAUUCAUUCAUGCAUGCAUACAUGUUACAUACCCUCUGUCCAAGAGAGAUCCUGGCAUUAGCUAUAAGGGUGUACGCAUUUGCUGACAUGUCAAUGACAUACAGAGUCCAUACGAGCUGAUGUGGCGCAAAGAUGCUUGCGUGUUGACCUGGGAUUCGAUAAGAGAGAAUCCUAAUCGCCACAUUUUCACCAGACAUGAGGAAUAUUCCACCAUGAUUUAAAAAAACCCUAGACAGUGCCCCUUCAAUCUUUAUUCUCCAUACAUGACUAUUCUCAAAAGGAAGAGGGGAUGAGGCCAUCUCCCUUCAAUAAUAGACACUUUUGGUUUUGGAGAAUCCUCCACGAACUCCACAUCCCAAUUCCCAAACCGAUAGCCAUAACCAACAGAAAAUAGCCGUGGCUUUCGAAUUUUUGAAUAUACUCAUGUCUGUCACUCUUAUUAUUGUGAUCAAUAACAUUAUCAUAUGUGGAUUGAUAUUUCUUUUUCCAGAUAGAUGGCACUAGCUGGAAACCUUAAUCAUCCAACAUGUGAAUUUCUUUCGAUGUCUUAAUUUGAUUGAAAAAGCUGUUUGAACGAGCAUGACUAUUCGCAAUUGACAACACAUCAUUAUUUCCUCCCAAUUCUGAAAAGCUUUUGUUAUCCUAUCCUUUAGUCUUUGGUGGAUUUUAUUUAGGAUAUUGAAAACCAUGGAAAUGAAAUCGCUUGUGAAUGCUAUCUUUUUCUUGAGUCAAUUGUGGAAUCACGUUUUCAAUGCUUAAACGUGUAUUAUAAAGACAGAAACAAGUUAAUCAACUACCUACUAGACGUGAGAAUUGCUUGUAUUAUAAGUAACCGAACCCAAAAAUUGAAUAGAUGCAGCUUCUUUAGGCGAAAAUGGCAAAUUAAGAGUGGAUCUCUUUAUUUCGAUCAUUUUCAGGUAGUAUUUCCACAUCUCAACUGUAAAAUGUUUAGAACAUAGUAUGUUUAUCAAGGAAUGUUGAAUAAUGCCUAGGAACGACUUAGUCAGCUUGUUUGAAGCGCCACAGCUGCACCUGGUUGAUCCUAAUAUUGAAGCGCCCCAGCUCGAUAAGAAUGGUGACGAGCAGCAUGACGAACCACCAUCCUCCUAUAUAAGCCUGCAACAAAUCAAGCAACUUCACGAAGUUUCAAUCACUUAUACACAGACAUAGGAGAAAAAAUAUGGCAACUAAGAUGUCGCUUCAGUUUGUUUUAGAAGGAAGCAUAUCAGCUGUGCAUGACAUGGAGGAGGUUGAGCAAAGACCCUACCACCGUAACUGCAGUUGUGCAAUGCAUAAGGUGAAGGCCAACGCUUGCCCUCAAAGACAAUGCUUGUUUGUCUCAUUGUGAGAUUCAUUUAAAUUCUCAUCAACUUCACAGGUAUAUGAGAACUCUUUCUUUCCAGAAUGUAACGAUUCAAUCCCCAUAUCUGAGCUUGAUAUGAACGAUGAUAUCAGUUGCAGUCAGUGGUGACUCAUGGUCAAAACUACCAGUAGGAGUCAGGGGUGGCCCUCUAUUACCCGAAUUAAAGCCCAAACCAGAGCUGUGUUUGGAAUCUCCUUCACCACAACAGCAACAACUUUCCCAUUCACCAAUGAAUUUUUCUUCUUCUUCAUACUCAGCCACCCCAAGACUCAAAAAUUACACCCAGAACUUCCUCUACACUCCCAAAAUUCAAACCACACAUCCAAAAACCAGUCCAAAACAAACAAAACCCAUAUCCAGAAUAACAUGCAUUACCACUUUCCACAAGAAACGAAACAAGGCAGAAUAGCCAUUAGAAAAGCAUAUGUUGAACCAGAAACAGAUAUACAUAUUUGAUUUGAAGUUUGAAUCGCCAGUACAGAAAGAAGCGCGAGGCAUAUUACCAUUCUUGUAAUAUGCAAUUCCGUUAUGGCAUAGGACACAUUGCAACAACAUUAAUCUCAGUGAUGGAUGAUAAAUCAAACAAAGCAGAACAACAAAAUCUGGAUAAAUAGAUAGUAGGAGUACAACUUAAAUAUAAUAGUACAGAAGAUGAUGAGACAAUCAAGUUACAAGUCAUUACAGCAGAAAGCAACCAAGUGUGUCAGGCGGUGACAUACAGUCUGGAGAGGAAUGGUAUUCGAAAAUGCGAGGAGGCUGGAAUUGGAGAGUGAAACAAUUCUUCCUGUCCGUGUCCACCUUGGAGAUAUCAAAUUCGAAUUGAAACAGUACGGCACCACCCGUAUAAAUCCCAGAGUUUGUGCGUUCUCCAACACGAGCGGUGGUGACAAGGAAGACAUUGUUUCCCCCUAGAUGGAAGAAAUGACAGUCAUUUGGCCAUGGUUGAUGAGGGAGCUCAGCCGGCAGAUUCAUCUCAAAGAUUUCACUGAUUGUUUCCUGGUUUUCAUCCAAGGACAUAAGAUGAACUACUAUAUUGCAACGGGAGUAGCAAUGUCUAGCCGAAAACAGUAACUUUUUGUUACCGUGUUCUGGCUGAGGCAUGUCCACCGCUACAGCUUGGCCUGCAAUUGGUAAAGGGCCACCUUGGCACAAGCUGGGGACUCUCCUCCAUUCUGGGUCUCGGGCCGCAAAAUCAAAGCAGCAAAUCGGGCAGUCUGCGGUAGGCUUAACCAAUCUGGUAGACAUAAACAAUUUGGUGCCUGCAAUAACAUAAGAUGCAGUUGAAUAAGGGUAGCAGCAGGCAGCAUCAGGGUAGCUUGGCAGAACUGACCAAGUACCCUGUUGGGGGUCAAAUACCUCAAAUGAUUUGACACUUUCCCACUUAUAUGACAGAACGUAGAGUUUGCCGGCAAACUCAACCAUCAACGGGCUUUGUUUCCCUCCGUUUAAAGCCCCCGGCAUCUUGACUAUUCCUUGUUUGGGGUCAUGGGCAUCGAAGGCAUAAGCAUCUGUGCUGGGAUGAGGGCCGUAUGGUGGUCCGAAACGAUCCGGAUCGAAGUUGGGUUUAAAGCCGCUGGCGAUGACAAACUUGGACCCCAAAACACCGCAACCAACUCUACCUGGGAGACCUACUCUACUCCGGAGAUCUUUACCUGGGAAAUCUUUGUCGUCCAUUCUCGCUAGUUCCCGCAAUUCUAGUUUCUCCGACGACGACGAUGUCAGCAGAUCGGGAAGAUUGAUGGAGCGAACAACAUAGGAAGAAUCCCAAGGCUGACGAGGAUACCUUGGCGGAGGGGGCCGAAAGUUGGGUCUGUCCCAGUAACGUUCCAUGCUACAAAGGAAUAGAGACUUAUCAUCAGCAUAUUCAAGGCUGCAUGUGCCUGUCUUGACACGCUUAUGCGGACGCGGGCUUUGCUCUUCUUCUACUUCUUCUUUAACGUAGCUUUCUGGGUUUAACGAUUUUUCGGACAUGGUGCUCUCUGUUUGCUCUCAAGUACGAUGAUGGUAUGGCUUUAGGUUUGGCGUUUAUAUAACAUGUUGUUCUUCAUCAAACCUAAUAACAGUUGGAUUAGAGUCCUAAUUAUCAUUGGAUUUGGAUUGGACUGCCCAGGGCGGUAAAGUCAUUUCUGUUUGGGAACUUGAAUCAGUAGCCACGGAGGACCUGCUUCCUUCCAGAACUGGAUGCCAUCUACUUGUAGCGCAUGCUUCGAGAUACAAUCUGCUGCUUUGUUGCGUUGGCGCUGAAUCUUCUUCCAGCUUCAUCAAAUGCUGUCUUAAGCCUCUUUAUUUCUUCAAUUACUGCUCCCACUGGGCUAGUUUUACAUGCAUGCUGUCAACAAUGGCACUUCAAACAAUGCAGACCCUUUAAUUCACUCUGUAUGUUGAAAUUCGAAACCAAUUAGCUGCCUUUCAGCCAAAGGCUUAUCUCUCCGUGCAUGCAUAGUCAUUGCAGCUAGCACGUAAACGCAUCGCAGAUUUUGCAGGUGAGUAGGUGACCACCUCAUAGAACCCCCAAUACAAACAUGUUUGAGGGUUUGACAUAGAAACCUGCUUUGUUUGACUAUAUACUCUCGAAUUGUUCGUGCAAUUAAUGAGGUUUUUAUAUAUUUGAACCCUAGAGAAACAUCAAACAUGAACCUGCUAGCUAGCUGCAGCAAAAUGAAAGCAUGCAUGGUAUUCAUUGUUUUUCUCUUAGCUCUGCUACUGAUCACCCAAACAAUCACAGAAGCUAAACACCCGCAGAAUGUGAAGGAAGGAAAAGUAGCAGAAGAGAAGAGAAGCGGAAGCAACAGAAACAGAACCAGUACUGGUAGAAGCAGCAGAAGCAGAGGAAGAGGCAGUAAUGGUGGAUCAAGGUCAAGAACAAGAUCAAACUGUGAUCCAUUGUUCCAGUUUCUGUUUGGAACCUGUGGCCAAUGGCCUUUCCCUACCAACCCUUCCCCGAACAACCCUUUUGCCCCAACGCCGAGACCCUCUCCAAGGCCGCCUCGAGUUCCACCUUCUCCUUUACGCCCCUUCCCGCCCGUAAUCCCGUCUCCACCGCCACAAGCACCAUCUCCACCACCUUUGCCACCGCCACCAAUUCCACCACCCCCUUCAGCUCCGCCACCAUCAUCGUCACCUCCGCCGUCAGCACCACCUCCAUCAUCGCCACCUCCACCGCCUUUGGUUCCUUCUCCACCUCCGCCGUCUCCACCACCACCAGAAUUCCUGCCGCCACCAAUACCAAUCGUCUUUCCACCACCACCGGAUGUAGAGAUGCAACCACCCACAACUCCUUGGCUCUCACCUCCCGACACCUUCCCUGAUACACCACCAACCAUUCCAGCUCCACCAUUAGUACCAGAUAUUGACCUUCCUCCACCUGCAUUACCAGACUUACCACCAUCCGGAGAUCAGUCUAGUACUCCAGCAACACCACUGGUUCCAGUAUUUUCACCACCACAAGAUGAGCCUACUCCAACCUUACCACCCAUAUUUACAUUACCACCACCAAUACCUAUACCUGAUCAGCCUUCUCCCAUCUUUACAUUUCCACCACCAAUAACUGUUGAUGAACCAUCUCCAAUAUUACUACCUCCGCAAGAUCCAUUUUCGUUUAACACACCACCAAUCUUACCAUUUCCAACUACACCAGACACCGGUAAUGGUGGUGGUGGUGUGAUUGAUCAGCCACCAUCUUUUGAUCCACUUCCACAGACACCAGUCUUUCUGCCACCUCCAAUUCCGGAAAUUCCCCAAAAUCCACAGGAACCACCAGUACUUUCAUCUGAGACUAGUCCACCAGCACCAGAUAUACCUAUCAAUGAGCCACUGCAGCAGCCAUUGGAACCCAAACUCCCUUAAUUUUCUGCCUCCCUCUUGUACGAUCCCCCUUUUAUUUGUUUUUUGUUCCUUUUUCUUGCCACAAAUCUUGUAAGAACUUGAUAUCUCAUCUCAUUGUCUGUCUCUUAUGCUCGAGCAUCAAGUACUUUGAAGCAAUUGCUAACACUUUGAAGUAAAUGAAUAAAGAUUCUGGAGACUGUACGAAGGAAAACAUAAUCAAACUUGAUUGGAUAGUUCUGCGAUCAAAGCUUGAAUUCUUGGGUGGAUACUAAUAUCACUACCAGUUUUGUAUUUAGCUUCAAUGACGCUGUGAGUCAGACUCAAUUAUGAUGGAUGACAUCUUCUUAUAGUCUUUCCCCCCAUAUUGAGGCCUCUUUUCACCAGCCUCAUCUUGCUCAUGUUCAUAAACGCGCUUCAGUAUCAGAUUCUCAUCGAUUGCAGUUUUCAUCAUCUUCAAAUAUUCUUUCUGCCCAUUCUCUGCAUUAUACACAUCUUUCCAUCUAAGUUGCUCAGCUUCUGUUUUGUCCUCAGAGUAAUGAUUUCGGAGGUAGUCAACUACAUUGAUAAGCAAGGACAACUUGGCAUGGGCACAACGGAAAAAUGGAUGAGACAACAUAGUUUCAAACAACCUUACAACAUUAAUCUGAACCUUUUGUGCUCUCACUUUUAAGAAUAUAAUUAAUUGAGACAUGUAAGGAGACUCUCUCUAUCCUCAAUGACCACUUCCAGGCCAUUGACCUCAUACCUUCUCAAUAAGAGCUUCAAAAAGGCGCACAACAUGCUUGAUCUCACUUAUGUUCUAAACUCGGAUAUCAGAGGGUGGUGGAAGUCGUAAAACUCCAUCAACUAUCUCAAUUUCUUCAGAAGUGUGCGGUCCAGGCGCUACUCCUAAUUUACUACACAUUCUGCUUAAGAAUGCCAGACUAGCAUCAACUGCCAAAAAAACAUAAAAUUCUAGUUUCAACACUAUCUUUAUCGCUCUGUGAUGCUGGUCCAUAGAAAAUAAUGUUUAUGGGCCAAUGUUUUAUGAUGUUUAUCGUAUGAAGCACAAAUAAUUUUAAGAGAAAUUUUAAAUACACACCCCUAUUGUUUUAUGUUUCUAUUGAGAUUUUAUAGGUAAGCUAAAUGACCAAAACAUACAUCUAUUAUUAAAAAAAAAAUCACACUAGAAGUAUUCUUUUCAACGUCUUCUACCCUAAAAUAGUCGAAAUCACGUCUUCUCUCCUAACCCCAAUUCUUCUCCACAAUUCAUUUGGGUUUUGUUUUUUAUUCUGUAUCAGCUUCAGUUUGAUCUUACAGAUCAUAUUGUCAAGUACUACAUCUUUAUCAGCUUUAGUUUGAUCUUGCAGAUCAUAUNNNNNNNNNNNNNNNNNNNNAUGAAAUGCAACAACAAAUGACAAUGAAAGUGAGAGCAACAUGGUACAAUGUACACGAGCAAGAAAAGGUCGAUUUUUAUGAUAAAAACAGAUACGCCGAUUUUACAUGAGCAAUAAAAAGUUAAUUUUGAUUAUGUGGCAAUGAAAAUUCUGGCCAUUUCGAUAUAGUUUUCGUAUACCAUCCAUCUUCAGCUGGGCAUCGGUUGAGAGGAAAAAUGUUGGCAACCGUAGUACGGUCCUCUCAAUGAUUAAACAAAAUAAUAUAUAUGGUGCGGCACAUUUUUGUAAUUAAGCCAUCUGAUUCAUUUUCCCUUAACUAAAUAGUUAAUCUCCUUCACAUGCAUUUUGCGUGCAAUUUAAUUUCUCGAUUUCUCUUAACAGGUUUUUUAAAUUUUAAUAUAUAAAUUCUCCUUUUUCGCUCAAAAUAAUUAAGUAGCCUCAAAGUGAGGUUUGAUUUGAUUUUGCUGAAAUAAUUUUAAAGAAACUGUUCCCGUUGAGUGUUAGGUUUUGAACCGAUAGCCCUGCAUGGAGACUUGUCAGAUUUCCUAGCAUAGAAGAGAGACUGUUAGCUAGCUUUGAUUCCCCGAAUCACAAAGCAAAUUGUUUUUUCAUAUAUAUUUAUGCUUCCCAGAAUAUACAUAAGUUUUCGCAUCACGAAAUCAACGAAAUAUCAUAUUAAAAAAUCCAGGAUCAAUCCCUCCAAAUAGUUUAAAAACUAAGUCGACGCUGCCUCCUUUGGCAAGUAGCAAAGGAAAUAGCAGAAAUGGCGGCAUUAGCACAAGGAGUGAUUGUGGAUCACAUUGCCAGACAAUCCAAGGACAUUAGGCGCCUCGCCGAUUUCUACAUUGAGGUUCUUCUUCGAGCUUCAAGCUUCAAAUUUCUUAUUUCAUUGUAAGCUAAUGUGUUCAUCAAAUCAAACUGAACUGAAAUUCUAUUUGAUAGACAUUUGGAUUCGAGGAGGUAGAGAGUCCAAAGGUCGGGCCACUCAAGGUGAUAUGGCUGGUUAAGCCCUCAGCUUUUACCAUGCACCUUAUUGAGUUCAACCCAAGUUACCCCCCAAACGAGAGUAAUGACACGGCAGCGGUAGCUGAACCUGCCAAAAUUCCCAGAGGCCACCAUAUCUGCUUCUCUGUCUCCAACUUCGAAUCCUUUGUGCAGAAACUCAAGGUAUAUAUUGAUUUGGUUUUCGGAUUAAUUACCCUUUCGGAUUAUGUAGAGUUUAAUUUGAGUUAAGUUUAAUUAUCUUAACCUUUCUCAAACAGAUGAGAAAAUGGUAUAUUGUUGGACCUCAUGCAUCACCUAAACCUAGUAGCUAGAAAAUCAACUUUUUAUGUCCCCCUUUCCAGAAUGUGUACAAACGGUGGAAACAUUCCAUUUCCUUUUUCAUCUAGGAAAUUAGGAACCUCGCAGCUAUAUCUCUGAGAAUUUUGGUCUCUCCAAAUUUCCAAUCACUACUAACUAGUUUUGAUUAUAUAUGAAGCUCGAUGUCUAUAUCAGUUGAAGGGAAAAAAAGACUAUACUUGCCUCUCCUCUAUAUAUGUUCCUCUUUUGUAUGGGGGAGUCAGCUGAGUCGGAUAUGAUUGUGCAGGAAAAGGUAAUUGAGACGGCUCGUAGGCCAGUUGAAUAUAAUCCAACUGGCAGUAAGAAAAUCGACCAGGUCUUUUUCUUUGAUCCCGAUGGUAAGCUUUUCUAGAUCUAAUCCCAGUUAUUCUAUCAUAUAUGUUGGCAUCAGCGCUCAAACGUUGCCACAGGGGCCCCACAGCCAUAAUUUAAAGAUGAGGGGUGUUAGACUGUUAGGUAUUACAAUCUAUAGUUGUCAAUCGGAUGGAUAUAUGGAUACAGACAGUCGAGUCAUAUAUGGAUACUUAGUUACUGAUGAAGUGAUUUAUAGUCAAUUAUUAUUAGAUUAAUAUUUAUAGGUUGAGAACAAAAUAAUUUUACUUUAAAAUAAUACUUUUUAUUGUUAGAUUUGCAUCUAAAGAUGAUUGGUUAUAAUUCUCUUGAUUGGUCAGUAGGUGAACCCUACUAAUAUAGAUAAUAUAGAUAAUGGACUUUAUCGUAAGUGUUUCCAUUAUCACUCAGCAACCCUGUUGUCCUUGUUUUUUUAUUUUUUUAUUUUAUUUUUUUAUGAAAUAAAGAUAGUCCGAUCUGUUUUAGUUAGUUUCUUACAAUUAAUACUUCAUAUUGUCAGGCAACGGUUUGGAGGUUUCGGAUUCCACCGCAGCAAAGUGGGUUGCUCCAAAUCGUAAUGCAGAUUGACGACAAUAGUGUACAUUUUCAUAACAAUAAGCUGCAUAUAUAUAUAUAAAUAUAUAUGUCAUUUUCAUCGACAUGUCUCCGUUUAUGCAAUUGUAGUAACUCGAUCAGGUAUCGUUUUAUGUAUGCAUGUACAUUUGUAUCGUUUUACAGACAUAAGAUGUAAUUUAGUUCUUAUAUUGAACUCCGUUACUCAUGUUUCUCUUGUUUAAAAUUAUGGCUACGACAUUGUUUCUAAUUAACCCUAGCUAAUAAUAUUGUGUGCAUAUGAGUAAUAAUUAGAUUUUUUAAUAAUAUAUAAUUAUAAUUUAAAAGCAUAUAUAUACAAUGUUGAAUUAAGUCCUAUGCGGCGAAAAACGAGGAACAUCGCCGGAGUUGAUCCAAUCGAGAGAGAGAGAGAGAGAGAGAGAGAGAGAGAGAGAGAGAGAGAGAGAGAGAGAGAGAGAGAGUAGAGAGAGAGAGAGAGAGAGAGAGAGUAGUAGUAGUAGUAGAGUAGUAGUAGUAGUAGUAGUAGUAGUAGUAGUAGUAGUAGUAGUAGUAGUAGUAGUAGUAGUAGUAGUAGUAGUAGUAGUAGUAGUAGUAGUAGUAGUAGUAGUAGUAGUAGUAGUAGUAGUAGUAGUAGUAGUAGUAGUAGUAGUAGUAGUAGUAGUAGUAGUAGUAGUAGUAGAGUAGAGNAGAGAGAGAGAGAGAGUUGACCAUUUAUCAUAUAUGGGUGGUUGUCAUUAGAUGGUCAUGGUGGUUAUCAAAUUUGCUGGUUGGCAAAUUUGAUUCCUAGACUGUUAGGUAUUACAAAUUUACAAUCCAUAUAUUAAAGUUGUGAAUCGGAUGGAUAUAUAGAUACAGAAAGUCGAGUUAUGUUCACCUCAUUAGUUACUGAUUAAGUGAUUCAUGGUCAAUCACUGUUAGAUUUAUAUAUAAGGGUUGAGAAUAAAACAAUUAAUUCUAUUUUAAAAUAAUACUUCCUACUAAUAUAGAUAAUAUAGAUAAUGGACUUUAUUGUUAGUGUUUCCAUCAUCACACAGCAACCCUGUUGUCCUUGUUUUUUUUUUUUAAUUGAAAUAGAGACGGUCCGAUCUGUUUUGGGGAAUUAAGAGUCUUACAAUUAAUACUUCAUAUUGUCAAGCAACGGUUUGGAGGUUUCAGAUUCCACCGCAACAAAGUGGGUUGCUCCAAAUCGUAAUGCAGAUUGACGUGAAGCAGACAGUAGUGUACAUUUUCAUAACAAUAAGCUGCAUAUAUAUAUAUAUCAGUUCCUAUUCAGAACGAAGUUUCGUUCUGAAAUUAAUAUGUGAAGUUCCUUAUUUGACUAACUUUUCGGUCAUAUUUCCACAUCUCCACCGUUUAAUUUGUAAAACCUAAUGCAUAGAUCACUUAUGCAAAGUUUCAUCUAAUUUGAUGAUCGUUUGAGUUUUCGUAAUCGUGAUUUACACAAACAGUUUUGGUUAGACAUAUUUAUGGUCCGUUCAUUGAUUUAAUCUAAUUCGAUACUCAAAUAAUCAUCAAUCUGAAUGAAAUUUUGUAGGAAUGAUCUAUAUAUUAGUAUCAAUAAACUGAGCGGGUAUCGUUUUAUAUAUGCAUGUACAUUUGUAUCGCUUUACAGACAUAAGAUGUAAUUUAGUUCUUAUAUUGAACUCCGUUACUCAUGUUUCUCUCGUUUAAAAUUAUGGCUACGACAUUGUUUCUAAUUAACCCUAGCUAAUAAUAAUAUUGUGUGCAUAUGAGUAAUAAUUAAUUUUUUUAAUAAUAUAUAAUUAUAAUUUAAAAGCAUAUAUAUAUAAUGUGAAUUAAGUCCUAUGCGGCGAAAAAUGAGGAACAUCGCCGGAGUUAGAUCCUCGCCUUAAACAUAGCGACGAUUAAUAAAUGAUCGUGUAAAAGGGAACUAAGGCGACUAUAAUUUCCAUGCGUCACCACGUGUUGGCGACAAUGAUUUUGACGCCUGAAUGUGUCUGUUUUCCUCACCUUAGACUUAUGUGAUAAUGAAUAAAUAGUCACCUAAGUAUCCAUUUAGGUGACCAUUAUUUUUUAUUAUUCGCCUAAAUUCUUACUUGUCCAUGCUCAUCGCAUGAGAACUUAGGCGACAAAAAUGGACAUUUAAGCGACGAAACUUGUUUGUCACCUAAGUCCUUUAUUCUAGUAGUGUAUAUUGUGUUGUACUACAAAGUUUUAAUGCUUUAAUGUAUUAGGUUAUGCUAUAUGUUUGGUUUGUGGCCUGAUCUACUUUAUUUUGAGCAUCACAAACAGCAAUGUAAUUCUUCAUGUUCUUCAUUGGAACUUUGCUUUGAUUCGAGUAGAAGAUUCUGAGAUGUAAUUCUUCAUGUUCUUCAUUCUCUGGUAAGAUGAGUAGUUGAGUACGUGUUACAGCAAAUAAGCAUCGGAUAGGGUUUACCUUUUUUUUUUUCCGUCUAAACUGGAUAAGGUUUACUUUGAUUUUCAUUUCUUCGCUCGACCUUGAAUUAUCCCUUUGUUUUCGAUUACUUGAAUUAUCCUUUUAAACAAUAGCGUUGGUGAAAGCUAGCUAGUUAAUUCAAUGCAUGGCACCGAUCUCGUUGGAGACGAGGAGGAGGGAGUCGGGGACGAGGUCGAGGCGGCGGAGGAGAUCAGAGGGCUCGCGGUAGACACGGGAGGAGGAGGAGGCCUUGGGUUUGUAGAGAUGGGAGAGAUUUGAGGGGUCUGAGAGAGAUUUUUGUGUUGUGUUGUGGUGGCUUUUAAGAGAGGAAAGAAAGCGAGGAGAGAGACGGAUUUGGGCUCGUGUAUUUGUGAUCGUUAGAUCAAGCAAAACUUGGUUCCCAUCAACGACACAGAAGUCGAUCCACGCCAUUUUUUAUUGUUGGAGUCCGCGCCAUUUAUUCAACAUUUAUAUUUUUUAAUUAUUAUAUAAUUAUGGUAUUAUAUUAAUUUUGGCAAUUAAUCAGGCAUUAAUGAUUUUCAUCAUCAUUUAUAGAAUUAGAAAGUCAAAUAAUGUAGUAAAUUAGACAAUUAAUCAGUCAUGUCAUGAAAUUUAAGCCCAUAUGAUUGGAAGUUAGUAGAAUUGUAGGCAUAAUUAAAAAUAACAAUCCUAAAUAGAAGUAAAACCGUCCAUAUGAUUUUUGUCAAUAUACUAAAUUGAAGCAACAUCCAAUCACGUUAGUCAAAUAUUGAUAUAUAGAUAUAUAUAUAUGUCCAUAUGAUAAUUAUGAGAGGUCACUUAAGGUAAAGUGGCGUUAUAUAGGGAUAGGUAAAAACGUUUUCGUGUAAUAAAUGAUGUUAAUUUAAUGUUGACAGCGUGGAUCGAGACUUAAACGUUUUCAAAAACUAAUGAAUUUUUUUUCAUAACCAUAUUUAAGUACACUGAUCAUAUCAGACGGUUGAAUUUUCAUUUUGUGAAAUUUAGCCAUCGGAACCACAACGUGUCUACUAAAGUAGUAUAACUUGUUUAGUAUGUUAUAUGCAAGUGUACGUCUUUGUGAACCAACUAUAGGGAUGAAGCAAUAUUUUCAAAAAUCUUGUGAAAUAGAAUGUGAUUGGUAUGGUGAAAUGCGACUAUGGUUGAAAAAUCACAUAUUUCCGGUAACGUUUGGUCCUUGACAGAAGCGGUCAACCCUAUUUACGGUUAUACUUCCUUAUAGGGAGCCCUAUCGUCGAAAGGUGAACCUCCCCAAAUUUUUACAUGGGUGGUUACAUCUCAUCAACGUGAGAGUUUUGUGUGUGCAAGAAUCAACCAAACUAGGUCAUAUAAGAGUAGACAAGAGCGUUUUCGUGUAAUAAGUGACGUCGUUUUAAUGUUGACAGCGUGAAUCGAGACUUAAACGUUAUCGAAAACAUGUGGAAUUUUUUUUUAUAGCCAUAUUAAAGUACACUGAUCAUAUCAAACGGUUGAAUUUUCAUUUUAUAAUAUUUAACCGUAACUACAUCAGACAGUGAAAUUAUUAUUUUCACACAACUUUUACUGUGGUCCAGGAUCCUCAAGCCCAACUUGAGUCUGGUCAUUAGCAUGUUUGCCACCGGUAAAAGUACUCUAGCAGCUGAGUUAUCAUAUUAAGUCCUCUUUUCACCAAACUCAUCUUGCUCAUAUUCAUGAACAUGCUUCAGUAUCAGAUGCUCAGUGCUUGCGGUCUUUCUCAUCUUAUAAUCUUUCCCCCCAUAUUGAGGCCUCUUUUCACCAGCCUCAUGCUCAUAUUCAUAACCACGCUUCAGUAUAGGAUUCUCAGNNNNNNNNNNNNNNNNNNNNGGGGAAAGACUAUAAGAAGAUGAGAAAGUCUACGAUCACUGAGAAUCCUAUACUGAAGCGUGGUUAUGAAUAUGAGCAUGAGGCUGGUGAAAAGAGGCCUCAAUAUGGGGGGAAAGACUAUAAGAAGAUGAGAAAGACUGCAAGCACUGAGCAUCUGAUACUGAAGCAUGUUCAUGAAUACGAGCAAGAUGAGUUUGGUGAAAAGAGGACUUAAUAUGACGACUCAGCUGCUGGAGUAGUUUUACUGAUGGCAAACUUUAGCAAACAUGCUAAUGACCGCAAGUUCAUAAACAUGCUUCAGUAUCAGAUUCUCAUUGAUUGCAGUUUUCAUCAUCUUCUCAAAUUCUUUCGCCUCAUUCUCUACAUUAUACUCAUCUUUCCACCUAUGUCGCUCAGCUUCUGUUUUGUCCUCAGAGUAAUGAUUUCGGAGGUAGUCAACUGCAUUGAUAAGCAAGGACAACUUGGCAUGGGCACAACGGAAAAAUGGAUGAAACAACACAGUUUCAAACAACCUUACAGCAUUUUCCUGAACCUUUUUGCUCUCACUUUUAAGAAUAUAAUUGAGACAGGUAAGGAGACUCUCUCUAUCCUCAAUGACCUCUUCCAGGCCAUUGACCUCGGCCUUGCAUACCUUCUCAAUAAGAGCUUCAAAAAGGCGCACAACAUGCUUGAUCUCACUUAUGUUCUGAACUCGGAUAUCAGAGGGUGGCGGAAGUCGUAAAACUCCAUCUACCAUCUCAAUUUCUUCAGAAGUGUGUGGUCCAGGUGUACUCCUAAUUUACUAUACACUCUGCUUAAGAAUGCUAGACCAGCAUCACUGCCAAAAAAAAAUAAAAUUCUAGUUUCAACACUAUCUUUAUCGCUAUGAUGCUGCACUGUAGAACUAGUUACACAAUUCGCAAGUAACAAACAUGCAUAACAUGUAUUAGAUGCCUAUUCUUUCAAAUCUAAUAUCAAAUUCACAACCUCUUUGCCACCAACAUCUUCACAUAAUUCAAGUUUAAACACAAUCUUUAUCAAUUGGAUGUUGCACAGUAAUAGAAAAGAUUCAAAAUUUGCUACCAACAUCUUCACAUAACUCAAGUUUCAAACACAAUCUUUAUCCAUGGGAUGUAGCACAAAAAUAGAAGAAGGUUCAAAAUCUGCUACCAACAUCUUCACAUAACUCAAGUUUCAAACACAAUCUUUAUCCAUGGGAUGAAGCACAAUAGAAAAAGAUUCAAACUUUACAACUACAAAAGAUGCAUCAUACUAACAUCACCAAUUAUAAAACCCAUUUCUACCCCAAUCAUAAAUUUCUUCAAUUCACCAAUCCAAGAAUAUCAAACUGAAUCAAGAAUGAAAAUUUAAGAAACUACUCACAUUAACCAGUGGCGGAAAUGAGGUCUGAGGGAGAUAGACCGAAACCGAAUUGGCCGUGCAUAUUGGUCAGCAUACCAAAUCGGAAUCAUUUUAUCAACCCAUACAUCAUGACGGCGGGUGAGCUCGUGCAGUGAAACGGCAAACUGUCUGAAAGAUCCCAAUUGCAUCUCCUCCUUCUUCGACAUUGGAAAGGGGCGAGCUUGAAAUGAAAUUAGGGAUUUCGGAAAAGGGUGGAUGGGAAAUUAGGGUUUGGAGAAUUGGGGAUUUCAAGCGAAGAGGGUUUUGUUUUGCGUUAUGGAAUGGCUACAAUUUUGAAAAGGCUUUAUGUUGUCCUGACUCCUGAGUGAGGGUGCUAAGCGGGCUAGACGGGCCUGGGUCUAAUGGGCCUUGGCGGGUUAGGGUGUCCCAUCUUAAAAAAAAUAAAUAAAUAAAAACAAGCUCCACCCUCUUUGAGAAUUGCGGAAAGUGCACCAAGUGUUACGAUGAAAUUUUGGUGACGAGGCUCUACAAAGACUUCCUCGACAUUCUAAUAGGGACGGAUUCAGGAAUUGAAAUCGGGCGGGACUUGAUUUUCUACUGUUAAAAAAAACUCGAAGGUACGAGAAAAACGCAUAGAUUGAAGAUAAAGUUAUUCUUAAGCCCCCCUGUGUCUUACUCCUCGAAUACAUGCUUAUAAAAACCAAGAUACAAAGAUAUAUAAGGUCCUUCCAUUAAGGGAUCCUUUUUUUUGCCAUAUAUGAGGGAUAGAGGAUUACACCAAUUUUUCGAUCACAAAAUCACAUCUCCACCAUUCAAUAUGUAGUUCAAUAUGAGUAUAUCACUUCUAUAAAUUUUCAGAAAUUUUGGUGAUCGUUUAGGCAUUCAAAAUUACAAUUUGUAAUUAUCAGCAUGAACGGUUCAGGUUUGGCAGAUUUGGUUAAGUCAUUGAUUUAAUCUUGUUCGACACCUUGAUGAUCACCAAAUUGGCUGAAAAUUUACAUAAGUGAUCUAUAUAUAAAGAUCUAUAUAAACGGUGGAGAUCCAAAAAUAUAAUAAAAAGUUGGUGUAGUUCCCUGUCCCUCAUAUAUGUCAAAAAAAAUGAUUCCCUAAUGGAAGGGCCUUGCAUAGAUAUGAUAUAAAAAGAAUCGAAAUAAAUAUGUCGAUGCAAUACAAAAUAUAUAGAUGUAAAAACAUAGCUCAAAUAACUAAAUCUAACCCUGCAAUAACCUUUUUGGGAGUGAAAACGAUGAUAAGUCUCUAUCUCUCUAUGUUUUAGUAAAAUAGAAGACAAUAACUCUCUCUCGCUCUCUAUCUAUCUUUCACUCUCUCUCUAACACACACAAAGAAAUUGAGCACUUGGAAUGGGACUUGGGUUGAAGUUGGACACUAUAUAUGCAUCGUCCUAGAUCCGUCGAACGAUAUGGAGAUCAAGAAUGUGCCCGGCAGUACCUCUCUUGAGGUGGAUAGUGUUGUUCAUGAGUUUCUUGUUGGUGACAAAGUGCAUCCUUUAAGCGAAGAAAUCUAUGAGAUGUCGAAAGAAAUGGAUAGGCUUUUGGAUAUGGCUGGUUUUGUGCCUGAUACAUCUGACGUACUCUAUGAUAUGGAUGAGGAAUGGAAGGAAGGGGUUUUGAGUCAUCAUAGCGAGAAGUUGAUCAGCACAAAAGCAGGCACCACUAUUCGAAUAGUAAAGAUUCUUCGAGUUUGUGGAAACUGUUAUUCAGCUACAAAACUGAUAUCCAAGAUUUUCAAUAGGGAAAUUAUUGCAAGAGAUAGGAUUCGCUUCCACCAUUUUAGAGAUGGUUCUUAACCAAAUGGCAUGGUUCAAUUUUUUGAAAUUGAUACAUGUCAAACACUGUUGACCUGCCACAAGUGAUUAAUUUCUUCCUAACUCUUGUCACAAAUGUCGGGUUCUACUGUUGUUCUAAUCAUCAAUCUCUACAGUUUCACUGCGACCACAUAAACACAACUUCCGAAGGUAAAUAAUAGACAUAGGUCGAUCACUUUCUAAGUUGUACAAGAUAAUAGAACUGUGAUGUUAGCAAGGGAUAUAUGGAAAUUCAAUUUUGGCGGGUAAUCUUCAUAACAGUUACUUGUCACUCUCUCUGUACACCCUCAUCAUUUAUUUUCACUCAGCUCUGCACCACAGAGCUCAGAUAUGGCGUUUUCGCUUUGUCUUCGCCUUCAUUACUCAACACUCCACCCUCCACACUUGACACUCCCCAUCCUUCCCAACUCCGAUCCUCCCGACAACCUCCUCACUCUCCUCUCCAAAUGCAAAUCCAUCCAAACCCUCAAACAAGCCCACGCCCACUUCGCUCUCUCCAAGCUCAUCCACUUCUGCGCCGUCUCGCAACACGGCGACCUCUCAUAUGCCCUCUCCGUCUUCAACUGCGUCGAGAAUCCCAAUCCGAUUAUGUGGAACACAAUCAUCCGUGGCUAUUCCUCGACCUCCAACCCAUUACAAUCCCUCUAGUUCUAUCAACGGAUGAUUCUCUCGAGCGCUGAGCCUAAUUCCUACACAUACCCUUUCCUUUUCAAGUCUUGCACGAAAAUCGCGGCGGCUAAUUCGGAAGGGAAGCAGGUCCACGGCCAUGUAAUCAAGCUCGGACUUGACUCUGAUGCUUUUGUUCACACUUGCUUUGAUCAACAUGUAUGCCAAAAGUGGUGAGUUGGAUAAUGCGAGGUUGGUUUUCGAUAAGAGUGAUAUGAGAGAUGCGGUUUCGUUUACUGCUUUGAUUACCGGGUAUGUCUCGAGGGGUUACAUGGACGAUGCGUGCAGCUUGUUUGAUGAAAUUUUGAUAAGAGAUGCUGUGUGUUGGAAUGCUAUGAUUUCGGGGUAUGUGCAGAGCGGAAGAUUUGGUGAAGCAUUGGGGUUGUUUGAGGAGAUGCGAAUUGCAAAUGUGCUACCGAAUGAGAGCACUAUGGUUAGUGUGCUUUCUGCUUGCGCUCGGUCAGGAGAGAUUGAAGUGGGGAAAUGGGUUGCGGGUUGGAUUGAGGGCCAGGGACUUGGGGGGAAUGUUAGGCUUGUUAAUGCGCUUGUUGAUAUGUGCUCAAAGUGUGGUGCUUUGGAUGAAGCUAGAAGCUUAUUUGAUGGUAUGCAAAUGAGGGAUGUGAUUUCGUGGAAUGUGAUGAUUGGUGGUUCUACGCAUGAGGGUCGGUACAAGGAAGCAUUGGAGAUGUUUAGGUUGAUGCUGCGUUCAAAUGUAGAGCCUAAUGAUGUCACGUUUUUGGGGAUUCUUCCCGCUUGUGCUCAAUUGGGAGCUCGUGACCUUGGCAAAUGGAUUCACUGCCGCUGACAUGUCCGGCAGCCCCUGACAGUCUUCGGGGUUGUGUUCGAGUACGCCAUAGGUCCGCUGCUAAAAUCCCUAACAGAGAGCGAAUAAGUCGACUUUUGUUAACCUAAUUUUUUUUUCAUGUUGUUUUGUUUAUUCUACAAAGUGAAAUUUACACUUUUUAAAUUGUAUUCCACAGUCUAUCUUUCUAUUUUAAGUCAUCAUCUAACAAAAUUAAGUCACUAUCUAAAAACAAAAUGUAAGUUAACAAAAACAAAAAUAUGCAGUGUAAAUUACAAUUCGAGGAGUGUAUUUUACUCUCUUACUCUAUUCUAUAAGCAAAUAAAAUCUAUAUUCUAUAAGCAAAUAAAAAAGAUAGUCCCGAGUCCGGUGAGCCGUGGUCUGGUUGGUUAAGUAGGCUAACUAACAACUUUAAGGUCAUGAGUUCAUACCUCAUUAGCAUAUAUGUAGGGUGGUGUGAGUUUUUUAAUAAAAAAAAUUUUAAAAAAAGAGAAAAGAAAAAAGAUAGGCCCGAGUUUCCUUUUGGGCCCAAAUUCGCAUCUAGAACCACCCUGGGCAGUCCAAUCCAAAUCCGAUGAUAAUUAGGACUCUAAUCCAACUGUUAUUAGGUUGAUGAAGAACAACAUGUUUAUAUAUAAACGCCAAACCUAAGCGUCAAAGCUGUAGCCGUAUCAUCAUCGUCCUUCAGAGCAAACAGAGAGCCACCAUGACCGAAAAAAAUUUAAACCCAGAAAGCCACGGUGAAGAAGCAAGGGAAGGAGAUCAAAGCCGUAAGCGUAUCAAUACGGGCACAGGUAGCGAGGUGGAGAUGAAGCCUGUGGUUGGGUGCGGUGGAGGGUUGAAGGACCAAGUUGCUGGUAAGUCUCUAAUCCUUUGUAGCAUGGAAUGUUACUGGGACAGACCCAACUUUCGGCCCCCUCCGCCAAGGUAUCCUCCUCAGCCUUGGGAUUCUUCCUAUGUUGUUCGCUCCAUCAAUCUUCCCGAUCUGCUGACAUCGUCGUCGUCGGAGAAACUAGAAUUGCGGGAACUAGCGAGAAUGGACGACAAAGAUUUCCCAGGUAAAGAUCUCCCGAGUAGAGUAGGUCUCCCAGGUAGAGUUGGUUGCGGUGUUUUGGGGUCCAAGAUUGUCAUCGCCAGCGGCUUUAAACCCAACUUCGAUCCGGAUCGUUUCGGACCACCAUACGGCCCUCAUCCCAGCACAGAUGCUUAUGCCUUCGAUGCCCAUGACCCCAAACAAGGAAUAGUCAAGAUGCCGGGGGCUUUAAACGGAGGGAAACAAAGCCCGUUGAUGGUUGAGUUUGCCGGCAAACUCUACGUUCUGUCAUAUAAGUGGGAAAGUGUUAAAUCAUUUGAGGUAUUUGACCCCCAACAGGGUACUUGGUCAGUUCUGCCAAGCUACCCUGAUGCUGCCCGCUGCUACCCUUAUUCAACUGCAUCUUAUGUUAUUGCAGGCACCAAAUUGUUUAUGUCUACCAGAUUGGUUAAGCCUACCCUAGACAGCUCGAUUUGCUGCUUUGAUUUUGCUGCCCGAGACCCAGAAUGGAGGAGAGUCCCCAGCUUGGGCGGCUAUUUACCAAUCGCAGGCCAAGCUGUAGCGGUGGAAUUGCCGCAGCCAGAACACAGUAACAAAAGGUUACUGUUUUCGGCUAGAGUUGACUACUCCGAUUGUUGCAGUAUAGUAGUUCAUCUUAUGUCCUUGGAUGAAAACCAGGAAACAAUCAGUGAAAUUUUUCAGAUGAAUCUGCCGGCUGAGCUCCCUCAUCAACCAUGGCCAAAUGACUGUCAUUUCUUCCAUCUAGGGGGAAACAAUGUCUUCCUUGUCACCACCGCUGGUGUUGGAGAAAGCGCAAAGUCUGGGAUUUAUACCGGUGGUGCCGUACUGUUUCAAUUCGAAUUUGAUAUCUCCAAGGUAGACACGGACAGGAAGAAUUGUUUCACUAUCCAAUUCCAGCCUCCUCGCAUUUUCGAAUACCAUUCCUCUCCAGACUGUGUGUCACCGCCUGAGACACUUGGUUGCUUUCUGCUGUAAUGACUUGUAACUUGAUUGUCUCAUCAUCUUCUGUACUAUUAUAUGUAAGUUGUACUCCUACUAUCUAUUUAUCCAGAUUUCGUUGUUCUGCCUUGUUUGAUUUAUCAUCCACCACUGAGAUUAAUGUUGUUGCAAUGUGUCCUAUGCCAUAACGGAAUUGCAUAUUACAAGAAUGGUAAUAUGCCUCGCGCUACUGGCGGUUCAAACUUCAAAUCAAAUAUGUAUAUCUGUUUCUGGUUCAACAUAUGCUUUUCUAAUGGCUAUUCAGCCUUGUUUCGUUUCUUGUGGAAAGUGGUAAUGCAUGUUAUUCUGGAUAUGGGUUUUGUUUGUUUUGGAUGUGUGUUUUGAAUUUUGGGAGUGUAGAGGAAGUUCUGGAUGUAAUGUUUGAGUCUUGGGGUGGCUGAGUAUGAAGAAGAAGAAAAAUUCAUUGGUGAAUGGGAAAGUUGUGGUGGUUGCUGUUAAGGCUUUGAAGGAGAUUCCAAACACAGCUCUGGUUUGGGCUUUAACUCAGGUAAUAGAGGGCCACCUGUGACUCCUACUGGUAGUGGGUGGUUUUGACCAUGAGUCUCUACUGACUGCAACUGAUAUCAUUGUUCAUAUCAAGCUCAGAUAUGGGGAUUGAAUCGUUACAUUCUGGAAAGCAAGAGUUCUCAUGUACCUGUGAAGGUAGUGAGAAUUUAAAUGAAUCUCACAAUGAUACGAACAAUAAAAAGACGAGUGCUUAUCUAAUGAGUUCAUAUUGCGAACCUUUUGAUUUCAGCAUAUGUAGCCUUGCUAGAUAAGUUAUCUCUGAUUUAAAUCGAGUCCUGAACUAUAGGCUUGAUUCGACUUGAGUAGAAGUGUACGUGAAAGCAAUUUUCCUACCUAGAAAUAUAAAUUUACCUUCUAUACCUCCUCCGUUGUGCUCUGUAUGUCAGCACAAGGCACCUGUCUUUGGCAAUUCUCCUAGGUGGCUCAGAUAUGCUGAGAUAGAACUUGGUACAUGUGGUUUUUCACAAGCAAACUUCCUGGCUGAAGGUGGGUUUGGCUCCGUACACAGAGGUGUCUUACCACAUGAUCAGGCAGUUGCUGUCAAGCAAUAUACAUUGGCGAGUUCUCAAGGAUAUCAGGAAUUCUGCUCAGAAGUUGAAGUCUUAAUAUAAUUGGAUUCUGUGUGAGGAUGGAAAGAGAAUUCUGCUUGGAGGAUGGAAAGAGAUUGCUAUUAUAUGAAUAUAUCUGCAAUGAUCUGGACUCAAAUAGUCUUGUUUGGACUGAAACGAGCAUAUAUGCAAUGUAAUUUCCUUUCAUAGCAAAUGGUAGAGGUUCCUGCCACUACAUAGAGGUACUGCUAAAUUAGGAAUCAAUAUUCUGAGAAAAUAACCCCUGAAAGAAGCAACUGAUGUGGAAACCUUUUCAUACACAUUUGGUUCAAAUUCUUUAGGAACCUCUUCCAAACAAUCUCUACAACUAGAAAAGUUCGUUUGAGAUGGAGAUGAAAGUAAAAAGUUAAAAAAAUAAAAAAUAAAAUAGAAAUAUGGAUAUAUUAGUGGUUGGAGUGUGGAGUGUGGAUUGUGGAUUACAUUCACUACAUACAAUAUAAGUUACUUUUAAUUUUAUUUUAUUUUUUUAACGAAAAAUGUGUUUUAUUCCAUCGCAAAUACAUCAUGAAUUUUUUUCAUUGUCUUGCGUACAGAGGGGGUAUAUACUAUAUAAGCUCGAGUGAUUCAAGUAGGGUAAUAUCUCAUUACACAAUUCCACUCACUUAAAAUACACAAGUGAGUCUAUAAUCACAUAUAAUCAUAUAGCAAAUUGGCUAUAUGCAUGUUAAUCACAAAAGGGAAAUAAGGCAAAACUCUAUGAUCCCAAACAAAGAUCAUAACAAAAGUCUUUGAAACUAAAAGCAGAAAUUAAAAUACCUCUUUGCCCAUGAGAUUAGGACUAGGAGCGAGGUUUAGGCACAUCUAGAAAACUUGACUUUUGCUUUUUCUUGUUUGGAUUGGGCUUCGAGUUCGGCUUCGGCAUUCUUGGAAUGCUUAGAAGACUUGGAAGUUGUGGCUAAGCACAAAGAGCUAUCUGUCCAUGACUUAAUGACUUUUUCGUGGGGAAUGAAAUACUCCUUUGCUGAGAACAUGAAUUUGAGCAAGGACCGCCCUUGUACUUGUGCAGUGCACAGUUGCAGUUUUUAUGGUUGACCUUCACUCAACUUCUGUGUCCAUUGAUAGGCUUCCUUCAAACUCAAACACACUGGAACAUCAAACCGGAAACUCCCAAGGUAGUCAUUCUCUUCUCUGUUCUUUGAAAAGUGUGGUAUAAUUUGUGUGAAAUGAUGAGUGAGCGAUAGAGUACUAAUGUUCUAUGGGGUGUUUGAGUGUGUUGAAAUUAACUUGUGUGUGCUUUCUAAAACAUUUAUAUAGAGAAGGGGAUCAAAAUAUGAUAAAUGGCGAAGGAGAAAUCAAGAAACUAUUUUGUGCUAUUUCUCCCACGUACUCCUGUUUAACUCGAGACAAGUUAUGUUGGUACAGUGUUCCUGCUAAAUUGCCAAACAAAACAAGCGUUUUGUUCUAGGGAAACUUUUCCACAGAGGGAGAGAGAAGAAAAUUAUUACUUCGUUUUAGUCAUGUUUGCCUUUAAUUAGUACUUGGAGUUGGUCGGAUUUUUGUGUGUAGCAUAGUCUGCAUAGACUGAUACACUGAGACGUUAUUCACCUAAGGGAAAGGGAUGCUCAUUUAAUUAGAGCAUCUUUAGCGAUGCUAGCCAUUUUUAAAUUAAAUUUUAGUCAAAUUAGCUAAAAUGUUAUUUUUGCUAGCCACUUUAGAAAUGUGGUUGCAUCAAUACUCUCUAUUUUAGCUAGUACUAGCCUUUUACCCGUACAUAUUUGUACGGAAUCAUAAUCACGAUUAACUAAAGAUAAGCGUGAGCAGUUAAUUAAGUUUACUGUAUUAUACAGUUAUUCGUUCUACUAAUCGGUAGUUUUUAUGAUUAUUUAUUUAUUUAAUUUGUUUAAUUUUUAUUUUGCUUUUACUAUAACAACCUUUGGUUUUUAUUUGUGUCAGUUGAUUCAUUAAGGGUAAUUAUGAAAGUUCACAAUUUGGUGAAGCUUUUGAGGACUUGGUUUUAUAGUAGCAGAGAUUAUAUCAACAAUAUUCUUCAAAUAGAAAUUAAAUAGUUUAAAUAUAUUUAUAUAUCACAUAAAAUAUCUUACAAUUAAUGCAUUAAAUUAUAGCUAACCUAAUAUGAGUCAGCUAAAAGUCAUAAUAGCUCAAGUUCGGCUAGUCUGUUGGAGCUCCUAAGAGCAACUUUAUCAGACUCUCUAUUUUAACUUUUAGCUAUUUUAGAGAGCGUGUUUAGCUUUUUUGGAUGUUUUAAGAGCUCCAGCAGACUAGCCAAACUUAAGCUAUUAUAACUUUUAGCUAUCUCGCUCUUGCUAGCUAUAUUUAGCUAGCGAGAUAACUCAAAUGAGGCUAGCUAUAAUUUAUUACAUUCCUUGUAAGAUAUUUUAUAUGAUAUAUAAAUAUAUUUAAACUAUUUAAUUUCUAUUUGAAGAAUAAUGUUGAUGUAAUGCUAGCUAAAAUAGAGAAUAUUAAUACAGCAACAUUUCUAAAGUGGCUAGCCAAAAUAACAUUUUAGCUAAUUUGACUAAAAUUUAACUUAAAAAUGGCUAGCAUUACUAAAGAUGCUCUAAAACAUCUAAAAAAAAGCUAAACACGAUCUCCAAAAUAGCUAAGGAGUUAAAGUAGAGAGUCUGUUAAAGAUGCUCUUAUAAUGCAUCUUGCCGGUUGGUUCUAUGUAACUAACUAAGUAACUAAUUAACAAAGUUUUGGCUCUAGAUCGAUUUUGUGGGAAGCAAGUAGUUGAACUUUGGCAUUUGUACUGCAAUUUAUGAAAGUAUGAAACAAUAGGAUUUUUCAUAGUGUUUCAUACAAGUGAUACAACUGAUAUGUCUUCACUUAAAACCAGAAGGCUAGACUUUUGAAUUAGACUAUUUAGAUGGAAAACAAUGUAUUAAAUUGAUGGACCUGCCUUCACUAGAAUUACCAUUUGUUCAUGUGUUAAAUCUAAAAGUUCAUCUAGAGUUCACUUAAAAAAAAAAAUCAGCUUCCAAAUGAACUUUCAGAUUUUAUAGCGUUUGGUAAAUUAAAGAAAAACAUUUUUUUUUUUUUUUGAAAAUUACAAGUCACUAACAAUAGCUUUUAGAAACAACACCUUAAUGUUACUUUUAGAAGUUGUUGGCAUUAAUUAAUAUAUUCGGUCUUGGGUCUUGAGUCUUGACAGCACUUGUCGAACAAAUAUUUACUAAACACAAAACUAUUUUUAUUGAGAGUUGAUUCUUUCGCUGUACAACAACAACUUUUUUCUUAAUUAAGUAACAAAAAUAUCAAACUAGCCCUUAUUAAGGGCAUUUUCAACCCUUGGUCUUAGACCUGUAAUUGGUUUAUGUUUUAAAAAAUGUAAUCUUCAAACCUUCAUCCACCUUGACCUAAAAUAGGAUUUACCUAAAAAUGGUUCUAUUUUGACUCAACUAGUUAGGAGGAAUCCUGUUUUUAGAGAGCUUAGUGGAGCAUGGGUCUCAUUGUCCACUAUCAAUUAUGUGUAAGAUAUGAACUCAUGUUGUGAUUAAAUAAGAGAAGUGAAAUUUACACUCCUCAAAUUAUAAUCCACAUUUUUUUUUUUUAAGUUAACACACUCAUAAAAAAACAAAGUUUAAGUUAAUAAAUACAAAAUUUAAGUUACCAAAAAAGGAAACAUGAAGUGUGGAUUGUAAAAUUGGUAAUGUGAAUUUCACAUCCCUUAAAUAAUAGGGGCUAAAUAAUAAUAUAAGAGGAUUCGUGAUGAAAAUAGGUUUGGGUUUGGGUUCUAUGGGUUGGAGAUGUAAGAAUUAUUAAACAAUAAUAGGUUUGGAUGGUCUAUAAUUUGGAUUUGGGUUUAGGUUAUAGACCAACGGUCGGAGAUUUCCUAAGUUUGAUGAUUCAGGCUGAAUAGGGUCUAUGAUUUUUGAAGUUUCAGAAGACAUAAGAAUUUCUGAAUGAUUGGAAUGCCAAAGAUCUUAACACUAGCUACAUUAGGGUUUGUGAUUUUUGAAGUUUCAGAAGACAUAACAAGAAUUUCCGAAUGAUUGGAGUGCCAAAGAUCUUAACACUACAUUUUUCUCUGAUUCGAUUUUUUAGAUCAUAAAUGGUUUCCAAAUUAGAAAUCUAAAUCAAUUUUAGUCUUUUGUCUUUACUUUGUUUUACGUUGUUUUCAUCUUACCUCGUGAGGCGCCGUCUACUGAAAAGAAAAAAGGAAAAAUAUAUAUCAACCAUUUCAUAGGAGAACCUACCUACUACCUUGAUGGUAUCAAUGUGUCUGAAAGAGCAGUACUACAACUACAUCAAUCUAGAAAAUUUAAAAUCAUUUUAUCGUAGUUAGUUGUCAUUCUGUAUUCAAACCAAAUCAUUUUGGAGGUUAGGAAAAGAAAAUGGAACUUUCUCCUUUUUUAUCCUUUUCUUGUCUACCCUGUGACGAUAUAAAAUUUUACAGAAAAUUUAAACUGCUGCCUGCAUUUUGUCCAUAUUACACGUACGUACUUGUACUGCCUUUGGAAUUCAUGUUUUUUCCUCUGUGUGUAGACACACAAAAUUUAACGAAAAUAAUAAUCGUUGAAUUAUUCAAACAAUGCGUAGGUCCGAUAAAAUGUAUACAUGACCCAUGAGUCAACAAAGUCAAAGAGACUCCGGAAAUAAAACAUGGCGACGUGUGAGUGGUCGGUCGACAACAAAAUCAUCAAUCCCGACUAAAAUCAAAUAUUGAAUGUCAAUUGAUAAUCAGGUAUCAAUCAAAUUAAAUUGAUUAUUGAAAAAAGAAGUCAUACAUUAUAUCUAAAUCGGUUAUACCUUAUCAGUCGUAAUUAAAUCAAUCAAUUAAGACUGAUUGAUUUGAUUAUGUUAAAAUUAAUAAUUAAAUCAAUUAAUCAAAACUGAUUGAUUUAGUUAUUACCGUUAAAGAAAUACAAUUGAUUCGGUAUCUUCAUUACAUGCCAUAAAUGGAGGUACGUCGACACUAUAAAUACCACAUCUCAUAUCAAGAGGAGGACUUCCGGACAAGAGAGAAAAAUUACUCCCGAAAGCUCAGAAGUCUCCCAAAACCCUUGAAGAGUCACCAAGCUACCAAAUAGCCGACAUCUUCACCAACUUCAAGACGAAGAACAAACCACCAAGUGAAACCACUCAUGGAUCAAACUCGAUCAACAUCAAGCCUCCACGGCCCUUGAUCAACCCUCGUCUUCAAGUCGUCAACAAAUCAAAACUUCUAUCAAGUUCUUCAAUAAGCUCGUGGGUAAUCAACAAGCACCGAACACACGUGCCAAUUCAUCUGCCAUCAAAGCCGAAGAACAUUCACCACGUGACACCGCUUGUGGCCAAAUCCGAUCAAGAUCAAGCCUUUACGGCCCUUGGUCAACUUUCUUCUACAAAUCGUCAACACAACAAGAAGUCCAAACUAUGACCAUUCGAUUCAAGAUCAAGUGCUUGUCACCCUUGGAUCAAUUGGAUCAAAUUGACGUCGGAGAUCGAAUCAGAGGAAAUUUUUGCUAAAGAAUACCCACAGAGAUUGUAACCCGCAAAUUCAUCAAUACAAAUAUUUUAUUUUGUACACGUGUCUUUCUAUUAUUUGUCGCAGAUUAUUUCGUGUUUACACUGUGUAAUGCGCAUUAAUCUCGAUUCAUCUUGGCAAAUUUGAAGGAAGCUAGAUUUUGGUUUGAAUAGAUAAAAGCUUUGCUCACUGCCUCACUCAAUUGCUAAUGACUUCUAGAGGGAAACAUAGUUAGUGCUGAUACGAUGUUAACAAUGGAUUGACAAUAUGAAGAGAGGAAAGUAGAAUGAAUAAGAGAAUGGUAAUGCAAUUAAAUAAGCCUUUUCUGUGCAGGUUCAGCUUUAUUAAAGAAUAGUGACAGUGUUCACAGGAACUCGGUAGAGUUUACAUGGACAAAGCUAGAGAAAUUAAUUAGCCCAGAAGUAGUCAAAAUGAAUUGAUCUUGAGUACUAAUAUUACUACUGGCGAACCAGACUAAGAGAAACGAAUAAAGAGAAACGAAUAACUCAAAACUGCUUCUCAGUUCCUGACCUUUUUCAUAUAACUCAGCCCUAACCGUAUCAAGCCUCUAUCUCUUGCCUGUGUGACAAGCAAUGAACCUCGUUCAAAGUAUCACUGUUUCCGGUGGACGUACGUACGUGGGAGUGUUAGCGAGAAAAGAGCUUAAUUUGAAGCUGUUGCAUAUGGAAUUGUCAGUCCAUGACACUGUUUUUUAAACGAUAGGGAGGAAAUGUUUUUUUGUUGAGGACAAGCAUUGGAGCAAGCACCACCCUCUUGGACUUGUGCAGCGCACAAUUGCAGUUCUUAUGGUAUGGCCUUCGCUCAAUUUCAGUGUCCUGCAUAGAUAGACUUCCUUCAAACACACUGAAUGACUGAAAUGUCAUACCAGAAAUCCUCAUAGUAGCCAUUCUAUUCUGUUAUCUUCUUUAGAGUCAAUAUGCUGCAUGUAUUUGUGUUUGUCUGAAGAAAUGGGCAGCAGUGUAGGUGUUUGACUUGUGUUGAAACUUUAUUGUGCUCUUCAAGAGUUCAAGGGUUUAUAUACAGUUGGGGAUUACUGUAUGAUAAAGAUCGUAUAGAGAAAUCAAGAAAGAGUCUCCUACGUAUUCGUGAUAAAAGUCGAGACAAGUCAACUUUGUUUGGUUUGGGGUUCUUGCCAAAACUGGAAAGAAGAAUAAAAUAACAACCGUUUUUCUCUAUACUUUUCAAAGAGAGGGUACUGAGAACAAAGAAUUAGGUUUGGCCUUUUGUGUUACGGCUUGGCUUUUGUCUAGGUAGUUAGAGAAUGGCAGCCUAUUUUGUUUCUGGGCAUGCUUGGCGGUUCAAGUAUCAUUUCUUGUUAUUCAAGGAAAAGACACUACUGAUCACGUACUCAUCACGUCAAAAUGUAGUAUGGUAAGUUUUCUGCUUCCAUUAUUAUACUAGUUUUCACUAAUUUGUGUUAAGAGUGUUCAUCUCUGGUUUCUACCACUGUUUUGUUUUUCUCUAGCUGUUCUCAUUUCUUAUAGAAACUUUUCAAUUUUGCCAAGAAUUUGAUUAAACUUUGUCGUUUAGUACUGAUAACAGAAACUGAAAGGUUCAUAUUAAUCUUUAAGUUGUCUUGUCAAUGUAGUUAUGCAACAAGAAUUAGUUUUUCUUGAGGAACUCAGCUUCUCAAAAACGUUAAGAGAGGGAGAGAGUAAAGACAAAUAGGUUGUCUUGGUUUAGCAUUUCGCGAUCAUUGUAAUUGUGGGGGUUUCAGCAUAGCUUUCUCCACAAUAACGUCUUUUAACUAACCUUGCUAGUUGCUACCAAUCUCGGUUUUAUAGCAUAUUGUCUUUACUUUUGUUAGAACUUAUAAUGAUUUAUUAGGAGGACACAAUAUGGUAAUUAUUUAUGCAUAUUCUUUUAAUAACUAAUUGAAGAAAUCAAAUAUUAAUAAUGAUCAACAAGGACUUAAUGCAUUCAAUUUUAAGACUUUGUUGGUUAUCCAUUUCUGCAGAAAGGUUUAAUAUAUCCAGCAGCUUAGUGAAGCUAUUGAGUCGAUCAUUUUACAGCUACUGUAUGUGGUAUAGACUAUAGAGAUUACCAAUUUAAAUGCUUGAGGUCAUUUUGUUACCAGCUUUUUCAUGUUACGAACAGACACAAGUGCAUAAUCUUAAAUACGAUUUCUUUUACGGUUUUGCAGAAGCAAAAUUGAACGUUGGGGUCAAUCUUUUUUCCCCAUUUAACGUCAUUUUCAUCUUCUCUUACCCCUUGGCUCUUCCCAUUGUCCUCUGUCUCUCUCUUCAUUGGAAAAUGUACAAAAAAAAAAAGAAAAAGAAAAAAAAAAGGCCCUCUUUGAAGCGAGUCCUCAGGAAACUUUCUACCUUCUACAUUUUGAAAUUUUCAUGGUUUCCACGAGUCUUCUUAGAAAGAGAGAAAAAUUUGGCACUUUACUUCAGAGUGCUACAGAAACCAUCUAUUGCUAGCUAUAUCUUCUUUGUAGUUAGCAAUUCUUGUUUGUCUAACUAAACUAUUUGGACGAGCAGGGAACUCCUUUCCUCAUUAUAUGAUUUAUAUCCCCUCUAGAAAAUGUAAACAACUGCUGCAAAGUAAUUAUUCCAUAAAAGCCUUAAAAUGCCUAUGAACUAUGAAGUUUCUAUUUGUUUGUAGCUCAAAGUGACACUAUUCACUCUUGAUUAUGACAUAGCUAUUCAAAUUCUAAUGACAAUGCUAGUACCAAAAUGAUGUUAAGAAAGUAAAUUUUAGAAUGUACCCUGGUAGAAUUGGGAAAAGGGCAUAUGAAAAUAUCAGCUCAGGCUGAGAGACAGAGACUCAGAUUUGCUGUUUGAAGUUUCAGUUGUAUUUAAGAUCUCUACAGAAAACUCACUAGAAUUUACAUGGCUAAAGGGUAGAAGGAAUUAGCUCACAAGGACCAGUUUCUCAAAAUUAACAUCCAUGUUGACCUUUUUCUUCUAACCCAAUCCAUCCCUGCAAGACAAGGAUUGGACACCAUUAACACUUUCAAUAUGUCCAACGGAAACGAAUGUGGUGCUGGGAAGAGUGGAGGAGCUGGAAGUUGUUGCUGAAAUGUACAAUGAGCUAUCAAUCCAUGAUUGUUCUUGGUAAAAGGAAAUGCUUCUCAAGCCUAGGGGCCUUGCUGUGGUCUCAGGUGCUGGUCCCAAUCAGUACCUAUCAAACCAGCCCAAAAGAAACCAACACACUCAUUUAUUUCCCCAGGAAAAUGGUGUUCAAGCAACGCAAGACGCUCUUCAGGCGACCAGGAUUUCAAGCCCAAAUUCUUUCUAUGGUCGUUGGCAUGUUUGACAAAGUUCGCCAUUAACAGAAGGACUCCAACAGCUGAGUUCUCAUAACGAGGCCUCUGUCCAGCAGCCUCACCAUCAUCUUGCCCAAAAUCAUACACCAGCUUCAGUAUCGGGUUCUCAGAUAUUGCAGUUUGUAUCAUCCCCGUAUAGUUUUUGUACUUAUUCAACUUUCUAUGCUCAGAUCUCCAAUCCAAGGCCUCUGUUUUUGUUUUUGUUUGCUCCUCAGAAUAGUGAUUACGCAGAUACUCCACUGCAUUCUUUAAAAAUGACAAUAUGGCAAAGGCACAGCGGAAGAACGGGAAGCACAACAGAGUUUCAAAUAGUCUUGCAGCCUUUUCCUGAACCGGUUGGCUCUGAUUGUCAAGUAUAUACCUGAGACCUAGUAAGACACUUUCAUAAUCCCCCUUGAUGUUCUCCUUGUCAUUUUUCAGGCCAUUCGGACUGCAUACCUCCUCUAUAAGAUCAUAAAACAGCUCCACAACAUAUUUGACGUCGCAUAUGUUUUCAUUUCGGGUAUUGGAGGGUGGCGGAAUUCUUGCAAAUUUAUCAACGAUCUCGAUUUAUGCAGCAGUGAGAGAUGCAGGCGCUACCCCUAAGCCACUCUGCACUCUGCUUAAGAGUUGGACACCAAUAUCACUGUAGGCAAACAAACAACAGAGUUCAAGUAAAUACACAGUGACUAAACAACAGAGUUCAAGUCAACACAGCUCUAAUUCAGAAAAAAAAAAAAAUAAUAACAUUCAAGUUUCAGCAACACCAGUACUCAUCAUCCUGAGCUAACCAAAUUCAAAUAUCAACACCACCAUUAACACUAGCCAAAUUCACCAGAAAUUUACACAAAAAGAUUUAAGAAAGAAAAAAACUGGGUCAAUUCUAUAGAAGAUGCAAAGUCCUCCAGUACUUUUCCAUUCACCAAAACAUAAACAAACAAUUAAUAACAGGCCAUGAAAUCCAAAUAGUACAAGUACCAGAUGCAAAUCACAACAACAUUCACAAUCUUUAUCUGGGAUGCUGCAUAAAUACAAAAAGAUUCAAACUUCACAAGUUGCAGAAAUCUAUAUCAUGUAAUAGAUGAUGCUGCACAGCAUCUUCUUUCAAAUCAAAUCUAAUAGCCUAUCCUUUAAAUUCUAAUGGGCUAUUCUGCACAGCCUAGCUAACACCACCAAAUCAGAAAACCUAUACUAACCGAAUCAUAAACAAUUUUCAAUUGAACAAUCAAACUCAUCAAGAAUCAUAUCACAGAAAAAUCAAGAUUUUAAUGUUCAAUUAUCAAUCAAAAUCAUUAAAUUCACUAGAACAACAGAAUCAAGAUUUUAACUUUUGUUAACUACUCACACAAACCAAUUGCGAAACUCGGGAUUGAGGGAGCGAGAAUGUAACACUGUUGGCGCUGCUAGUGGAUCUAUGUACCAAAUCGGCAACCUUUCGACAACCCAAACGUCACCUUUUCUGGCUCGCUCCUUCAGUGUAACGCCAAACCGCCUGUAACCUCCCAAAUUCAUCUUCUCAACCUUGGACGACAUCAGAAAGGGGCCAGCUUGAAAAGAAUUGGGGGGUUUUUUGGAAAAGAUUUGAUGGGAGUCGACGAACAACUGCUUGGGAAAAAUGGGGAUUAGGGUUUGGGAAUUGGAAAAAUGGGGAUUAGGGUUUGGGAAUUGCGGCUUUGAAGCGAAAAGGGUUUUGGUUUUGCAUAAAUCAAACAGCUACAAUAUUUGAAUUGGGGGGGGAGAGCGUGACCUGUGAGGUUGACAUGCGAGUAUUUAUGCUUUCCUGAGUUAGGUUAGGGUGCUAGGCGGGCCUGGGCCUAAUUGGCCUUGGCGAGUUACAGUGUCCAACCUUUAAAAAAUAAAAAAUAAUAAAAAAAACUAACUCGACGCUCUUUGAUCAUAAAUUUAACCUUCUCCUCAAAUUUCUCUAUAAUAAUCUCCGAGAAUUGCGAAAAGUGCGCCAAGUGUUACGACGAAAUGUUGGCGAUGAGGCUCUACAAUGACUCUUCCUCAACAUUCAAACGGAUUCAUAAAUUGAAAUCGGGCGGGACUUAACUUUCCACUAUAAAAAAAACUUGACGGUACGAGAGAAAUGUAUAAAUUGAUAUUCAUAAGACACAAGGGGGACGAUUGAUUCUUACCCCUCGAAUAUAUAAUACAAAAAAGAAUCUAAAUAAAGAUUAAUAGACAUGUCAAUGCAAUACAAUAUAUAUAGAUGUAAAACAUAACUCAACCAACUAAAUCAGUAAAUCUAAUCAUGUUAGAACAAAUCAAUCUCUUCCUUAAAUCAAGCUUAGGAUGCUAUGAUUAGGCUGCUAUGAUUUGUUGUAAUUGUAUAUCAGUUUUGUUACUGCUAUAAAUGUAGUUUAUUCCCUCUUUACUACUGAGUACUGAUUUGUAAUAGCAGUAUCAUUAGCCAUACUAGUGCUAUUUAUGUUGUAUAUCUUGUAAACAGAAAGUAAUGAUAAUCAUAGUUUAGCCAUACUCUAGCUCAUGGACACUUCUUUUCCCCUUAGCGUCAACCUGUUCAUCUAUCUGCUUAUUCUGAUGAUGAUUGAUCUGGUUGUACAGAUUCACAUCGUUCAACCUCCGGCUACCUUAUCUACCUUGGCUCCAACUUGAUAUCUUGGUGCUCCAAAAGGCAACCAGCAAUUUCUCGUUUAAGUGCCGAGUCAGAGUAUCGCUCUCUAGCUCAUGCAAGUGCUGAAACUACAUGGUUAGGUUUUUUGUUACAUGAACUUGGUGCUAAGAUUCAGUUUCUUGUUUUUCUCAUGUAAGUGCCGAAUAAGAUGAUGAUUCUCUUGCUAUCUCAUUCUCUACAAUUUAUACUUCAUCAACAAUAACUUUUUUGGGAGGAUGAAAAUGAUGAUAAGUCUCUAUGUUUUUGUAAAUUAUUUCCGCAUAUUAUAUGUGGAAAUACGAUUUUGAGUUUGACUUACUAGGUUAUUCCUUUUCUGUUGUUGUUUUUACAAAAAAGUCAUUUAUUAGAUAAACAAUAAAUGUUUUUCUUACCUAAUAUAUUUAUCUAACAGAAAACUGAAUAUUGAUCAAGGCUUCAUUUAUUGAGAAAAAUAAGGACACGACUUUUAAAGAAACAUAUAAUCCUGUUUUGAUAUAGUUCCCGGCUCCAUCUAAUCCUCAAUUUGAUAUAAAUAAGGAGACGACUUUUAAAUAUAUAAUCCUGUUUUGAAUUAUCUUCCUAGUAGUGGAGUUAGAAUUUCCGGCUCCAUCUAAGGCCCAAUUUAAUAUUUGCAUGUAAGUUAUGGUCAAAAAAUGUCUUUACAAUUAACUCCAUUAAACAUAUGUAAUAACGUACCAGAGAUAAUGAAAUCCCUUUAAGAUCGAGGAAGACAGAGUAAAUAACAGAGAAGUGAGGUUGGAUGAUCUCUAUAAGAGAGUAGAUAUCUACCCUAAGCCCUCUAGUGUGACAAGUGAUCUACCCUUUGCUUUAUAAUCUAUAUAGACAAGUGAGGUUGGAUGAUCUCUAUAUGAGAGUAGACGACAGGGGACGAAGAGAGCAUUAUGGUCACUACCUAUCUAUGAUUUGUACUCGCUCUACGAGAAGUUAAACCUGCUUCAUAAGUUUCAAUUGAUGGACAAACCAAAUGGCGGGUCAAUUUUUUGAAGUUGAUAAAUGUCAAACACUACUGUUGAUCCUAACUCUUGUCACAAAUGCCGGGUUCUGCACUUCUACUCAUGAAAAAGCCAAUGUGGCCGCAGAGCUAGGCACUCAAUGUUGUUGACAUACCUAGCUUCACCGCGACCACAUAAACACAACUUCCGAAGGUAAACAAUAGACGUAGCUCAUCACUUUCAAAGUUGUACAAGAUAUUAGAACUGUGAUGUUAGCAAGGGACAUGCUCUAAGAGUAUAUAAAAUCCAUGUAGCACUAAAUCAAAAUAAUUAACUACACCGGACUAAGAGAAAAGCAAGGCAUAUGGAAGGAAGGGGUUUUUGAGUCAUCAUAGUGAGAAAUUGGCCAUUGCUUUUGGUUUGAACAGCACAAAAGAAUCUUCGAGUAUGUGGAAACUGUUAUUCAGCUACAAAACUGAUAUCCAAGAUCUUCAAUAGGAUAUUAUUGCAAGAGAUUAGAGAUGGUUCUUGUUCAUGUAAUGACAAUUGGUGAAAGAUGCCUUGAAGGGGUGAUACAAUGCAGAUGUUUAAUUGCAAUGCCAUUUUUGAUCAUUUAUGCAGAUAAGGGUCUCUAUUAUUAAGCUUGGAUAGAAAUUGAACCAGUUGAAAUGGAAGAAAAGUGCAUUAUAUAAUAGGUUGAUAACUGAGUACAUAGAUUUUCUUCUGCUACUACAAUGAAAUACCAUCUCUACUUAUUUAUUAUCAAGAGGAUGGAUUCACAUAAGAACAGCAGCAGCAACAAGAACAGUAAUUUGAACUCAAAUUAGUGCUACGAAUUCAUGCUUCAUAGUUAGGGCCUUGGUGGAAGGAGUUCCUCCUUGCGGUUGCCAAAAUAGUCUUGUCAGCCACUAUGAAAUAUGCCAUUCCAGCCGCUGCCAUAGCAAUCAACAAAAAUUCCAUCAAUACAUAAUUACUACUCAUGAUGAUACAUAAAGAAACUUUUUAUGAAGAUCUUGACAGAAGGAUUGAUGAUCAACCUGUUGAGAUUAUGAGAGCCUGAGCAGUGGGAUUCAGAUUGGCUUUUGCCCAAGGCAGCAUUCUCACACUAGCAAACUGCAUAUAGAGCAUAAUCUUCAUAAUUAGUUUUAGGUGUCGUAGCUCCCCCUUUCAUACAUAUAGAUUCAGAUACUAGUAUACAUAAAGUAAAUUGAGCCAAAGAAAACUUACAGUUGGAAUUGCACUGGCAAUGGUAGCAACAACAGCUGCCUUAACUCCAGCUUUUACACCCUCUGAUACAUUAAAAGAGUAGAGAUUAAACUUCCAGAAGAAAUUUUAGGCCAGCUAGCUAGUGUUCUUCUCAUCAUAGUUUUACUUUUCUUCAGAAAAUAAAUAAAAUUAUUUGGAUACAAAAACUAUGAGUAUAGUAAAGUAUUAGCUAUUGAAAGGGUGGUCCUAUACUUUAUCCAUUUGAUGAUUUUGAUCAAGAACAAGGCCCUUUAUGUGCUCUUGGGCAAAAAGUGAACCAUGAUCAAAUACAAAAUCUUAAGCUCAUAAUAAGCAUAUCUGAUAUCAGUUUUUGCAACUAUUUAACUAACUUUUUACAGGCUCAAGGCAACAGAUAUGUAAAACAUCAUGAAUUAACACAUGGCUCUCAAACCCUCGUACCAAUAUGAAUUAUAUAUGACCAUAUAUAUACAUGUAAAUGCAUCAUGUAAGAAUCAAGUUGGUCAAAAAGGUGAGGCUGCAGCCAGCAGGAAAACAAGAACAUACCAUGAGAACAGCGCUUAGCCAACUGCUGGUCAAAUGAAGUCAGGCUGUGUUUCUCCAUGGGAGAUUGAGACACAUUCUUUGCCAUUGUAAGAGUACUAGUAGAAGUAGAUGUAUAAAUGGAAUGCUAGAAGAUAGAAGAGCUGGUAUGAACUUUGAGAAGCUGGCUGGGUUUUCUGAAAGCUUUGGAUGAAUGGUAAAGUGAUGCAUGGGUGGAUAUAUAUAAGGGAUUUGAACUGAGAGAGAGAUCCAGGUGUUGGGAGAGAGUAGAUGGUUUUUCAAUGAAUUCUGGUGUCUGAGUCACUUGUUUUCAAAGAAUGGUCGGUUUUGUUCUGUUGCUUUAGAUUCCCCAAAUGCCCAUGGUUUUGUCAGGGAAAGUUUGGAUGCAUACAGGUCACAACAGUAAAAACAAAUGCUCAAAGAUCAGGUGAAGAGCAUAGAGAUGAGAGAUCCUGCUCCUAUUAUCCAUUGGUGUUUACAGAACUGACAUGAGAUUCUUUAAUAUACAAGUAAUAUAUGACUCAUUUUUUCAAAUUAGCAUAGUAUUUUAUCAAGUAGAACUCCAUCUUUUGUGCAAGUCGGUUUCGGUUUCAAGAAAGAGAGGAAACUGCAACUGGUAUAGGACAAAGCUGCCCCAAAACCAUGGGUGGCGCUUUAAGCAAGCUCUGGUUUCAGGCACCUAGCCUCGAACUGCUACUGAGAUCGGGGCACGUGUGCUUAAGGUGUUGCUGAGAUUAUAACACGUUUCAUAGAUCGAUCUGCAUCUGUUGCAGCUGAUCCACAGUGGUCAGUGGCACUCAACUCAACUCAAAUAAUAAUGUGUUUAUUUUCAGAACAGUAUCUAAGGAUUUUUGGCAUUGGUACACAAAUAUAUCAGUUCCAUAUUUAUGUUAAUGUAAUUCUUGGUAGAUAGUUUCUACGUGUAGGAGGAGUUCAUGGUUUUGCCUUUGAGUGGGUGAGCAGUGGCUACUGUAUAUGGGGUAGCUAAUGGUUUCAUGGUUAUACAAUGUCCGAGACUCUUGGCAAAAGGCAAGUAGCCACUGCUGGGUAGUGGUUUGUGUAGGUUACUUUUUUUUGGUGGAGAAUAUCUGACUUUACCUCGUUGAAAUAAGACUGAGCGGUAAUCUUAUUCUACCAACUCUCUCUCUCUUUUUUUUCUUUUUUUUUUUUUCUCUCUCGAACUUGUUCAAUUAACUCAGCCAAUGACCCCAAAAGGCCUUUGCUCUAAACGAUUGCCCAUAGAGAACCCAAUUUGUAUGGACCCAAAAACAAAUCUGGGUAUAUUGGUCUACUGUAACUAAUGCCCAUUGUGUCUCACUGAGGUUGUGACAUUGUAAUAAGUGAAAAUUUGAUCUCCGAAACAUGAUGGAAGUUCUAAGAGCAUAAUCCAUGUAGCACUAGACGUUAACAAAAACUAACUUACAGUAGUGUUAGUGGAACAAAGGACUAUUAUGUAUCAAAAUCUAUAUCAAAUUAGUAUUAGGAUCCUCUGUUCAUCAUAUGCUUUUUAACACACUUGAUCGAGAUGACAACUGAUUUGAUCUGAUGAUGCUCUACAUCCGAACUAAUAACAAAACAUGAUAAUUGUUAUUAAUAAUUACGAUCAUAAUUGCCUAAAAUGUAUGAUACUGAUUACAGUAUAACACUCUGUUGUUGGUUGGUAUCAGUUAAAAUUUUUAGCCCCGCCACUUUAAUAAUCCUUCAUUUUAGUCCCACAUCAUAAUACCUUCCAAUUGAAGGUAAAACGAUCGGACUAAUCAUGUGUGAUAGCAAAUAUUCUUGGAUUAAUAUUGUAACUGAAAAAUAACAUCAUUUUUGUUCAUGUCAUCGAAAAGCUAAAAUGCUAAGCGACUAUAUGUUUAUGGAAUUGUUAAUCGCUUUGGUUUCAGAUAGAUGCACAUGCAUGAUCAGUUAUAUUCACAUAGUCAAUGACUGAUUAAAAGAUUCGUGGUCAGUCAACAUUAGAUUUAAAUCCAAUGAUUAGAAGAAUUAUUUUUUAGUAGAGUUGUUUUAUUUUCAAUCUUUGGAUGUUAAUCUACUGGUAACUGAUCAUGAAUCUGUUGGUCAGUGACUGACCAUGUGAACAUUACUCAUGCAUGAUAUAUUGAUAGUACGUACGUACUUCGACACGUAUUAGAUCAACAUAUAUACGUACCUUCGUACGUAUGUAUGUAUAUCUCUUUCGUACGUUAUGAGUGGAGAGUGGUGAAGAAGAAGCCUCACGCGUGCUUCUGCAAAAACUGGAUCUAUCAGUUGGAGUUUUCAUCAAAUACAGGAAGCUCUUGAAACCUCUGUUGACCUUUCAUGCAAAUAUAUCAUUGACUUCCUCCACCCCUAGCUAUCGAAAGCCAUGAGUAAACUGAGUACUGACAUCUUACUGUGAUCGUAGACAUGUAAAAAUCCUUAUAUAUAAAAGACUGUACCAGUACUCGACGACGUUGCAGAUUAUGAUUAAACUGAUACACAAGAACUGUAAUGAUCAAAUGCCUUAGUUUCUACUACGCAUGCUUGAGUUGGGUCAGUGCCUGCAUAUAUAUACAAAUAAUAUCACCACCCCCAUCAUGGAAACUUUGAUUCAUAUGCAUAUAUAUAGCAAAGGAUCUUUUGGAUCUCACUACAAAACAAAAGGUUCAUUUGAAUUUGAUGGAAUGGGUUACUCCAUCUUGGAAUCUCUCAACUAUGAAUAAAGGUUGAAAGGAGAAAAUGACCUCUCUCUUUUUUCAUGAAUGAACAAAAACAUAAUUAGAAGAACAAAAAGGAGCAAAUGAAGCAUGCAUGAUGGUUUCUUUAGUUCUUUUCUUGGUGAAGAAAGAGCAUGUGAAUGUGAGGAGUGGCCAUCAAAGUUGCCCAUAUGCAUAAAGCAUACCAUUUCAAUUUUUAUAGAAAAGAUCAUUUCAAUUUCUUUUUAUUAUAGGUUUGUUUUCCAUCAUGACAAUUGACAAGAGUAAUUAUUGUACUCACAUGACUUCAUGGAGUUCUCAUGAAAAUCACAUCGGGACAAUUAUGGGUAUCAUCCAUCUCUCUUUACUAUUCUAUAUCAUACAAUACAUAGACAAAGAAUCUAUCACAAUUGGUCCAAAAGAAAACAUAAAGCUCUUCUCAUUAAUAUAUAAUUAGUGGGAAAACAUAUAGGAAAUAAAUUCUCAACUCUUUGAUGUCAAGCUAGCAUGAUGAUAAGUAAUUUUGCAUACUUUCUGUUUUACCUAGGUAUUUACAUUCACAAUACAUGAAUAUAUCCAAGCAAUUAGAAAUAGUCAAUAUGAUGAUGAGGGAUCUGAUAUGGUUCAUCCCUCUCUUUCUUGCUCAACUUAGGUAAAUUAUGACCUCUACUAUUACUACUAGUCCUAAUCUUAUGCAAAUGAUCAUGGCUAGCAGGAACUUGAGGAGGCCUAACUGAUCUAAUCAAAGCCCAAUUCACCCCCUUAAAGAACUCAUGCCUUUUGAUCUCAACUGAACCCUUCAAGCUUCCUAUUCUCUUCUUGGGAUUCUUCACCAAAAGCUUGCUUACAAGGUCUUGCACUUUGGCCAUUUCUGCCUCAAACUCUUUGCUGCUGCUACUGUUAGUAACCCUAUUAUCAUUAAGCACUAGCUUUGGAAAGCUCAAUGGCUGCUUCAGAAUGUUGAUGAGGGUUUUCUCAUUGUUUUCACCCUUGAAAGGUGUUCUCCCAUAUAACAUUUCAUACAAGAACACCCCAAAUGUCCACCAAUCCACUGCACUCCCAUGGCCUUGUCCUGAGAUCACCUCUGGUGCUAAGUACUCGUGUGUCCCAACAAAUGACUUAGAACGAGCAUUGAUAGGCUCUGCUACCAAUUCCGGGUCAAGUACUAGUUGAUUAACACCUUGAGCAUCAUCAUGAUCAUCAGUAUCACCAACAUGUUCUGUAAUUGUUGUGACUGUGGCUCUCUUUUUCUUAGAGGCUGAGAAAAUGCAAGAGAGGACAGGCUGCAUGGGAGCUGCACAAGAUGGCAUAGAUGAGCUCUUUACGAUCUUUUCAGUGUUGGAUUCCAAGUCCAGUUUACGCCUCAUCAACUUCGGAACGACGUCGCAUUUGAGAGACAGAUCAAAAUCCGAAAGCAUUAUGUGACCGUCCUCUCUAACCAGCACAUUUUCAGGCUUCAAAUCUCUGUAAACAAUGCCCAUCAUAUGUAGAUACUCGAGAGCUAGCAGUGUCUCAGCAGCAUAAAACCUGUCGUUUUCAAAAUGAGCACAAUAUUAGCAUAAAAUCAUAAAUUUAAUUGGAACAAGCAAAAGUUUUACUAAUUAUUAGUAAUGCACUACUAGUUUAGAUGUAUUUCUUUCUUUUUUUUGGAUAAAAGUUUAGAUGUAUUUCGAGCUAAAUGAAUGCUUAAAAUAACAUAGCUUUAAUCUAUAUCUGAAAAUUUAAAACGAGGUAGUUUUAGACAUAAACACAGUGUAGUAAAGAGACAAGAUUAGUUACCUAGCAGAUGAGAGGCUGAAGCGCUUUCCGGGCAGGCGCUGACGGGCAGCAUACAAGUCGCCGCCUGGGCAAAACUCCAUAACCAAGCAAGAGUAGUGAGAAGCAUCAAAGUCGGCAUAGAGAGUUGGCAAAAAUGGGUGGUCAAGCAUGUCCAAAAUCUCCUUCUCCAUUUCAGCUCUAUGCAGUUUGUUCCUUAUAGCAAGCGCUUCUCUGUCCACCACUUUCAUGGCAUAGAAGCACUGCGGCUGCUUAGGCUGCAGCCCUGCCACGGCUGCGGCGGGGUUCCUUAUCUGGCAAAGGUACACAUUGCCUAUGUCGCCGCUGCCGAGGCGGCGCAGGAGGCGGAAAUGGUCGAGUCCCACUCGGCCUUUGGAGCUCCGGAGCCGCCUCAUGGCUUCCCAUGCAGCUUGGUUGGCCUUGUGAGGCUUGUGAGUUUGGGAGGCCUCAGAAGUGGCGGAGGAACAGACGGAGACGGAGCUCCGGCGCCGGCUGCUGAAGCUGAGGUUGCUCAUCCAGCUACGGCUAGAGUCGGGUAUGGUUAUGGAGGAAGAGCUACUGUCAUAGUCGGAUGAUUCAGUGCUUGUUAUGGCUGCCAUUGUAGAAGUGUUUUGAGAAAAUGCGGAGGAGAAAGCAUGUAUAAUUGUAUGUGUUUUGUGAAGUUCUGUUGCUUUGCUUUAUGAGAAGGGUUUUUAUAAGAGAGCAGCUUGUGGGAUUUGGCACCCAAUAAGCUAGCUAGCUACUUUGUUUGGUCAAAGAAAGUUACAAACUCUUACAGUCUUUUCUUUUACUAAUAGAGAUAGUAAAUUUAAAUUUUGUUUUGGUAUCUAACCAGAAUGCACGUACUACUUUUAGAUAGUGUUCUAAACAAGGCGCCGCCCAUGCCAGCAGCGGCUAGCACUCCUUCCCAUGCUAGCAGCCGCCUAGGCGUUACAAGCCAACCAUCCGUCAUAUUAGCAUCUAGCGAGUUUUCUAACUUUAGCUAAUUAUAUGUAGUGUUCUAAAAUAAGGCUGCCAACCCAUCUAGCUAGGUGGUUUCUAGGCGCUACUAGGCGCUCCAAGCCUUCUCUCCGCCUUAGGAGCGCCUUUUCAAACCUUGUUUUUAGGGAUCAGAGGAUAGUUAAGCAAAAUUAUAACACAUAACAAAUUAUAGUAACUAAAAGAGAGGUAACUGAAGGUAAAUUUGCUCGUAUACUAUAUAGUAUAUACUAUGCCUCUACUACUACAAACUUCUACCGAAAACGCCAUCGUUUUAUCUUUAUGGAUGAAUCAUGUGAGGCUCUUCCAAAAGAAGUAGAAAUGAUUAAGAGGAUUUGCUAUUUUGGUGCUAAAAUUAUUUUAAUCCGCACACAGAAACGAAACACUUUUAGGUGCACAGUAAGUGGUGCAGUCCAUACAGGAUUUUUGUUCCAGAUUAUUACAGCUGAACUCAACCAAGCAAAAGAUACCGCAACCAAAAUAAAGAGCUUUUAGGGUUGAUGGAUAUUCUAGGCAUGCUCAUCUCAGCUGACACAACCACUAUGCUUUGUUUUCGAAAGUGGCUUCCAAGAUGAAAAUGGUGACGCAUUGAUCUUUCAUCAUAUAAAAGAUCCAACACUGAGCAUUGUAACUUGUAACCCAGUUUUCUAUCUUAUCUUGCCCAGAUUUUUGAUUUUUCAAUGGUGUAGUUUAGCACCUUGUCAACUUCUUAUGUAUAAAAGUCUUCCAUGGAACAAUACAUAUGAUAUUUCUGUCUUAGAAUCGCACUAGUACUUGUUUGUGAAUCGUGGAGAUGUACACGUAGUGCAUAUAGUUCUUUACUAGAUAGAGUAAGCUACCCAAAUAUGAUUUACAAACCAUCGAUUAUCAGAUCAACGUACAUGCAUCAGUACAUGAAGUGAUUCAUAUACGUAUCUAAGUAUCAACCAUCCAAGUCUAAUGAUAUCAAAUUUUCAAAUCAAUCACAUAUCCGUCCAUAUGUUAUACGAGAGUUUUCUUUAAUUUACCAAUAUAUGUAUUUAAUGAAUUUUAAGAUUUGAAACAUGAACAAACGUACUACUUCAGUCGACAACCAAAUCUUACACAUAUAUCACUUAUUCAUGUACUGAUAAUCAAGCUGGUCAAUGAUCAUAUAUGAUUCUCUUACCGUUUAUUUAAAAGUCCUUAUUUGGUUCUCAUUAAAAGUUUUUCCUACAACGAGACUGCCACUCAGUUUCGAUAUUUUCCCUGAAUACAUGAGAAUUUCCAUAGACGCAGUCAAAAAGGGUAGGUUCUUUCCUGUUAAAAGCUCCUACACACUCCGUUUCUCAAGAAAUCACCGUCGUAAAAAGUGCUAAAGAUCCAAACCUAAACCCACGCUUAACUUAAACGACAUGUCGUGCCAACCGGUCAACCUCUUUUUCUUUUUAUCUCGGUCUCGGUUCAUCGGCCAGUCAAAAUUGCCACUGUAAAGAAUGAACGGUAGUUACUUUAAAAAGUGAGAAGUGGUUUCGGUGAAUUUAGGGGACAAAACGUGGCCCACAUGAAUCCCAAGGGAAAAAGACAAAGCUCAAAAAAGGCCUGGUGGGCCGGAGGUGGGUGGGUGGGUGCACCGAAAACCCGUGCCCCAAAUUCAUAUCCACCUCACUCUUUGGUGCUUCCCUUUAUAUCUUCUUCUUUUAUGAUAUUCUUGCCAAGCAUGUGAACCCAUGUAGAGACCGUAGGGGACCUGUAUUGGGUCCAAAGUAUUGCAAAAACUUAUAUUAAUUACCUCAUUUUCGGGUUUUCUCUAUCGUUAAGUUGUUAUCGGAAUGUACUGAAUUAUGAGUACAUGCAUCUUAAAAGAGACGAAUAUCCCUUUCUCAUGACCAAACAAUCACUUGUUUACAAUCCUCAUGCAAGACUAAUCGUAUUCAUUCCUCCCUCCCCCCUCCCACGCUGCGUUUGGUCUUUUACUUCUAUCUCAAUCGACCUGGCGACUAUUACGACAUAACAAGUCAAUUUCACAAUAUUAUGUUUAUUUGUUACUUUAAAUUGAUUUAUCGUGUAAAUGAUUAUUGAAAGAGCACUAAUUCUUGUAUUUAGUUUAUAUUCCAAUUAACUAUGCACAAUCUUGGAUUUCAUCAAAUUCCCCCCACCAUAUAAAGGCAUCAUAUUCCCACUUUUCAGCUUUAGAUCAGACAACAAAGAUCACCCAAUCACUGUGAUUCUGGACUUGUUGCUCACUACCCCAUUCCAUAGACCAUGGUGCUGAUCUUGUGGGACCUUAAUGAGCACAGAUCAUUUCAUAUUACUAUUGAUCACAAAACUUCUAUCAAAGAAAUGAGAGAAAAGCAAUAUGGGUUUGAUUGAUCAAGUGACACCAAAUCUUGUCAUUCCUGCCUAUUUGAUUGGACUUUAGACUUUUCAGAAACACAUUGAAUUUUUCCCUCUGCACAUUUUCAUAUCCUAAAACCAAUUGUCAUCCCUUUCUUUAACUCUAUCUUUCAAUUCUUCACUUUUCUCAGCAGGAUCUUAUCUCUUUCAGUUUUUGGUUUCAGUUUCAGGCAACAGACUUGGCAAGAAUUGCAGGGUUGCAGGAUGGCAUAUAUAUAGGAAGACUCAAAGCUCCAUCACUUGCCCCAUACAUUCUUCUCCCCUCACUCUCAAAGAUAUCCAACAACUUUGGUUUUGUUUUUUUAUUUCAGUUUCUUUGAUUGAACCAAAAAUCUCUUAGGAAACAGGUUGGUAGACAUUUAAUUUUCCUGUUUACUGAUUUGGUUAUGUUCUGUAUUGCAUGAAAGUAAGUUUGAAUUAUAGGAUCUUGGAUGGUGCCAAAAUAUUAGUCAUCAUUGCAAAUGAUCAUAAUGAAAGAGGAAAAAGAUAAAUUUUCAUUCAUUUCUGUAAUCAUGUAUCCAGCAAAGGCUAUGUAAGAAAAUGGAAAUAUCAAAACUUCAAUCGGGUCCAAAUUACUUAAACAUAAACUACAAAACUAGAUACAGCAGUUGAUUAAGGGAUUGACAUAAAAAAGGGUGUUCAUGAAGAUACAUGAACAAAAUGAGGAGAUGGAAACCAGCAAUAUCAUAUAUCCCUGUCUAAACAGGACUUCCACUCCUCCAAUAAUGUAAUAGAUCAUUCAUAACCCUGAGCAAAACAUGGCCAAUCUGACAACCCCACAUCACAAUGUGUAUAUACACAACUAUGAAUCUAAAAUAUGUAUGAAUCCAGUGGUUUCUUGACAAAAUUUUUAUAUAUUUGUUGAUAUGCAUCAGUUUCAGUGUAAGAGAAUAGAUUUUCAGGAAGGAUAUGGAUACUCUGAACUGCAUUUGAUCUUGUUAUGUCUUUGGAUAUAGUUAUUGUGUGAGACAUAUCAAAAUGGGCAGCUCCUAGUCAUGGGGUGCAAGCUAACAGUCAUUUUGUCUUCCAGCUAUGUGUUGGUUUGUAUAUACCUUUAAAAGCUUUCGCAACUCAAAAUCCAUUUUUUCUUUUUUCGAAGUUUUCUAACAUUUGAACUGUCAAAACUCAACUGUAACAGUAAUAACAUCAUGUUAUCUGUAAAUAACCCCUGUAGUAAGUUCUAAUAGAGUUUUAAUAGGCCUCACAUACAAUGUGGUUUACCAAAAGAUUUCUAUUCCUGAUUGAAUUAGGAAACACCACAACUUGCUCUUGCCGUAGUUAGAGCUAUGGUGGAAUCAGACUCCACCAACUCAACAGUAACCAUCUGCAGCCCAAGAAGCUCCAGUUGGCAUGGGCUGUAAGACUAGGAUGGAGGUACAAUAGUGUAUAUUAUGUCCUUAGAUGAAAAUCAAUACCUAUAAACUGGAAAUGUAUAGCAGUGUAUAUUUUGAUGCUUAUCCAAGACAUAAAAGUAGCUUAUACAAAGUAGCUCAUCUUAUAUUUUGAUGCUUUCUCAACAAGACGAGUUAAGUAUACAAGUAGUCUGGCUGCUAUCUUGCUACUACUGAUGAAUAUGUCAAGAGAUUCUCGGAAGGGACUCCGCUUCUUAAUGCUUUAUCUACCUCAGACAUCAAGUUAGAAUACAUAGGCUGCUUUGGCAUUGGUAAACUAGCUCCUUCAUUGCUCAACAUUGUAACAACUUCUGACAUGUUUGGUCUAUCUUCUGCACAAUCUUGAACGCAUAAAAGACCUACCUGAAUGCAGAGUACACAGCCAUCCCUUGAACUUGUAUCAGCUAAUGUUGGAUCUAACAACUCCUCACAUCGUCCAGAUAUCCACAAAUUCCAGGCCUACAAACAGUUUCAGAUUUUUAACUGUAGAAUAAAAUAGGGAACAAGAGCAUAAAAAUUCUACAAUGAGAGCCAGAUAUGCCUUGUUACUUACAUGUCCUAGCAAGUUCAAAGAACAAUCUGACUCAUAAAAGGUUGCAUUCUUCAUGCCACUCAUAAUCUCCAACACAAUGACUCCAAAGCUGAAUACAUCCGAUUUUGUUGACAAAAGGCCUUGUAGUACAUACUCGGGAGACAUAUAACCACUGCUUCCAAUAAAAAGAUAAAACAUAUAUGAGAUUCAUCAAAUAAUUUUAUGUCAGCAUUAGUCUACUCAUCAUAUUUUGUUAAUUUAGUUUUAGAAUAUAUGGAGUUACUUACAAUGUUCCAACAAUCCGCUUUGUUUCAGCUCCACAUUCAUUCCCAGAUAAAAUUCUAGCCAAGCCAAAGUCUGAUAUCUUGGGGUUCAUAUAAGCAUCCAAUAAGAUGUUGCUUGUUUUGAGGUCUCGAUGAAUAAUUCUUAGUCGAGAGUACUUGUGAAGAUAAAGCAGCCCUUGAGCAAUCCCUUCAAUUAUGUGUAUGCGGUGUCUCCACUUCAGUUGUCUUCGCUUAAUUGGAUCUGCAUCAGUAGCAAUGUCACAAAAAUGAGAAAAGUACUGAUAACUAAAUUGAAAGGAGGAAAUGAGCACAGUUAGAAUACAAACCAAAAAUGAAGGAAUCCAAACUUCUGUUGGACAUAUACUCGUAUAUUAAUAUUUUUUCUUCACGUUGAGUGCAACAGCCCAAAAUCUUAACAAGAUUUCUGUGCUGCAGCUGAGAGAUUAACUGCACCUCAUUCUUGAACUCCACCACUCCUUGUCCAGAUCUUUUGGAAAGCCUUUUUACCGCAAUGUCAUAUUGCAGUAAGUUACCCUGGUACAAAAAGAAGAUACAAUCACUUCACUGAAACUUUAGAUCAAAUCUGAGUUGCAUACAUAACUUUAUCACAUACGUGAGACGAUAUGUAAACCGUUGAUCCAAGCGGAAGAAACAACAAAAUGUUGAUAUGAAUAUGACUUAAUAACUCAGCAGUACAAGGUAUUAAGGUAACAAACACCUUAUAAACAGGCCCAUAACCUCCUUCUCCAAGCUUGUUAGCAGCUGAGAAAUUAUUUGUGGACGCCACAAUGCAGGAAAAGCUAAGCAUUGGCAAAACAUGAUCCUUCGUCUUUCCACUUUCUAAAACAGGUGAACUGCUACCACUAUCAUCUGAACUCAACUGUGACAAUAAUAGCUUCAUACUGUGUGUCCUGCCAAUAGAGAAUCUGCAAAUUCCUGUUGUUUAUAGGAGACAAGUCAGUGCAAUAGUACUCUCAAAAUUAUAUUUUCGCAAAGUUACUAUAUUUCAGUUCAAUAUACGGUUUGGUUAACGUACCUAAAGAGUAGCGCUUUCUCCAUAGAACAUACAGGAACAAGAUCAAGAUCAAAAUGAAGGUAGUCAAGGGAGCCACAACUUUGACAACCAGCAACAGCUUCUUUUCUCUUGAUGACACCAACCAGCAGUCACCACAUACCGAAUGACUCACAACCGAAAUCUUCUGUCCUACCAUUAUGAACUCCUGGAUCUUACCAUCCGAAGCCAAUGCAAACCAUGAAUAUACAUUACUAUCUUUGUUGCUGUAAGUAAGAUAACGCUCCUCGCUGUUCAAUACAUAGCUGACAUUGUAAUUAUCUAACUUGGUUUUGAAAACAAAUCUGAAAUUAUGGCCAUCCCAGUAGCCAAUCUGUUUCUCUUUACCAUUUGCGCGCCAGACAGUGACUUGAGUUGGGCUGUCCAAACUUACACCAAGAUAACCACUUGUAGGGUCAUGUACGCUUCUCCAUGAUAUAAGAAACAUAAACUUCAACUGAGCAUUGGUUAUGUUAACCACCCCCAAUUUCAUUCCAGGAAGAAAUGUAUCUACCAGGUUAUCAAAGCUCUGCCACAAAGUCUUUCCUCCUUGCAUCAGGAUUAAGUUUCCCGAGUCAAGAAUCCUUGCGCUUGUGCUGUUAUCUGUUGCAGUUGCUCCAUAAGCGAAAACAUACGGUGAAUUUCUAUUAUCACUGAUCACCAAUCCAUAAGGAUUGAAGUAGAGACUUGCAUUGGGAUCCAUAAGACGGUCAUCUCUGUUUGCCACCCAAACUGGCCUUUUCUUUAUGUCAUUCUUCAACCAGAUUCCCAAGUAUCCUUCAGAAUCCGAGGGGUAGAAAAAGCCUAGCUCAAACACUCCACCAUCAGAAAUCAAGGUUUCAUCCUUCUGCAUACGCUGACCAUGCAUAAGGGUGUCUGAUGCAUAAGACGAGCAAACAAAGAAGCAUAAGAAUAUACAAAGGAAAACAGAAGCAGCUCUCAAUAUUUUCAUGCUCGACAAAAUAUAGAAGCUGAAACUAUACUAAAACACUAAUUUCAAAAUGCAAAGGUAAGUAAAUUAUGAGCGUGCAAUUCUUUGGAGUAUGGCUUUUAUGGAGUGAAAUGCAGUAAAAGACGAACUUUGUUCUAACAAUCAACCACAGUCCAAAGUGAAUGAAAACAGAUUAAGAAUCUUAAAAAAAUCCAAAGAAGUGUUCCUCUGGUGUUUAGCUAAGGUUAUGUGCAUGGAUCUUUGCUCUCUAGCAUUGUUACUAUCAGGUUUCAUUUUCUCACAACUGUAAUGGUCAACUCCCUUUUGGAUUAAAAUAAUUAGGUCAUAGCCCCCCACAUUGGAGAUAAACUUUUAUAGUCAAGCAAAUUGACUACAGUCUGUAACAUAGAAUCUUACGUUGUUUUACUUGUUUAUGAUCUUAUGGACAAAAGUAAACAUCAGUCACCCUGCAACAAACGUUGUUCAGUCUUAUGGACAAAAGUAAACAUCAAUCACCAUUUCCGCUAUCUUAGAGUAGUUAGAAGUUAAGGGUUAAACGUUGUUAGAUUAAACAUUGUUAUAGUUUUAUGCACAAUGAACUAAUCUAACAACGUCCGGCUGUAAAUGUUAAUAAACUUUGAAUAACUAUAAAACAUUAUAAGAAGGAAGAUGAAAUUAACACUCCUUAUUUUACGAUCUACACUCUCAUUUUUCAUUUUUAGGUAAAGUUUUCACAAAAAGACAAAACAUAUGUCAUUAAAAACAAGAUUUAAAUUACCAAAAAAGAAAAAUAGGAAUGUGAAUUAUAAAAUUAGGAGUGUAAAUGUUAGUUCCCUAUAAGAACCACUCACAUGAUCUGUAAUGACCUAACUCCGGAAUACUAUAGAACGCCACAUGGCGACACAAGUAACACUAUGUACAUGAGCCGGGUCGGGUCGGACCGGGCCAUCUGUAAUGAACUGGACCAGUCCGUGCAAAACAACAGGCCUCAGUAUCCUUCAGCUACUUGUUCAGUUCUGGCGAGCAGGUCCACCUUAGCUUCACAAAGACAGAACCUCCACCAACCAAAACUCAAAUGAUUCCGAAACCACUGCAGACGGUGGGAAAAGCCGCCGCCGUAAUCUUUGCCGGAUUUCUGACCCUCAAUCUCGCUUCCACCGCCACGAUGGGAGCCAUACGUGUGGCCGUCGAGUCCAAAAGGGUAUGAAAACCAAAACCAAAACCCCAAGUCUCUCAACUUCAAAGCUCGUAUUGUUAAUUGCUCUCUGAAAUUUGAUUGUUUUGUUUGGUGGGUUUAGAAAAAGACUGCUCUGCCUUGUGGGGUUUGUAAAGGGAAAGGGUUUUACAUAUGCAAGCUAUGCCAAGGGAACGCCACCAUUCAAUGGUCGCCUCUGUAUGACCCAGUAGCCAUAAACCCUUGUCUCUGCCCAACCUGUGAUGGAAAUAGGUCAGUUACUUCUUUCAUAUUAGAUUUUGGGUCAAAUUUGGUUAUAUGUUGAAGCAAACUUUACCAAAAAAGAUUGACAUUUUAGGGAGGAGGCAAACUUUACCAGUUCUAUAAAUGAUUGUGAUUUUUUUCUCAUGAAUUGCAGGGUACAGCGAUGCCUUAACUGUUUGGGGAAGGGAUACAAUUGAGUUGUAAAAGCAGAAUAUAGUGUUAGUUCUUUAGCUCUGUUGUAAUGGAUCAUGAUCAUUUUCAUGUAUAACUACUUUAUCAUCUGUGAACUCUUCCUCCUUUUGUUUCUUUAAGCUUAUCAUGUCUUUUGAGAAUGAAGGAGAUCUUCACUUUGAGCAAACUUGCCAAACCACCAAGUGGAUUUCCUGAUCAGUCACGGAAAAGAUUGAAGUGGCUCUCUGUGUUACAAGUUGAUUGGUGAUGUUUGGAUUAACACCUUAUAUGAAUUCCUCAUGGAAAAAGAAAGUGAAACAUGUGAUUGUAGUUGAAAGGAUUGGUAGUGAUUCUAAGAUCAGAGGCAGAUAUAUGUAGAAACAAGGAGGCCCAAAGGCCGGGGAAGAUAGGCACAGCCCAACUUCAAACAUAGAUUUCUGUCACUCAAAGCAUCACCAUUAGCUCGAGACCGGUGAAGAUGACAAAUACAGGUGUAAGUAGCUUCUCAAUCGUUUCGAGGUCGAAACUUUUUGCAUAAACUCUCCAAAGGGUGAUUUUCAGAUCUUCCUGCAUUUCUAAAUUUGAAUAGUUCAGUUUUGAUUUAUGUUAAGAAAGUUAAUAAGCUUUGAUGUAAAGUCAAGCUUGUAAAUAUUCACUCUCACUAGUCUUGGAAAUAGUAUAUAUUGUGGUUAGCCCCUGGAUAUUUACUCAGAUUUUACGACAAAGAUGAACUUGAAAAUAGAAUCACAACACACAACAAUUUUAUAGCGGUUCAGCCAAAAACCUUAACAUACGUCCAUUUUGUGGUCUCUCUCGAGAGAUUCACUAGCACUAUAGAGAAUAACAACUUGAUUACAAGUAUAUAUUGAAAUUUCUAUGCUAAUCCCCAACUCAUCCUAGAUCUCUCUAUCACGCUUUUGCUUUCGCUUUUCCGCGCUCUCUGUCUUAGCCUUAGAAAACCCCCUCGACUCCGAUUUAUAGAGAAUAGGGACUGUUGAUACAACAUAACUUAAACUCCUAAACCUAAUAUAAGUCUAUAGAUCCUUGAAUGACUAACUAAAAAAAAGAAAAAAAAAAACUUUUCUAAAACUGUUUGGACAAUAAGAUAUUGUUUGCAUCCAAAACUACUGGACUCCAAUCCAAAUCCAAUAAGAAUUAGGGUAUGAAGAAGAACAUGUUUAUACAGACGCCAAAAACCUAAGCCUCAGACUCAAAGCUGCAUCAUACUUGAGAGCAAACAGAUAAACACCAUGGAAAGCUACGGUGAAGAAGAAGGAGAGCAAACCCUGCCUCUACGCGGUGGCGGGUUGAAGCUGAUGGACGACGAAUAUGCUGAUAAGUCUCUAUUCGUUUGUAGCUUUGAAGCUUACAAAACGCCCAAACACAUCCCUACUGCGAUGUAUCAGCCUUGGGUUAGUUCUUAUGUUGUUCGUUCCAUCAAUCUUUCCGAUUUGCUGGCACCGCCGUUGUCGUCGUCGGUGAAACAAUUAAGAAAAGUGGUGGAUCUGGCCGACAAAGAUCUCCCAGGUGAAGUGGGUUGCGGUGUUUUGGGGUCCAAGAUUGUCUUCUGCAGCGGCUUGAAACCCAACAUGAAUCCGUUUCGUAGCGGACCACCAUUCGGCCCUCAUUUCAGCACAGAUGCUUAUGCCUUUGAUGUCCAUGACCCCAAACAAGGGAUAGUCAAGAUGCCCGAGGCUAUGAACGGAGGCAAGGAAAGUCCUUUCGUGGCUGAGUUUGCCGGCAAACUCUAUGUACUGGCGGUUGAAGAUUUUGUUUCAUUUGAGGUGUAUGACCCCGUACAGGGUACUUGGUCAGUUCUGCCGCGCUUCCCUUAUUGUUGCUUCGCCUUCUCAUGUGCAAUAGCCGGAACCAAAUUGUUUAUGUCUAGCCAAGACGAUUACUACGCUGAUCAGGACCGCUCCAUUUGGUGUUUUGACCUUGCGGCCCGUGACCCAGCAUGGAGGAGAGUCCCCAGCAUGUGCCAAGGCGGCCCUCUGCCCUUUAAAGGCCAAGCUCUAGUGGUGGACUUGCCACAGCCAGAACACAGUAACAAAAAGUUGCUCUUUUCGGCCGAACAUAACUUCCUCAUGUGCCGUAGCAGUAUAGUAGUUCAUCUUUUGUCCUUGGAUGAAAACCAGGAAGAUAUCACCGAAAUACACAAGAUUAAUCUGCCGGCUGGUGUGCUCCCUACCCAACGGGAUGACUGUCAUUUCUGCCAUCUAGGGGGAAACAAUGUCUGCUUUGUCACCACCCCUUUGAGAGAGAUAGAUCCUGCCCGUAUGUCAGAGAGAGAUCUUGUCAAUGAGUAUAUAGCAAGUAUGCCUGACAAUAAGUGUAGAGCACUCGGUGCCGCCGUACCAUUUCAAUUCGAUUUCGAUAAGGUGGACAAGGACAAGAUGAAGGGUUUCAGUGUCAGUUUCCAGCCUACUGUCAAUUUCGAAUAUCAUCAUGCAGGUCCAGACUCUUUGUUACGCACACUUGGUUGCUUUGUGCUCUAAUCACUUUAACUUGAUCGAUUGUGUCAUGCUCAUCUUCUGCAUGCACUAUUCUAUUCUGUGUGCUACUUUAAUUUAUAAUCCUACCUUUUAUCCAGACUUGAUGAUUUCUCAUCUUUCGCUUGCAUUUUCAUUGUGGAAAUAACUUGGGUGACCAGCUAUGAUCACUUAUGGGUGACAAAUACCAAUAAAAGAUGGAUAAGUGUCAAUAAUAAUCAUAAACAAACAUGUCAAAUGCCUAAAAUCCCCUUGUUAUGUCCUUAAAUUGCAACAAAGUCUUUUAAAAUUGAUACGUGUCUCAUGUUUAUUAGCAGUGGUCACCUUAAGAUGACAGGAUGGCCAAAAACAUGAUCAAAUGGAGCUCAUUAGGAAGCUUUGGUCUUUAAAUAUUCAGCCAAAAAUGAAAUUCUUUGGUUGGCUUCUUCUCAGAGGCAGGCUUAAAACGAGGGAUAGGCUAUCCCGCUUUGGGUUGAUCCAGGAUAAUUCUUGUGUGCUUUGUAAUGAGGAUAAUGAAACAAUGGACCAUUUAUUUGGUUACUGUAAUUUUGCAACUUCUGUGUGGAAUGCAGCUGCCAUGACCCCUCCUAUUGACUGGAAGGAAGGCCUUAUUAAGGUGGCGCGUAAAUGGUUUAUAGAUAAUCACUAUGACUCUAAUCUUUUUGGGAAAUUUAUUGUGACUUGUUGGCAGAUAUGGAAGGACAGGAAUGAUGCAGUAUUUAGGGGCAAAACCCCUAGAUCCAAUGCCACAGUAGCUGCUGCUGCAGCUCACCUACUUGCUAUGAGUAAUAUUCAGACUGAUUCUAGUUCAACUAGGAAUUUGGAUACUCCCGGAACAGACUCUGAAAUGAUUAGGUGGUCACCACCCCCUUUUGAUAGGGUUAAAAUCAACUUUGAUGGCUCAGUCUGGAGGAACUCUACAGCAGGAGGAUUCGUAAUCCGAACCCCUAAUGGUAAUCCACUUGUUGCAGCUUCUUCCAAUUUUGGAAUUACCACAAUCUCAGUUGCAGAAGCUCUUUCACUCCGAAACAGCCUCAUUUGUGCCAAGGAGAGAGGCUUGUCCAGAGUGGAGGUUGAAGGAGAUUCGAAACUUGUCAUCGAUGCAGUGAAUGGCAUUGCUGCUUCACCUUGGAGGAUCCUCAAGCUAGUUCAAGAAAUUUAGAUGUUUUGAGGAAACUUCGUUUGAUUUUAUUAGUUUCAAGCAUAUUUUUAGAGAGGCCAAUUUUGUAGCUAAUGCUGUACGCACAUGUUGGCCCACAAAGUAGGAGAUGUUCGCUUUUGGGAGGAGUGUGUUCCUCCGGAAGCUAGCCUAGCGCUGUCUUUUGACUAUGUAAACCGCGGGUGCGUUAGAGGCACCUCCAUUUAAUCUAUUGGCUUUUCAUAAAAAAAAAAGAUGACAAUGGCUUGUUACCGAAGUCAGGUUCUUUCAUUAUGUUGCAAUGUGUCCUAUACCUAUAUUCACUUUGGGCUAGUGUGUUGAUUUACACAUUGAUCUAAACACUUGUCAGCAAUCUCUCACACGUGAUCUACAUUUUUGAGAGCCAUUAGAUCAUUCAAAUAAGGAUUUGGGUAGCCCUCAGAGAUAUAUGACGGUAACAAAAUUAGAAGAGAAAAAAAAAACACUAUGUUAAGAUUGAUAGUGGUUUGUUUAGGCUCGUCAACUAUAGAGCUCCAAAAUGUGAAGCUGCUAUUCUAAUAAUGUGCCACGUGUUGCUUAGAGCACAAGGUUCUCUAAAUCCGAAUUGGACUAAAAGACAAAAAGGGAGGUUGAUGCCGUUGUAUGGAUAGACAACAGCCACCGCGCCAAGUGGCCAAACGCAGUCAUGCUACGAAGAAGACGGAAGCUUUCAUUGCUCUUUUACGUUUAUGCCCUUGCAUGCGUUGCUAACCUAUAUAACUGCCCCAUGGUUUAUCCGACUGCAAGUGCCUCUAUUUUCGGGCUGUCUUAUCUGAUUAUUAGCUUGAAACAUCGAUUUUUAGGAGAGGGUCAGCGAUUCAAUCCCAUCCGUAUGUAAUUUUAUCUAUAAAAUUUCAAAUAUAAAUAAUAAUUUUUCUAGAUAAUAGAACAACUAUCGAAUAAUCUAAAAGAAGUAUUCAUUAAAAUGAGUGUUACUCUUGUGAGGUCUCGCAUUUCAAAAAUAAUAUGAUUAGGAGUUGAUUUACCAUAGUACGAUGUUAAGCGAACUUUAGCGUAUAAUAGAAUCCCGACCAGUUACUGCUUCUCUAAUACCUCUAACACUUCAUCAUACGACUAAAUUAUUCAGUCUGUUUUAUGUCUUGUUAAGAAGAGUCUGAUAUGAAAGAGAGAAAAGAAUAGAGAUUGAAGGUGUGAUCUUCUUAACAUCUCAGUGGUGCUUCUAUAGAGCAAUUUUAAAAAUAAAUAUGUAUGUUCAAGUCUUGAAUACUGUAAAUGACUAUAAUUUUUAGUGCUUAGAUACGUUACUAGCUUAUUUAACUCCGUACCAAUGCGGUAUCCCAUAUCCCUACUUUCAUGUAGCUCAAAUUCUUAAAAAAUAAAAAAUGAAAAAAUCUUCAAGAAUUGAGAUUAUACUACUCACCGGUCCAAAAAGGCAUAACAUCACAAGAAUCCCACAGAUAAAAUAAAAAAUAAAAAAAGUCACAACUCGCCUCAAACCCAAAAUUGUAAUAUCACCCUCGACACACUCCCAUACAAAGUGUAACAAACUCUGCUCCGUCUUCUUCAACAACCACUCCCUCAUGAUCUCCAUGAAAGAGCCACCUCUCUCUCGCCGUAAAAACCCCACCACCAACCACCACCACGCCGCCCAGCCCACUAGGCCCGCCAACCACCACCACCGCACCCACCUCAAGCUCGUCUGCCGCUUCAACGGCGCCUUCCACCUCCGGCCUCCCUCCGGCCUCCUCCACUACUCCGGCGGCGACGCCAAGAUCGUCACCGUCGACCGCCCCGUCAGCUUCUCCAAGCUCCUCUCCAAGAUCUCCGGUCUCUCCCCCGGCAUUGCCUCCUUCGUCAUCAGGUACCAGCUCCCCUACUCCGUAUCCGGCCCCGCCGCCGCAGCGCCGCUCGUCCGCCUCGACUCCGACGACGACGUCCGCCGCAUGGUCGACUCCUUCGACAAGCUCGAGAGCUGCGGUGGUAUGUCCGUCAGGCUCAAGCUCUUCGUUUGUAGCGCUAACGGAGCCGGGUCGUGUUACCGGGUCGGGUCAGAGACCCGGACCCGGUCGGAUGAUGUGAAGGCGGCGGCGGUUAAGAAACAAGAUUCUCUGAGGAGAAUUGUGUUGAAGCAGGUGGCCAAGCAAUCGGGUCCGGAUUCGGGUUUGGGCCGUGCUAGUGAGAGUGAGGUGGAGCUUGGUGAGACCAAGCAAUGUGAAGCAUAUGAACCCUUGCUUAGAGAUUUAGAGUCUCAUUGUGACAAUGUGGCUCAGUUUUCCGUGGGUAGGUCUAGUCCAUUGAACCCCAGAGAUGGGAAUUUGAGGGGUGAUCAAGCUUUGGGGAAGGUUUUGUGUAAUGGGGUUGGAGUGGCUGAUCAGUCAGUGUUGGCAAUGCAGGGUUUGAAGCCGGUGAAUUGCUCCGGUGUGACGAAGCCGGGGAGUAAUGGUUUUCAUGUUAAGAAGGAUAUGGGGCAGAAUGGGGUGGCUGGGAUUGGUAAUGGUAGUUUAGUGAAGAAUGGUUUGAGUUGUCAUUGUUGUGGUGAAACUAUGAUUCCCUUGUAUGCUGGCGAUAGGGUGUGUGACGGGUUGAGUAGCAGCAUCAGGAACCAUAGGUUUAGUAGGGAAGAAGCUAGACAUCAGCAGUGUAUUCCUUUUUGUGUUAGGAAUCAUAGGAGGAGCAACAUAGCUGAGAAGGGGAACCAUAGAAUUGUUAGAUUGGAUGGGAGGGUUUCGACAAGGAAAUGCUGCCUUGUGAUCAGGCCGCAUAUGAGUAUUUCAAAGGAGGGUAAGGCUGUGAGACUGUAUCAUCCCUAUUCAUUGCCGCAUUAUGCUGAUAGGGUGAGGAUGAGGAAAGCUAGCUCAAUCAAAGACAGGUCCUUGAGUGGUGUCCAACAUAGUGCCCAGAAGGGAAGUAAACAGAACGGUCCUGGACUUUUACAGCAUCUGAAAAUGAAUCUUGAGGAAAAUUGCUUAGGUUAUUAUGGUGAGUUUACUAGAGUGGGUGGUCAAUCAGUAGUGAACUGUGAUUCUACUGAGAAUUUGUAUCCAUCUGUGAGGAAUAUGGACACUCAGGAAAAUCUCAUAACUGUGUCUGGUUUUGGGAAGUGUGAAGGUCAAUAUCAGACUUCAUAUGAAAAUGUUCAUGGAGUGACCAGCAAAUGUGAGCCUAUUCAUAGAGAUGUUGACAAUGAGACAUGCCUAAAAGUCAUGGUGAACGCUCCUAACACCUCAGGCACCAUUGAUAAUAAGUUGCCUGGUGAGGAAACAGUCAACAAUUCUUUAGGCAAUUCCCAAAAUGGCAGUAAUAACAUACAAGAUUUAUGGAAUGGAGUAACAUGUUCAGUGAAUAGAUCUUUGCGUGAUCUUUCACUGUCCAAAGAAGUGGAAGGUCCUCAGCUCUCUUCUCAUGCUAGCUGUGUGGUGACUUCUGACGCCUUGCUAAAACCUCAAUCAAAACCGAUGGAUAUCAUGGAUGUAGGACAGUUUAUCACGAGUCCUCAAGUCAAGGAAUCAAAUGAAGUCAAAUCUAAUCCUUCAUUCCAGAAUUUAGCUAAGAUAGAGAAAGGCAGUGAGCAUGUUGAGGAGGAUCGACAGGAAUCUCCAUCUAGUUUAAGCUCUACUGAAGAGGUAAUUACUUGAAAACAUCUUAUCUCAUUCAACUAUAAGAAAUAACAAACAGAAUGAAAGCAAUCUGUUUUGUAGGUUUUACUAGCUUUAGUCUAUAGGGAGUAAGCUUUUGACAUUUGGUUCUGUAUUGUUAGGCCAACCAUGGAAAUAGUCUUAGUUGCUCUAAGGUAAUUGGUGGAACCUCCAAUGAUCUGGCUGCAUUUUAUACUCAUCUAGCCACUCGAGAGCUGCAGGUAACCACUUGAACCUAUGCAUUUUCUGCUUUGAUAAGCCUGUGGAGGCUCAACAGAAUAUCAAUAUAUAUGAUUGAAUGUCGUGUGUUCAACCUUUUCAGUCUAUCAGAAACUCUGACCUUGAGUUCAUAAAAGAGCUUGGUUCAGGCACAUAUGGAACCGUUUACCAUGGGAAAUGGAAGGGAUCUAAUGUUGCCAUAAAAAGGAUCAAGCCAUGUUGCUUUACAGAUGGGGUAUUGGAGGAUAGAUUGGUAACACUUAUAUUUUUCCUCCCACAAUUCAAUUGUUCAAAUUUAUGUUUGUUAAUUGUUAGCAAAUUACAUAGUUAUUUGUAUUACUAGGAAUUAAACUCUUGUUCUGGGUAAACUCUUUCGAGGAAAUAUUCAAGGUCUCACUACUAUAGUUGGAAAUGCAUGUAUACCUGUUUGUUGUGUACCUACGCUUACUAUUCACUUCUUGUAGCUUGCUGACUUUUGGAAGGAAGCUCACAUAUUAGGUCAACUUCACCAUCCAAACAUUGUGGCAUUCUAUGGUGUAGUGACAGAUGGACCAGUGACAGAUUUGGCAACGGUGACAGAAUACAUGGUGAAUGGCUCCUUAAGACAAGUUUUGCGGAGGAAAGACCGGUAAGAUGAAUGAUAUCUUGUCUUUCAUAAACUGAUAUGCUAUUACCUCCUUAUUCUUUCUGGUAUUGCAUAAUUUCAAUUGAUUAGUUUCAGAGCCUUAACGAUAGAGCUUGCUAAUUAUUACAUGUAUAGUAUACUUGAAUUAUGUAUUCGUUAUAGCUGAGCACAUGUAAUGAUAAGCAAAACCUGAGGAUUUAAAAGACAGGAUAGAUGAUCUUUAAUAUCAACCCGGAGAUAAUCUAUACCAUUUAAAAUGCAAAGUGAUAGCAAAAUAUAAUUAAAUCCAUUGGAUUUCUACUAUAGUCUAUGCAUAUGUUAAUUCUGUUUUCUGUAUAGCUUGGCCUUAGCCUCAUGAAAGUUGAAGAAUGAGCAAUCUUUAAUAUCAACAUGGACAUAAUCUAUACCAUUUAAAUUGAAAAUGAUAACAAAUGAUUUUGAAUUCAUUGGAUUUCCACUGCAGUCUGAUGAAAAUUUAAUCAUCUCACUGGGUGCACCAGAGUCUUCCUACAAUUUUGGUUCUGUGGGUUCAUAGUUCUUGAUUUGGUGAGAGCUUGAACGUUGUGUUGUCCUUUCAAGUGUGGAAACAGUUAUUAGUUGCUCUGUAAUAUAACUAAAAUUUAUAAGUGUAGUUAUCACUCUUCCCUUUUUUUUAUCCUAUGUUCUUGGAAAUUCUGACUGCAAAGGGAUGCAGGCUAGUUAUCUGAUCAUGUUUCAUUCUAAUUGCUUUACAGGACUAUUGAUCGUAGGAAGCGGAUGAUAUUAGCAAUGGAUGCAGCCUUUGGAAUGGAAUAUCUUCACGAGAAGAGCAUUGUCCAUUUUGAUUUGAAAUCACAUAACUUUCUGGUGAAUAUGAGGGAUCCUCAGAGACCAGUAUGCAAGGUAUCCAACUGAGAAGAAGGCUUCUUGUUUCUAUAUCAUAAUAUUCCUAUUGUUGUCUUUGCCUCCAUGUAAUUUUUCCCCUAGUGUUGAGAUUUCACUUGAAUUUGUUUAGAUUGGUGAUCUGGGAUUAUCAAAAAUCAAGCAGAGGACACUCGUCUCUGGUGGAGUACGAGGCACUGUACCAUGGAUGGCUCCAGAACUUUUGAACAGCAACAGCAAGAAUAAUCUGGUGACAGAGAAGGUAAACAUUGUUCAUAGUUAAAAGAUCAGUGAGUGUUGAUUUAGGUUUUGUCUUCUAUCAAUUAGUAUACUGGUUUUUAUUGACUUCUCAUGUCUUUGUAUCUAGGUUGAUGUGUAUUCGUUUGGAAUAGUUAUGUGGGAACUAUUGACUGGUGAGGAGCCAUAUGCAAACUUGCGCUCAGAGGAAAUAAUAGGUAACAUCCCAUUUCCUUUUGAAAACUAGGUGAUCACUUUUGUUUGAAACUUCAAAAACACCUUAUUCUGUUUUCAGGUGGUAUAAUCAAGGGCAAUCUCCGUCCUGAAAUACCAAGCUGGUGUGAUCCAACAUGGAGAUCACUAAUGGAGAGAUGCUGGUCAUCUGAUCCGGAAUCUAGGCCACCAUUCUCAGAAAUCUCAAAGGAGUUACGUGCAAUGGCUGCUGCUAUGAACAUUAAGUGACACCACUUGAGCUGAGCAGAGCCACAUAACUGCCACUGUCUCUGGUACUAGCGACUAUAGAUCAGUAGAUCACUUAGUGUACAUAUUUCAGGAGCAAGCUGAACAGCAGGAAGUGCACAUGCUGAGACAUGGAUAAUUUUUGCCGUCCACUGUCAUGUGCUUAGAGCAUUAGAGAUCGUCAAGCUGGGUGAAAUUUUUGCACUCACCGGUUUGCGAGAGGGUAAUGGGUAGCGUUACGUGUAGGAUGCUGAAGUACGUUAAAGAACGAGCUUCAGUAGUUGGAUUCGUCCUAAGGUAGAACAAGAUUGCUGCCUGCAGUGAUGAGCUGAUAGUUUCUUUGAGGAUUUGCAACGGUCAUGCACUGUUGCACAAUAACUGUAAAUAGUCCUAAUCUGAGUUCUGGUAGGAAAAUUUGAUUGUCUCAAAGAGGCAUUUGAGAAAUGGCCUAGACUUGAUGGACAUGGAAUUAUCACAAGAUUUCCUUGCUGUAAUGUGAUGGUCCUCUCUCUUAGCUUUCCUUGUUCUUUGUGAUUGUGGCCCUAAAGAAAGGCUGGCUUAUUAACGUUUGCCACCAAUCAGUUCUUAUACGUCAAUCCUGCUAUGAUUUUUCGAACCGCCAGUACAGAAGAAAGCACAAUGCAAAUUACAUUAUUCCCUUAUGGCAUAGGAAACAUCGCAACAAAAUGAAUGCAAGUGAUGGAUGAAAAAUCAUCAAGUCUGGAUAAGAGGUAGCAUUACAAAUUAAAGUGGCACACAGAAUAGAAGAGUGCAGAAGAUAAGCAUAACACAAACGAUUAAGUUAAAUUGAUUAGAGCACAAAGCAACCAAGUGUGUGGGGCGGAAAGGUAGAGUCCGGACGUAGAUGAUAUUCGAAAAUGCGAGGAGGCUGGAAUUGGACAGUGAGACAAUUCUUCCUGUCCUUGUCCACCUUGGAGAUAUCGAAUUCGAAUUGAAAUGCUAUGGCAGCACCUUGUACAGUAAAAAUCAUCCCACGGUGAUCUGCUUCAUACUUUUUUUGAGGUUCUCUCAUACCGGUGGUGACAAGGCAGACAUUGUUUCCCCCUAGAUGGAAUAAAUGACAGUCACCUGGUUGUUCAGGGAGUGCAGCAGCCGGCAGUUUCAUCUCCAUUAUUUCAAUGAUAUCUUCCUGGUUUUCAUCCUAGGACAUAAGAUGAACUAGUAGAUAUUUGGCAACACCCAAUCAUUUACAUCUUUAUAUGAAAAGAGCAACUUUUUGUUACUGUGUUCUGGCCGCGGCAAGUCCACCACUAGAGCUUGGCCUGUAAACGGGAAAGGGCCGCCUUGGCACAUACUGGGGACUCUCCUCCAUUCUGCGUCAGGCGCCGCAAGGUCAAAGCAGCGAAUAGAAGGGUCCUGUUUAAGGUAGUAAUUAACGGUAGUAGUAUUCUUCGGUCUCUGGCACUAGGGUAGACAUAAACAACUUGGUUCCGGCUAUGGCAUAAGAGUGAUGGGAGCCAGGAUUAGGAUAUUUUGGCAGACGUGACCAAGUACCCUGUUGGGGUCAAAUACCUCAUCAAGGCAUAAGCAUGUGUGCUGGGAUCAGGGCCGAACGGUCCCAAACCUUCCGGAUUGGGAUUGGGUUUCAAACCGCUGACGAAAACAAUCUUGCCCAAAACACCGCAACCCCCUUCAUAUGGGAGAUCAUUGUCGACCAGAUUCGCCACUUGUCUUAAUUCGAAUUUAUCCGGCGACGACAGCAGAAGGGGAAGAUUGAUGGAACGAACAACAUAAGAAAAAUCCUGAGGUCAAUACCUCGCAGUAGGGAUUGACUUUUCGUAAGAUUCAAAGCUACAGAUGAAUAGAGACUUAUCAGCAUAUUCGUCCUUCAGCUUCAACCCGCUUGAGCUUUCUGGGUUUAACGACAUGGUGGUUUCUCUGUUUGCUCUCCAAGUACGAUGAUGGCUUGAGAUUUGAGUUUGAGGCGUUUAUAUAGUGUUGUUCCUCAUAUUAGCAAUUGGAUGAGAGGUCUUAAUUAUUAUUGGAUUUGGAUUGGUACCACUAGUUUUUGAUGCAAAAGAGUUGGGCUCAAACGAAAUCUCGGCCCUGUUGUUUUAUAAUUUUAUUUUUAAAAAAUGAAAAUUCUUGUAUGCACGACAUGUAUUUACACUACACAAUCUUAACCAUUUAUAACAAUUCAUAUGUUUGACUACCAUGUUUUUAUAUUAUUUUCUUUAAUCCUGACUAGAGGUGGCAAACAGGCCGGGUCAGGUUUCGGGCCAUGCUUGGGCCGGCCCACGACGGGCCACUUCUUAACGGGCUCGGGCUUAGGCAGAUCCAUUUACUUAAAUGUAAGGCCCAGCCCGACCCACGGCCCAAGCCCAUAACGUGGUGGGCCGUGCUCGCCCCGGGCCCAUGAACAGGCCGUGUCGGGCCCGUUUUGUGCCGAAAUGGUCGAGGUGAAUGUCCUAUACCAUUGCUUCUACUCUCAUAAUCUCAACUUUUAAUUAUACAUGAUACGAUUAGAAACCAAAACUAAUUCACACAAUCUAUCGAUCAUUUUUUUCUUUGUUAACAAACUAAAGAAAUAAGUGAUAAAUGCUUAUUGUUCACAAUUAAUAAAUUUUAAAUGCUUAUUGUUCACAAUUAAUAAAUUUUUAGGCAAAAACUUCUUAUGAGUUUAAGGGAAUUUAAUUCAUACUUAAAUAAAUAAUUAUUAGUAUAUAAGUAUAUCGUUCAUAUUCAAAACUAAGUUUAUUAUUUAUAAAUAUGUUAUUUUAAUAUUAAAAAUGGAAAAAAUUAUAUUUUAUAACGGGCCGGGCCGUGGGCCUCAAAUUAUCGUGCUCGGGCCGGGCCAGGCCAUGGACUCAUUUUUCUAGGCCCAGCCCGACCCAUUAGAAUAACGUGUUUGGGCCGGCCCAAACCGUUAACGGGCUUGGGCCGUGCCGGGCCGCUUUUAAACGUGCCGUGCCGGUGCUUAGUACCCCGUUUACCACCUCUAAUCCUGACCAUCCAUGUAUGUAUAUGAAGAUACACGUCAUGCACUAAAUAUGUUCUCUUCAAAAAAGGCAUUAAGAGCAACUCUAAUAAAGGAGUCAAAAUACUUGUGUUAAAUUCAAAAUUUGAUAAUUUUAAACACUCAUGUGUCCAUUUUGAAUUUUGACCACUUUUACUUCAAUGAACAAGUCAAAUUUAAGAUAGAGAUUUAUGUUUUUUUUUUCCCAUAAUAUUUUGUAUUGUAAAAAAUCUCACUUUAUCUUCUUCCUCUAUCUUCUGAUUCUCCCCUUUUGUGGUUGUUUAAGCCUUUCUUCUACAGUUCUACCCACUGAUCUUCUUCUUCUUCUUCCUACAAAAACCCACCCACCCACCCCAGGCUAUCGAAAAAAACCCACCCACCCCAGUAAAAUCACCACACAAUCGAACCUCCAAUUUUAAGAUUCAAUAUCCGGUAAUAAAUUUUUCAUUUGGCGAUGAAUUAGCAAGAUCCAACUCUAUUCACUGCAUCAGAGGAUGACUUGAAUAACUAAAAAUUCCAUGCUGAUGAAGAACAACUAAAGUAGGAAGAAGGAAGACGACCAAAAAAAAGAUGCAGAUGAUGUUCUUAUUCUGGGUUUCAAUAUGGGAAGGGAGAGCGACGAGAGAGAAGGGUUUCAAGCAAAUGGAAGAAACAAUUUUUUAUUAAAUGACUCUUCUCCCACUUUGUGGCAAAUUUGACAACUAGCUCAGUGGAUUUGGCUCAUUCUUAAGAGAGCUCAGCGGGUUUUCAAAAGUAACUGUUGGGCUACUGUUAAGGAUUUAUCUCUUUUGUUGAAGAUGCUCUAAACCCAAAAAAAAAAAGAGCAAGUAAAACAAACAACUAAGGAACAACAUAGUUCCUAUUUCUCCUGGUUGUAGCAACACCAGUCAAAAAAAUCAUUUAUCAAAUCCAUUUUUCUAGUAAUAUCAUUGAUUCAAAAUUUAAAUUUACAUUUAGAUUUGGUAAUCAAUUAUCUUAUCCCAAUGUAAUCACAUCCUUUACAAAAUCUCAAAAUUUCCCAUAAUUAUUCAAAUUUCAAAAACAAAAAGUAAAUAAAUAAAUACAAAAGAGAUGGAAGAUGAGUGGUCCACGUCGGCACCCUAAGACCGACCACGAUGUUCGAGUCAGACAUGGCAUGAAUAUUAAUGAUUAUAUUAUAUUAUAUAUAUAGCCCUCCAUCCUUCCACUAAUUUUUUCUUUUGUUUUUCUCUUUGGGGUAGCUGCUUAGCUCUCAAUCAGUUACCCUAGAACAAAGAAAGAGAAAAACCAGCUGCCUUCUCCAGCUGAAACCAGUAAUCCCCAGCGGCUGCUUGUUUCUAAAGCGCUUUUUUCUAGAGUCGUCGCCGAGUCAAAAUCCCUAAUUCAAUCCGAUGAUGAUUCAAGCUUAGGGUUCCUCCGAAAGUUUGAAACUUUUCUAAUCCGGUAAUUCUCUCACCUGAUUCUGACCUCCGAUUGUUCCUGGAUCUGGGUAUUGUCUCGAUUCGAGUACUUCUGGGAUUGGUUUUUGUGGGUUUUGUUUCAAGUUUUGGGUUUUGGGAUGAAAUUGGGGGUUUCAGCGUUUUGGGUUUUCUGUUAGUUUUGGUUUUUGGUGAAUUUGGGUUUGGUUUGUGUGGUGGUGGAUUGUGGAAAAUGAGAAUAAAGGUUUGAUUUUGCUUCAUUGUUUGUGGUUUGGGUGAUAAGGGUUUGUUUGUUUAUUGACUUGUUGAGGAUUAUUGGGUAGUUUUUCUUACCAUUUGUGUUUGAGCUGUGACUAAUUGUUGAGUAUCGAAUUGAGGUCCUGUGUGUAAUGAACUUGUGAGGUUUGAUGAAAAUUUGUCUAGUUUCAGUCCUUUUUGUUGUGAAAUUGUGUGAUUUCCUCGAUCGAAAAAGGAAGAGCUGGGAACUGCAUUACAGGUGGUUUGGUUUUCUGGGUGUCAAAUGGAAGAGAUGCAUUGAAUCACUGUACUUUAUAUUUGAGGUUUUCCUUUGUGUUGGUUCUUGAAUGUAGAAGUGCUCUUGAGGCUUGGUUUGAUUUGUUGCUUCAUAGAAAGUAUGCAAAGGCUUGGAUGUGAAUGCUCUUUGGAAUAUCAACCAAUUCAUUGUGAAAUAAACGUUUUCAGUCUUUAUCCUUUUAUGCAUUGUGGAACUUCUUUAUUGUUAAACUACUAAUUGUCAAAUAUGUGUGGUUUUUUGUUUAUUUCUAGGGCCUUGGAUACAUUUUAUCCCCUAUUUUGUUAUUGUUUUGACUCUCCUUGUUUACGUGUAAUGGAUAUUCUUGUUGCUCAUGCUCAGUAUGCACUUCAAGUGGUGUCUGUAAUCUGUGUUAAGCAGAUUGUUAUCUGUAUUGCUGAUGUUAUGAUUUGGUCUUUUUUAGUUUCAACCUGCCACUAUCGUCUGGCAAGAGGGUGCAUUAUCUCUGAUAGCUCAAAAUGCCUAAGGAAAGAAGGGACCGUUCUGUGUCUCGUGAGAGGUACAGAGCAUCUCCUUAUCCAUGCAGCUCCAGUCAUACAAAGCGUCCCUCACUCAAAAUUCCUUCAGAAACUGAAGAAAAUGUGAAAGAGUGGGAAGAAGCUAGGUGCCCAGUUUGUUUGGAACAUCCACACAAUGCAGUUCUCCUCAUAUGUUCAUCUUUUGAGAGGGGAUGCCGCCCUUACAUGUGUGACACAAGCUACCGCCAUUCAAACUGUCUAGAUCAGUUCUGCAAGUCAUUCUCAGAAGAGGAUCCACCAGAGAUACUGCCACAAGAAGAAACUCUGCUUUCAGAUAAUCUGUUGCCUCCAUUUGAAACUUCUGAAUCAAUAAUUACUGAUGUGCAGACUGAUAUAACCGAGGAAGAGCCCCCACCCAUGAUUCCCAUAUCUUGUGAACACCAGGAACAGCCCAAGCUUGUGUGCCCACUCUGCCGUGGGGAGGUAAAAGAUUGGAUAAUUGUGGAGCCUGCUCGUUGCUUCAUGAAUGCAAAAUUGAGAAACUGUUCUUGUGAGACUUGUAGUUUUAGUGGAACCUAUACAGAUCUCAGGAAGCAUGCAAGGCUGGAGCACCCGCAAACACGCCCAUCAGAGGCAGACCCAGAGCGACAACGUGCCUGGAGGAGUUUGGAGCGGCAGAGGGACAUUGGUGAUCUGCUCAGCACACUCCAAUCUUCAACUGGAGAGGAUAGGGGUGAUGACAGUAGCUUGGCAGUUGAACAUGAUGGAGGAGGAUGGCUAACUGUAUUCUUUCUAGUUAGAAUUUAUCGACCUACAUCUGGGUCCAGCUCGCGGAGCAGCAGUUGGUCUCCUACCACUAGAACUAGAGCACAAAUUAGUAUGAGAAGGAGAGCUACCAGACUUUGGGGAGAAAGCUAUGAGAGUGAAGCUGCUUCUUCUUCAAGGGAAGCGGACAAUGACUCCUCAGAUGGUGGCUCGGCCCCUACUAGGAGGCAGAGCGCACGUCUCCGGCAAAGGCGACGGACAACACCGGACAACAACCAGCCCUGAUUGCAGAUGAAUGUAGAGGCGGCGAAAUUGUUUUUCAUUUAUGGUUUGGAAAGUAAGUUUGCUAAAGUUCUGUAAUCAGCAGCUGUCAGUUGCUUGCUGAUGAUUGAAAUUCUGAUUAAAGCAAUGUGCGUGGUUAAGUGCCGAUGCUCUUGGACUCAGGUGGAUUACUUGAAAGGAAAUCAUAUGGAAGAUGGUCUGUUUCUGGCCUGGAAUCUGCUCCUUCCUUGCUAGAAGUGUGGAUCAGUGUUGCUGAUGAGAAUAUUAUCCAGAGAGUGAAAGAAAUGUAAUUUUCUGAAAAUCAAACUUAAAUUAUAUAUUUGCUUUGCAAAGUCUGUUCUUUUUCUCUCUUUAUAAUGAUAAAAGUAAACACUUAAUUCAUAGUUUGAUUACUGUUUAAACAAGCUGUUAUUACCAGGUCCAUUUAUCCAUUUACCUUUAAUCAUCUACAGGGUAAAAAAAAAACAAAAGAAAAUAGAAGCACGUGAGCAAAAGCUUUAAAUGACAGCCAAGAGUUUAAUUAAUGUUGGUCAUGUUUUCUCCAUUCUGUCUCUCAAUUAAUCAUUAAAAUUAAAUUCCUCAAAAGUCCCAAACCUUUUCAACCUUUUCCUCUUUUCCCAGAGACCGAUCUAUCUCUGUUCUGUUCCUGUCUCUGAACUCAAAGGCCCUCGAUGGACCGGUAAUGACAACAAAUUAGGAAUCUGGGGCUGUUUUGCAAUUUCGAAUAGAUUUGUGGAGGAAAAUGGGGGCCGAGAGCACCUCUAGUUCGGGCGGUGGGAUUGAUCGGAACGACAGGAGGUACGACACUCCGGUGGUCUUGAACGUCUACGACCUCACCCCUAUGAACAAUUACUCAGUUUGGUUCGGUCUUGGAAUAUUCCACUCCGGUAUUGAAGGUCUGUUCUUGGCUCAAAAUCUCAUCUUUUUUAAUGUUUCUUGGUUCUUCAUUGUUUUGGUGAUCUGGGUUUGGUUCUGUGUUGGUUUCUGGUUAUUGGGUUUUCUGGGUUUUCGUAGUUGUGAUGAAUGUGAAUUUGUUUUGGGGUAUGUAGGUUUUCAAGAUUGGUACUUGGAAUGAUCCAACGUGUUUUCUUGGAUUUGGGACUCUUGAUCUUUUGUAAUAUUGAUCUGGUUUAUAAUGAAAUGUAUGCUGUGCUUGAAGAAACAUGCUUUUGUUGUGUUGUGAUUUCGGAAUUUGCAUUGUUUGCUAGCUUAAAUCUGUAGUAGCCUACUAUUGCUAUCUUUUGUUUCAGCAGGAAGUUAAAUUUGAGGUCAUUGUGGUUAGGGAUAGUGUUGAGUGGGGAAACUUUGUCGCACUUUUAUGUUUAGGGUAUGUUUGAUGAAAGAAUUGUUGGGUUUAAUGUAAUGGAUAUGCGUUUGUGGGUGAGUGUGGGAUUGUACAAGAAGAUAUAGGUUUUGAUUUAGUGAUAGAUGAAUCAGUUUUUCGUGUUUGGAUUUCUAAAAGGUGCAAACACAUAAGUUAGUGUGUUGUCUGGAAAUAUGUUAUUAUGGGAGCAGGUCUUACAAAUCAAAGAGAAGCUAGAAUCCUCUGUUUAAAAAUUAAAUUGACUGAUCAGUAGCCUUUCAUUCUCUGUGAUAGAUACUCUUUAACCAUAAUGUCUUUUUCCUUGUGAACAGUUCAUGGUAAAGAGUAUGGUUUUGGAGCUCAUGACUUCCCAGUUAGUGGAGUUUUUGAAGUGGAACCAAAGGCCUGCCCGGGUUUCAUUUACCGAUGCUCUAUUUCACUUGGUCGUAUAAACAUGUCUCCCACUGAAUUUCGGACAUUUAUUGAGAAUGUCGCUGCGGAGUAUCAUGGGGAUACCUAUCACCUCAUUUCCAAGAAUUGCAACCAUUUUACAGAUGACAUAGCAUGUAGGUUGACAGAAAGACGAAUUCCUGGAUGGGUGAAUCGGCUUGCUCGACUAGGUAAAGAGAAUUUAUACUAUGGACUUCUGGUACUCGAUUUAUUCAUGCGUUGGAUGUGUUAUUUGGAGAAUAUGUUUGAUUACUGCAAUGUUCUAGUUGUUCAGAACAAUGGUCUUAAAUCCAAAGCAUUUAGUAAUACAUCUUUGCUGGAAAGAAAUUCACCCAUUUUUGGUGUACUGAAUGAUAUUUAAAUGUGCAAAUGAUAUCAUGCAUGAGAGUUUUGAUUUCAAUGGUUUGAUUUGCCUUUAUUUCAUUUCAUAUUUUGGGGAUUGGUCAUUUUCAUAGACACUAGCACUCACACGUGUGCUUCCCUUGCUUGAAUCAAUACUGAAGUUUCUGUUAUGUCCAUGUUUUGGUUGGAAUUUUAGGUUCUUUGUGCAGCUGUCUUCUUCCAGAAAGCCUUCAAGUGACUACUGUUAAACAGACUCCUGAAUACCACCAUGAGUCAGGUGGUAUUUUCAACUCAAUAUCAGUGUCCUAACUUUAUUUGAUAAGAUUGGAGUGUCUGUAGUUGCUUCAACAUUAACAUUUGGAGUGUCUCUAGUCCCUAACAUUUUGUGUUGCUUUUUUAUUUAUUUAUUUAUUUUAUCUGGUUGUGUUCAGAAGAAGAUGGUACUGAAUCUUUGACAAUCACUACGCCUCGCGUGUCAACAGAGGUUGAUGACGAUCAAGAAAGACGUCUGCUGUCACCCUUGGCUGCAGUAUCACCAAUGUCUGGAUGCGGGGACGUGACUUUUGUUAAAGAAGCCCAUACGUGAAAUAUAAAACCACAAUUUUUAUCGGAAAAGAGGAAAGUAUCAAUCCUGCAUAGGGUUGUUAGGCCCGUCAUUCUUCUCCAUGUCUUCCUAACCUGGAUGGCUUAUGAGGAAUCUCGUGUUUGCAGAAUCAAAGCUGCCUGAAUUGUAUUGAUUGUUUGUAUGCACAAGCGUUCAUCCGAUUUGCUUUAUUUUUGAAUUCUUUUUUGUACCAUUUUAAGUUUUCAACUACUUUUUGGAACUAUGGAAUCUGAACUAGAAGGUAGUUUGUUGUACUUCAUGAUUUGUGGAUGUGAAAGCUUUGAAGCUUGAAGGGGAGUUGUUUUGGCUAGUGAAAUAUCUCCCUCUGUUUUCAAUCUGAAUUUCGUUUUCUGCAACUUUAUUUUUGCUUGCUUUUCAUUUUCUUACUUCUACAAAUAAAGUGAUUGCCUCCCCGUUGGCCCCAGGCGCCCUUAAUAAAAUGCACUGAACCCAGAAGAAAGAAGUGAAGGGUGAAACAGGAAAGCAAUAGACCAAAGAAUGAGAAUCAGUGAAUCCCUUACACAGAUCGCAUGGUAGUUGAGUUUCAGCUGAAUCAGCCAUAGACAAAGUGAGAAACUUAACGACUAUGAAGCUCUGAUACAUAUGGAGUCUCAACUCCACUCAAAAUGGAACCAAAAUUGAAAAUACUAAAUCUUCAGUUUAGAUUUGGUUUACCAAGAACUAAUAUCCUGCUACCCGCAUACUCUUUCUGUCAUUUGAAAUUUCAGCAAGGAAAAGAAAGCACUUACCGGCUAUGUUCAAACGAUAUGUCUUAUGAUCCAAAUAAUGAAUAUCUUAUUACAUACGAAUAUGGAUUUUAUCCACAGCCAAACAAUAACAAGCCUUAAAGGACAUAUAGGUCAUAACUCUGCUACCAAACCACAAAUAAUUCAUGUUUCUUACAUCUUCCCUUCAGUUUUGGCCUCUUGAUGUUGUUUGAGAUUUUUCAUGGAAGCAAACUAUGAAGAAGUUCCUUCAAGCCCCAACUUUGAACUUAGCCAAGUACAAACCUCAUCCAUCUCUUCAGGAAUUGUGUAAUGACCAAGCCUGCAAUUUAGAACAGAACAAUCUAUAGCUCCUUGAUAGAACCAAAGUUAACAGCUUUUCAACAAAAUCUCAGACCACAUACCCAUUGUAUGAUUUGAACGUUACUUCCUGAAAUCCAGUUGAACUCAGAGCUUGUGAAGAUUUCUCACCGAACUUAUACGGUACCACAUCAUCACCUGCAGCACAUCAUACUUGAUAUCAAUCAAAUGUUGUGGUGUGCAUAUUGGAAGAGCACUGUGAACGUGGACAAACAACUAAACUGGUAUUGGUGAAACAAAUAAGACUCAUGAUAUAUAUAUACAUGAGAGAUGCAAAACACCUUUUCCAUGGCAUAACAAAAGUGGAAAGGAGGCAGCACGCCUUGCAGCUUCACUUGCUUCUUCAAACUUCUUACUCAAGGUCCUGAAAAGGAAGAGGACUUGUAACUGACUGCAAAAGAAGAUAGAGGGGUUAAACUGAGAUGAGUAGUAGUGUGAGAAGCCAAACUUGGAACAUGGAAGCCAUCCACUGAGUCCAACAACUGCACUCAGAUUGGACGGGUAUGGAGUACCAUCCCCGUAUUUCUUUAUAGCAAAGCAUGUGGCUGAGUAUAGAGCUGUAGCUGCACCCAUACUAAAACCUCCAACCCCAAGCUUAACUGCACCAGAAAGAAACUUGAUUUAAUAUAAUAUUGUGAUUCACUGAAUGUAAAGCUAUACCAAAUAGUUCAAAAGCAUAAGGUGGGGAAUAUUCAUCUAAAGUUAUCUUUAUAAGACAACCGAAAGAUCUCAAGGAUCUGAAAUGUCCAAGGCUUCUCUAGAUGUUCACAACAUAAAAGCUCAAACAGACUAUAAAUGAAAUCCAGCAAGAGGACACCUACUGUUAUCUGGUUCUGUUGACAGCAAAUUAGCUACAUGUGCUGCUGAAGCAUCCAAGCCCUCUAUAUCAUCUGGAGCAUCUUCUGAAAGUUCUCCAACAUCAAACCCUGUUUCAUAUCAGACAAGCGAUUCAGGGUACUUGUGAAGUAAUGAAGAUUCACUUAAUUUCAACUGAAAAUUUUUCUUUUUGCGUCACUAAUGAGUGGUGGUAAUGUUACAAUGAUUUGUCUUCAAACAAGAUGCCAUUCCAAGAUUAAUACAUAAGGCUACAUACGAGUAUAAGGAAAUAUGAAUCUUACAAGCAGUGGAAGGAAAACCACCAAAAACUGAAAUUGGUUGAGUAGGAGCGGUUGGACAUAUCCAUUUAAUCUGCAUCACAAUAUUUUAGUUAGCAUGAGAACAUUCAACUACCAAUAGUGUAGAUGUAUUCCUUCUUACAUUUGGAAGAGGGAGGGACUCCAAGAGCUGGGACCAGCUGCAAAACAAAAAAGAGUUGAGCUUAAAACAAAAAUCCAAGCAUUAAAGUUAUAUGAACGAAAAAUUAAUAAAUCUAGUAUGAAAUAAAAAAAUACAAUCAGAGAAAGUCAAUGAAAUAAAAAACUGCAUGAAUUGAAUAAUGUCAACUUUCUUCGAAAUAGGUUACAAAAGCAGUGGGGACAAGAACCACCUUGAGCCAUUGUCACCAAGGCCAUGUAGCCAAACUACAGUGGCCUGGUGUUUGCCUUUAGGUCGGACUACAUAGGUUCUUCCAAACUCAAAUGCCCUUCUAACAGUUCUACCACCUGAAAACAAGUUACAAUCUAGUAAAUAAGAAAAGGAUGGAUAAUAAAGAGAACCAAUAGAAUGUCAUUUCUAAUCAAAUAAUUCACCAAACCUGCUAAAUACCAACAUAGAACACCUAUACAGAUUGAUAACUAGAAAGGCAAGCUACACUAUUCUUAACAAGGCAAUGAAAGUUAUGCUCAUUUUCAGUGGGAAACCCAUUAUUGAGACCACUUCACCAAACCAGUUAACCAAAUUAACAUUAAGAAUGAGAAACAGACUAACCAGAACCGACAGAUGGAGACGUAAAGCUCAUAUUAGGCACCCUCUGGGAAAAUAGCACCAACCACACUCCUACUACAGAAAAUGUAAAGAUGAAGGAGCACAGAACCUGCAAUGACAAAACACCAGCAAUUUCAGAGUAUCAGCUAAUUCCCGUUUAUAGCUAAAUCAGUAUUCUAAUGUAUCACCUUAACCACACCUAUAAGCCUAACAGCCUAGAUGAUCUAGGAACCACGGGAAGGCUAUGUAGGUGGCCACAUAAAUACAUGUUAACACUUCUGGUUAUGAUAUAUCUAUUCAUUAUUAGGACUUACACAGAAUAGCAACCACAUUAGUAAAAGUUCGUUUGUUAGUCACUGAAAAACCAAUCAGAAUCUGAUUUUUUUUUUCUAACAUCUACAGUUGCUUUAGCUUUUUAACUUCAAAACCACAAGGUUCAAACAUGUAAAUUACAGUUAACAUGUUGGAACUAACCCUACAGCUUAGAAAAAUCUUGACAUUAACAGCACAAAGACAAAAGGAACUUAACUUGUGGAUAGCUCAAACAAACAGUCCUAACUUAUAACACAAGGAUUUGGAAAAACAGUGAGGCCAUAUUCCUAGAAUACCUUAAAGAGUUUAAGCCUAAUCUUUGGCAUCUUCCUCUCCACUGAACUAAAAUAACCAUAAUCUAAUACCAAAGUGCUAAUACAAACAACAUCAUGUAACUGUUUCCAAAGCUGGGAAUUUAGUUUUCCAAAUGUCAUAUGUGCCAAAUGGUGCUUCAAUGACUCAUGUCAAUCAUUUGAUCACCUAAAAUGAGGCCCAUGUCUUACAUUGAACUACCAAUUUGAGAUCCCAGCUACGAUUGAAGUGUUUAACAUUGUUCACAACACCUCCUUAACCCAGAAACCAGAACUAGAAAUGUCAAAAUAGAGAAACCAAAAUCAUAAAGGUUCUACCUUGAUACCAUCUGAAACAUAAAGCUUCAUAAUUGAAGCUAUAAACCAAAAAUGGUAACACUUGAGCACCCAAUACUCAUAAACUAAAGCUUCAAAAUUUAACACAGAGCAAACCAAUAUGAAAGUGUAGAAUCAUACAGAUAGUAUCUUUGAAACAUGGGUACAACUGAUAAUAUGAUAAACCAAAAUGAAAUUGAGCAGAGACAACAACUGAAAAUCUGGGUUUUAGGGUUUUGCACCAUUGUUACAGACCUCAGUUAGCUUUGGUGGGCUGAUCUUUCAACCCUGCUCUCUUCUCUUCGUUCUCUCUCACUCUGUUUUCUCUCUGCUUCCCCCAAAUUUUUGUUUUUCGUUUUAUUUGAUGUCGUUUCUUGUUCUUAUAGUAUUCAAAUGAAGAGAAACCAUUCGUCCAAAAAAAAAAUUGAAGAGAAACUUUAACCGUUGGAUCAUGAUCUUUGAUGGAUUCUACUCCACUGAUCCUUGAUGACACUAUAGAUAUAUGCCACGUGUCAUGUAUCAGUGCACAUAGACUGGAGAUGAGAAGUUGAGGGACAUAGGUUCUCUAUAUUAAGGGUGGUCCCCAAGUUCUUGACCUUAUCAUAUAAUUUGACUGAAGUACCCUUGUAAUCUCCUCCAAUUUCUAGACAUUACUAUAUUUUUUGCUUGGUGGAUGAUGAUUUCUAGAAAUAGUUAGUUGGUAAAACACUCAACAGUGACAGGGUAACUGUUCUUGUUGUGAUUCUACCUAGUAGGUACCUGAAAAAUCUAGAAGUUGGGAAAUGGUAAAACUUGUACUUUUGAAAUGGAGAUCUCUUUCAAAUGUCCAAAAUGAAUUAAUGAUCAACUUGAUGAAAGUCUGAUCCACUUGAUCAAAGUCUGUCUUUGAGUGAUUGCUAGGAUGCACAAAAAGUAGUUGUGAAAGAUUCAAUGGGGUGAGGAAUGGGCAAUUAAGGUUUUGCAGAAACAGUUUUUAGAAGCAAAGCCUAAGACUAAUCAUAUUCUAUGAUCAUACAUUUAAUUCAGAGAUAGAACAUCAAUUUCUGGGCAUACAGGAAAAAAUCUGAUAUAUGUUACAAGCUGCAGAAAUUUACCAAAGGAGGAAAAAAAUUGGUAUGUGCCUAAAAGAACAGAUCUUUGAGCAAGAAGGCCAUAAUGGAGUUGAACUAUCUUGGUGUUAUAUCAGACAUUGCAGUUGCAUAUGAGUGUGCUGAGGAUAAGUUUUCAUUAUUGCUAUCUACUUGCUGAGCUGCCAAGGCGGCAACAAUGUCUGGCCUGUGAUGACCAUUGAUUUGUGACUGUGAUUCUUCUUCAUCAAGUGUCAAGAAAUCUACAAUGGUCAUUUGGGUAUCUGGAGGCUGCUCCACAUCUAAACCCGUUUCAAGCAUUUCAACCACAUGAGACAUUGAAGGCCUAAGACUAGCCCGCUCUUGUAUGCACCAAAUGGCUACAUGAACAAGCCUUUUCAAUUCCCUUUCAUCAAUGCCUCCACCAUCUAAUAGUCUCUGAUCAACAAUCUCCAUGAGCUUACCUUCUCUCAUUUUCUCAUUCACAGUUUUGGGGAAGUAUUGCCAUUUCUUACGAGACCUGUUAUGAGUACCCUUUUCGAUAAAGCUCACAUUUCUUCUGCCUCCAAUCAUCUCAAGAAGCACCAUUCCAUAGCUAUAAGUAUCCGAUUUCUCUGAAAUUCCAUGCUCCAAAAGCCAUUCAGGAGCUAAGUACCCUCUAGUGCCCCUUAUUGUUGUCAUGACAUUACUCUCAUCUCUUCCCAUUAGUUUUGAUAAACCAAAAUCCGCCACAAUUGCUCGGAAAUUCUCAUCCAAGAGAAUAUUUUCCGGCUUAACAUCAAGGUGCAAAACCCUUUUCCUGCAAUCAUGAUGCAGAUAAGAAAGUGCCUUGGCAACAUCAAUAGCAACUCUGCACCUUAAAUCCCAAGACAAGCACCCUCCUCGGUAAUUAGGCCUUACCUUUUUAUUAAAAAUCCAACCAUCCAAUGACCCAUUUGAGAUGAAGUCAUACACAAGGAACCGAGGUCCUGCAGGAUUAACACAGCAAUAUCCAACAAGCCUCACAAGAUUCACAUGUUGUAGACUAGCUAUUGCAGACACUUCUGACUUGAAUUCCCUAUCGCCGCGCUCCUCCACAUCAAGCCUUUUCACUGCAACAGGAGUGCCAUCACUGAGAAUCCCUUUGAACACUUUAGCAGAAGCCCCUUGGCCAAGCAAUGCCCUGAAGUUGUCUGUAGCUUCCUCUAGCUCAUUGUACCUAAACUUUGUAGGAACUCCAGCUACUUUUCUUAGAAAGCUGUACUCUAUCCUCAGCUCACGGCCUUCGGUUUUGUACUGAGAUUCCAUCUGUUUUCGCCUGUAAUUGUAGUGAUGUCGGAUUAGGAGCCAUACAAACACAGCAAUGAUCACAGCAACUCCUGCACCACAAAUGAGAUAGAAAGUACUAGAAAGCUUGAGAGACACGCGAGCAACGAUGAUGAAGAUGAUGAGGAUGAUCACUGAUGAAGCAGCUAUUAUGUUGGCUUUCUUGUCCUCCAUCAUAUCAAAGUUGCAUAUUCUGGUUUCAGGUUAAGAGAGAUUGACAGAGAGAGAGAGAGAGAGAGAGAGUACUGAAACUUCUUCUCUCCUUCAACAUGUUUCUCUUCUUCAAAAUUUAAUAGCAUCCUUCAAUAUGGUCUACUUUUUGAAAAAAAUAAAAAUGGCUAGGGUCAAACAUGCUUUGUAUUAUUUAAUCAAAGGGUAGAAGUGUUUCCAUCUACAGAUCAGCCAAGAGUUGAAAAAGAUUGAAUUAUGUGGGUCAGUGUGUUUUCUACUAAUGAAUCAAAAUGGAGCCAAAGAAACCAACAAGAAAUUUACCUAAUUACUUGUCUGACUUUCAUUUUUAUAUCUAAUGCCAAUCGUUUGGAAAUAUUUUGCAGAAAAUAAGAAACCCUUCUGUGAAAUCAAAUAGCCAUAUUCACAUCUGACCUGGUCAUUGACUAUGUAGACAUGCAUAUUAGUGAUCAUAAUUUAAAUUCUUGACUCAUUCAAUUUCUUUAAACUAAUGAAAUUAAACCAGCAAGUGAUCUAAGACAACACUUGGUAAUAAAGUACCACAAUCAUUGCUUAAUUUGACCUUAAUGGUGCUCUCAAGACAGACAGAGUUUCAUUGAAAUAUUCAUUUCAACACUGACUGAAUCAUAUAAUACUAACAGGACUAGUUUCCAUAGUAACAAGACUGCAGGACCGAGUCCUGGAAUUAAUCUGCAUAUGAAUAAUAGUUUUGAGGUUCACGGAUCAUAGAGGUGAAUCGAAGAAACCAACAGCACUAAAUUAGUUUAUGAUAAGGGGAGAGAACAGUCAUUGCAACCCUGACCCGAAUUAACGCGUGAUUAGUAAGAGGAUUAGUAUCAUAUUAUCACUAUCAGAAACACAACAAUGUGCAACAUUCCAAAGGUUUAGAUUCGUAUCAAAAUGAUAAAACCUUAGGGUCAGUCUGUCCAUAAUAGAAAAUCAAGUGGGGUUAAGGCUUGGUGUUACAAACAAAUUAGAUGAACUUGCAGGUACUAAUAUGUUAUAGCAUCUUGUAACGGCUAAAUUCCAUUCGUUGGAUGAGGGGGAAGAAUACAAUAGUCAAGAGUGAGAAUGGGAAAGCGAAGCCGGGAGAAAAAGCUGAUACCAUGACAAAAAACACCAUCAAUACUAGGAAAAUGAAGGUGAUCUGAUUUCUCAUCAAGUAUACACGUAUACAUAUCAUGAUUCAUCAAUAGCUGCAUCAUCAAAUCAAUGUUUGAUUACCCAAAAAUAAUAAUCAAUGUUUCUUACAAAUAUCAAGUUCCUAAGUAUUGUUGAUUCAUUGCUCACAAUCCUCACAUACAUUGAUAUAUAUACCACAUGACAUAUAUCUGAACAAAUCAGAAACUAUCUCAUGAUCUACUUGUGUUGAUGAAUCAAUUAGAGUUAGAAAAUGGAUGAUGAAUUGCGGGGCGUACAACCCAUUCACUUCACAAUAGCCAAACAAACCAAUACUCUUCUAGACUCAAGAAGAAAAAGAGAGGGGGGAAUUUCUCUAUAACUGUUUGAUUUUGAUGUUUGGUAACAUAAUGAAAAUUAUUUAAAUUGUUUUUUUUUUAUGUUAAAAGUUAUUUGAAUUGUAACAUGUGCAAUAAAAUAGUGUGCUAUGAGCAAUGCAGCAACCUUGUUACAGAAGAAAGCAACCAACAGUUGAAGGUUGAGGAAAAGUGGAUGGGUUGGUAUGGAAGAUGCGAGGAGUAAUGCAUUGGAUAGUAAAACAAUUCUUCUUGUCCCUGUCCACCUUGGUGAUAUCAACUUCAUAUUGAAAUGGUAUGGCCAUCCCCAGCGUCUUAUGAGUCCCCGGCUUACAUUUAGGUGUUACAUCGGAAGGAGGGUUAUAGCGGGUGAGAACAAGGUAGCCCUUCUGACCUCCAAUGUGGACAAGAUCACACAGUCCUGGGGCACUAAAUUCGUAAGGCAACAUUGACAUUGGCAGCUUCACAUUUCCAAUUUGUGUCAGGGAUUCUUGAUUAUCCUCCAAGCAAAUAACAUAAACUCAAACUUAUAACCGAAAAUGAGCUUCUUGUUGUUGAUGUCAUUUUGCUCCGGCAGGUCCAGGACUAAAGCUGGGCCAGAAAAGGGAAAAGGGCCGCCGCUGCACAUAGUAGGGACUAGUCUCCAUUCUCUGUCCGGGUGAGCCACGUCAAAGCAGAACACCGGACAUCGUUCUUGGGACACAAACAUCUUGGUGCCGGAAGUUACAUAAGAGAAGUCAGCAUGUGUGUAAUAUGGAGAGAGAGGUUGGAAAAAUGGAGGUUGCGGCAAACCUUCCCAUUUGCCUAUUUCAGGGUCAAACACCUCAAACGAGGGAGGAUCAGCCACCAAUCUAUAGGAUAGAGCGUACAGUUUCCCAUCUAACUCCAUCAUCAUAGGCUCAUAUUUCCCUUUCUGUAAACUCGCAUCCAUCUUCCUGAUUCUAUUGUCAUCAACCCCAAAGCUAUAAACAUUCCUAUUCCAAAGUUCAGAACGUACCCACGCAUAGCCGGUAGCCAAGCUGGGGUCCAAGCCGCCGGCGAUAACGAUUUGGGAGCGGAAAACACCGCAACCGAUCAAAUCCGGAACGUUCUUAUAAGCCACUUGCCCUAAUUGCACUUCUUCUUCUUCUUCUUUUUCACGAUCGAAGAGAUCGGAUAAAGUGAUGGUGCGAACAACAAAACUGAAGCUUUCAUCCUUGUGUUCUUCAUGGAAACAUAAGUAGAGGGUCUUAUUAGCCUCUUGUUCCUCCAACUCCAACUUCUCCGUUGUCUGCUUCACCAUCUCCCAUAAUCUGAUUUUCUUCUUCUUCUGCUUCUGCUUCUUCUUCUUCUUCAUCAUGAUGCAUCCAUCACUCCUGUGCCUCUUGUGCCUCUGUAGAGCGCAGCAAUGACGAACCAGAAUUCUGGGUCUGACGAUAGGGGACAUAGAUUCGUUUUCCUUUGUGGGUUUGGGAGAUGAGAUAUGGAGAUGAUGUUGGUUCUGUCUUCGGACUUUUAUCUAUUUAUAGUUACCAAAUGCUGGUGCCUGAAGUCCUAAACCAAAUGCUGUUCGGACUUUAUUCCGAACUGGAUUCUAAUUAGGUCAAUUGUUGCUGGGUUGGGCUUCGGGGGCAGUUUGCGGGCUUGCCUAUUGGGCCUUUGUUUCUGCUUUCGUCUGGUUGGCGCAGUUGGGUCUUUUUUUUUAUAAUUGUGCUCAAAGGCCCAGCAGUCUGCGGGCUUGCCUAGGCCUUAGGCGCCGUAUCGUAAGGUCCCGUUUGGUAUAGUUUCGUUUUUAAAAAAAUCAGCUUCUAUCCGAACUUUUAGAUCUUAUAGUGUUUGGUAAAUCAAAGAAAAACAGUUUUUUUUUUAAAUUACUGGUCACUGGUAGCAACUUUUAGAAGCAAUCUGAAUGUUACUUUUAGAAGCAACUGUCAUAAAACACUAGAAAUUAAUAUAUUUUGACUUUACAGUAGUUUUAGAACUAAUAUUUACCAAACACAAAACCGUUUUAAUUCACAACUAAUUAUUUUCGCAAUACAGCAGAUUAAAUUUUUCUUUUAAGUCACAAUAAUACUAAACUAGCCCGUAGUCCUGAGUUAGAACAUAGAAGAAGUUUUUGGUUUUGUUUUGUUAGAACAUAGAAGAAGUUAAUCCCUGGCCGCGCUUCGGUGGACAAAAGCGUCGACAUGGUUUAAAUAACCAUGCUUUAGCAAAGAUUGUUGGACCCACAUGGUUUAAAUACAGAGUAAGAGAGGCAGGACACACCAUGGACCCGACUACAUAAGAUCAUCUACUACGUUGCCCUAAACCCCCAAAACCCUCCUCUCUCUCAUUUUCGUGUUCUGUCUUUCACAGCAUUGACCCCUCUUAACCACACUAGACCCAACUCUCUUACAUGGGGAGCUACACAAACGGCGUCGUUUCAGACCACACCGGCGCCACCAGCAAUGGCCGCGCUUCGGUGGAUAAAGGCGUCGACUUUGCCAAUUACUUCUGCACCUACGCCUUCCUCUACCACCAGAAGGAGAUGCUCUCCGAUCGUGUCCGCAUGGACGCUUACUACCACGCCGUCUUCAAGAACAAGCACCACUUCAAUGGCAAGGUAAAGCUCUCAACUUUACUGCUUAAAGCUUCAAUCUUUUUACCCAGUAAGCAUUGACUUGAUAGUAACUUGUUGGGUUUGUUGAAAGCAUGGACUUUGGGGUUGAAUUUCAUGUUAACAAGUUUGAAAGGAAUGAACUUUACUGUGAAAGUUAAAGUUUUUUGUUUUGGUGGAUGAUUGUUUUGUUGGGAGUGUGAAGUUUUUGGGGUUAAUGUGGUUAAAAUGUGGUGAAGGUUGUGUUGGAUGUGGGAACCGGGAGUGGCAUUCUCGCAAUUUGGUCUGCGCAAGCUGGUGCGAGGAAGGUGUAUGCGGUGGAAGCCACCAACAUGGCUGAACAUGCGCGCGAGCUUGUGAAAGCGAAUAAUGUGCAAGAUGUGGUUGAGGUGAUUCAGGGCUCUAUGGAGGAUGUUCAACUUCCAGAGAAAGGUUUGCACAUAUGAGGUUUUCUGAGUUAAGUUUUGGAGUUUAUAUUUUUGUUGGUGUCAUUUUAAUGUGAAUUAUGUACUGGUGUGCAGUUGAUGUGAUAAUUUCGGAGUGGAUGGGGUAUUUCCUACUGCGUGAGUCGAUGUUUGACUCUGUGAUAUGUGCCCGUGACCAAUGGUUGAAGCCAACUGGAGUCAUGUAAGUGUUCCCUUGCUUUUCAUGUUGAAAGUUUUGGUUGGUUUUGUCAAAUGCCAAUUUCCCUCUGGUUUUUUAGAUUGAAACUUCAAUUGUAUGAAUGUACAGUGUAUGGUUGGUUCUUUUGCAAGGGAGAGUGUUUUAUCUGCGAUGUUAGAUAGCCCACACUUCUCUCAUUGUCAACUGUAGUAACUUUGUAAGAACACCCAUAGUUUCUUGCAAACCACUCCCCCUUUUGUCCUAUUUUCUUGCACAUGUGUGCUGAAACCACAUGAAAAAUAGUGAGAAGGGGGGUGCCAAUUUCACCCCCAAGCAAAACAGUGUUCUGGAAGGACACUUCUGUAGUUGUUUCUUGGGUUUAGCUAAUAUGUGGUAUUGCGAAGGGAUUCUGUUUGUCCGGAAUUACACACUCAAAUCUUUCUACUAAAAAGGAUCACUCACAUCUGCUUAGCAGUUGUUAACUGCGGCCAAUAAGCAACACCACAGGUCAUAUGAUAUAAUUUACAGUAAAGCUCGCAUCUUUUGCUUGUCCUUUUAAACAAUAGAGUUUCCUGUUUUGACCAAAUUCCUCAUCUCUGUUUUCACCUGUCCUGUAAUCUGGAAGUGGAAUUGAACUAUGAUGGGAAAUUUAUCUCAAGCUUGUUGCCUCUGAUUUAAUAAAUUGAUUGAGCAAUAUUUGUACACUUUCCUGAUGAUUCUACGAUGUAAUUUGGAAUUGAAUUCUGGUUUUUCAGGUAUCCUAGUCAUGCUCGGAUGUGGGUGGCACCUAUUAGGUCUGGCUUAGGUGAUCAAAAACAAAAUGAUUACGAGUCAUCGAUGGAAGAGUGGUAUCGGUUCACAGAUGAAACACAAUCUUAUUAUGGUGUUGAUAUGGGUGCUCUAACGAAACCAUUCUCUGAAGAGCAAAAGAAAUACUAUCUUCAGGUGAUUGAGUGUUGAUAAGUUUGUGGAUAAAAUUUUAUCUUAUGAUGUGCACUAUUAUGCAACUUUUAUUUUAAAUUACUAAAGGACAAAAAAAUUGUCGCAAAACUUCAUAUCUUUGACCUUCCAAAUUCUGCCCCUUAAAAUGUUUGAUUCAAAGAUGCACAUUGGUCUUUAACUAAAGGAAAAAAAAAAUACCUGAAACCCUGUUCAGUCAUGAUUAUUCUGCACAUUACUUAUUCAUUAUAGAGCAAGGGAAAACGAUUAAUGUUCAUCAUUCCAUUUACUUACAUAUGGAUGUAAAGCAUGCUUGUUCGUAGUGUUAGCAUCUUAAAUUGACUCUGUUGAAUUUUUGUAGACGUCAUUGUGGAACAACCUUCAUCCCAACCAAGUUAUAGGGACAGCUGCAAUACUAAGAGAGAUUGAUUGUUUAACUGCCUCUGUAAGUGACAUCCUUGAAGUAAGAUCAAACUUUUCAUCUACAGUGACUCUUCCCAACACAAGGCUAUGUGGGUUUGCAGGAUGGUUUGAUGUUCAUUUUCGAGUAAGUUAAUCUUCACUACACCUUUAUCUUCUUGAAUGCCAGGGUUGCUGAACAUUUGUAUGCUUACUAUAACAUGUUCUGGUGUACCAGGGACGCAAGGAGGUUCCGGCCCAGAAUGAAGUUGAGUUGACCACUGCUCCUAGUGUAGAUAAUGGAACGCACUGGGGCCAACAGGUUUGUUAUUCUCAAAACCUUUUCUCGAUAGUUUAAUUUCUUGUCAAGAAAUCACUGCAGUCGGGAAAUAUUUUUUGCAGAAAUCAAAAGAAAUCUCAACAUUAUGGCCAACUCUUUAUCACUGCAGUCAAUUGCUUAUAUUUGGGACUGAAAGUUGAUAGGCCAGUGGACAAAAAAUAAGUACUUCACACUUCAUAACUUGUUCGUAUAAGUGCAAUGUUGUGUGUGAUGAUAUAUGUUCCCUUCAUUUUAUACAUAGCAGACUUUAUUUGUUUCUUUUCUUUGGUCAAAACAUACAACAGUUUCAGCAACCAAAUGUUGAGCAAAAGCAUGAAAAAUUACUUGGAGCAUGUGCAUGAAUAUAUUCUGCUAUACUCUUUAGUACUUGUGUGCUUAGCCCUUGUUUUGUUGAACAGGUUUUCCUCUUGAACCCUCCAAUCCGUGUGACUGAAGGGGACAAUCUGAAUGGUUCUUUCUCAAUGAAGCGCAACAAGGAAAAUCAUCGUUUGAUGGAGGUUGAGUUUAGCAGCGAGAUUAAACAGUACUCUGGACAGCUACUCCCACCUUUCAGAAAUAGAUAUUUCAUAGAGUGACUAGAGGCAAGCAGGUUCAUUCCCACCAGCAUAUGCAGGAAGUCUGGAUUGUCCGAAGGAAUCAGACUUGCAAGCUAUCUGUAAAAGUUUUGUGGGAAUUUUCCAGGUUUGCAGCGAUUCUGAUAAACUCGGAUCUUCGUGUGUUUUAAAUUUUGUUAUUUAUUAGAUAAGUUAUGUCAGCUUCCUAAAGACUUGUCUUUACAAUGUCCUCUUCCAAAAUGUAUCUUUAAACAUAUUGAGAAUUGCUUGCUAAAAUGAUCAUUCAACAUUACCUGUCAGCUUCAGUUGACUGUUGGUCAAAUUAUGCAACUGCUGAGCAAGUUCUUUUUUCACGGUGAUCAAAUCUGUCUCAUUGGUGCUCAACUAAAUUCUACUUCUGGCUUCUAAGUAGUGAUUGGUGACUAUGGUCAUUUUGAAUUUCAACCUUAGAUCAAUGGCUUUUGACACAAAUUCUGGCAGACGAGCAUAUUACACAUGACAGCCUCGUAGUAUUAUCUGCUCUUCGAAACUUGAUUCUUCUACUAAAAUAUAGCUCAAUCUUGUAAAUAUAUGACUUCUUGGCAUCAAAUGCACAUGGUGAUAAUGACGUGCAUACCUUUGAUCACACUGGAAGCUGCUUCAAAACUGGGUUGACAUCUUUGUAAGACCAUGGGAACCUUAGAAUUUGGUAUUUUAUUUUCAACCAUAGGCCAAAUUCAAGGCACUCAAAUGCAUUUUUGGCUCUGCAAGCAAAGCUGUAAUCCUUGAUUUCCAGGCUUCCUAACAAUGUUGGCAAAGCUCCAUUGUACAUAUAGUAUCAGUUUACCUUUUCCCCUACUAUAAGAUCUGAUAGAACACGGCCUCUUGCCUUUAGUUCUCCCCAGCAUACCUCUCUGUACCCUGUAAGCCACUAAGCACCAAGAAGGCAAGAAUGCAUCGAUCAUCAAGCACUACGCGAGCCUCCGAGGAGUUUCUGGUGAACUUUUCGCCUGCAUCCUCGUCUCUAGGCUCUCCGCUUCUGAAUAACACGGCAGUUGCCUUCCUUGAUGACUUGCCUGAUACAAAUUCAGAUCACGUCACCAAAAAGGAAAAUUGUCUGCAUCAUCACAAUCCUUCAGGAGAGAAUGUCAUUCACCUAAUUCCCCUUCUUUUGUUCCUCUGUGGUUUUACACUUUGGAUCUUCUCUCAUCCAGCUAAGUUAUAAGCAUAUAUAGAUGCAAAUAUUUAUACGUACGUAAACUUAGCAAUUUUCCUAUAUUCUCUUGCUUUCUUUUCCUUUCUCUCUGAGAUGUAUUGAUCUGCUAAGUUGCUAUGUUUUCCAGUUUUUGCUUUAUGAGAAUUUCAAGAAAACAUUGUGUCUCAAUAGGCAAUAUGUCAUGCAAUUGGCAAGUUAAUCCAGCAAGUCAGUGAGCCCUCUUCUCUAUUUUUUCUUCUUCUUUUUUUGGGUUCGGUCGAGGCCUAACAUAUGGAGUAAGCAUGCCAAACUAUAUCGUAUAAUCCAUCAACCAGUUUCACAUUUCAAUAUAUGAUUCCACACCUCCACAAGCAACAAAUGCAUGCGUGCACCAUGCCAGUCUUGUUUAACUAAUUCGUUAUUGGUUUCUUCUUCGACCUUUAUACUUUGCGAGGCAAUAGCAAGAAAUGCUUGCUGGCUAUGCAAAACAGAAUAAAGUUCGGGCGGUCCUCUCUUUAUCAUCUCUAAGUAAACAAAGACAAGCAUGACAGCAAUACAAAGAUGACAUAUUUAGUAAGCAAUAUUGUUCCAAUAACAGCUUUCAAAAUCGUGAUGCUGCUGUCUUUUGCUUCCAAGCAAACACAUCAAUAUGUAUAUCACGAAGACAUUUCAACGUACUUGUAUCAAAGCAAGAAGCCAAUGAUCCAGCAAGGGAUGUUAUACAUUUACGUAUACAUAUAUAUUAUACAUGUAUUUCAGAGGAAACGUACGUAUAGUACUAAUCCAAGAGUAUACACAUCUUCUACGUUUAAUAUUCGAUUACCUUAAUCGACAUAAUGAUGAACGAUUGAUUAAUUGGAGGGCAAGAUAGAUAAAGACAGAUCGGGUUGGAGUUGUUGCAUGCUAACGUACUUUAGGGUUUCUAAUAAUUCUUCGUGGUUAGCUAUGCUAUUGCUGCCUCUUAUAUAUAUAUAUAUGAAUCAAAAUGAAGGCAGCCAACUAACAUCAUAAGAUUGUUUUACAAAUUAACGUGACUACGAAGAUAACAUCUUAUAUAUGCAUAUCACAUACGUAUGUACCUAACUAGUUUCAUCAUGUCAUCCAAAAGAAUAUGAUAAAGUGAUCAUACAUAAGACACUUUACACCAGAAUCAUAUCUCAUUGUGAAAUACUAAGAUAAUCCAGAACUUUGUUAAGAUAUGUAUAAGAAGGGGUGUGACCUUUUUCAUGGUGGCUAUCCUAAUAUCUUACAUAAAUUGCCCAACAAGAUGUGGUUCUGGCGAUAGGGAUCGGGAAAAGGACUACAAUUUGUUAUCUAUGAUGAAUUUAAAUGACAACUAGCUACUUAGUUUGCUGAAGAUAAUUCGGCUAUCAUCGAUCUCGUUAGUUUAAUUAUCUCUUUCUAAUCUCUAUCUCAUUUCUUAUUGCAAUGUGCGUGUUGACAUGUUCAGAGUUCAUGAGUCAAAAUCAAAAUCACUAGUAGUAAUUAGUCGAAUUCAAAGUAUGACAACUUGACCAUAUGGGAGAUUAUUAGAAGGUCUUGCUAAUUAACUGGUCUUCAGAAUACAAAAACUCACGUGUACAAAGAUAGAUUUUCCACACUUGACAAAGAAUUCCAAUAUAUUAGGAACCUAUGUUAUGUAAUUCCCAAUUUUAAAGAACAAAAAUUUGAGAUGAAUUUGAUGAAUAAGGACCAACUGCAACUCAUGCAGUUUUUUGACCUUGGAGGGAUGGCCAAAAAUGUGUAGACAUGGUUUAGGUUUUUUAUUUAUUUUUUAAUUAUUUUUUUAAGUAGGUUGAGGUUAGGAGGAUACUCAAAUAUUUGUUGUGAGACUUGUGCUUGGAAUCUUGUUCUUCUUUUUUAAGAAAAACUACCCAAAACAAUAUCGUUCACUCAUUUGAAACUUUGAAUAGCUUUCAUUUGAAAGAAGAAAUGCAUGACCAACUUAUUACACUGCCUCACUACCUUAUCAUCUUUUUUAGUAGGGUAACCGAUUCUUCUGGCUCCCCGAGCAUGAACCUUUUCUAUGAAAAACAUUCCAAACGAAUUUACUGUCUUGUUUCUGGUUUUUGGUGAAAGCCAUGAGAUUUCUACAAACCAACCCCAAGCUUCAAACUUUUACCGGAUUACUCGAUAAGUCAUUAGUGUUCCACAUCUUAACUUGCUAUACAAGACAAUGCAAUUGCACAAGAGAUCACAAGACAUCCGAAUACCAAUUAGCUCUUGAAUAUGCAAGAUAUAUACAAAUAUAACUUGAAACAAAAAAGUUUUUGUGAAAAUUGAUAACUCGUGCUCAAAACGGUUUAUCUUAUUUACUUUGAUUUUGUAUUAUCUUUAAUAAGAGGUGAGAGGAUAGUACGCUCUAUGAUUCACGCAUAGUUCCCUUUUUAACUUGCAUUAUCAAAUGAAAAAGCACAAGCUACAUAAUCCAAAGUACUAAAACAAUAAAUCUCUUUUUUGUGUAGCAAACGAAACAGAGAAGAAAGAGGGGUUGUGGCGGUUGCACCCAUGAUUUACCAUAAGAUGUUACAGUUAAGGCCCACCUCACCAAGCUAUUCUUGGGUAGAGGCAACUUGGCAAGGAAGAUUGGAAAUCAUGCCAUAUUCGUUGCAUAUUAAGCUAAAUAUUUGGACCUUUUAAAUACUCACACAAUUAAUAAUUAUUAUCAAAAAACCAAAAAAACUAAAACAAACACAAGAAGAAGAAGAAGAAUCAUCAUCACGGACUUCAAACUUCAUUUCUGAUAGCCAAUCUCUCUCUGAAUUGACAUUAAGGUCAGUUUAACUCUUUGUUUUACGUUUCUUUGUAUCUCUCUCUGCAUUUACAACACAUGAUCAAUAUCCGUGCUUUGAUUCCUUCCAUCUUAAUUAUUCAGUUCAUUUCUUCUUCUUCAUGAAGAUUACAAAUUUGCAGAAAAGCUUUGAUUUUUCUUAUUGGGUCAAUCUGUUUUCUAUGAACCAACUCCUUAUUUGCUGAGAAAACGGUGGAAACAAGAAGAAAAAGAUUGGGUUUUUGUUUAUUUGGCUUGUUUGGUAGAUGAAAUUUGGUGGAUGAAACUAAACCAUGGAGUUGUCUUGAGCUCAGUUGAGUGCUAAUUUGAGUUUUUUGAGGUCAUAAUCAAUGAGAAACUUAGGAAUUGUAAGUAUGAUGCUUUUUAUCUUCUUGCAUUUUGUCAGCAGCCAAGCAGAGCAUAUGUUUUGGCAGCUUGAUUUAGAUUUCUGAUCCUUUUCAAAUUAUUUCUGAUUUUAAAAGUAAUGGAAUUCUUCAAGGUUUUAGAUUUUAUGUAGUGUUUGGUGGAUAAAAAUUGGAACUUUAAAUGAUUCCCAGAUAAGACAUAGAUGUGAGUGUUAAUUUGUUUGUAAUGUUCCCCAAAAUGUGGAUGUUCCUUUUUAUUGUUAGAUUAAUCAUUUGAUCACCUUGGAUCCUCUGUACUGUUCCUUGUGAGAUUUUAAGAGUGUUAUCAUCUCAUUUCAAAACUGAGACUCUUGUUUUGUGACUUUUGCCUUGUGUAUUAAGUUUGUUCUCUUGUUCAGGAGCAGGAUUUGUGAUCGAGAAUUGUGGCGGUUGUAUAAUUAGCAUCAUGAGAUUCAAAAAAGGGAGCAAUGUGGAAGUCCUGAGGAAAAAGGAGGUGCCUUCAGGAUCUUGGUGGUGUGCCAAGAUCAUCUGCCGUGACGGCCACAAGUAUACUGUUAGAUAUGGAGUAGAGGUUGCUAAUGAUGAGACUGUUGUGGAGAGGGUACACAGAACAGCAAUCAGGCCUUGCCCUCCUCCAGUGGAAGUUACAGAGAGUUGGGUUCCUGGUGAUAUUGUGGAGGUUUUUGACAAUUUCUCAUGGAAAAUGGCAACCAUUUCUGAGGUUUUAGGAAACAAGUACUUUUUGGUCAGGAUAGUUGGAUCCUGCCGGGAAUAUAAGGUUGGGAAACUGGAAGUUCGAGUUAGACAGUUCUGGCAAGAUGACAAAUGGGUUGUGGUUGGAAAGGUAAUAUCUUCUGAACUGUUUGCUUCACAGUUUCUUCAUGUUACAUAGUGCAGCUUUGUGAGCAAAAUACUUAGUAGUGUUGAAGAUGUUCUUGUGAUAUCAAUGUUUCAUCCAAUAUCUAUUCUUUAUUUGAAUCUAAUAUUUAGGCGUUUCACUUUGAAUUUUUACUUUACUUUUUAAUCUGUUAUAAUGGCUAUGGAAUACACUUUUCACAAGUUGUUGUCUAGGUUGCUUUCAUGUGCUAAUGUCUUCUUCACUUUCUGGCACUCAGGGUUCAAGUCAAUAUGAUAAUGGAAAGCAAGGUGCAAUCUUGAGUCUAAAAGCUCAGAAAGUCAGUUUCAAGAAGUCCCACACUGCAUCCUCUCAGAAUCUGAAGAGAGGAUCAUCACACUUGCAAGAUGAAUCAUAUGGUGGAGCUACUGAGAAGUUUCGAGCAGUUGAGAGAGAAGGCAGGUGUCAAAGAGUCAUUGCUAGCAACUUAUCUAGGUUAGCUGAACAUGUAGAUGUUGCUUUGCCAAGUCGGAUGCUGGGUGGAAAAGAAAUAUGUGCUUCUCUGAACAACAGAACAACUGUAUUGUCUGAGGUUGAUUUAGUAAAGAGGAAACCGAGUGGUAAUGCUGGGUGUUUGUUUUCUGUUAACUUGAAGUCAGAUGAUGUUGAUACUGUUACGUGCUCAGUAGGUAGUUGUAGCAUCGGUAGCAAUGAUCCCUAUAAGUCACCUCAUCAUGUUUCUUCUGGUUCUACUGGAGAUUUCAAAGACCAGUUUUGUGAUGCUGAAUCUGUUUGUCACUUGGGAUAUGAGGAAGGAAACUCUGUCCUUCCCACAAAGAAAGAAUUGGCAGCUGAGAUCCAUAGGUUAGAGCUGCAAGCCUACCGUUGCACGAUAGAGGCAUUGCAUGCAUCAGGACCUUUAAGCUGGGAACAAGAAGAAUUGGUGACAAAUCUUCGUCUUUCGCUUCAUAUAUCGAAUGAUGAACAUUUAAUGGAGCUUAGAAACUUAAUUUCUGCAGAUAACAACAUUCAUAUUAGAUGACAGGAAAACUAGAAUUAUGUCUUGUGAUUCUUUUCUUCCUUCUAGGUGUAGAAUCUGAUGAAUGAUUUUCAUAAUGACCUGGCUGCACUGUAAGAAACAAGACGAGUUGUUUUCAUAUCCUUUUGUAUUUAGUUAAAACACAUAGUGGUUCAGAUCAAAGUUUAAACUCUAUGUAGUACAAACCUUUUUAAGUACGCAUCUUAUCAAAGACAUCUUUGAGUAUCAAUCAUUCUCUUCUGUUUGUCCUUUCGGGUUGUACUAAUAGCAAUAUCAUGAUUAUGAGAUUAAUUAUAUGUUUACUAUAGGAAGUUGCCUAUAUAUAUGUAACUUCUUAAGAUACUAUGGCUGAUUUCCUGCAAAUAAUCAACUUGUGAGUUUGAUUUGCCUAUGUUUAUUUUAUUUUUGGUCCUCUGUUUUAUUUGUAAAGCUUGCAGCGUUCUCUUAGAUGUUCUUGUCAUGAUAUAUAUGUUCCAUAGUUCAUAUGAGUACAUGACUUGAUUGUCUCCCAUCACUUGGAAGUAUGCCAUUUCAUUUGUGGACAAUUAUUUAUGCUUCCCCUGCGUUUUCCAGGGCCAAAGUAGGAGGUUUGUCCCCUUACUUUCAAGUCUCCAAAGUUGAUGUUGGGGAUUGCCAGCUUUCUCUCAGUUACAGGAUGGCUUAUGAUGCUGUAUUGCACUUGGUUCUGCAUUCUUCCAUUUCAGGCAACCUGUGAGCCUUAGAUGUCUGUUUUGCUGAAGGUUGUAAGACAAAAAUCUUCUGGCUGACACGGGAUGACCUGAGAUGUGGAUGCCUGAAAGGUUUUAUUUCAAACCUCUGCUUCAGCUCAUUCAUGUAUAUAGAUUUGACUUGCUGGUUUCUGUUUUAAUCUCAUUCUGUUAGAAAUUCAUCUUGUGAACACAGUUUGCGUUUCAUAUUGCUUUUCAUUUUAUGGUUCACCCUUCCCUUUUAUUUUUGGUGCCUUUCUUAUAUAGCCUGGAUACUGUAACUGCAUACAAGGGCAAUAUCUUGAUUCAGUCAAUACGAAACCAUGUCUAAAAUGAAGAGCAGUAGCAAGAAACCUUACCUUGGAUUAAGUUCUUCUGCUGAUAGACUUCACAAAUGUAUAGUAUGAAAAACUUGAUUUUUUCGUUAUUUUCAACUUAAGACUUAGAGUCAGUACUUCAAUCAGAUUUUGAGAUAAAGGAAAGACUCAAUCAUCUCUACUUGCUCAUAGGCCUACCUACGAUGCAACAUACUCGUUGGUGACUCUGAAAUUUGGAACUCAGACUUUUACAUUUAACUUCUGCAAAAGAUGCAAUAAAUAUAAUCUACACAUUUUUAUGCAUGCACAUCUGCACACAUGCCUCUAUGAUGCUUACAUGAGCAACUUGGACAUGGUUCAGAUUGUUAGCUCUAAACAUUCUUGUUGGGAGAUGUAUAAUCAAUUGACCAUAACUGCAGAGUUGGAAAAUGUGUUACUUUCAUUGCAUGGUAACUCACUUGAUAGCAUACAGGUUGCAUCUUACAGUGAUCAGCAAGAAUAUGUAAUUUGCUGUCAAAAUAAUCACUAGCCAAAUUGCGAACUAUCCAAGUUUCAGUAGUAAGAAGAUUUCAUGUCCGGACUGUAUAGACCACUGAAUUUCCUACUGCCCAUUCAUUAUACGUUUCCUUUUAAACUUAUCUGCCUGGUUAUGUUGCAUUGCUUGCUCCUUUGGUCCCUCUCAUCUGCUGCAAUAAGCUUUGGAGAUUGUAUAUUUAUAUAGUUAUUCAUUUGAACCACUGAGCAGAGUAUUGAAUAAAAGUGUUGCGGAUGGUAAAUUGGUAUGGGAAUAAACCUCAAGAUAAUAUUGUUAUUGAGCCUGAGCUACAUGGACUGAUGGACAAAUGAAAAUUUUACUUCUUGUGCAUAUUCCUUUUGGCUUGAAUGAUCUCAGAAAGUCUUUCCAUUCCUCCAUCCCAAGCUGUAUACAUAUCCCUUCUGUCUGUUGUGGCUUCAAAUCUUGAGUUACACAGCCCUGAGUUUCAGAUUUUACGGUUUCUGCUGCAGAAUUGUUCUUUUUGGUCAAUCCUCAUGAAACCAAGCAUAAAGCUGUGAAUGAUGUUAGUCACCCACCUGUAAGUCUGUAACAAGGCUUUUGUUUACUUUGGCAAGAUUGGAGGAUUGCGGAACUGGUAUCAGCUCUACUCGUUACUCACUAGUUUGUUCAAUCUGAUGCAACUAUUUCAGGAUCAUGAGCAUAGUUCAUUGAACUGCAUCAGCAAAAUCUUAUUGCUUUGGCAACUCAAAUAAUUCAGCUAAUAUUUUGUUUGUUCACAUAUGCAUUCCUCCUUGACAUUCUUUGGAUAAUCCAGUAGAAUUCUGAAGCCGGAUUUUCUUGUUUUUCGUACUAGAGAAGAUUUCAGAGAAUGCAACAGAAUAAUCCAGUGGAAUUUCAGACAGAUAUUCUUUCUCCUCUCUGAUACUACAGCUUAAUUGCUAUUGAAACCAACUGUAAGCGUCUUAAGUUGGUAUGCAUUUUGACAGAUGGAGCUUUAAACUUCAAUUGAAAGCUGGAAGUCUGGAACCUUGUCUGACAAUUUAAACCAGCAAGAAGAAUGCUUGCAAGUGAAAUUACCAUCUUUUGGGCUUUAUAUAUAUUUCUGGUACAGUGCGGAAUAUAAGAUUCUUGGGCUUUCAUCUAUGCAAUAUUGGAUUGAAAACCCACUUUCUUAGAUUCAUAAUGAGUCUCAUCUUCAUGGUACUGGUAUGACCUGGAAGAAAACUUGUCCAGAAAUCCAUCUUAUGCAUAUCUGCCUAGGGAUUCUUAGUAUCUUUUCUGUCACUUUUUAUUUUAGUUUUUCUUAGAAGCUGCACCAGGGCAUUUGUUUUCCUUUUUUCUUUUUUUUUUUGGACUAAGUCAAUCUCUAUUUCUAACAAUUACAGGUACAUAUCUUGUAGCAUGAUUCACAAGUUAUAUAUGCUUGGUAUAACCACUAUCUUAAUUACUAAAACGUGUUUGACUAUACAGAUAACCACAUGGCACUCUUCAAGUUCACAGACGCGUCCUGAAUAUAGUUUUGGCUCAUCUUCUCCAUCAGAAUCUUCAAGAGAAGCAAAGAGGCAAUCACACAGGUGUUGUUGUCACUGGAAUGAGCAACAGGGUUCCAAGGUGUCAUCCUUUCUUAAAUUUCUAGCAAGAAAGGCUCUUUUGGAUCAGCAAAAAAAUGUGUGGGGGUGGUGCUGCAUUUAUUUGGCUCCCACCAGAUCCUCCCUGCUAUUGUCUCACUCUCUUCUCCUCCAUGAUUGGGAUUCCCAUGUGAUUGUGCUCCUCCUCUAAACACUCAGACACUCAAAGAAAGAGAGAGAAAGAUAUAGACAGAGAUGUCCAGGUCUUGUUUGGGCUAAUCCUCCUUGAUGGUCCUCAGGGACCUUAACCUAUAGGAGUAGUACCAGUACCACUCCCACCUCCUCUCCUCAACAAUGUUUUAGGUGUGGCUACUAUCACUAUAUGAUGAUACAGAUGCAGAGCUAUUACUAUGAGCUAGCUUCUUUCACAAUUUUGGUUUGACAGAUACAUUUUGGUCCUCAUCUGUACUAAUAUCCCCAAUAUCGACACAUAACAUGGCAUUCGAAAAAACUAUCAAGUUGUUGUCAUUUCUAUAUAUAUUUAUGAGCUCCCCUUCCCCUAUACCUAAGCUGUACUACACCAUUUAUUGUUUUCAUUUCCCAUUUUCUGGUGUUGUGAUCUUACUUCGUGCCAUUCUCUAGUAAACAUGUGUUUGCUGUAUUCUAAACGAUUGGGGUGAGAGUUCAAUCAACUAGUUUUCGACUUUUCGUUUGUUUGGGAUCGAUUCUUUCCUAGUCUUGUAAUAUGAUGACCCUAGAGAGUGAUCAUAAAACAACCAUGUAAUCGUUAAACAUGUCAAGUGUGUUAAUUAUUGAUCGCGGAUUACACAUCAACAUUGUCACAUGAUUUCACUGUCGCACUGAAAAAUUUGAUGCAUCAGCAGGAGGGGAAAUUCAUGGUUCAUCAUGCUCUAUUAAAAAUGGAUUUGUUACAUAUCUGUCAUAUUUCCAAUACAACUAACAGAGACUUCUGAGCAAUCUCAGUAAUCAAAUGGUAGGUAAAGAUAGGGCAAAACAGUGAGAUAUGGAUGAUAUGUAGAACAUAAAGAAAGAGCUAGCAAUGGCCAAUCAUAUAAUGCAGAAGAGAAUUACAGAAGGGCAUAGGAGGCCGUUGGUCUAUGACAGACCGACAGCGUUGCAUUAAUCAAGGGCAGACAUUACAUGAGCCAGCUCAAUUGCUUUGGCAUGGCUGCAAAUUUGGGAGACAUUGGUGGGGGGAUUUACAUUAAUAUAAACUCAGCUAGCUAGCUAGUUUUGAUUCAUUAUAUUAGGGAAAAAAUAGAAUAUAUAUAUGACUCUGCCACAACCCUAGCUCCAUCUUAAACCAUUUUCUAGGGAUCUAUAAAACUCAUAUUUCUUAAUCUGGGUGAAGAGGGCAGGGGACAAAAAACCCAUUUCAAUUCCUGAGACAGGUCAAUUUUUCUUGCUCCUGACAGAUAUAUAUAAUCUGCUUGCAGUUCUUAGGGUUCAAACGGCUAGCUACUUGCACAAAAAGAAAACGAGGUUCAAAAUAACCUCAACUUUACUCCAAGUUUUUCUGCAUUGUUGUCUUGUAUAUAUUUUCAAAACCAUGGAGCUGCUAGCUAGCUUGACCUUUUGAGAUGGAUCCAUUGGAGAGGCUGGGUUUGUCAUCUAUCUCGAUGAGGGAGACAUUGCCUAGAUGUUAAUGUUAGAAGCAUGCUUUGUAAAUUAGAAAUAUAAGGGCCAAGAUUAGGACAUGGAUUACUAUAUAUGAGGGGAAGUGUUGCAGAUUAAACAAUGGGGGAGGAGAAUCAUGGGUACGUGAAAACAUUAUAUUCAUAGUUUUAUGUGAUUGGAGUAUCGUAAAGGCAAUUCUAGCUCUUCCUCAUGCCCCAUCUCUCACUCUCUUCUAUUCAGAUUUUCAGAUAGAAAGUAAAGCAAAGCAAAGAACACUUCACCCAAGAUUAAGGAAUGCGCAAUACAUGAUAAUGGUUAUGGUCCUUGUAGAGCUAGCUAGCUAGCACUUUGUUCUAGAUAAUUAAUCAUGCUUCGUGAUAAGGAAGAAUAAUCAGGUUAUAAUCACCAUUAAUGCCCUCAUACAUAUUCUACACCAUGCCCCUUAUGGAAAGCGAGUGCGAGAAAGACUAAUAUGUUGAUUUUAUAUUUGUUAUCUUAUCACUUGUUGUAUAUAACUAUCUAUUAUCUCAUUCUUGUUGCAUUUAUAUUAUGAAAAUGAUCACUGAUCUUUUGUAUUUAAGUCGUUAAAUAAGUUGUUUCAUUUAUGAGCUAAGUAGAUGUCGAAUUGAAGGUUAUGAACCAUGUAGAUAAGGAAAUUAGGGAUGAGUAAUGAGAUCACAUGCUUCUUGGCAUGCUCUUGAUUCCUUUAAGGCUUUAACAAAAGCUAAAAUACACCAAAAUAGAAAUUGAAAUAGAAUAGGGGAGAUUUGAUUUGUAGCUCCAAAGCUCCAAACCCACAUGCUACUUUGGGGACCAUCAAAAACCCCAAAAACUUAGCUACCUUCCAAGAGCAUGAGGAGAUCCCAAAAAGCAAUACAAAAAGAAAGAAAGGUUGUUACCAUUACAUUUCUCAACACAAACAAAUCUUACAAAUUAAACUAACAAUCUCAAAACUCAAAAAGCCCUAAAACCCAGAAAAGAAGAAUGUAUCAAAAAAGUGUGUUUGCAUGCUGGAUUCACAUUCACCUUUGCUUAAAUUCUUAGUUAACACAACAUUUCAUGCCUUGGGUACAGCAUGUGUCACUCCUCCUUGCUUUAGUAUACUAUUGCUUCUACUAACAAUACCAUAAUCUAAUCUAACCAAGAAUACAUUCAUUCUUAAAAUAUAUAACCUAGGGUAGCGAAGGAUUUUGAGCACCCCUAGUUAUUAUGUGUUGAAAAUUACCAAAACUUGUUGCAAUGUGAGAGAACAAUGGUUUAAAUUGUAUGCAUCAAGAUCAUUAUAUAUAGUUGUUGCCCUAAAUGGUAUUAGAAACCUAUAUACAUUAGAGUUUUAUACAUUGGGUUUUGAAUCUUUAACUUGCAGCCAUGUAUAAGAGCGUAUAUUGUAGAUAUAUAGACAGCUGCUAUAGAGUGAGCUAGAGUGUGAGCCAUAAAAUAAGCAAAUGUUGAUGUACGCACUAGUUUAUGUCACCAACAUUGCAACAUUUUCUUUCUUGGGUUCCAACAACUUGGUUUCUAAUCAACUAAACACUUCCAUCUUCAAAAAUCAGAAUUGAUCAUGCGUAAGAAAUGAUAUAAUAAACUAGUCGAUUCAUGUUUUGAAUCUCGGCCUUUCUAUUUUAAUCGUUUUGGUUCGGAAUUUAUUAGCAAAAUUAGAAACCAUUGAUGCAACCAAUUAAAUUAAAGAUUCAUUGAUAGAAACUGAUGGUACAAAACUUUGUAGCAACAGAACAGAAUAUACAUUACAUACAAACGAGAGAAAGGAUAGAAGAAGAAGCUAGCUACCUCUACUUGUUAGCAAUUUACUAAUUCCUAGACUGAGAAAAGAAAGCUUACAUGCCAAGGUUAAUACCUUUCCUUUGGUAAAAAACCAUGGUCAUGUUCAUGAGGGGGUCAGUAACGCUAGGUUAAAGGGAAUUCAACAUAUUACUCUUAAGAUAUAUGCCUCUUUAGCUCCUAUAGUUGUAUGAAAACCCAGCAUAAAAAGAAAAAAAAAGACUGAAGAAAAUAAAAAAACCAAAUUGAGUAAAUCGACCAAAUGGGUAUUUCAGUCAAUUACUUUGGGAUCCUAUACCCGCACUCACACACAAAGGAUUGGUAUGCAUAGGAGUAGAGCCAGAUCAAGACGCUUGAUCUUUUCCUUGAUCUUGGGGGAGACGUUGAAAGAUGACGGGUGCACCAUAUUGAGGGUAAAGCAUCAUCAGGACCGUUGGUGCGUGUUGAUAAGUGGGAGACAUCUUAAACGAGAACCGUUGAAGCAUGAUGGCCAGGGCUAGUUUCGCCUGCAAGAGCGCUAGAUUUUGCCCAAUGCACGUGCGGUUGCCGAGCCCGAAAGGAAUGAACGCCACCGGAUGCUUGGCGGCCCGAGCCACCCCGUCCGCGAACCUGGCCGGGUUGAACUCAUUCACGUCAUUUCCCCAUAAGGCUUGAUCAUGAUGAACGGCCAAAAUUGGGAUCAAAAGCUCGGUCCCACGGGGGAUCUUGUAUCCCCCGAGCUCCACAUCCGUCCUCGACCGUCGGAUCGUCGCAACCGUGGGCGGGUACAACCUCAGGGACUCAUUGAGGAUCAUAUUGAGCUGCAGACAAUAAUUUCCAAUGUCACUUAACAAUUGUGGAAUGCCUAAAAUACCCUUACGUGCUUAAGACACAGGUAAGAUGAUGAAGCAAAAAAGGUGGCAGUUUGUUUUUUGUUAUGAGGAAACAAACAUGGGGGUAAAGAGACAAGACAUGAUUUUUGUCCUAAUGUUUGCUUACCGUCUUGAGCUUUACGACAUCGUCUUUGGUGGGUAUGUCACGUGAUCCACACACCCUGAGCACCUCGGCACGUGCCUGCAGCUGCCACUGUGGGUGCAUUGCCAAGAGAACCGUCGUCCACGUCAGCAAAUUGGAUGUGGUUUGGCUGCCAGCAAAGAAGAAGGCCUUGCACUCUUCCACAAUGUCGUUCACAGUAAUGGGGUCAAUGUCGGACGAUGAGGAUGAAGCAGAAUCCGAGGCCUGAAUCAUAAGCCCUAGUAAAUCCUUGGAACAUUUUCCGUUCACGUUCUUCAUCGAAUUCUCCCUCCUCAAAUCGAUCAGCUCCAUGAGCUUUUUCCGGAUUUCUUUGUCCAAUUUCCACGAGUUUAUGUUCCGUCUAGUGGGUAGAAAUCUAAAAAACGAAUUAAAUUGUUAGUAACGUUUAACGACAUAACAUGACAGACGGUAAUUUUUAUUUUUAUUUUCGUGUAAGGUAACUUACCUAUGACCGGGGAUGAAGACUUUUUGAAAGGCCUCGGCAACGAAGAGCACUUGCUCAGCUUGUAGCCGGAAAAUGGCUUUGCCGUCUUCGUAGCUGGUACCAAAUGCAGUUCGGGUAAUAAUGUCUUCGGUUAGGGUUUGGAACGAUUCGGAAACUUCAAUCUCAACCUCACCAGAGUCGGACGACAUUGCUGACCAUUUGUCCAUCAUGUCCACCAUACUCGUUGCCAUGACAGGUAUGAGUAACUGAAAAAUCAUUGAUCAUCAAAAUUAAUGAGAUUGGAAUUAUUACAUGUCACAAUUAAUAAAGAGAUGAACUUCAUGAGAGUUACAUACCUUGAGAUUCUCCAUAUGAAAUGUAGGGGUGAUGAUCUUUCUGUGGUGAGCCCACUUCUCACCUUUGAGGCUCAAGAGGCCGUCGCCUUCGAGUUGCUUCACAAGAGGGUGAGCCUCAUUUUUCUCAUAGCAUUCCGACUUAGAAGUGAACACUUCUCGGAUGAGAUCGGGGUCGGAGACGGUGAGACGAACUGUUGGUCCGAACCACACAAGAAAUGAUGCACCUGUUUUAAACAAGAUUUAUGAUUAGCUAAUUGUACAAUUAGUUAGUUAUAAGCAUGGAAUGGAUAGUGUAGACCCUACAAUGGGGGAAGAGAGAGAGAGAGAGAGAGAGAGAGACAAAAACAAAGAAAGUAGAAGAAGGAAGAAGACAACUNNANANANNACAUAUAAGACAAUAACCAAACAGAAUAACAUACAUACAAGCUUACAUUAGGGACGUCCAGGCCCCAAAUGAAACAAACGAAAGAGGACGACAAUANAAACAANAAAGAAAUAAGAAGACUACUACUCCACCAAAACAAAAAUUAAAGUAACAAACAACAAACUAAACUUAAUUAGUUAAUAAGUAGUACGUACACUUCUUNUUAGAAGAANAGUAGUAGUAGUACUAACAACGAAGGAGAGAGAGAGAGAGAGAGAGAGAGAGAGAGAGAGAGAGAGAGAGAGAGAGNGNGANGNANAGAGNNAGAGAGAAGGAGAGAGAAGAGGGAAGAAAAACAGAUAGCUAGCUGUGGAAAAGAACAAAAUCUGAACUUCAACAUCAACCAUCCAAAAAGCUCAGAAAAAGCAGCCUGAAAAAGGCUGAAGAAGAAGUACCCAAAACUAAAAAUGAGCCUUUUCUAAAAAGCCUCAAAUUCUGAUCACCAUCUCAAACCAAGCUAAAGGAACAAUCAUGCAUAGCAGCUACAAGCUAGCUACCAUACCCAUCACUACCACUUUAAUCAUUCAACUUCAAGACUCUAUCUUUCUGCAGUUCUUCUUUUUCUCAAACACAGAAACCAAAGAGAGAAGAAGAAGAAGGCUUAACAGACACAUGAAUGCAAUACCCAAACCAAGAAAUCGAAAACCCAGUUGUGAAAACUUGGUUUCUUCUUCUGCUUUGUUCAGGUUAUAAAACAAUGAAAACCAUGUGAUCAGAGAGAGAGAGAGGGAGGGAGGAUAAUUACCAUAUAUUUUUUUCCAGUGAUGGUAAAAAGGGAGGACUCUGGGGAGAAUAUUGUGACAGGAAGAAGGCAUGGUAUGAGCAGAGGCCUUGAUCAUCAUCCCCACAAGCUCUUUGACAUUUCCAAUGAAGAACUGAUAAGGAGGUCCUCUGAUCCCUUGCCUUGCAAAAUGUUCCUCAAUUCUUCUGGGCCUCCACCAAAGCAGCACCAGAAUCCUCAGACCAAACACUCCAAGAAUGAAACACAAAGACACAAACUUGAGCCAGGACAAUAGCUCCAUGUUGAUGAUCACUACCCUCUCUCUCUCUCUCUCUCUCUCUCUCUCUCUCUCUCUCUCUCUCUCUAUCUCUUCCUAGCUCUCCUGAGUCUUGCGUCUGUUACUUGAAGUGUGUCUUGGUUUUAAUACUAGGAAGAGAGUAAGAGAGAGAGAGAAGAGGAGGUGGGUUUUUAAUUUUUAGGAGGGAGAGAGAGAAGGAGAGAAGCAAAGCAAGGCCAACGGCGUAGGGGCCGCCAUUGGAAUUCUAAAGGGUCAACGAUUGAGAAGGGAGAGGAGGAUUUUGUUAAUGACAUUUCUGUUAAUUCUUUGAUGACAAUGUUACCCUUUUCUUUUCUUCUUAGUAUUAUUAUAUCCCACAACUACAUUUUCAAAAUUAUUUAUUUUCUGAUUUUAUUGAAAAUAUCAUAGCCUUUUCUUUUUCGAAAAACCAAAUUUUUUUUGUUGAAUAAUGUAGUGGGCAUGGUGAUGAACAUUCUAAUGUAAGAAUGUUCCCAGCUUUAUGAGAAUUUCGAUUAUCAUUUUAUAUUGACAUAAGCUAAUCAAAAUCUAAUAUAUGGACUAGUUAAAAUAUAAGCUUUACCCAUAACUAGGAUGACUCUUGCUACCCCAAGUUAAAUGGAAUACUUGUGUGCAUUUCUUCUAACAACUAUUAGAGGGAGCAUUAGUUUCAAUUUUAAACCUCCCUAGGUUGUUAUUUGGAAGUUGGAACUCUAGAAAGUUAAUUAUAACUUAUUAAUGGAAAAGCUUCAUAAUGGAAAGUAAUUAACAUGGUUUACCUUAUUGCAUUUGGCAAUUCACUAUACAUAGUAACAUUGUAUUCAACCCAUUACACUAUAUUGAUGUAUAACAUUCUAGUUUGAUAAUGAAACUAUAUAUCUAACUAUAUAUGUGCAUAACGUACGUGUCAUUACCAAGUCUUAAUUUGCCCAAAUCAAUAAACCUUAUGGAGACAUGGAAAGAAAUGUUGGAUGUUCACUUACAUUAUUGCUUUUAUUAAUUAUCUCAAUAAACACCACAUGUUUGUAUUAUGGACAUAAUUUAGAAUAAAUAAAUAAAUAAAUAUUGAGUCAACUCCAUAAUUUAUAUACAAUGCUAAUAACCCAUGUUCCUUAAACCCAUAAUUCAUCUUUUGACAUUGAAAUUGAAAUAAUGAGUGAUGGAGCAAUUCGACACCAAUGUCUAUAGUUUAUAACUUAGCUUCUCAUAUUACACUAAUUAAAGAACUUGCAGCAGGUUUGUUACUCCGAAUUAAAGGGGAGCGGACAAGACUGGGUAUUAUAAAGAGUCCAAACCCGUGUUCGGCGACAACAAGGAUUCACUUUAACGAGGUUAUGGAGUCCCUGAGAUCCCCGCACACCGUCUUCCAUAGCGGCCUCAAAAUUGAUGGGUUUGUGGAAGCUAGCCCCAUCGCUGUUCUUUUCGCUUGUGUCAAUUCUUUCUCUCGCCUCCCUACAGUUAAUAGAUCUCCUCCGACGAGCCGAUUCUGAUGCAUGAAAUCAUAAGGAGUCUUCGAGAACAGAGACAAGGAAUACGAAAAUUUCACAGGCGAAUUUUAGCUCUAUGUUUUGAAAUUCGAAGUCGGCAACUCUCAAAUCCCUUUGGGUUCCAUGAAAAAAGGGCUUUCGAUCACCUCACCACAUAGUAGCUAAGGUAUGAAUGAUUUUGUGUUACUGAAAUCCAGUUCAGGUAUUAAGGGAUGAUUUUUACGAUUCGAAUCUGAGUUCGAAUUUUUUUGGGUUAUUAAAUUUCUGGGUUUCUGAACACUGAAUUUUUAGGUUUGAGAUUUUUGUGAUGUCAAAUUUGUGUGUUUCUGGGUUCUGUUUUGCAACUAAAGGCUAGAGAUUUAUGGGUUCUUUUACGUGGUUGCAGGUUAGAGUUGGUGGUGCUAUUUUGAUUGCUUCCACCAAACAUGGGUUAAGCUUACUCUAGAAUAAGCUCAACUUAAGGAGUGCUGGACUCCUAUAGAAUUUAAGCAUGGGUUAGACAAUCCUUUCUAACAAACAUGCAGUCGUAGUAUUAUAAAGAGAAGACUUGUAACAAACAUGCAGUUGUAGUAUUAUAAAGAGAAGACUUUUAGACGAUAAUAACUGAAUAUGAACGCACAUAUACAUACGUUACAAACAUUAUAAUUUGAGGUAUCUUAACUAAUAUUGAUAACUAAGUCAAUUUAUAAUUCAUCUUUCGACAUUAGAAUAAUUAAUGGUAACCGAUUCAACACCUAUAUUUAUAGCUUCCAACCUGACGCGCACGGGAAAUUAUCGUAUUAUAAAUAGAAAACUUUUAGUCACCAUUAAUAUAAUGUAUAAUAUAUAUGUAUAUUUUCAUACGUUACAACUUACAAACUUAAAAAUAUGAGUGGUCCUCAUACGUUACAAUUAACAAACAUGAAAGUCUGGACAUCCCUAAAUAUUAUCGAUAACAAAGUUAAAUCAUAAAGAAUAACACAAACCACCGCAAAUACAUGUGUGCUAAUCACUAGAAUAUGACCGAUCGAUAUAGAUAAAUCAACAUGACUCAAAUAUAUAUUGAUGGAAUGAUGGAUCAAGCAAGGGUAGAUAGCUACUUGUAAAUAAUUAACCAUGGUGGUUCCUUGAAGGGGGAAGGAUAUAUGUAGGGAUUAAUGUUCAUAGAAAUUGAAGUGGUACAGUUCCUUUCCUAACUUCUUCCUUGUUCCCAGGAAGAUGAUUUGGGAGUGUUAGGAACUCAAGGAGAAGGAGAGAGAGAAAGAGAGAGAUGAGAGGAGAAAGGGAGCACAACACAAAGAAGGUUUUGGUUUUGGAAUGUUGCUCUUAAAUUUGAGCACAUGGAAACAAGGCUGUCUAUUUUAGGGUUUCUUUUGUGUGGUUUGGGUGGGGAAAUAUGCUCUAGUUGACCCAAACAAUGGGGUACCCACGCAAAGGCAUCCUCUCCUAAUCCUGUCCUAAUAAACCCAAGACAUGUUGGCCCAUGUGCCCUUCAAAGGGUCCCUACGGAUUUAAAACGCAAACUCAACUGUAACACUUCGACAUCCAUGGAUGAUCGAGUUCGAGUAUAUACCUGCAUGCUGGCCACCAAGUUCAUCAUCUUCAAUUCUUCAUGCCCCAAAAUUCGACAAAGUAACCGUUCACAUUAACCUCUAAUCAAUCUGACCAUCACCACAAAAAAAUACAAAGUUAAUUCAUUGUGUAGGAACGUUGUGUCUACCCAUAUAUAUGCAAUACAUAUACUGAAUAAAGACAAAAUGACACAUAGUUUACGAUAACUUAUGCAGUUUGAAAAUGCUGUAUUAAGUAUUGAAUUGGCGAUCUAUAAAAAUUUCUUGAAUGUGAUGUCGAGUUAUGUAGUUGUAUAUGAACUAGUGUGAGUGCCUUAAAAGAUUAUAUGAGGUGAGGAGACUAUAAAAAUUUCUUGAAUGUAAUGUUGAGUUAUGUAGUUAUAUAUGAACUAGUGCGAAUGUCUUAAAAGAUCAUAUGAGGUGAGGAGACAAGGGCAAGCGCAAUACAUGUGUUUGUGGUAUUAUAAUAUACGUAUAAUGACGAUCUCCUGAAGAAUACGCUAAAAUGGACACAUAUGCGUUAAGUGAUCGAUAUGAAUGUCUAUAAACAUUGUAUACACUAUAGAAGGGGCAAGAGCACACACGAUACUUGUGUUGUUUUGUACAAGUCGAUCAUGAUAAUCAAUUAAGAGUUUUAUUUUUAUUUUUAAAAUGAUCAGUUAAGAGUUCAGACUUGUCAUGUAUAUAAAUGAAGAAAUGAACGAUAUUUCCGUUUGUAAAGCUAAAUUAAAUAUGAAAGUGAAUGUUAAAGAACGUUUUUGUAUGUUUGGAGAGUACGUUUAGUUAACAAUAUAACACAACUAAACAAGCAGUAUUAAUUGGAGCUAAGAAUCGACUAGGGAGUUAAUAAGAGCCGUCAAUCAUUGUACAUCAAGUUUAAUCAAAAGGCUUAUAUAGAAGAGUAAGUGUGUGUCAGCCUGUGUGAGAGAAUCGAAAUUCUUAAGCAAGAGCAUCGAAUUGAAGCUUUCAAGAAAGAUCUGAACUUGUCCUUGAAGGCAUGUUCACUGUCUAACUUUAGUUAGAUAUGCAGAGAGGUGAUACAAUCAUACAAAUCAAACUUUAAAAAGUAGUAGGGCAAAUACAGAAUCGAUCAGAAGCUAUAGGUAUACUUGCAACCAUAAUUUUCACACUGCACAAUCAAAAUCCCAAAAGGACAAAGCAGAAUAAGCAAUCACUUAAACGAGGCCUGGAGUUUUCGAAAAUGAACAAAGUAAUAAUCCAACAAGGAAAGGCUGCAGCUAACUGGUGAGGUACCUUUGCUUGCAAAACUUGUUUAUUAAAUGCAUUUUUCUUUUCUUAUUUUCCAACCUAUAUAAGGAUCUGAAAUCUGAAUGGUACCCAGCAGAAAAACCAGAAGAAGCAGAGAUCAAUCAAUAUGGUUGUGUCCCAUUAUGUUUAUAGCUUUGUGCUGUCACUUCAUGAAAGAUGGAUGUAUAUGCAUAUUUCACAAUGUGAGAACAAAGUUUAUCUACUAGUUCGUGGCUUUUCUUUUUCUGUUCUGAGUUCUAUCGAGUUUGUGGUUCCUUAAUGCAAAUUACCAGCAUUUUUCUAGAAGAAAAUGAAAUUAAAACCGGAACCUCUACAACAACUGAAACCGGAAUGAAAACUUAUUACAAGUGUUCAGUAACUAUUUUCUUCACAUAUACUUGAAAUGAAAACUCAGAACAUGCAUGUUUUCUAAUUGAGGAGCAAAAAUGAUAUUGGCGACUUAUUUUUAAUUGUUCAUUUCAAAUAUUAUAACUUUGUAAGUCGAACUCACAACAUCCCACUUACUAAGAGGAGACUAUGUCGCUAAACCAAAUGGUAUUAGGAUUUGAAUUAUUAUAAUUGAAAAACAUUCUUUUAAUUUUACACAUAUCAUGAAGAAAAUGUGAUUAAACGUAAAAAAAAGGGCUCAAAUAGCUCCAAACUUACUAAUAAUAAUUCUUGAAAGAAAAAACAAAUAGACAAUUCCAUAAUUGAAUUAUAAGUUUGGACAUUCCGUUCUCUCUAAAUUCUAUCUCAUGCAGUAUAUCACUGCAUAUAAAUGAUUGAACUAGAUUUAUUGGUAAACUUUGGAGCAAGUGCAUGCCAUGUAAAUAAUUGACAAUAAUUGAAGCUAUGCAAUCACUAAUUGUUUUAUUUUUUCCCCCUCCUUUCUCCUAGCUACAAGAUAGAUAAGAAGAGCCUUUAGAAGAAGGUGAUAAAAAAGAUUUAGUUGGUAAAGACAAGUUACAAAGAGCAAAAGAUGGGAUCUUGCACAUAUGAUUAGAUUACAAAUCCCACCCCCACCAUAUCUUAUAAUCUUUUAUCUUAUAAUCAUAAGUCACCGCUCCCCUAUAUUCAUCCUACAAACAAGGAUAAUGAUAUGCUGCUAAUAAUACACAUGUCAUUCCACAUAUGGACAUUACAUCUUGAAUAAGUUGGUUAUUAACUUAAAACAAUUUGAGGUUUUGACCUCAAUUAUGAGAAGCUUAAUUGGAGUAUCCAUAGGUACUCAUGCCAAAUCCGAAUCCGAUUUGAAUGAGAAAGACUUGGUGAUCUUUCGAGUUUUUCAUCCAAGUAAUUAUGCCAAAGGGUAAUCACAAUAUUUGAUUUGAUAACGCGCACUUCGGGUUAGUUUAGAUAGAAAGAUGGUCUAAUCAAUCAAAGUGGACUUGUUUUUGAUCACGAUCAAAUUAAAGAGGCAUGCGCAUACGCAUGCUUUUUGCAAACUCUUUUGCAAAAUAGCACUAUUCGUGAUUUAUGGUGAGUUCAUUAGAUCACUUUGAAUGAGUUUGUUAGGAUAUUUUGUUCUCUUUAAGUUGAUUUGUAGGGAAAAUGAUGUAAUUCAUCAAUCCUUUUCUUGCUUUCCGUCCUUAUAGUUUUGUAAAAGAGCAAAAUUAAUUAUGUUGAGUUCUCAUCACUUUAUAUGAGUUGGUUAGAGAAUUUCCGCUCUUUGAAUUGACUUGUUGGGAAAAUGAUGUAAAUCAAUAUUUUUUUAGUUUUUCUGACUUUCUUUUGUUGUAAUAAUGAGGUUAAGAAUAACCGAAAGAAAACAGGAAUAUGUGUACAAAUCGAAGUUUAUAAUUAAACACAUAAAAUCAUAUUUCGUACUUUCUAUAUCAGAAUUUGAAUGUAGUUUUGCUCAUAUUCCAUUGUCAAAGAAUUAAUGCAAUGCUAACCCUGACAUCUAUUAAAGCGACUACUAAACCAUAUGUCAAGUUCAUGCAUAUUGCCACGCAUUCAUAAUGACAACAAAUUAUAAAAUCUUCCAAUGUGUAACGAAUUGACUUAUUAAGAACUAAAACUAUUACCCCAUGUUCUCUUAUUUGUUUCUUUUCCCUUGAUAUUUUUGCUAUCUUUUCGUGGGUUUAGGUACUAUGUCCUCUCUGUCGUAAAAAUUUAAUAUUAUUAUAAUAAAUGAAACUGGGCAUAGAGAUGAGCCUUCCAGCUAGGCUGAGUUUCAAACCCGUUCAAAAAAAAAACAAAGUCCUAGAGUAAAUUUGCAUAAAACCCCAGUUGCCAUGAUUAGAAGCUUGAAAUGGGAGCUUUAUAAUUUUUUUGACAAAUUCUAAUUUCAAAAAGAUAUAUUGCGUCACAUGAUCUAUGAAUAACGUGUUUUCGUCCACGCAAUCAACGGUGUGACGGGUCUGGACUGAGAGAGAGCCUCCAAGGCGCCAGCUGCAUCACCAUCCAUGUCAAAUACUUUUCCCGCCACGUGUCGGCCAAUCAUUGACUUCCUCUUAAACUUUGUCCGCAUACGGAAGCCAUUUCGUUACAUCAACUCAAGCUUUUGGCAGCUUCAGCAUCGCUCAAAAUUACCAUAUCACCCUUCAUGACACUUCUUUUUGCUAAUCAGGUCCCGAAUUUCCUUAUUAUGUCACCGAAAAUGAACAUCAGGAAAAGGAGAGAUUAACUAAAAGUUAGAUAACUACAUGGUGUGGUGAAUUUAGUCGAGCAGCGUAGAAUGAAACUCUCAGAUCUAGAGUUCGACUUCCAUACCUCACAAGUUUGAGACCAACGUACAGUCUUUAUGGGUUUUUAGUUUCGUGCGUAUGGUAGAACGAGAUAUUAAUCUGAUUUUGUUGUGAUCUAAUUAUCGACAUUUGUGGCAAAUACAUAAAGAUGCAUGCAUCGUCCUAUGAAGCAAACAAAGAGUAAUUAAUCAUUAAUACUUUAUGGGUUUUUAGUUUUGUGCGUCUGGUACAACGAGAUAUUAAUAUGGUUUUGUUGUGAUCUAAUUAUCGACAUUUGUGGCAAAUACAUAAAGAUGCAUGCAUCGUCCUAUGAAGCAAACAAAGAGUAACUAACUAAUCAUUAAUACUUUAUGGGUUUUUAGUUUCGUGCGUCUGGUACAACGAGAUAUUGAUUUGGUUUUGUUGUGAUCUAAUUAUCGAUAUUUGUGACAAAUAUAUAAAGAUGCAUGCAUCGUCUUAUGAAGCAAAUAAAGAGUAAUUAAUCAUUAAUAAAUCUAAAUUUGAUCCAUCUUAGGGUUAAUACUGUUGAUGAAUUAUUCGAAAAGGAUGGACAAAGACGCAUCGAUCUACCACUCUAGGUCUUUAGCUACUCUACCCAAACAACAUGCAAUGUUUGGAUUUUGUUUGUCUUGGUUCAAAUCAGAUAGUCAUUGAUUUGAAGUUUGUCUGAUAAGAGUGUUAGAAACAACAAUAUCACACCUAACUAGCUAGGGCUUAAUACAGAUAAUGAAGAGCUAAGAGCCUAAGACAUGGUUUUUCACCAGGAAAAGAACGUAGUAAUGGAAACCCUAAGCCUAACGAAGCCGACAAGGGCAGUGUUGGAAAACCACAUCGAUCGAAUCGAUCUCAUGCAUCACUGCAUAUAACAAAGCAAACUGGGCAAUGGCAGGUGAGGUUUUGUCUUCAACUUCGAGUAUGAUCGAUCGAAGAGAUAACAACCUCUGGCAGUAAAGAAUCACAGAAUCACAGGCAAGUAGAGAGGUCUCAGGUCCGUACUACACAUACUCUUAUCGAACCCUCGUGAUUCAAGGGUCAGUUUUUUCCCCACUUUAUCGAUCACUUACAAACCCUAGAGUACUGUUGCUGCUGCUAUCUGUGAUGUCCAUCUCAAUACCUUUUAAUUUCUUUCUACCUUCCCGAGAGACUUUUCUCUCUUUUAAUUUCCUUCGAUCGAUUCUCAUCGCCAAUGAGAUGAACUAGCUUGUAUAUAAGUUUAUUGAUUUCCAUGCAUAACAACAACAAGUAACAAUUGGAAGCACAAAGCGCCACAGUUCCAUCAAGAAAAAUGUCAUAUAUAUGUUUUGUCUCUAUAAAACCAUCUUUGUCCGUCGAUGUCUCUUCCCAACAACCAUGUCUUCUAAUUUGUAAGCCUCACAAACCCUUGAUUGCCACCCUUUGAUUAGUUCACUGCUUAGUUAAUUAUCUCCUCUCUAGACAAUAUAAUUCUACUUUUCUUGGUUUGGAUAUUCAAAAGAGAGGGAGUGAGAUCGAGGCACAUGUUGUUGCAUGGCACAAAGAAAUGUUAGUUUUCACCGAGUACAGAUUAGGAAUAUGUUGGAGGAAUGUUUACUGUCAAUCAUGUGACACAAACCCUAGAAUAUUAGCUUAGACUAUUCCUUUCAAUUCAUAUAAUUGGAUCACUUUACUAGUUAAUCCUUCUUGUGAUGAUCGAUCAAGUGAAAAUCAUCCGUAGAAUUUGUUAUGAAGAAAACCAGAAGUGAAAGUAAUAAGUAAAAGGGGAAUCACAAAUAUAAGUUUAUCCAUCACCAGCUUUUGCAGGAUUCUCACAAGAAUAGAGACCAUUGCUACUCAUAAUUACCACAGCAAGGGCAAGUCAUUCCAAAGAUAUGGAAAUAUCAUCACCACGCUUUUGAAAUUCUUCAAAGGUAAUAUUCAUGAACACAUCUAGCUAGAUAUUAUAUUUAAGUUAGCUUCAAGGCUCCCUCACAUACCCGUAAAAUAUUAAGGAAAAUGUUACAAUAAUAGCCUAGUUACAUAAUGUUCAGCUUACAAUUCAAAUUUGGGAAUGGUGUCCAAAAUUGUGAACACAAAUGUGAAAUAAUAAUGGCAUGCAAUCCCAAAUUGGCCUUUCGGAAAAUGGCCUCCUCAUCUUAGAAAAAGGGUAACUUAAUCUCAACAGCUAUCUAAGCAAACAAUAUUUAAUGAAGACCAAAAGUCAUUGGCCUUUCUAAGUGUCUAAGAGUGACUUGAAAUUGAAAGAAAUGUUAAAGCAUAUAUAUGUGGAAAAUUGGAAAUCCAGAAUGCCAUCGGAUCAUUAUUGAUCAGUCCCAAUUAAUUUAAGCAAAGACAGAGGGGUAGGGGAGGUGAAAUAAGCCACUGUGAUCAUCAGUGUUGGCAUUGAUUCAGGUCUGGCUAUAUUAUAACAGAACAGUAGGAGGAGGAGGAUGAGGAUGAAGAUGAAGACGAAGACGAAGAUGAAGACGAGGAAGGAGGAGCUAGAAUUAUAUAUAUGCAUAUACAUAUAGACAGUGACAGUUGCUUGGUACCCUCUCCUAUUCAUGCCAGUCCCGUUACGCGUAAGCACAAGCUGGCAUUGCAGAACAUGUCCUGCUCUGAUCCAAGUUUACAUGAAAAUGAAGUACUGUUAUAUACUGUGUGGUUACUUCGAGUGCAGGCCACCCUUGGCCUUAGCCUGACUAAUGCUACAAAUGAAUGAUAUGAAUUCCUUCCUCUCCCUCCAAGUGUGAUCUGUGAUCAUCAUCAUUCAUGCCCCUCCUUGCCCUACCAUGGAAGCAUAUAUACAUGAGUAUUGAAGCAGAUGAGGCCUAGCUAGCUUUGGCAGUUAAAUACUUAUGCUCCCUCCCUCCCUUCAUCUAUUUGAAUUUCAUAUCUACUCAUAUGAUGGGCCAAGUGACGAUGAGUCGCAAUCCUCAUUCACUAUUGCACUCAAACAUAUCACCUAGCCAGGACUAACAUAGACAGGUAGGUAAAUGCAUAUACGUACACAGUAUUUCACUUUUCCAAUGCCGAUUACUAAAGUUUAUCAACUCUGUCAAAAAAAUGUACAAAUGGGGUGAGUUUUUUUUUUGCGGGGUACUAGACAUAAAUAAAAAUUGAAGAGGGCAAUGAUAGAUUAUAUACAAUAUAGCAAGCAAUAUAUAAAACAGAAAAAGAAAGUCCGGAUGGAGCCAUUUCACCAAGAGAAAGCAAGACAGAGAAGUGAUUGCUAGGAGAGCCCAUUCAUGGAUAAUAGCAAUGGAAACAGACUUUUCGAAAAGAUAUGACUCAUGAGAGGAAGAGGGCUUUAUGCAGUUUGCAGCAGCGGCAGCUUCUACUUAGCUUUGGAACCGAUAUCACAUUCCUUGUGGACCUGCUUGUGCUACUAGUGCUGCUUCUGAUAGCCCACAUUGCCUAAAGCCAGACACAUUGAUAUCACAUAUCUUAUGAAGCCAAACAAUCCGACCACCUACCGACAACGAAAGCCACCUUCAUUUCAAAAUCGACGAUUUACCAACUCCAAAGGGCCACCCCCGCUUCUUUACUUAGUCGUUUAGGAAUAUAUGUGUUAUCUACUGAGCUUCAAUAUCUUUGAGGACCUUGUGGAACUUGAUAAUAGAUAGGGAUAUAGAGCCCCCCUGAAGUUUUGGACAGUGUCGAGGUCAUGAUGGACAAGAGAGACAUGGUGGCAAAGUUAGGCUAAGACUAACAGCUUUCACAAUUCACAUGCAUGCCCCCCUUCCACUGUUCUAUAGCGAGUCCCGGUUGGAAUGAUGUAGAUGUCCCAGUAUUACCCAGUGGAAUCCCCAUAUAAGAGGGUCAGUUCUGUUUCGAGUAGUUGCUUGGAAGAGACAUGGAAAAGGACUAGUCCUCCUGCAAUUGGGAAAACACACUAGGGUGAGACCGGGAAGCCACUAUUGUCGUUUCAAUGAAGCACAAGCACGCGUACUAUUCACUAUGCUUGCUUGCGCCAAGUGGCUUUUUCUUUGGGUCCUUGCCUCUGUGCCUUUUGUGCCUUUGUGCUCGGUGCUCCCCAAAACCAAGAGGAUCGGAUCAUUAGGUUUGGUGACAAGGCAGUUCACUAACAAAGUAUUGAUAGAAGUCUCAAUUUCAACUAAAAAGGUGAAAAUGAAGUGAGUCUUCAGUAAAUUAUUGUGACACCGUAAGUACAAUGUUUAAUGCAAUGUGAAGAGUUUAAAUUUUACAUUGAUAUUUCUACCCUUUACCAGAAGAAUUUCUCAAGAAAACCAGAGAACAUGUAUGUAUCUCUUUGGCGUUUGGCCAUGUGGACUUCACAUGUUAUGGUUCUCAUGAUUAUGUACUGUCUGAGACAGUUAACUGAUGUUUUCUUGUUCCUGGUUUACAAAUAGCACAAACACAAAAACACAUCACUGCAGCACUGCUACACAAACAAACCAAAACACAAAACCUCUUUCGAGUCCUAAGUCCUAACUAACUUGUGACAUGAGGACAGACCUGAAAGUACUACUACCACCAUAGCAAAUGCACUUGUUAUUGCGACAUCAAAAGUUCAAAACAGUGUACUAGGAAAAUCAACAUCAAUCAUCAACUAAGCUCAGACAAUCAUGUUCCUCAUCUCAGUCGGGUCAUUAAGCAAUCAACCUUCGCAGACACAGUCUCCGUCUUAUCAUACUCCGCACCGACACUAAUCAUCUGCCAUAUUGCCGCGAGUUAAGGCUCACCUCCGCCAAUACUGUUUUAUUUCCACAAUGGAGCAGAUGCAAUCUUCAUUCAUCAUGGUCAAUAUCGAAAUUGCUGUGACGUCGCAGCGGGUUAACCCUCACCUCUAGAAACACUGUUCUAUUUCUACAAUGGAGCAGAACAAUCUUCGGAUUACCAUAGUCACCGUCGACAUUGUAACCAGUUAUGAUGUUGCACUGGGGUUCAGCUCACCUCCAGCAACACUGUUCUAUACUUCUAUAUCUAAGUUGGUUAUUCCUUGCUCGGGAAGACCCCAAUCCCACAAGCCCAUUAGCACAGCGCAACUACUGCAAUAUUCAAAAUCCAUUAAAGGCCCAGUGCGUAUUGCUCAUAAAAGCCUCUUAUCUAUGACGGAUUCACGCCGACAACUAAAUUGAAGAAAGCCAAGCGCAAACCCAGACAGCAAAUGAGGCAAAGAGAUUGAAGCUGUGCAACCAAGCAAUCUUAGAACUGCUCAUUUGGGAUGCAGCAAAUUUGAACAGGACAUAGAGAGCACUCAAAAGAUAAAACCAGUAACAAAAUUUCACAAACGAUAAAUAACAUUAGCCGAAGUAACAUCUUAACUAAAACGAUGCACUGUAUUCAAUACAUAAGAGAAGUAAAUCCAAAUCCUGCUUAUAUGGCAGAAAUUUCCAAAAGGAUCGCGAAAAGAAACAAUGGAGAUUGAAUGAAGCAAAGACUUCCUAACAAGGACUCUAGUUGUCAAAUGCAUCAUCAUCAUCAUCGGGAAGAGGUUGGGCAGCUGCUGCAUUAAGCUCAGCCUCAUGCCUGAAAUAAUAUCAACAAACACCAAAGUGAGAUGAUUUACUUCUAUGCCAAAUUUUCAUUCUACUGUCCAUAUAUAACUUAACUUUUUUUGGUAAUGAUCAUAUAACUAACUUAGCCUCAAAACAUCUAAACGUAGGAGAAAAUCACAUAGCAAGUUCAUGAAUGAAUAGGGCCUUACUGUAGUUGAGUAGCCAUGUCAAUCUGGACUUCUGGGGGAGCAAGAGCUGGAGACUCGACGAAAUGAAGAUUGGCAUCACUGAAAUGAAGGCAAUAAUAAUAUUAAUUAUGAGUGUCCAAGCUUGUACAUCAUUAAAACAAAAUGAGUCUAUAGUUAAUUACCCUGCAAGCUUCCUGGCCAGGUAGAGGAAAGGUUUCUCGAAAUUGUAGUUGCUCUUUGCAGAUAUCUCAUAGUACUGCAAGUUCUUCUUCCUAUGGAAGGUCACCUGCUUAGCUUUAACCUGCCUGUUCUUCACAUCAACCUUGUUCCCGCAGAGGACAAUGGGAAUGUUCUCACAAACCCUGAUAUUUUAAGAGACAAAUGUAACAAUUUGUCAGCAGGUGGGUAAACAAGACAACAAAAACAAGAACAGAUUUCAAUCUCUAGAUUCAUUCAACUCACCGGCAAAGAUCACGAUGCCAUGUAGGAACAUUCUUGUAUGUCAACCUUGCAGUGACGUCGAACAUAAUGAUUGCACAUUGCCCAUGGAUGCUGCAAAAUAAAAAAAUAAAUAAAAAAAUUUAGAAAGACAACCCUUAUUAGUUAUUACAAACAAUCGAUAAAACCAAAUCAUGACAACUAAAGACGCAUAGCCAGAUACCACAGAGACAAGCACUGGUAAUGAACCUAUGUUCUGUUCAAAGAAGAUGAGAAAGCAACGUGAACACAUCUUCCCUAAUGAUUUACUUUCUUGUUUUCAUAUGAAUACAUUACAUUCUCCCACCCAAAUCAUAAAAAGAUUCUAGACAACAACCAUACUCAAAGUCAAUUGCAUGCUUCUAAAUCAGAUAUCAACAAUCAACAUAUUGGUAGAGACCACUUACUAGUAACCAUCUCGAAGGCCACCGAAUUUCUCUUGCCCAGCAGUAUCCCAGCAGUAAAACCGGAUCUUCCCACAGUUUGUGAAGAAGUCUAGAGGAUGAACCUCCACACCAAUAGUUGCUGUUUCCAAAAUAAACAAAAAACCAUCAACAUAAAACCCAAAAUCCAAGCAACGGAGACAAAUUGACAAAUUGACCAAUUUCAAAAUUCAGAACGCGACUCUUACGUUCAUAUUUCUUCUCAAACUCUCCGGUAAGAUGCCUCUUCACGAAAGUAGUUUUUCCUGCGCAAUGCUCACACCAAUCAGCCUAAUCCAAAACUCAUCCGCUUACAGUAAAAAUAAACACUGAUAAAAUCAAGCCAAAAUUUACAGAAAAACGUGAGCAGUAACAAAUUAGAUCAAAUCGAUCAAACCUACUUCAAUCCUAUCGGAACGAAACUCCAAAAGAUCUAAAAUUUACAGAAAAACGAGAGCGGUAACAAAAUUAGAAGAUCAAAAAUUUACCGGUGCCUCCGUCGCCGACGAUGACGAGCUUGAAGCUCGGAUAAUCCACAGUCUGUUGGUUUGGCAAAGCCUACAACAUCAAAAUCGAAAUCAACACUAAACCCUAAUUCCCAAAAACAAAAGCACAAACAAAGACGAUCCAGAGCUAAAACCCUAAGGCAUGAUCGAGAAGAGAGAGAGAGAGAGUGAGAGAGAGGUACCAUGAUCGGUGAAGCGGCGGCGAAGUGAGAAAUAGAGACGGCGAUUUGGGGUUUAGAGGUAGGUAGAGGGAGGCGGAGGGGACUACUUAUAUAAGGCUGGGAGCGCGUGGCUUUAAAUCGACGCGACUAUCUCGCCCAUAUGAUUUGCGUAGUUUUAACGCUGGGUUCUAGAAACCACCGUUGAGGUGUGGGGUGAGUGUAAAAGGGGGUGUAGAGAGAUAUUUUCUCCCCUUUUUGAAUUUUGAAAGUUUGGAUCUCUAAUAACAAAGCUUUUGUUUACGGUUUUGAUUUAUUUGUGUUCUAUAAGUGCAAAGAUAUUUUUCUAAAUUUGAGAAAAUAGGAAAAAGAUUGAGUAUAAAUUCUAUGUCGAUUAGAUUUGAUGAAUCAAACCGGAUAAGAGGUAUUAUGUUUUGGAUUUUUACUAUCAAUGCGUGUAUAGUGAAGAUUUAGAUUUCGAGUUUUGAAAAACUGAUAGAAAAUGAGAGUACUGUAGCUACUCUUGAUUUUCGAUUGUAGCUGAUGCGCUGCCCUCUUGACACUUGAUACUCGAUUAUGGCCAAUGGCAGAACCACGUUUGGGUCUGUGGUGUCCAUACCUCUUCAGGUUUUCAAGCACUUCACGAAGCUACCAAGUUACUGGCAAAUACAUGAAAGUUAUUGUUUCUUUUUUGUAUGUUGUUGAGAUUGUCUCUUUUAUAGAUUAACUCAUUCCACACACACAUGUAUCUAGCAAGUGUAAAUUGUUUUUAACUAAUAUGUAUAAAUAUAAUAAUGUUUAUGUUAAGGAGUUUCGAUUACUCCUUAACAAUAUUAAUAUAAAUUUAUAAAUUUUUUCUCUUGCUAUAGCCAGUUCAGAUUGCUAUGAUAGUCUGAUACACGGUAUUUCAAAACCCUCUCAAAAUCGUGAUUACAUAAUAAGAUGAAACCAUCAGAAUGAAUUUGUUUUGGUGAUUCCGAAGACUUGCUACAGAAAGAACUAACGCAUCAAAAAAUACAGGAGGUUAUCAAGCGUUAAACCCUAGAAACGAUGAAGAGUUUACAAGCGUAAACUCAUCAAUAAAACUCUGGAAUUCAACAAUCAAUCGUGUCAAAAAUACUUUGGGUUCAAUCCCAUUAUUUUUUUUUUUUUUAAAUAUAUAUUUAGGAGUUUCUUAAAGUCAAAAGUCCUCUUUGUCCCCGCGUAUCCGGGUAUAUUACAAAAUCGUACCACGUAUCCGGACGUAUCCCAGAGGCGUAUCUACACUUGAUUAUGAGAGAAGAGAAAAACAAUGGGCGCAUAAACCCGGAAAUAGAGAGACCACAGACGACCCGAUUCUGGUUUUUAAGGCGAAGAACCUGAACCAAUUGCCACAGAUCUCAAGUCAUGGCCACCUGGCCCUCCUCUUCCGACCCUUCUAAUCAGUAAGCCCUUCAAAACCCACCCAUAAAUUAUCUCUAUGUUCUGUUUUCAUCUCAAUAAUCGAUUUGUUGCAUGCAUGAAUGUAUUUGGAAGGCAGCCUGAGGCAAUAAGGAAGAGAAAUAAGUCCGAUCAAAUUAAGUUCCUGAUUCCUCUCAUCUACGCCCCCGUGCUUCCCCUCAGUAAGUUUCGCCAAUUCUGCUCGGCUUUUUUUGUGGUUCAGUCUGUGAUGUUGUUCGUGUUUGACAUCUUGGUUUUUGUGUUUUCUUGGUCAGUUCGGAUCACGCUGCGGAAACAACCGGUUCUAAGGGACCGUCUGUUUAUUGCUGUGUUGGCUGGGGCAUUUGCUCAUGGCACUUAUUUGGUGUAUCCUUUUGUUGAGAUAUCGAAUUAUUGUGAUUGUUAUAAUGUUAUACUUGGUGACAUUCUGCUAAGAAAUUGCUAUGCUUGAUUAAGAAUGCGCCAAGUAUUGAUCUUUGCAUUUGAAUGGUUGAGGAUGUUAGAAGUUGGAAAUGAUUAGUACAUACUAAAUGUUUAUUUAUUUUAGUAUUUUGACUUAGCGAAUUUGGAUUGUUAGGGGAUGCAUUUGCAAUGAGAGGCUGUAGAAUAAGAAGUGUAACUGAACUCAGGGAGAGGUACAACUGCUUUGUUUCAGAUGUUUAAGAGUGUGCGUAAAUGUUAGCACAGAGAGUUGACGAUGUCUGAGUGGAAAAGAGCGUGAUAAAGCAUGUUUCUUUCUGUAGUUGACGCUCGUUGUGUAUAUGUGCUCAUCUGGUUUCUGUCUUACUAAUGAGCGUUGGAAGUUCCGGUAGUAGUUCAUACUUCAUAGGGAAAGGGAGGAUUGAUCUUUAAGAGUGUAUGUAGACAUGCACAGGCAGUUUAUGGUGGCUGAGAGCAGACAGGGAAGAUAAAUACAACUCUUUGUAUAGUUGGGUGAUGUUUUCAUCCGCUUUCUUUAUUUUGUCUCAGUUGUUCAUUAUUUAUCGGGUUUCGUCUGUUGAUGUUUCAUUGGAGGAAUAAGAUGUUAGGACUUAGGGGAAUUUGUUUUAGAUAAUUUGUUUGAAUCACAAGCUCAAAUUUAUAUUGGUAAUAUGGUACUGGAUAUGAGAUUUCAUAGAUAGUAGAGUACCUCAUUUUUUCUUUUCUGCUUGCAAGUUAGAGUUCUUCACUGCAUCCUCUUGUGGUUCCUAGGGAGAAUUAGCAUUCAGUAGUUAUUCUGAAUUAAUCCUUUGAUUUAACCAUGUUUAAGCAAAAGUUUUCAUUCAAAGUAAUACGGUAUCAGAGUUAUGUUCAUGUAAAUUUCUUCUCAAGAAUCUUCCACUGUUAUUAACUUUUUGCAACUCUAUGUCUCGUCUUUUUUUUUCUUUGUAUUCUGUUGUUGAUCCUUAACAGACUUUUUGCAGGACGGAUCUUUUUAAUUGAGAGCAAGUAAAAUUUGCACACAUAGUUGAGAUAUGAGGUAGCGUACAUCUCUUCAACAACUUUGAAUUGUUUUGCGGAUUCUUUGCAGCUCAAUGCUUCAAUGGCUCCCAGAGUAUACUAAUACAAUUUUGAUAUUGUCUCUGGAUGAUUCCUAGAUUAUAUCCAGUUAUUAUUAAGUAUUUACUAGUCCAUUUCUUUUCCUUUUCACUAGCUCUCAACAAGUUUUCAACACUGUUUUACUGAUUACAAUAAGAACACGAUCGAAAUUGUUUUGUUAAUCUCUUUGGUGAUCUUAGUUAUGUAUGUUGAUAUACUGUAGAGGACUUGCAGUCUGCCUUGCCAAACCUUAGCAUACUAUUACUAUUUGGACAGUUAACCCCUUUUAUAACUGAUAGCAGUCUAAUUGAUGCGGAUGUCUAGCAAGAGUUUGUUCUACCGAAAAUCUGUUGGAACACUCUUGCUUCAAGUGAGAUUUUGCCUCUGAUUCUAAGUCCUUCCAAUGCCAAAUAUCUGGCUAGGGUUGGUUGUCACAAGAUGUCGCCAUCAUCAAGUCAUGGACAUUUCAUGAGCUACAUGCAUUCCACAAAAUAGUUGUGAUGCACAUAGGCAUAUUCCGAUAUCGGAUUCUUUCUACGAUUCGAGUCAUGGACAUUUCAUGAGCUAUAUGCAUUCCACAAAAUAGUUGUGAAUCACGUAGGCAUAUUCCGAUAUCGGAUUCUUUCUACGAUUCAGUAUCUCAACCAAGAUCCAAAUAUUCUGUAUCCCACUUGCCACUUGUCCUUCCAUCGAUCCCCACAUCAAAUCCUAACCUCUGAUAAACCCUAGCUCUGGAAAUUCGACUAAAACCCCAAACUCCUAAAGCUUGCAUAGGUCGCUCACUGGAUUAGAGAUUAAUAUAACUAAUUAGGUCACAUCAUUCAUCGUCAGAUCCAAUAUUGAUGCAAAGCAUAGAGAUAUAUAGUGUAUACAAAUCAAUAAUUACAUACUUAAUCAGCUUAAUCACGCAAUUAACUCAAUAAACAAAGGGAAAAUGAAAGCAUAACAUAAAAUUAAUGCCAUCACCAUCUUACACAAGUUCAACCCCUUUAAAUCUACUUUAAUAAAAAAAAAUGAAAAAAUAGAUGAUCUGGGGCUCCCUUCGAUCCGAUCCUAAUUAUCCAGGCGUUAUUGACGCGGCCGGCUCAGAGAUCGGACCGGUUCUUGAAAUCGGAGGCGAGUCUGUUGGCGAUGGAGGAGUGGUACAUGGCGUCGUGAAACGUCUCCGUCUCGAUGGUCUUGAGCCGGAGCUGCUUGGCCUUCUCCUCCGUGAAGCAGCCCGGCGCGAACCGGGAUCGCUGCGGCGGCGGCUUGGACUCCGGUCCGGCCUCGGCCGGCUCGGUGGAUUUGGAGUUGGUGGAGUCAAUGUAGUCCGGUUCAGCGGACCAGCCGAAGAGGGGGCUCCACCACUUGGAGGUGCGGGCCGGGUCGGGCUUGCGGUUGGCGGCGGCGCACGGGGCGGUGAGGGAUGGACGGAAGUGGAUGAGAUUGGUGGCCAUUUUUAGAGAGAGAAAGAGAUGAGAGAGAGAGAGAGAGAGCUUCUUCAAAUGAACGUUUGCGUUGGGGUUGGAGUAAUGUGCCAGUUUGCAGGUUGCGAAUUUAAAGGGGAAGUGUGGGAAAAGUGGAUAAGGACCGACAGUGUUCGUGUUCGUACAAUAAAUAACUCCGGGCACGUGUGAGCAGGGGCCCACUUUGGCUUUUUGAGUUUUGAAUGAACAUUCCUACCGGCUAAUCCGGUCUCCGUUUAGAUUUGGUCUUAGAUGCCUACGGGAUAGUGAAUGGACCGUAAUAGCCUCCUUUUCACUUUUUUUACUUUUUUCUUUUACUGUUGGCCUCUGUGAUCACGGAGUCUUCAAUAUUAUGUACACGGUGUGUAGUUUCACUUAGGGCAUCUCUAAAAAUGGUUGCCAUACCUAAAUUCAUACUUAAAACCCAUAAAAAUUCAUCUCCAACAAUUAAAACUCAUACUCAAUUAUGGGUUCCUACUACACAGACGACCCAAAAUGGGUCGAGUUGCAAGGAGGAAACCCAAAACUGUAGACGCGGGACCCAGAUGGCAACAAAAGGCAGCAGGUGCACGUGAAAGACUGGGUAGCGGCAGGAGCUACACGCGGUGAGCUUGGUCUGUGGAGAACGCGCGCUAAAGACAGAAAAACGGGCAGGCGAGGAGCGCGCGGGAGCGCGAGACGCGCCAAUCACGCGUGAGCGGGAGAUGCACACCUGCGGUUGAACCACGUGAGCUCGCUUCUGACCCUCCAAAGGUCCAAAAACGCUCGGCCCAGAUUGAAUGAUCAUUCAAAUCAUCAGGUCCAGAAAAAAUAGGCCGAAAAUUAAAUAAUUUGAAUGAAAAAAAUUUGGGUAUGAGUAUGGGUUUUGAUAUAAUGGUUGGAGAUGAAAUAUGAGUUUGAAUAGUAAUGGGUUUGGGUAACUCAAAAUAUGGGUAUGGGUUUGAGUAUGACAACCAUUGUUGGAGAUGCCCUUACCUAUGUGGAUAUAAACAGCUAUGAAUAAACCGUGUACUUGUACCGUUAUGUAUACAAGAAUUUUUCGUUCUAGGGUCAGUCUUAUUCUUCAAAUGGGUAGUUUAUAAAUUAAAUUAAAUUAAAUUAUGGUAACAGAAAAAUAGAUGAUGUGUGAUAAAUAAAAUAGCGUGUGCAUAGUAUCAUCAAUCCUCUCGAUUAUUAUAUGAACCAGUCUUCCAUGGACUCGAGUAUAUAUGUAAUUCAUGCAGGGCUUAGUAUAUCCGAGUAUAUGCCAUUGAAUCACUAGCUACUUGAACAAUAUGAAAUUAGUUUUACAAGUUGAAGUAUAAUCUACAAAUUUUCUCCGACGCAUGUACCAUGCUAUCAUUGAAUAUGAUGGAGUACGUCGUCAAACUAUUCUCAAGCGGCAUAACAACCGCCGGUAAAUACAUUUCUCAACCCAGCUAAGACAGCAAGAGAUGAAAAUAUCCCAUGCAGAUGCAGAUGCCAUAUUGAAUAAGUUGUCGUGGACGAUCAUGAAAACCGAAAAAUUGGAGCUUCCCCGAAACCUUGGUCUCGUUCUCUUGACGUUUUCCCCCGACUGACCUUUCCAAGUUUGGAGGAAAGAGGCCAAAGUAUGAUUCAAAAUUGGUACAAAACAGUAGCAUCGUCGAUACAUAAGAGCGAAGAUUCCCCAGAUGCUCUAUGUCGUCCCUGUCCUUCAUUCGUCCGUUUGUCUCCGUCCUAAAACUGCAGAAAGUCGGACGGUAUGUACACGUUCAGAUCAGUCUAUUCAAAAGUCUGAAGAUUCAGAACAUCCUUGGCCCUUGGAUUUUCUGUUGGUGAAUACGACAUGCGCGCACGUUUUUUUGUUCUCUGGUUCAAAAUUCAAAUAUCUCUCUUCGUGUUCGUUUUGGAGCUGUAAAACCUCAAAAUGAAUCCGGCAGAUAAUACAAAGUUACUUCUCGAUCACUGUCGAGGUGGUAGCUAGGGAUCGAACUUUUCAAUUUUGACCGAUGCUAAAUGAGUCAUUGCCACAAGUCCCUCAGCCGCUCAACUUGGAAGCUGAGAACAACGUUGCUUUGUUUUCAACUCUAGUGCAAUGUGGGAUGUCCGCCGAGACUUGACUUGUCUGGAUGGGGAUUUCAUUAGAAGGCCACAAGAUGCAAGGGGCGACCCAAAUAGCUAGGCCUGCAUAGAAUAGAAUGAGGCCCAAAAACAGGUGUCCUUCCAUUAAUUUCCUAGGCCACCAAUAUCACUAGAAAUGUGUAGAAAUUCGGCCCUAGAGGACUAUUUGGGCCCUUCAUGGAUCAUACGAUAUAGAUCAGAUAUAUAUAUUGUAGGCCUUAUUUGAUACUAUAUAGCUCUAUAUAUCCGGACUACUACUCACCUUGUUUCUUUAAGUGAUCCUUGUAUGUUAUUGGCCAUUUAUCUUUGCAUCUCUUAAUCCAGACUUCGGAAUGAUGAAUGGUAAGUCAGUAUGUAUUAGGGAAGAGCUUUCCCAUCGUUCUGUUAUAUCAAGCUGAAUGAAGUUGUACGUACCUCGAUGAAAAAGGAAAGCUAAUCCAGUUGCGAGAAGAAGAUCGAAGUUGUUCAUGGUGAGAAUAGAAACCCUGAGGCAAAUUGUGCGUAACUCGUACAGAGAAUUAGUGCAAUAAUGUGACAGUUAAGUUAAAGCUUGAACAUCAAUGCUAAAGGCAUCACUUGCUUGUUUUGGAAUCACGUACAACUUCGAAAUCUUGACAGAAAGUGUUAACUAAUUGUAUCCCUGUUCAGGUUUUUGAUGAACUCCGCAAGUCACUAAAUCUUCUCUUUCGACCAACUUUGUGUCUAUCAAGCAGUUGUUGCUCCAUCAUAGUUUCCAGUAGUUCAUCACAAAAUAUCAAGGUUGGCUAGACAUGUAUAUAUAUGUCUCAUGUCAUCCAAAUCCAAAACGAAUGUACCACAUGCAUGAAUAGAAGAAUUGCUAUAUACGAACCCAAGCUAUCAGCCAAGCAGUCGAAAGUCAUGCACAGCACAACUAACUGAAGCAUCAGUGUGACGGUGAUGAUCAUGAGUUGCAGUGGUUACAUGCAUGUUGGUUAAUUGAAGAAGCUAACCUAAACUUAUCUCACUGCAUGCAACUUGUGUGGUCCGCUCUCCAAAAUUUCGAGACCACAAUCCCACAUGCAGAGAAAUUUAAGACGUUGAAGAAUUCCUACAGUGACAACUGAUACGACUCCCUCCUCAAGUUGGAAUUAAAGACAUUAAUCUUCUGCAGCAAAGCUUUUGUUAAUUUUUCGGGUCCAUUUCAUAUAGGGUUCGGUUGCUAUAUAUAUUUAUAUGGCAUACAUCAAAUCGUGAGUCGUCCGAUCGUUUAACAAUUUAAAAUUCAAGACGAUUGGACAACUCACGGCUUAAUCUUAAUGUAUGCUAUAUAUAGCAUAGUAGAAAAGUCUUUUCCUAUAAACCUAACAGAAGGGCUUGGCUAAUAUAGUAACCCAGAAUCUCCCCCAUCUCCAAUAAUGCUUCUCAGAUCUUUAUGAAUAUGAAUAUGAAUUAUUAAGGUGGUGGGAGACAUUUAAUCAUUGAUGCCCUCUAUUGGAGCUUUGCAAAGGGUCCAAAGUUAGGUCCCAAAUCGGCAUGUCACUCCUUUUCCUCUAGUUGUUAGUCGCCAUUUCUAGGACCUCUACAGGGCUCCAUGAGCUGACUGGGUUUUGCUUCUUCCAAAUGUCUAGGCCUAUCCCCUUUCACUUUCAGCAACUCAACCACCGACCCAAUUCUCCGUCACUGACCAAGCUUAUGUUGUAAUUUAGCUUACAAGUCAGACUUUAACACUAAUCUAAUUUACCCAACAGUAAACACAAAAGGGGUUAUAGAGAAGCUGUAGUCAUCGCCGGCGACCGUAUCUUUAGCAGCCGGGAUUGGUUUGUGUAACCUAAUUAACCUCCAGACUCGGGGAAACAAAGCAGACCAAUUAUGAUUCAUGUUCAUGAAGAGCUAGCUUUUCUGUGCCAUCAUAGUUUUUAAACUUAUAAAGCCUAACUUAUGAUGGGGGAAGGGGCCUCUACCGCCCUCUAGUACCUAACUGACUUUAAAAUUUACAAGGCAUGAAUCUACGCAAUGCAAUAAACAUGGUCGGCCGCUUCUCAUAAUUGAAAUUCAUUCGAAUCUAGCUAGCUAGCUAGACAUAACUAUAUGCAUGAUCGGUUGUUCCUACCUAGCUAUAGACAAUUAACCUAGCACUGCGCGCUCGCUCUCUUUGAAUUUUAGUACUCAUGCAUGCAUAGUGCACAGUGCCCUUACGGUCAUAUCCCUGCAGCAGAUCCUGCUGCAGAACCUGCAUGCCUCCCCUGCGUAUAUAAUACAUAUACAUACACAAACAUUUCUAACUCUCUACUUUAACAUACACAAAAAUAAGACGAUUGACUAAUUAAUCAUAAUGCUUUUUAAUAUAAAACACAACCUUUUCUAUUGGGGAAGAAAGAAUAGGCUUCAAGAAAGAAAUCAUCUACCCUGAUCAUAAUUUCUUCAAUGACAGAUUGACAGAUGUAAUUACAGGACGUACUACUGCCCGCACACACGUUAAAAUAAGAACGGUCUAUAUUGCAGUCCAUUUUUCCUCAAGAGAUACCAAUCAAGUUUGAAACCCUAGCAUGGAAAUAAUGCAUAUAUGCGAACCUUCAAAUAAUUAAACAGUGGUUGUCCAGAAAAGACUGGUCCAGUUAAAACCCGUGUGCGUACAGAGAUGCAAAGCAAAACUGCGGUACUGGGUUUAGACUCCUUCACGGAAAGACAACCAAAACCCUUUGAAACUUGUUCAAAGCGAACCGCGGACCCAUGAGAUCGAUCAAACUGGGACCAGGGUAGAUACCUCUUUGUGUUCUUUCGACUCAAUUAUCAAACUUAAAUUUUGCCCUAGCUUCUGGCUUUAUCUAUCAAUUCCAAAAGAGAAUCUAAAAACGUACCCUUGUUAAAUUUUGCUUCCCUUUCCUUUUCUGCCUGCUUUGUCCACAUUGAUCUAACAGAUACAACUAUCUUCUACCAUGAAAUCGAUAUGCUGUCAUGGAUGAUGUAAUAUAACAUUUUGGAACAAUUUCGAACACCUAAAGCUAGCUAGAAGUUCAGAAAAAUGCUUCUAAGCUAUCGAUUAAGUUCAACAUUUAGCUAGUUUCUUUAACCCUAAUCUAGAAGUUCAGAAAUAAGUUAGGAGAAUCAAACCUAAAUCUUUUGUUGUUAAUACUUGAACAAGUAAAGCACGUAUUCCAUUAAUUGGAGACGAUUGAUUUGCAUAAAACCACGUACUUAAUUAUACGUAUAAUACAUGUAUUGAAUCUUUGGAACAUAUAUAGUAUCUCACCGAUUCAAUAUACUUCCCUAAGAAAUGGUAGGGCAGGAGUCGAUUUGCCUUUUCUUGAUCACAAUUGAGACAAAACAUGACAAUCGAUCACUUUAAUUUAUUUCUGUGCUGGUCAAAAAUGGGAACCCCGUUAAUCUUUUUGGUAAUCAUCAACAACUUCAUGGAAGCACCAUUAUAUUCAUGAUUUUCACAAUUAAAUUUCGACCUACCACACCCAUCUACCACCUCUUGAUUUUCAAUGGUGUAUGUUCAAUUCCGAUGUCCAAUCCCAAUGGCUGGCGGUAGUGCUUUUCACUUCGUUCAUCGUUAAUCAAUGAGUUUCUUGUUUACUUUCUUAUCAGAGUCAUAGCUAUGUCAAUGACUUCCUUCGAUCACUUGAAAAGAUUUAAAAAACAAAAAACAAAAAGAUUUGUUUCUUUCGCACACUGUGAUGAUCGACAGGAAAUCACAAGGUACCAGACGUGUCGCACAGGCAACGGUGUUAGAGAAUGUUGUAUUAGUUUUGCAACGCUAGGUUUAUACUUUAAACUUUACUUAUAUGUGCCUUCAAAAGUAUCAAAGUGCAAAAUAAAAGAUUUAAAGAGAAAAGUUGAAUCAACGAGUACUCAAAUAAUAUUGCUUUUAUGGUUGGUUGAUGAAGAUGUUGGAGCUGGACUGCUGGAGACUUGGAUCUAGCAAAGCUAACAUCAUAGGGAAAAUGAUUAGUACGUGAAACCUGUGUACCCUAAUACUAAUCAUGUAACACAUGCUUUGAGUACCGGUAAAUAUUGAGUCUUCUACGUACCACAUCGAUUUGGGCAUGUUAUUUCCUGUUUUUCAUCUUUUUAUGUUUUAUAAUAAUUUCUCGUCAUUUUGAUAAUCCAAUUACGAAUUGACAAAUUAUAUGUAUGUUCGUAUUAUGGUAGAGAAAACUUUUCUACUUUAAUUUUCUGCUGAUAUCCUCAUUGGAUGAGUAAGUAAAUAGGAAUCAAGAACUAAGGAUAUAGUAAGAAUAAUUUCUAUUUUUGUAACAGAAUUACAGAACACAAAGAAUCAUUUCCAUAACAAAAUUAGCCGAGUCAAAUAUAUAAGUAUUUUGCUUUUCUCGUUUUAAUUAAUUGAAAACAAUAUUAACAAAAGAAGAAAUUAAUCAAUUGUCUGCUUCAACUUGUAGUGCUCCAUCACUACAGAUCGAUCGCCUAACCAAAUAACCAACAACUAGCUAGCAAGGGUUCAUCAUCAACAACUAGCUAGUCAACCAUUCUAAUUCUAUUUCGUGCGUGCAUGCGUGCGUUGGACUUACCUGGAGAGAAGUGGAGGCAUACGAUGCACCCAUGCAUGUUCCAUAAAUGGUCAUGUUCUUCUUCGUCACCGAUCACGACCCUUAUUUUAGCUAGAGAAAUCGAUAUGGCGGCAGAGAUCUAAGAAUUAAGAACAACAAUCUGGAUCUGCCUGCUACACUUUCUACGUUGAUUCUUACUCAAUAUAGAUAGAUAUCCUUCUUACCAGAACAGGAAACUCAACCACUUCUAUAAUUUUAAGAACAAACAAGUGAAAAUAUAGUCUGUAUGUGGAUAAUUUUAUUUAGUUAGCACAUCUGGACGACUUUGAUUUAAUUUUAUUAAGCAUUUGAUGGCCUGCUUGAAAAAGUAGUCUCAACACGCCUCUGCAUGUGUGGUGAAUUUUCAAGUCUAACACGUGGACAACAUUUGGGGUGACGUGGAGUUGGUGUGUCCGUUCCGAGAAAUUUUUCAAUGCUCCCGAAGGACCACGUGACAAUCUAACGUGGUCCUCCAUUGCCAAUUAAUUUUUGACACGUGGAUUUAUUACAACUAAAAUAUAAACUAAGGUUUUCUAUAUUUUGUGAAAUGAUCGUCUUGGGUUUUUUAUGAGUUCGGCCUAGGGUUUAGGGGUUAGGGUUUAGGGUAUAGGGUUUAGGAUUUAGGGUUUAAAAUAUCAACAAGAAACCCAAAAUGGUCUUUGAAAAAAUCACGAAAAUUGUUUUUCAUCAUGAAAAUUUACAUGUCAAAAUUUAAAUUUGACACGUGGAUUUAUUACAACUAAAAUAUAAACUAAGGUUUUCUAUAUUUUGUGAAAUGAUCGUCUUGGGUUUUUUAUGAGUUCGGCCUAGGGUUUAGGGGUUAGGGGUUAGGGGUUAUGGUUAAGGGUAUAGGGUUUAGGAUUUAGGGUUUAGGGGUUAGAAUUUAAAAUAUUAACAAGAAACUCAAAAUGGUCUUUGACAAAAUCACGAAAAUUGUUUUUCAUCAUGAAAAUUUACAUGUCAAAAUUUAAAUGGAAUUGAGGACCACGUUAGACUGCCACAUGGUCAUUCGGGAGCACUAAAAAAUUCCUCUGGCCGUUACACAUUCACACGUGGACAUGAGUAACCCACUCUAAUAUUAUGGUAAAAUAGUCUGGAGUUCACAUCCAAAACAAAUUGGUAAUGGGUGGAGUGACCCAAACCCUUAUAAACCCACAUAUUUGGAUUGAUAUCUCAACACGCCCCCUCACAUGUGGUGAAAUUUCAAGCCUAACACAUGGACACCAUUUGGGUGACGUGGAGUGUGUGUGACCAUUAGGCUUCACACAUGGAAUGGGUAACCUGCUUUGAUAAAGUAGUCUGAGAUUCAUAUCCAAAACCAAUUGACAAUGGAUAAAGAGACCCAAACCCUUAUAAACCCACAUAUAAGGUCCUAUAUUCCCGAUGUGAGAUUAAUAUCUCAACAUUGGUAUGCCAAUAUGUCAUCGAUGAAUAUACAUACUGGCAUUGCUAAACAAUAUGGAGAAAUGCAUAAUUACAACUUGAGAUAUGUUAAAAAGUCGAUUACAUAUAUCUGUAUCAAAGUUGACGAAAUUAAUCAAUUUUAAUCAAAUCGAUUGAAAAUCUGAAAGUGAUCGAUGCACGCAGACGACAAACUUCCAUGGCCUCCACAUGAGAUGACGAGUAUUUUGGCUGAUAAUGGAGAUUAUUAAACUAAAUCUAGCAUAAUUGUCCACGACAAUUUGGUUUAUUAAUUAGUUAUAUAAAUCUCUACUUGAGUCGUUCGAUUCUUAUAAUAAGCUAGAUCUUAUUAUGGAUGGAUAAGUUCUUAUAUAAUAUAUAAUUGUUGAAUUUGAACCUUUGCACCACAUUAAAAUGAUGAUCUGCAUUCUUUGAUAGAUAAAUAAUCCGAAGUUAUUUUCAUGCAAGUACAAGAAGUUUGAAGAUUCCAGAGGUUUUUGGUAGAGACAUAUCUAACUUCACUGUUUUUAGAAUCUAGGAUAAUCACAUACACAAAACACCAAUUCAUUCCAGUGUAUUGAACCAAAUGACUAAACCAAGUCUGAUAGAUAAUACCGAAGUACUAUUGCUCGGAUGGGCGAGCAGUACUAUUUCUCCAACUCGAUCAUUCUUGUCAUUUCCGUUCAAUUACAUCGAUAGCUUUGGAAACCCUAGCAAAACACAGAAUGAAUAUUUUUUUUUCUAUUAAAAAAUAAUUCUUUGCAUUAUUUUCUGAGAUACUUUUGACAGUCGAUUUUGACUCAUCUAUUCACAAUUAUAUAUAUUAUAAAAAAAAAAUCUGAAUUAUAUAUAGAUGCAUAAGUUCAUCAUAUUGUACUUUGCUUGGACGAGGACAGCACUCUGUUAUAUUGCAUAUAUCCCAAGUUAAUUAUCCUACUCAUCAACGAAAUUAUACUUCUCUAUAUUGUUCUUAGAGCAGUCGUAAAUGGAGUCGCAGGCAUGUUUUCCCAAAUGUAUAGUCACGAGUCACGACUGUUCUUUCUCCUAGUUUUAAACUUAACUGUUUCACCUCAUGGAUUCAACUCAUUCAAGUAAUUGAUAAUUUGACAUAAAUAAAGUUAUAUAUACACAAUUGUCUUCCCGUAUAUAGCUAGUUUCUUGAAAUUUCCAAUAUGUGACUAUAGCAUUGAGACGUUUAACCCAUCGCUCUCUCUAGCAGUUGCUUGGCCUUUGUAGACAUGUCUCUACAUGCAGGUGCGUUGGUUUGUUCUUGCAUUUUUUUUGUUUUCUCUUAUAUAUUCUAACAUUUCAUCUUGGUAAAUUUUUUAAUCGCAGCGGGUAUGCAUGUUUGGUUCCCUUUCUAUGUAGUGAAAGACUGAAAGCAAUGGAUUUCAGACUUCAAUGUAGAGCAGACAUGGAUCUCUUUCCUAAACAAGAGUUUAGAAAAAUAAUGGAAAAAAAAAUACAAGAGGAAGUACUUUUCUACUAUACUAUUUUUUUUAAAACUUUUUAUUAAUAACUCACACACCUUACAUAUAUCAGUGAGAUUUGAACCCAUGACCUCAAAGUUGUCAAUUUAACAUCUUAACCAACCAAGCCACGGCUCACCGACAACUUUUCUACUAUACAUGUGUGUAUAACAUAUAUCAAGCCGUGAGCCGUAUGAUCGUCUUGAAUUUUAAAUUGCUAAAUGAUCGGACAACUCACAGCUUGAUGUAUGUCAUACAAAUGUGUAUAACAGCCAAACCCCAAGAGCAAACUUUGUAAUCUUGCCCAUUUGUUCUGCGUCCAUAGGCCUUUUCACUAGUAGUUAUUGACAAAGUCACAAAACCAUAGUUGGUGUAUUUUUUUUUUUCAAUCAAAAACGUAAAAGGUGAAUGUAGUGAUAAACUUUUGUAUCUUACAUUUAUCAUAUGGUUUCACAGCACUUUCAUCAUUUCGUGCAAAUUCGAUAGAAAUUAUAAACUCUACGUACAUAUGAGCGUAGAAAAUAAAGUUACAAUUCAUUUAAAAUUUGCAUUAAACAUUGUCGCAUUUUCUAUCGAACAUGCAAAACAAUUGUCGAUAACAAAGCUACAAAUGCAUCUACACAUGUUUUUUCUUUUAUUAAAUCCCUCAAUUCACCCCUCUUAUAUAUAUUAAGUGAUAUUUGAACUCAUAAUAUCUGUUAAGCUAGCUAACCAACAGAUUACGACUCACCAAAAACUCUUAAGUAGUCUACUAGUCUUACGACACGAAACUUCCUUUUGGCCCUAAAAUGGUUAUGUCACCCCCGUCCUCCGUUACAACAACCUUAGCCCAUAGAAAGCCUCAUUAAUCAUGCAAACCUUACGUCACCUCCAUCCUACACUCACACAAUUACCUCCUUUGCCACCCCGACUUUCAACUCUCAAUUGUUUAUUGGACGGCCAAGGGCAUUCGGCGAUGCAGACAAAAGUUCACAAAACUCUAAAUCAUAGGGUCAAAACAGUAAAAACACCAGCAAAAGACCUCUAUAUAUUAGAGUAUUAGACACCCGGGUCCGAUAUCGAAACCAACCGUAAAAAGCCAUGUCUAUGUUGGCACCGAGCUCAGACGUAUAGCCGAGCCCGAACCAAACUAUAAGAUCCCCCGUAUUAUUAUAUAUAUAGCAAAAUUAAAAUAUUUCAAGGACUCUCUAGGAGAGACCAAGCACCUUAUUUAUAGCGAUCUCUUUUUUUUGAUACGUAUUUAUAGCGAUCUCUGGGGGCUUUAAACCCCAGUGGAGGCACAGCUAGCCCUCUCUUGUUUCUCUAAACUCAAAGGCUAGCUAGAAACAACAAUCCCAAGAGACAAAAACCAAGUUUGCAAUGGCGUUCAGUGGUGUUUCAAUGUGCGGCCAAGAACAGCUGGACUUGUCUAGAGACGGCAGCCACUACAGCCUCUCCACCGGAAUACUGCCCUCUCUCGGCGCUAGGUCUAGUAACCGGAGAGUCAAGCUCGGCCGGUUUAUAGUCUCGCCGUACGACCGGCGUUACAGGUACGCCUUUGUUUUCAAUCCGAACACUUACGUCGAGAAAGGAAUCCAUUUAUAUUUGGUUUGUUAUUAAGUAUUUUUCUAUGUAGUAAUAUAUUUCAAGGUUGGCUGCAUAAUUGGUUUGACUACACUAGUUUACUGGGAUUAAUUUUUAAUGGUUUCCUCUUCUUCUGGGUUUGUGUUUUCGGAGAAGAACGGCAUUGAAAACUCGGUGACCGUUUUGCAUGCUUUCGUGGUUAUACUGAAAGCGUUACAACUGGUGUUUCGUUUUUCUGUGGUCAUAUUUGUCUUCUUCUUUUCGUUUUGUUGGAGUUACAGUCUCUUUGUUACUCUGCGUUCUUGUUGAUUCUUCUUCCAUUGUUAUCGUUUUCCGGCGAGGAAAGACGACGUUGAAUCUUGAGGGUUGCCUUUUUCAGUGAUCAAAAUUCAAAAGGAUUCAUUUGUUUCUGCUUUUGCCUUUUGCAGAUUUUAAUUUAUUUUUCUUUAAAGGUGUACGUGUUAAUGCUCUGUGAUAAACGUACGUGGUGCUUAAUAAAAAGCAUUUCACUGUAAAAUUCUAGGGGUCAAAAGUUUCAUUCUUGCAUUUCUUUGGAUUCAGGGUUUGCUUUUCAUAUGAGAUUCCAGGUCUGUGACUGCUAUUCCAAACUGAAACUGACAUAUCGAAUUUGGCACUUAUAUGACAUUCUGAUUUCUUGUUUGGCUUCGAAAUAAAAGAAAAGGGUUUUUCAAGUCAGAGGUGGAGGCCUCAAAUCACUCUUUUUGACUUGAAUGGAAAGCAAUCAGCUCGGUUUCAUUUGUUGAUUUCUUGGCAAAUUCUGAAUUAGAUGCAAAAGGAAACGAAGUCAAGUUUCGUUUCGGCUUGUCAGCGAACCAUGACAUGAUGAUUUGAAUUCUGCAUUAGUUAACACCUGUACCUAUGUUCUGUGAGUAAAAUGGAAGUCUCUUAUUGCUAAAAUCGGCUCAGAUUGAAUUGUUUCUUGCAGGAUUUGGGAGACAUUUCUUGUUGUUCUGGUCAUCUACACUGCUUGGGUCUCCCCCUUCGAAUUUGGCUUUCUUAAGAAACCACAAGGACCCCUCGCCAUUAUUGACAACAUUGUCAAUGGCUUCUUUGCUAUAGAUAUUGUUCUUACAUUCUUUGUGGCUUACCUGGAUAAGGCUACAUAUCUACUUGUUGACGAUCAAAAGCAGAUUGCUUGGAAGUACGCAAGUACUUGGUUGAUCUUUGAUGUCAUUUCCACAAUUCCUUCUGAACUUGCUAGGAAGAUCUCCCCUAAACCUUUCAGGUCUUAUGGCUUUUUCAACAUGCUCCGGCUUUGGCGUCUUAGAAGAGUUAGUGCUCUAUUUUCCAGGUACAGGGUUUUCUUAAAUGUAUCUGCGGAUUGGAAAGUGCAUAUUUCCUGUGUACUAAUUGUGCAUGAUUCUGUUUUAACAGAUUGGAGAAAGAUAGGAACUAUAACUACUUUUGGGUUCGUUGUGCAAAGCUUAUUUGUGUAAGUAAUUCUGAUGGUUUUGGGGUUGUUAUACUGAAGAAAUUGCAAUUCUUAUGCAGUGCCAUCUUAAUGGGAUUCGGAUGAUCUUUCUGUAGGUCACCCUUUUUGCGGUUCACAGUGCUGGAUGCUUCUAUUACCUUCUUGCAGCGCGUUACCGCGACCCCAGUAACACCUGGAUUGGAAAAUCAAUGGAAGACUUUCUUCAUCAAAGUAUAUGGAUUCGAUACGUGACUUCAGUUUAUUGGUCUAUCACUACACUCACAACAGUUGGCUAUGGAGAUUUGCAUCCUGUCAAUACAAGGGAGAUGAUCUUUGACAUAUUCUACAUGCUUUUCAACCUUGGAUUGACAUCAUACUUGAUUGGAAAUAUGACCAACUUGGUUGUCCAUGGGACUAGUCGAACACGAAAAUUUGUUAGUAAACUCAAUUGCUUUCUUUUUAGAUUUGGUAGAAGAAAAUAAACAAAAUGUGAACUCACAGUUCAUCAUUUUUUCACAGAGGGAUACCAUACAAGCUGCCUCCAGUUUUGCACAGAGGAACCAACUGCCUGUUCGCCUGCAGGAUCAAAUGCUUGCUCAUUUGUGUCUGAAGUUCAGGACAGAUGCAGAGGGACUCCAGCAACAAGAGACUCUUGAUUCACUUCCUAAAGCCAUCCGCUCAAGUAUCUCACAUUAUCUGUUUUACUCUCUUGUCGAUAAGGUGUACUUGUUUCGUGGGGUUUCAAAUGACUUGCUUUUUCAGUUGGUAAGUUCAAACCGUUCUACAAAUUUCCAUUGAAUGCCCGUCUUACAGUGAACUUUUUAAUAUGUUCUGUUAGAUGUUCAGCUGAUUCUUCUUUUUUCCCUUCUCAAUCCAAAGGUCUCAGAGAUGAAAGCCGAGUACUUUCCUCCCAAAGAAGACAUAAUAUUGCAGAAUGAAGCACCUACAGAUUUCUACAUACUUGUAACUGGUGCUGCGGUAAUAAUUGAUCUUUUGUUUUCCUUUCAAUUUCACAGGCAUUAUUCGCUUUCCUGCUCAUUCUAUUAUAGUUUACUUUCUGAAUAAUGUACUUAUUGUUUGAAUUUCUUAACAGGAUUUAGUGGUACUCAAGAAUGGAGCUGAACAGGUAAACUCCAAUCUGAUCAUGAUGAACAUGUUUCUACCUUUUAAUAGAUUUGGCUUCCUUGAUGGUGAGGAGUCUGACUUUCUAUUUUAACUAAUUGCAGGUCAUUGGUGAGGCAAAAACUGGUGAUCUCAUUGGUGAAAUUGGGGUACUUUGUUAUAGGCCACAGCUCUUUACAGUAAGGACCAAAAGAUUGAGUCAGCUACUCCGGCUCAACAGAACCAAAUUUUUAAGCAUAGUGCAAGCUAAUGUUGGAGAUGGAACUAUAAUAAUGAAUAACCUCCUCGAGGUUUGUUAACAUGAUAUAACCUCUUAAAAUUUCCUUGGUUUAUAUUUUGAAAGGAUUUUGACAUGCUACACUUUCUCAAUGGGGCAGCGUUUGAAAGAGACGUCCAAGGAUCCAUAUAUGGAGGGAGUUUUGUUGGAGACUGAGAACAUGCUAGCUCGUGGUAGAUUGGAUCUACCUCUCAGUCUAUGCUUUGCAGCAAUGAGAGGAGAUGACUUGCUGUUGCAUCAGUUGUUGAGACGGGGUUUGGAUCCGAAUGAAUCCGACAACAAUGGAAGAACAGCUCUGGUAUGUGAAAUCUUCUGCUACUGAUUUUACUUUUUCUUACUACGCAAUAUUCUGAAUAUGAUUUUCUAACAUUAGCUUUCACAUUUACUGUGUAAAACCAGCAUAUAGCUGCAUCCCAAGGAAGUGAGAACUGUGUGCUUCUACUAUUGGACUAUGGAGCACUUCCUAACAGUAGAGGUAAGACCAAGGGCUAUUAUAGUUAAGUUAAACCAUCAUUAUUGACUUCAUCAGUAAGAAGGUUGAUCAUAUUAUAUGCAUUUGGUUUAAUAAAUUCAUAUAUUAAACACAAGAGAUGUUAUCAAUUUAGAGAACUUUGCCUUGUAGUGAACUAGUCCAGUUUGUGGACUUGGGAUGUUGCUUGCAUCAGUUGCAUGGUUUUUUUUUUUAAGAGUCCAAUAAGAUACAUAAUUUAAAACUAUUUCAUUGGUAUGAAAUUCCAGAACAGAUUCAGUUUUUCUUAGUCAUGUUGCAGGCUUGCAGCUGUGAUUAUUCAUACAUUUCUUUUAGUGCAUUUUCUUAUUGUGUGUGGGAUCCAAGUCCCAAGUGUUGACCAUUGGGAAUUGGCCUAACUUGAUUACCUGAUUUUGUUCCCUUCUCAUACAUGACUCUAGUUUUUCUUUCCCUUAAGAGUAAGUUAGCAUAUCAUGUCUGUUGAGUGUUGACUUUCCUAAUCAGACUACCAACUAUAUCACUCAAUUAUUUGCUUCAUUAUGUUAAUUUUAUUAUAGUAUACUAGAUCAUAGUCGUCAUCAUCAUAUAUGUUAGAAAAACCAGUUGACUUGAUAACAUGAUCCAAAAACAGCUUCUUCAUGCCUUUUAAUACACAUGAGUGCGCGGGAGGCAUGCAUCUGUGCCUCACUUCUUGCUUGGUUAGUAAUAUAAAGCCUGUUUGAGUCUCCUGGGGAUCUGGCAUGGUUAUCUCAUCCCAGUUUAUUUAGUAUUAUCUUAAGAUGGAAUCCCCCGUCCUCUAUAUUUUAUCACAACAUGCAAGCAAGAUUGCAAGGAUGAAAGAUACAUCUUCAUAGGGAAAGCUUUCAUGUUACUUCUUGAUUGUGAUUCAAUCUCGUGGUUGUGCAAAUAGAUCUUUGUGUAAGAACUAAGCUUUGUGACAUGAUUUUCCUACACUGCCGACUUAUAAGUUGUUAAUUCGUAUUGUUUAGGGUGAAAUAAGUCGAUGCAUAAUGCCUUCUGUUGUUGAAAGAGUUGCUUAUCUAUGUUGACCACAUGAAAUCGAUUGCAAUGCUAACAUGAACUGAUGAACAUGUAAUGUUUCCACUUGCUGGAGAUUGAACAAAGAACUUAACUGUGUUCUAUGAUUUACAGACUCGGAGGGAAAUGUACCACUGUGGGAGGCGAUACAGAAGGAUCAUGAAACGAUUGCGAAAUUGCUCGUAGACAAUGGUGCAACUUUGAAUGCUGGGGAUGUUGGUCAUUUCGCUUGCAUUGCUACUGAGGAAAACAGGUUGGACUUGCUCAAAGAAAUAGUUCGACAUGGAGGUGAUGUCACAACUCCUAGAGGCAAUGGAACCACGGCUCUCCAUGUCGCAGUGUCCGAAGACAACAUUGAAAUUGUGAAAUUCCUUGUGGAAAAGGGGGCUGAUAUCGACAAGCCAGACCUCCAUGGCUGGACUGCAAGAACUCUAGCUGACCAGCAAGGACAUGAAGAGAUAAAAAGCCUUUUUCAAUCGAGAAAAGAGACCAAAGAUCAAUCUGUUAUAAGCAUUCCUACUGAGCAAAAGACUGGAAUUCGCUUCCUUGGGAGAUUUACAAGUGAGCCAAACAUCCAUCCUGCCUCCCAGGAAGGCUCAUUUAUAGUACCAGAUGGGGGAUCAUUGGGUCGAAGCCGCCCAAGGCGUAGGACUAACAACUUUCAUAACUCACUUUUCGGGAUGAUGUCAGCUGCACACACAGGGGAGAAGGAUUUGUUCUUCUCUGUCAGGAAAACCACCGAAACCACUCCUAAGGGUACUGGGAAUAAUCCUAACCCUGCUAGAGUGACAAUUAGUUGCCCUGAAAAGGGUGAAGUUUCAGGGAAACUUGUAUUACUUCCUGACAGUUUUGAGGAGUUACUGGAGGUUGGUGCCAAGAAAUUUGGUCUCACUCCGGCUAAAGUUCUGUGCAAAGAUGGAGGAGCUGAAAUCGACGAUAUAGAGGUGAUUAGAGACGGUGAUCAUCUUAUUUUUGUCAGUGGCCAAGAUGAAUCAGAACCUCAAGAAUGUAAUGGAGAAGAUACUCCAACUAAAAAAGAUGUGUAGUACAUGCAUAGGAAGUCCAUAUUUGAAUCUCUCUUCCUACGCUUGGAUGUGCAAAAACCAUUCUUACAGCAAAUGUACGUAGUUUUGUCCCAAGAGAAAACUUCUUGGCGACAAUCACCCCAGUAAAGUCGUUGUACUAAUCUGAACUCUUUACCGACAACAUAUUCCACGACGGUUGUUUUAGAGGUGUCAUGGUCAGCCCAAAUGUACCAUUGCCACGGGCUUGGCAACACUGCUCAACUGAAGUUGUGUAAAGUGUAAAUAUCUCCAACUUUGUUCCUGCUACGAAAUUACAUUUCAGAUGAUACACUAUAAUGUACAACUAUGUAAAAAUUAAAGCAGUAGAACGAGCUACGCCUCAAAAUUGUACAACUAGUUUGAGGCUUGAAUAUCAUUUUCCAGAUUUUGACGAGACCAACACAAUUUACAGCCUUGCGGUUACUAUAGGACACUUCUCUCCCAAAAACGUCAUUUAUGACCACUGUUGGUCAGUUUCCUAGAGCAGGAUGACAUUUUAAUGAAUACAAGUGAGACUAUCCUUUCCCUUGUAUGCUCCUUUAUAAUGUUUUUUUUUUUUGGAGAGAUGUUCCUUUAUAAUGUUACUCUUACCAAGCAUAAGUAUACAUCAGGGAUGUCAAAUUCUGAUACAUUAAACACUCGAAAGGCAAUUUGAAACUCCUCGUCUAUCACUACAGUAACUUGAGCAUUUUCAGACGCUCUUCAUGUUCAGGAUCCAACUUUGGUGGGGUAUAACAACCAUGAAGAUCCUCCACUACGUACUCCUGCAAAACGUUGAAAUUAUAAGAACUCUUCGUUUUCUGAAUGAUACAUUAUCCAAAAUAGUUUUCAGAUUAUAAGAAUAUACUUCUAAGUUCAUGGAAAACUAAUCACUGUGUGCAACUAACCUUUGUGAGUUCCUUUUUGGUCAGGAUAUGGUAAUGUCUCUGCCAGAUUCUCUGAAUAGCCAUAGUAGCAGCCAGGAAACCAUAAGCUAUGCCAAGAAUAGCAAAGAUGACAACAAAAACAAUAACCAGGGCAAAGCAUGCCUCCAUAGACGCAGGGAAACAAUCCAAUAUUCCCCAUCCAUAACAACAGUUCUGGCAGCCAGCCAUCCGUGGGUCAUUGCUAUUGAAAGAUGAACAGUGUACUAUAAGCCCAAAAAAUCCAAGCAGCACAAAAAAGGCAAUGACACCUGGUAACAAGUGCAUAAAGCAGCAAUUCAGUACAAGUCAAUAGCUGCAAGAGAUUAAGAACAAAUGCAAAAUCAUAACCCUUCUCAUACAAAACUACUAGAAACAGAACCUUGACACUGCUGAUGAGUAAUACAGCUGACAAUUAGCUUCCACAGAUUCGAGUAUUAAUAAGGAUGAAAUGCAAAAGGAAGAGAAGUGCUUGUGCAUGAGAGGGUUUGCCAUAAGCAUUAGGUGGCAGUAGCACAAAGAAUCAUGGACAUUAAGGUCUUGAGAACACAGUUAUUGUUAAUAGUACUCAGCAAUAUCCAAAAUAUUACUUCAAACACAGGGGUUGUUGUAUGCGUAUGGAAAGAAACUAAUAUCAUGAUUGUUUCUUGUCAGAAACCCCUACUUCCCCUCAAGAUCUACCAGUCUGCCACUUAUGAUGCAGAAUAUGAAGUAUAACAAUUUCCUUUAAUAUGAUUAUUUCUGAUAAAUAAGCAUUUAGAACAUAAACAACUCAACCCUGAUUGGUUAAUUAGAUACUAGAGACUUGUGAGCUCCACAUUAUUGACACAUUUCAAUGAAGCAAGGAAAACUACACCACAUUAUUUUUAAACAACAGUUUUUAGGUGUAAGAGUUUACCUAUGCAAUAGUAAAAUGGUAUAGGGUGCUUUGACAAGAUACGAUCCCAACCAUCACUGAACGAAUUCCUGAAGCCACCAUCUUUGUCCAUCAGAUAUGCAAAGCCACCAAUUGCGGCAAUUACCUGGAAAGUAAAGAAGAAUGCUUAUCGUAAGAAUCUUGACAGUAUAUGGAAGUAAUAGAUUGAUACAAUCCAGUAUAAACCAUUUCAUGUAACAUAAUGCAAAAGACUAUCACUUACUGUUUGUACAGCCACAAAUACAAGUAUAACAUCCCUUGCCACAAAAAUUCUGAAUUUCAUUUUACGCCAAGUGUUGUCCUCAUACGAUUCAACUCGAAGAUGAAAUUGGGCUUUGCAAGUGGUGCAGUGCGAGAAAGCAAAUCCUUCCUAGAAAGAGAAAAGGCGAAGUUCCGGGGGAAUUAAGUUCAGGCAAUUACAACAUUGAAUUGCCAGUGACAAAAGAGUCACAAAAUGACAUACUCUAAAGAGAAAGGUUAUUUACCUUAACCGAGCGCCAGUGAUCAAGACAGGAUAUGUGCACAAACUGCUGGGUGCCUUUGCACAAGCACGGCGAUAUCAACUCAUCACCUGUAAAAUUACAAAGGUCGAAAGUAAGCAAUAAAACCUUUGCAUCUGCCUACGAAGCAACGAGUGCUAGAGAUACACAUAACCAUUAACCACAGUAUACAUGAAACUUCUAUUCAACCCUGAAUUCAGCUAAACUUAAUACCUACAAAGAAUCUUAUAUCCAACAAACAUAUAAAACAUAACCAGAAUCACACUCAUUUCUGCCCUUAUAUCUUCGGAUACAACACGAUGUAAUGUUUCACCAACAAAACAAACACAAUAACAGCAUGAUCAGACCAAAAUGCCACAUCUUUAAAACCCGAAAAAUUCAACCUGCAUCGGAAUCGCUUUCGAGGCAAAUGCGACAACAAGCAACAGAGGAGCCAUUCUCAAUGUCUUCAUUUCUAAUCUCACUGGAGCUCGCCGGAGCCGACGACUCGUCGUCGUCGUCGUGGCUGCUCUGUAGCAGAGGGUCCAAGUCACUAGGAUCAUUCGGUUCCCGUUCCCCUACUACUACUGGUUCCAGCUGCACUUCCCGAUUCAUUGAUCAAACCCUAAAAUAAACCCCCAAAAUCACCGAUCAAAAACCUUCAAAUUAUACAGAAAUUUCUCACAGAACAAAAUUGAAUUUGAAAAUUGAAUGAUCAAUUAAACUUGAUUUUUGUUUUAAUUUCAGAAAUUAAAAAAAGUAGUACCUGGAGUUGUGCAGAGAAACGAUGAAUGGAGAAAAUCGGAGACAGGAGAAUUGAGGAAGACGAAGAUUGAGAAAAGAGCGAUACUUCCUAUACGACGUGCCGUCCGCGCCUUUGUUAAUCAUUGGCAUAUUUUACUAUAUUGGGCAAGUAGGAUGGGCCUUAUUGUUGGAGGAUGUUGGGCCUCUCGACCCAACUCGGUCUCCUGGUAUCCCGCCAAAACUCCUACUCGAGUCAGGAAAACGACGUCUUAAGCUCAGAAUGGCCUCCAAUCCAUAAAACGAAGUUUCUCAUAGCUAUGGCCAAACCAGCUCAGUAUGCCACGUCGUUUAUAACACGUCACUAAUUAAUGAUUUCUCUAAUCGUGAUCUUGAGCAUUCUUAAUUUAGAUCGGUCACAUUCAUGAAUUACAUUCUUAAUUUAGUUUCUUACUCGAGUCAUAAUUAGUCUACCUGAAUUUGUAUCGUAAAUCUUAUCUGAAUCUAUAUCCUACAAUUUAUUCUUUAUGAUUUACUUAUGAUUCUAUGUCCUUUUCUAUAUUCUAUAUCCUAUUUAUAUAUAUUCUUUUUGAAAUUUUUGAGAAGAGAAGCUUGUCGAGGGAGAUUUCUUGAGUUGAUUGCAAGCUUAAUUAAACGAUAAUAAUAUACAGAAAAGGUUCGUUGGAUUCAAUGAAAGGUGGUGAUAUCCCAAAAGAAUUGUUAGUUGAAAUCCUUUGUCGACUGCCGAGCGCUGAAGCUGCUUGUCAAUGUAAGCUUGUUUCAAAGAGUUGGUGCACUCUCAUAUCGAAGCCUUACUUCAUUGGACGCUUUCUGUGGAUCCAAAGAGCGAGAAAAGCAAACCGCAGUGCUUGGUACUAUAAUAAACGAAUUUGGGGAUGCACUCCUUGCCACAGAACUGACAGAAGUAGUGUUCAGUGUUCACGGCCCAGGAGGCCAGGAGGGUGUGGUUUUCAAGUUUUGACAUGUUUUCCAAUAUAGGGUAGCAUAUAUAUUGAGCUCAAUAUGAUUCAAAAUAACGCUAAAACAGUGUUUUGUAUCUGCUUUUUUAUUCAUUACAGAUUGAGAAUUUAGCAUUUGAUGAAAUGAUUCCUGGCAUAUGUCUCUGCCAUCUACUCAUGCAUGCCCUUCUCCUAGUUCUAUUUCAAUUACACAUCUGCAGCUGCCCUCUAGCAUUACAGAAAUCCUCAGAUGGUUCCAGUAUUCACAAGCACAAAUUGAAGCAGGGCAAGGACGUGUUGAAUACGGCGGACCAUAUAUACUAGUCUGGGGUGACUCUGGUCCCUUUGCUAUAUGGAAUGCCUCUAAAGUCUAAAGUCAUGGCCUGAGUCUUUGGCCUUUAUGACUGCUUCCUACUACUCACUUUCAACGGACCCAUGCAUGCCUAUAAUUUCUACGUUCCCAGUUCAAUUCCAGACAUGAUUGAUUUCUCUACUGCAACAGCAUGGACGUCGACAUUGACACAGACAUUAUUGGAUAUUAAUUCGUGCCUCAUUUCAAAUCCUGGAAAUAAGCUCAUGAAAAAGCUCGAGCUCUAUAACCUUCCUAUAUAUUUUCCAAGAUGAAUAUAUAAUCUCAACCAUGUGCUGAUCAUCAUACUAAAGAAUAAUAAUCUCUCAACCAACUCGAUUAUGAUAUAUUACGCAAAUUAAUAUCGAAUUUGAAUUAUUUGUUAAUAUUAAAGAGUUUGAACAUCAACGUUUCAUGAGUUUGAAUUCUAUAUAUGAUUACCAAACAUAAGUUGACCAGAAGCUUCCAAGGAGGCUGAGGCAGUAUCCAGGUAACUUCAGUUCGUGAAGGCCUAUGAAAAGUAUAUAUCAUACAACUAGAGUGCACGCAUCUAUUUGUAUACACGAAAAUAUGAAAAUGACAUAAUCUGCUUCUUCGUUGAAGAUAAAAAUUCUCUAUCUGUAGAUUAAUAAACGUACAAGUGCCAAUUCCAAAAGCAUUUCUAGAAUGUGUAAUUACAUAUUACAUUGACAAGAAAAAAAACUAACACAUUUUCACCGCGCGCCAUGGAUCGGCUCCAGCUAGCUGUCUUCUGUUGAUGAAUAUAUGAUACACAGUCCAAACCCAAUAAAUCACACCCUGCAUACAAUACAUAUAUAUGAAAAAAUCGAAUAUUUGAUCAUAUUAGGUGAAACUCAAUGAAGGUGAGGUGAUCAAUCAAUUAAAUUAGCUUACUGUUGGAACUCAAUGUUGACGGAAGUAGCCGAUGAGUUGGCAAUAGCAGCGAAAGCCGUCUGCGACAACACCAUGGUGGUGCCGGCCGCAGAAGGCUGUGAAGUAACGCUGGCAGCAUACUCCACAAUCCUGAUCUGAAUGGUCUUGUCCGGAACACACGUCCCCGUUUGAGCUGCGCUAAUGCAUCUCACCAAGUACUGCCUCCCACAUGACGCUCCGUUGUCCCAUAUUCCAUCUCCGGCCGCCGCAAACAAGUUACUUGACGGAAACUGUGACGAGUCGCUUCCAUAACAGUCGGUGGCUAAAAGGGAACAAUAUUUGUGAUAAGGGUAAUGUCCAUAAGAACAUAAAUGGUUCACAUGAAGAUGGGUAAAGAUGUAACUUACGUAAAUAUGGGGGAGCAUACUGAGCAGCAGUGCCAACGUCGGCGUUUGAUGUUUGGAAAAGCUGUGGAAAUAAGAGCACGAGGAGUAAUGAAAGGUAAGGCAGAUAUUGUGGAUGAGUUGUGAUCAUCUUUUUCUCUGCAGAAAAGGGUGUUUGAGAUUUGGAAGAUAAGCUCUGGGAUGCAAGGAGAUUUUUGUAUUCUAUAUUAUUCCAAGUCAACGAAAAUUGGGUAUCAUUUUUAUCUAGAAUUGACGGCUAGGCCAACUCAUAACGCGGGUUCGGCAGUUAAACGUAAGCCACAUGGUAUGAACUCUAUCUAGAACUCAUCUAACACGUUUACUUUUUGUUUCUGGUGUGUCGUAGACUACUGUAAUAUUCGACUCAUAAUAGACUAAUUGUUACAUAAACGAGUAGACUAUUGUAAUGUUCGACUCACAAUAGACUAAUUGUUACAUAAACGAGUUGGUAUCCGUUACCUAAGCAAGAAAGGUCUGAAAAUCUAGAUCAGAUGAUCUAAUCAAUGAAUUGAUAACCAUUACUUAAGCAGGAAAGGUCUGAAGAUCUAGAUAAGAUGAUCUAAUUCGGUGAGGGGAUUGGAGUAUAGCUACGUCAUGCUUUGCUUCCUAUGAGGGUCACAGUUAUAUAAUUACAAUAUAAACUGCAAAAUUCAAUGAUCCUCCACCGAAUAAAUAUGACUUUUGCAGUUCAUAAUUCAAUGCCUUCUCCAUUCAUGAUCCAACUAACCAGAUCACAUUUGACAUUUUCCAAUGAUUGCGGUAUCCAGAAGUUCACCAGAGGAGGAAAGUGAAUUUGAAGCUUAAUAUGGUGUAGACAUACACAAGUCUAAACACUGAAAUUUGUACCAAAAGGAUCCCAAACAAACAAAGGAGCUUUGGUGCGUUUACAACAGUUAAAAAACGCAGAGUAAAGCAGUAAUAAGCGUCCGCGUAAGAACAUCUCACUUCCACAGCUUGCGCAGGGACAUGUUCUUCUCAGUCUCCUUCUUCAUAACCUUGGCAACUGCCAUCUCAAAGUCUUCUUGGGUUACAUGCACUCUCCUCUCCCUCAGUGCAAACAUUCCUGCUUCAGUACAUACAGCCUGCGAGAAGGAAAACAAGAUAACAUGGUUAGAUCUUAUAUGUCCAGACAAAAUACCAACUUCCUAAUGACUCCCCCAGUAAGAAGAAAACACAACAUUACCUUCAACUCAGCACCAGAUGCGCCAUUCAUUUUCUCGGCAAUCUUCUUCAGGUCUAUUCCACGCAUUAAAUUCAUUCUUCUUGAAUGGAUUUUCAGGAUGUCCCAACGAGACUCUUCGUUAGGGUUGGGAAAUUCAAUUUUCCUGUCUAUGCGUCCUGGCCUCAGCAGGGCUUGAUCCAAAAUAUCAAUACGAUUUGUAGCCAUCAAAACCUGAGAUAUAAUGGUGGUGGUUAGAAUGAAGGAUAAAAUUUAGAAAGGUGAAUGUCAUAAUUUUCGAAAGCCACAUGAUGCAUCGUGUACCUUGAUUUUGUUUGAGGCCUCAAAUCCAUCCAGUUGAUUAAGAAGCUCAAGCAUAGUCCGCUGCACCUCACUGUCACCAUUGCCACUGCCAGAUUCCAUACGAGCAGAUCCAAUACUAUCGAUUUCAUCCAUAAAGAUGAUAGAUGGAGCAUGUUCCCUGUAUGAAUGUAGAAGUAAAAAAGUGAGAAAACGGUAGAUGAUAUAAUGUGAAGAAUGUUAAGGGCUGAAGAGCAGCAAAUUAUUAAUUGAUUAAAGAUCCUAUCCACAAAUCAUCUUAAAGAAAGGUUGUUAUAUUUAUUUUAGAAUGGGUCUGAGUAAAUGGCCAUUCUUGAUUCUUCUUUGUGGGGCAGCAACGGACAUAGACGUAGAGAAACAUCCCUAAUUCUAUCCAGAUCAGCAUAGAUUGAUCAUACUAGGAGUACUAUACAAUACAAAUUGCAAUAGAAAGCUUAUUCAACAAAUUAGAGCCCCAUUAUAAAACUCUAGGAUCUACUGUAGUUCAUUUAAAAAGCAAACAGAAUUCAGAAACCAAGCAGCAUUAUUCACAUGCCAACAAUGCAAACAUAUGGAAGAGUAGGAUGAUUAACAAUAGAUCAACACAAACCUGGCCAUGACGAAAAGUUCUCUAACCAUUCGGGAACCUUCCCCAAUGUAUUUCUGAACCAACUCUGAACCAGAGACCCUGAUGAAAGUACAGUCGGUAUGAUGAGCCACAGCCCUAGCCAACAAGGUUUUUCCAGUGCCGGGGGGACCAUAAAGCAGGACUCCCUGUUGAAUCAAACAAAGAGUGCCAUAGGAUUAGUGACUACGGGUAAGCAAAUAAUAAAAAAAAACCAAUAAAUUGAAAACGUAAUUAUACCUUUGGCUGAGCUAUUCCAAGACUUUCGAACAAUUCAGGAUGUUUAAUUGGAAGUUCAAUGACCUGCAAAAAUGAACAUAUAUCAUUUAGACAAGUUGAAGAAUGUCCUGAGUAUUAUCACAUAGAGACAAGCCACACUCGACAAAUACAGCUAGCAGAGAAUCUAAAUUCAAGCCAAAUUUGAAACACGGACUGACGUUGACCAGUGAAUCUUCUUCCUCAAGAAGGAUACAAUCUUAUCACCUACUAGAAGAGCUCUUAGUUAUCUAAGUAAUGUAACAUCUAUAAGAAGAUAAGUAACAGUUGGAAUAUGAAAACAACUUAAUCCUUCUAAUAACAUAUAAACCAAAAUGCAGUUCAAAGAAAAGAAAAUAAGUCAAAGUUGAACUCUGGAAGAGAGAUGCUGUCAAGAUAUUGAUGCAUAUGGGAUUGUGGAUUAAAUGAAAAGAGGGGGGAGAAGAAUAAGAAAGAUAAAGGCAAAACUGAAAAGGGUAUGCCUGCAAGUUAUGUUUAAUCUGAUCUUUUAUAUUCAUCCAGACAAUUUUUGUAAGAAUGAAGACAUGACAAGUAAUUAGAUAUAUGAGUUUAGCUUAUACCAUGAGACCUAUACAGGUAGAUAACCGGAAAUGAAAGCCAGGUGGCAUAACAGUACAAAAGUAAUACAACAAAAACGCAAACUAAAAUAGACACAAGUAUCGUGCAAAGAAUCUAAAUUCAAGAGUAAGAAUGUGCAGAAGAAAACCUCUUUGAUUUCUUUAAUCUGCUGAUCCAGACCACCAAUCAUAUCAUAUGUAGAAUCUGGAACCUUCUCCACUUUCAUCAGAUUGACAAGAGGAUCAACUUUGCUUGGCAGUACUAAAUGAAGAACAUAGCUGUCAUUGCGGAGAGCCACACGUGUAGAUGGUGUGAUCUUUGUAAUAUCAAUGUUCUUAUCGAUAUCAACCACAUAUUUCCCUUCCGGAUGAACCUGAAAACAAAGCAGGUCAAAAAUUUGUCAGAUGUUGUUAUCGACUUGCAGACAGAAUGUUAACUAUUUCACUGUUUGUUAAAACACACAGCCACUUACCUUAACCAAAACCUUGUUCUUUCCCAUGACGUUGACAACCUCACCGACAUAGGACCCAGGCUCCUGAAGAAGCUGCAGUUCUUCCCUGAGCAUUCUCACUGUUCAAAACACAUAAACAAUCAAUCCAAUAACUCAGUUAAGUAACACACUAACAUACCAAAUUAAGCAAAAUCUAUAUAACCAAAGAUCCCAAAAGGUACAACAUCUUCUAGAAUAAUUCUAGUGCACUUGUUUACUCAUCUUGUUCACCAAGAUUUACACUUUACCCCGAAAUCAAAUAUUUGCCCUAAUUUUAUCCCAACAGAAAGCAGAAGCCAGCACCUUUUCACAUUCAAUCAACAAUUGCUAAGAACCCCAUCAAACUAUAUCAGCUAGCCCUAAACCCAAACCAAACUAAACCUAAAAUUACCCUAAAUUGAGAACCCAGUACCAAUCGGAACAAACCCUAACCAGUCCAAUUGAAAUUCCUAUAACCAAUAACCAGUUACUAGGGUUAGGGAUUCGAAAAAUUGAAUUCCCAAUUGGAAUUAGAGCCUCACCUCUGGAAUUGAGCUCGUUACGCUGAGCCUCGAGUCGAUUGAGAUUGUGGGUCUUCUGGCGGACCUGGAGCUGGAGCUCGUGAAUGUGUUGGAGGUAGUACGGCCGGAGCCCAUCGCCGAGUUUGGAGGCGGCGAGCUUGGACGAGCAGGUCUCCUCCGGCACGGCAUCGAUGGGCUUGGUCUCGGCGGCGACUGCAGCCAUCGUGAUCAAGCAAAGCCCUAAACUUUGGAAUCGGAAUUUGUGAGAUUGGCGAUUUGGGGGUGUGAGGAGUUUGAGAGAAGAGAGAUGUCGUGUGUGUCGUUUUGAGUUGGAAAACAAAGGUGAGGGGAGGUGUGUUUUAUUUAUGGGGGAGGGUUUCUUUUUGGUUAAGUUAGCUUUGUAAGGGUAGGAGAUGGAUUAGAGGAUAAUGGGCACAUAUUAGGAAUUACUGCAAAUUUUAGGAUUUCUGUUCUUUUGUUUAAAUUGAAUUGCUAUUUUCUUAAGGAAGUUGCAAACAUGGAAUCCUUGUUGUGAGAUUAGUUAUUGGGGGGACAAUAAAAAUGAUAAUAUUUCAAAGGAAAAUACUUGUGUCCGGACUAGUAUAUACGUGCGUGUCCGGACUCUCUGUUAUUUACACACUUUUGGUAAUGUAAAUCAUAAUCUUAAGUGUUCAAAAAUUUGAUUAACUAAUAAAUAUCAUCUCUGUAAAAUAUCAGUGUAAAAAAAAUCGUUUGCUUAGCCGAAUGAAUCAAAUAAAUUGACGGCUAAUCAUGAGGCUGUUAACUUUCACCAUAAGUAUUCAUUUGUUUAAUACAAUCGGGUGAGCAAACGAAUUUUGUUUACAUUAAUUUUUCACAGAGAUAAUCUUUAUUGGUUAAUCCAACUUUCGAACUGUUAAAAUUAUGAUUUACAUUGUCGAAAGUAUGUAAAUAACAGAGAAUCCGGAUGUACACGUACAUACUAGUCCACAAGUAUUUUUCUAUUUCAAAUUAGUGACACUCAAGAGACGAGGGAGAUUACUAGUUGACGAGGUUUAAGGUGAUAGUUUCAUGUGUCUCAUCUUAGAUUUCGACUAAGUUUCAUUAUUAUUCUCAAUGUUCACAGCUUUUAAAUUGCAUAUAGCUUUAAUAUGUGAAUCAUACACAUUUUCUAGUGUGUCGAUUGGUGAACAACACUCUUACAGAUUUCAUUAAAGAAUCGUUGCUCAUUUCAUUAUAGAAUAACAUGUAUCACUUCUCUUUGAAUCAUUUCGACUGUCGGCAUAAGUUUCAUUCUUUUUACAUGCUUCACAAUAAUAGUAUGAACAAGUAGACAAUUUAAGAGACCUGAACUGAAGGAGUUUGGGCUGCAUUGGACUACCUAAGAAAGCCCAUUGUUCAAUAGAAGGAAGGCCCAAGAGUGGAGCCUAUAUAAUUGAGAGCAUUGCCAAACAUGGUCUUUGCGCCUAGCCCUCUGUGUGAGUCUGUUCCUCUUUUUAACAUUUUUCUUUUAGAUUUCCAAAUUAGGUUUUCUCCUCUCUCUCUGUAAUUUCUCCUCACUAUUAGAUUUUGAUUCCACCAUUGUUGUUUUGAGGGUUAGGAGGUGUGGAUUUGUGUUUCAAACUCCUUAUUGAUAUUUCGUCUUCCCACCUGUUUCCAAAUACCGCCAAAUUUUUCUAUCUCCGCAUAAAAAAAUCCCCAAAUUGAGAAGAACAAAAGCUUUGAUUUUUAGGGCAAUCUAACACAAUUAGGGUUAGGGUUUCAAUCUCAUAAGUACAGAUCACGAAAAAGAAAGCAUCUUUUUUUAGUUUUUGUUUUUGGGCUUUCGAUUAGAUAUGGAGAAGAAGAAGGUGGCUGUGCCUCUGGUUUGCCACGGCCAUUCCCGGCCGGUGGUGGAUCUGUUUUACAGUCCGGUCACUCCCGAUGGCUUCUUCCUCAUCAGUGCCAGCAAGGGUAUGUGUUCCGAUAUCGAAAGAUUCGAUCUUUUUUCGUGUGUUUGGAUUGAAUUACAUGCUUUGGGUGGUUCUAUUUUACUCUGUACAAUGCUGCGUAUAUGUAUAUGUGUAUGAUUGGGGUUUUGUUUCGUGAUAACUUAUGUAGAUUGGUUUGAAAUCGUAAUGGAGGGAUGUUUUGACUAGUCUUUGUGAUAGUAAGUUAUGGUAGAUUAAGUAAACUUGCAAUGGGAUAUGUUCUUAGGAUAUAUAGUCCAGCUGAAAGGAAAUGUUUUGGAUCAGUGGUUUCAUGUCACGUUUAGAAACCUUAGAGCUACUAGAAGUUGAACAUUUAUUGCACUAUCAGUGUACUCAACAGUAGUGAUUUUGGGAUAUUGACGAAUAAGGUGUAUUGAGUAUAUGAGGUGUUAAGAUCAUUGUUGUGUUGUUGCUCUUUAAUGGGUUGCGAUUGGAAAUCUUCUUUAAUCUGUGUAAGUUAUUUAGAUAGCGAACUGAUAUAGAAGUUUUUGAUGCUUGUGUUGUUAGAUUCUAGUCCCAUGCUGAGAAAUGGUGAGACUGGAGAUUGGAUUGGAACCUUCGAAGGACAUAAGGGUGCAGUCUGGAGCUGCUGUUUGGAUACUAAUGCCCUAAGGGCUGCCACCGCUUCCGCAGAUUUCUCUGCGUAUGGAUUUAUCUUUUGAUUUCCCAGAUUUCUCUGCGAGUUGAAAAUGAAAACCUUAAUUCUGUUUCUUAAGUAUGUUAUUUUUGCAUGCAGUAAAGUUUGGGAUGCGUUAACAGGAGAUGUUCUACACUCUUUUGAACAUAAGCACAUUGUUCGAGCAUGUGCGUUUUCAGAGGUAAGCUCCUGUUCUUGACCUAACAGCUCUGUAGAAGUGAAAUAAACUUACAGAGUAAUCAUACAAACUGUGCUCUUUCCAUUUUCUGUAGUGUUAUCUGCUUGAAAUGUCAUGCUAAAUGUGAUAAUGUUGAAUAUUAUGUGUAAUCGACUGUGUUAAAUUCAUUUGGAGUAGCUAUCUGCCUACCUCUAAUUUGAAAAUGAUUUCCUAGUGGUUUAUGUGCUAUAUUAAGAGGGAUUCUAAUAUAGUGGUAGACUUUGAAUAUUUCUUUGGGGCUUAGUUGUUUGUUACACAUCAGCCACUAAAGUUCAUGAUAAUAUUUUGAAUCCAUCAUAGUUGGUGCAGGUUUUAAUUUCAACAGUAUAUGAGAUUUUAUGCUGGAGUUCUCCUAUAUGCCAUGCCUUUUCUUAUUUUCUUGUAUCAUAAUUCUAUUCUCUUGAUUUGGUAAUAGGAUACACACCUUUUGUUAACUGGAGGAGUAGAGAAAGUUAUCCGUAUAUACGACUUGAACAGACCAGAUGCCCCUCCAAGAGAAGUGGACAAAUCCCCUGGUUCAGUUAGAACUGCUGCAUGGCUCCACAGUGAUCAGACCAUAUUAAGUUCUUGCACUGAUAUGGGCGGUGUCAGGUAUACAUUUAUAUGAAAAUAAUUGAUGUUAUGAGGACUCAAUUGUUCUAUAUUAAGUUGCACAUAUUUCGUACUAUAAAGUGACGGGUAGUGAUUGACUGAUUGGUGAAUGUGCAGAUUGUGGGAUGUAAGAACUGGGAAAAUAGUUCAAACACUUGAUACCAAGUCAUCUGUAACAAGCUCUGAAGUCAGUCAAGAUGGUCGAUACAUCACCACUGCUGAUGGGUCUACAGUCAAGUUCUGGGAUGCAAAUUAGUAAGUUAUGAGUUAGAAUGUUCAGUAUUUUUCAGAGUUUCUGCUCAGUUAGCUUAUGCCUUUUACUUGCUUUCAGCUUUGGGUUGGUGAAGAGCUACAACAUGCCUUGCACAGUAGAAUCAGUGUCCCUGGAACCCAAGUUUGGGAAUAAGUUCAUUGCUGGUGGAGAAGACAUGUGGGUUCAUGUUUUCGAUUUCCAUACUGGUGAUGAGAUCGGUAAGUAAACUAUAACAAAAUACUUUUCUUAUUGAAUCUUCUUUGGGGUGGAUGUUGUGUGUUAAUGUCCUUGGAUUUUAUGCUGUAUUUCCAAUGCUGAAUCUUUACUCAAGCUAUUGUAUCUUGAUGCAGCCUGCAACAAGGGUCACCACGGUCCAGUGCACUGCGUUCGAUUUUCUCCAGGAGGAGAGUCCUACGCCUCUGGGUCCGAAGACGGCACCAUCCGAAUAUGGCAGACAGGCCCUUUGACUAAUGAAGAAAGUGAGGCGCAGGCAGCAAAUGGAGCUAUCGGAAAGGUGAAGCCACCCGUGGAAGAGGUCUCUCGAAAGAUUGAGGGCUUCCAAAUCUCCGACGAGGGCAAGUCCAAAGAGAAGGAAGAGGCACCGUCAGCAGCCACAGCAUCGGUGAAUGUGUGACUUUGUUCAGAGUGUCUGUCCAGAGAGUGUAUUAGCCGUUGCCCGGCACAAGUUCAGAUCUAUUCCUGGUUAAAGUACUACUUGGGUUACAUAGACAGAUGGAAACAAAUUUUUUGUACAACUUUCACUUCUGCAUUGUCGAGAUAUAUAGACUAUGUUCUUGUUACUGCUUGUUCAGACUACCUUAUAAAUGGAACUUUUCAGCUUCUUCUGGUUUAUAUUUCCUUCUAAGAAUAUGGAUCAUAACAUAUCAACAUAGCCUAAAAAUCAAUCCUUAAUUCCUAACUAGCUGACAAAGGAAGAGCAGAAUGCCAUGCUUGAAAUUAGGAUUGUAGUCUCAUUUGUGACAAUCCUAUGUGUUCAUAAUUUAAAGUUGGGCAAAUGUCAAUUUAGUACUAAUUUUAAUCAUUCAUUGUCAAAGUUGGGCAAAUGUCAAUUUAGUACUAUUCCAACGACAAUAUGUUUUAUGAGCCUAUUUGAAACCUUUUUAUGCUUAAAUAGUCAAAUUUUUAUUAAAGUCUAUUAGACUAUUUUAACAAAUUAUAUUAUUUUGAGACUAUAUUACUUCCACCGCUUAAACAUGCAUUGAGAGAAAAGACUUCACCGGAACCUCAGACUUUGGCAACUGGCCACCAGACUCCUGUCAUCGGAAUUUCUCCGGUCACCGGUAACUUGGUUACUAACCCCAGUAACUUGAUUACUGAUCCCCAAUAACUCAUAUAUUUCCCAGUCGCCGGAUUUCGGUCAUCGUAACUCGGUUACUGACCCCUAAUAAUUAGUUAGUGACGGCCUUGAACUAUUACAAUGUCACAAGUGGUUUUUUAGUAUCUUCUAAUACCUCAAUUACCAAUUAUCUUAAAAAUAAAAUCGUUUACAUCCCACCAAACUGGGAAACAUGGAAGAAGAAAUUUAUGUCCAUAGCCACUAGCUUUGUGAUAUCACACACUACAAUCACGUAUAUAUACCCACAAAAUGAGCUUCGCAUUGGGAUAUUGUCACCUACAUGUUGUGACUUGUGACUUGUGUGGAACUGUUUCGGCAUGACCACUUCCCUCUUUCAUACCCUGCCUUCUACUUUGGAUACCAUCAUAAGGCGAAACCAAAAAUUUUAAUCGAAGGGAGCUAAUGUUAGCUUGUGCUGUCAAGUUCAUCAUUUCAUAUAAAGCUUAAUUUUCUACAACCAUGACUUCGAUGACUCUAACUCUAUGAAUGUGUAGCUGUUUUAAUUUUUAUAUAUUUGUAUUUUGAAGAGAUAAUUAGCUGUUUUUGAAAGCUAUACUAUGGAGAUUGUGAGGUCGCUGCAACCAAUUUUCUGGGCAAAAGGUUCUUAAACUGCCUUUCCGCUUCAAGUCAUUUAGGCCAUUUGCUGAGGUGCACUUAUUCUAAACUAAUACUAUAUUAAUCAUUGGAGCUCAGUUUAAAUUCAUUAGAAUGUAUAUGGCUCUCUUUGUAAACCAAACAUUCACAAGUAACAAUUUUACGAUCAACAUUGUCAUGUGGUGGUUCAGGUCAAUAACAACACUGACAUGAGACUCGUACUAGAAGAUGGAUGGAUCGGCUUCAUUCUCAAUUUUCAUGCCAUAUACAUGCAAAUGCAUUUUAAGGUUGUUAGCCAUAGCUAGUACUGCACUACAAUAAUUGAUAUAGCUACCUGAUAACAGCAAAGCCACUGUGGAAUACAUCGUGUUUCCAAUUGGGUCAGAUUAUCAGUCACUACUGAACACGUUUAAUUUGCAUCUUUCGCCCAUUUCCUCACCAAUUCAGGAGACUUGACUUGUUUACAUCGUUUUGAGAAAUUAAAAUGUUUCUCACGCUCGCACAUAAAACAAGAUUCAUGUCAUAUCGAUUUACUGUAGGAGAUGAAUAUCAAAUAGUCGAUGGAUUCAUUGAACUAUUUGACGACUCGAUUUUCAUGACACAUAUAUGCAUGUGGCGGUCGCUAGUACUUGUACCUUUCUUGGUCUGGCUUAUUGAGCUCUUGUAGACAUUUUACUAUAAAUACCAAAGAAACGGAAGCAUUUCAACUCAUACUACUACCCAGCCACUUAAUCAAACCUCUCAUAUAAUUUAGCCACAUUGAACUAUGUCUCUCACCUCCGUCAUUUUAGCUUCCCAAUCCCCUCAAACCCUGAAUAAUGCCGAUACUCGACGUUCGGCUAAAUACCAUCCCAGUAUUUGGGGAGAUCGGUUUCUGUCUUAUAACAACACUAUGGUUUGUACAUCCUCGACAUUUAGCAUACAUCUGUUACAUUUUGUUAUCUGCAUGUCUGAGCCUUAUCGAUGUAUGUAUUAAUUUGUUUCUUUAACUGGCUUGUAUGUAGGAAACUAACAUGCAAGGUAAGCAACAAGUAAUCCAACAACUGAAGGAAGAAGUGAAGAGGAUGCUGAUGGCUCCGCCGGUUGAAACUGGUUUGGGAAAACUGGAGUUGAUUGAUGACAUUCAACGCUUAGGCGUGUCUUACCACUUCGAAUACGAGAUUGACCAAACUAUGCAGCAAAUUCACGAAAACCUUAAUGGCACCUAUGAUGAUGAUGACUUGCACACUUGUGCUCUUCGUUUUCGCUUGCUAAGGCAGCAUGGUUAUAAUGUUUCUUGUGGUAAUUGAGAUCUCGACAAUCCUAUUCAUUCAUUUUAUUUUGUUUUAAAUAAGGCUAAUUUUGAUGCAUUGGCAUAUGAAUAAUUAAGCAGAUAUGUUCAACAAGUUCAAAGAUUGUGAUGGGAAAUUCGACGAAUCGCUUCACCACGAUGUAGCAGGACUCCAAAGCUUGUACGAAGCCACACAUCUUAGGGUGCGAGGAGAGGAUUUUCUAGAAGAAGCACUAGCCUUCACAACCACACAUCUACAGUCGGCAGCAAAUCGUUUGAGCCCCCCGCUUUCGAAACAAGUAAGGCAUGCCUUGAAUCAGCCACUUCGGAAGGGCUUACCGAGGCUAGAAGCGAGGCACUACAUGUCUCUUCACCAGGAACUGCAUGGAUCACGUAACCAUGUUUUGCUGAGAUUUGCAAAGCUGGAUUUCAACCUGCUCCAACAAGUGCAUCAGAAAGAACUAAGUGAUAUUGCAAGGUUGAUACUAUCUGUUACCACACACAUUAGAUAGGCACCAGACAUGAAAAUUAACGUUACAUUUUUUCUCCAAUUAAUUAGAUAAAUAUGUGUGAUCAUCACUAAUUAUGUGAUUCAUCAGGUGGUGGAAGAAGUUGGACUUUGCUAGCAAGCUUCCUUUUGCAAGAGACAGAGUGAUUGAGUGCUACUUCUGGAUUUUGGGUGUCUACUUUGAACCCAAGUAUUACUUUGCUAGGAGAACCCUUACCAAAGUUAUUGCCAUGACAUCCAUUAUUGAUGACAUUUACGAUGUGUAUGGCACUCUUGAAGAACUAGAUCUCUUUACUAGAGCAAUUGAGAGGUUUGAAAUUGAUAUAUAUUUUUCUUCCCUUAUAUUAUAUUCUCAAUUUAUUCCGGACUUAAGCUUCACCACUUACCAUCGCCGUUCGUCUUCUUAUUUGCAGAUGGGACAUCUCAGCCAUGGAUGUACUGCCGGAGUAUAUGAAAUUCUGUUACGAGGCACUCUUAGAUGUUUAUGCUGAAGCAGAACAGGGGCUUGCAAGCGAGGGAAAAUCAUACCGUAUCGAUUAUGCAAAAGAAGCGGUAAUUAGUUAAUUAAGCCUCAAUUUUGCGUUUAGUAUUGUGAUUCCAAAGGUCGUUGAAGGUUAAGUAACAGUUGAUUUGCUGCAUAUAUGUCAUAGAUGAAGAGACAAGUUAGGGCAUACCAUGCUGAAGCCAAAUGGUUCCACAACAACUACACACCAACAAUGGACGAAUACAUGGAAGUAGCCCUCGUCACUUCAGCCUACUCAAUGCUAGCAACCACAUCCUUUGUUGGAAUGGGAGAUAUUGUUACUAAAGACUCUUUCGAGUGGAUCUUCAGUGACCCUAAGAUGGUAAAGGCUUCAGCAGUAGUUUGCAGACUCAUGGAUGACAUUGUAUCCCACAAGGUACUUGAAUUUGCUGCAGUAGAAAUUAUAUAUCUUAAAACACUUCCUUAGCUAAUUCUGACCUUAAUGUUCUUGGCAUGGCUAUACAGUUUGAGCAAAAGAGAGGACAUGUUGCUUCGGCCGUGGAAUGCUACAUGAUACAAUACGGUGCGACAGAAGAAGAAACCAUAAUCGAAUUUCGAAAACAAGUGAGUGAUGCAUGGAAGGACAUAAAUGAAGAGUGCCUCCACCCUACCUCUGUCAACAUGCCUCUCUUGAUGCGAGUUCUGAAUCUCACACGCGUGAUAGAUGUACUGUACAAGUCUGAAGAUGGCUACACUCAUGCUGGAACCAUACUCAAAGAUUUUGUAGCAUCUCUACUGGUAGAUCCUGUGACUGUAUAAGUGAAAACUGGGAACCUUUGUUUUAGUUCUUACAAGAUGUUUGAACUUAGUAUUGGAGUUGCAGGAGUGUAAUGUCAAAAGCAAUCCUUGUAAUCCCAACCUUUGUACGUUGGGAUCUAAUAUGUGGGUCUUAUUUUUUCAGUUGCAACUUUGAUAGUUCAUCUAAUAACGGAAAAGAAAUUCAAAGUCAUUUUGAUAAAGUAGUCUGGGGUUCACAUCCAAAACCAAUUGGCCAUGGGUGGAGUGGCCUAAACCCUUAUAAAUUCACAGGCAAGGUCCCAUAUUCCCGAUGUGGGAUUCAUAUCUCAACACAUUUUCUUUGAAUACGAACCUUUGACUUUGACAGAACAAUACGAACUCGAGCUUGUCCACGCUGAAAUCCUCCGUUGUCCACCUGCAAAACUCAAGUUAUUUUUCAUGUGUGGACUUAUUGUUGUCAGCAUGUACUUUUUCUGAGUUGGUCUUGAUUAAGUUCAUUUGGAAAUGGAAAAAUAGAAUAAGAGAUUCCGUGUAAGCAUAAGAGCUUAUGGACCACCAAAGCAUACUAGGAUAUGUAGUAAUUGGUUUUGAAUAAGAACUUAACAAGUGAGAAUAGAUAUGGAUAUGGAUCUUAGUAAAUAAACUAGACAAUAGAUCCAGCCGCGCCCUGCUGUGAUUCAAUAAUUCGAUUACUUCGGUCACUGGUUCAUAAAGAGUUCAUUCGAAAUUGUGUUUACUUUUGUUUACCUUUCCUAUACAAAUUUCAUCUACUGAUAUCCGUAGGAAAAACAGACUUGUUAGAAUCUAAAAUUAAGAUUCUCAAAAUGACUGGAGAGACUGUACCACAUGUCAAUGAAAUAAACAACUCAAAUCUCAUCAAAACCAUUUAAAUCAAGGCCAUGUUAGUCUCUUAAAAAAGAAUUUGAUCACUUGUCUUGCUAUUUGUUUAUAUGUUGAAGCAAAAUUUACGAUUAAGUUACGAAUGCUUAUCUAAGACCCUAAAACAUGGUUACUGCCAACACAAACUAACAUAUUCAAAAGAGCAUAUCAAAUGGUAGCUGCACAUUAGAAUUUGAGGGCUGAUCUACUUGUAAAUUUCAGUUCACUAAGUAUUCAAAUCCCUAGUAUUUUGGAAAAAUGCAUCUGAAAAGCCAAGAAUAAAAACCUAUCAAAAAACUUGAUAGAAGGAGAGGGCAAUGACCUCAAAAUAAGGGUAGAAUCCCACUCUCACCAUUGACUGAACUCUUGGGAUAGUAGAUUCUCACUGAGCUUUCUACUUUGUGACUGCUACUCCAUAUUCAACCUCCAUUCUGCAAAUUCAUGAGCGACUUUCAUAUGUUCUUGCUGCAGAGAAUAAUUGAGUUUAUAGUUAAAAUCAGAGUGACCAAGAAGUCGAUAAGGACAACAUAAUAAUUUUCUAAUGAAAAAAGGAUGUUUACCUUAGCAUUUUACUCUCAGAGGGAUCCUUUUCCUCCAUAAUUUGGAGAAGACCUUGCCACCAAACCAGCUCAGUUGCCAUUAGCUACAGUAACAGAAUCACAUUCCAAUGCUCCCAAUUCUAAGCAGAUGUUAAUGGAUAAAAGCAGUCGUCCACCAGCACUGACAAACAUGCAUACAAAUAGAAUAAGGGCAAGAAAAAAAAAGUCAAACAGCGAAUUCCAGCCAUCACAUUCUUAAACUCCCUUUUAACAAAAUGACCACCUUUUCCCCUCAAUCAAUACCUAAGACCAAAAUCAUGUAAUUUUCUACGGUAUGUGAUACCACCACAAAACAUAAAUCUAAAUACCUUGAUGUCAAUAUAAGCUACUGUUCAAUAAAUGAGGCUGCAGCUGCCAACCGAAAUAGAACCAACCACACAGCAAGUAGCAUACCAACAAAUACUACAAUCACAGGCACACAAAUUAAAAAUUCAUAAAACAUAAAUAUCCUUUAGGUAACCAAACAUGAAAUACAAAUGUCACAAAACAGAGAUUUAGGAUCAUUGCCAGAAACAAAAAUCAUGUAAAAAACAAUCACAGAACACAACUUGCAGACAGAAUACCAACACAUACAACAGAUGGAUCGCAUCUUUUAGGAUCCUCAACAUGUAUAACCCAAUUUAUCAUUACCCAGAAACAAAAAGCGUCACUGCACCGUACCACCACAACAGUUAAUAGCUACAAAAACCUUUAGGUUCUAAUAAGCCAAUUUUGUUCUCAAUAGACAAUUAGAACAUGACGUCGCUAUGCUUCCAUAGUUCCAAAUGCAUAAAGUAUGCCAGGAGAACAUCCCAACUUGAAUUUUGUGGCCACAAAAUUUAGCGAAGAGAAAAAACUGCUAGCUUUCUAUAUACACACACACAACAUCAGGUUAUGCAUAUAAUCGCUUGCCAAUCAAAAAUUGUAGAAGAAAUUUUGCUAAAAUUGUAAGGAGGUGUGUAUGCCUUAGUAUAAUAAGGAACCCGACACACUUGACCAUAAAGCAUAAGCUCACAUCAGAUUCCAGAAACGCAAACAAUCCAUUGACAGAACAAUUGUUAUAUAAAUGUACAAAGAUAUCACCCACUGCUGAAAAGAUAACAACUGAACUUUGGUAUUAUAUUCAAUAUUUGAAUGUACUGGCAACUUCACAUGCAUCCCAUCUCUUUUCAUUUCAUUGUUAACCUUUAAUUUCCUACAAACCAUGAAACCAUAACGAAAGCAUGGAUGGUAGCAAAAUAACUUAUUGAUGAGCACCGAAGAUCAGAUGCUCACCACGAUUUAUCUAGCUUAUCGAAGAAGUACAAACCUUCCAGAUCAGUAAUACACACAUAGAAGAAUAACUCCACAAAAUUUCAAGUCAAAACGGAUUCUUACAUCCUAAUCAAACUCGAGUUCAAAACAGCAACACUGCAUAACAUAGACACAAUUUCAGCAUAGAGCACUCAACUUCAGAAAAUCACUACAAAGCGCCUACCCUAUCAAAUAGUAUCAAACUUUCUAGAUCAAGAGUUCACAUAUGGAAGAAAAAGAGUACAAAGUUUCAGAGCAAAUGGAGUCCUAAAUCUUGAUCAAAAUCAGACUCAAAAACAGCUGCACACAUAACACGAAUACAAUUUCAAACAUGUGAACAAAGUACAAUGAAGAAAGAUGUAUACACUGUUCCUUGUCCAACCCAUUUUGCCCCGCAGCAUAAUAGGAAAGCCAUGUGCAGUACUUUUUAGUUUGGAUAAGUUUAUGCCACACAUCAUAAUCCUUUUAUUUUAAGGAUCCUCUUCAUCGAUGUAGAAUCAUGUAUCAAUUCAAUCCAAUUCGAUCAAUUCAAUCUUAUUAGUGUUUAACAUGCAUCCACAUCCACAUCAAAGCCAAAAAUUGAAACCUUGAAAUGAAUAAUGAACCCCUCCUCUUCAUUGAUGUAGAAUCGUUGAGCUUCUGAAGCUCAUAACCUGCAAAAUCACCUUGUUCUUGUUGCCAAACCCAAAUUAAUUUUCAUCAGUCCCUCUCUAUCAGUAAGACACCGUAGUGGAAAGAAAAACAGUCGCACAGUGCGACGAAAAAUAGUAUGUUAAAUCCUCAUUGGACUAAUUGGAUAUGGUCAACUUAACCUUUUGGAUCAGAAUACAAAUAGAACACAAAAACCAUGGGUCGGUGGUAUUGUAAAUUGAAAGAAAAUAGAGGGGUAUAUAAGUCAAAGUGGGGGUGAAUAAGUACCCAAUGUAUCUAACCAUCCAUCCAUCCAAACCAUUAUUUUUUCUCUCUCUAAAAAUAUCUGGUUUUCUCUCUCUAGAGAGGUCUCUGUAAAUCGUCUGAAUCAAAAAGAUCAAAUCUUUGGGUUUAGUUUUUUUUUUUUUUUUCGCGGGAAGAGAUGUCAGGUAAAGGCGCCAAGGGUUUGAUUCAUGGCAAAGGAGCCAGCAACAGCAAAGAUAAGGACAAGAAGAAACCCACCUCCCGAUCCUCACGAGCUGGCCUUCAGGUGAUUACCUUUGCUUCUUUGUUCUUGUUUUUUCUUGAUUUUGGGAUUUUAGGGUUUCGAAUUUGAUUGUUGAGGUUGAGUUUGGGGGGUUUAAUUUGGUAAAGAUUGGAACUUUUUUUGGUUUUGGUAUUGGGUUUUGGUUUGUUUUGGUGAUGAGAAAGCGAAUUAGAAUACCCACAUGGGUUUGGGAACUUAAAAGAUUUAGUUUUUACGGAUGAAUAAUAGUUGUUGAAUUGAGAGUUGAUUUGGAUCGUUUUGGAAGGGCAUGAUUUUGUGUUUUUUCCUUAAACCAUGUUUGUUAGGAGAACCAUAAUCCGAUUGAAGAGUUUGAACUUGAUAGAGAUUUGAUAGAUAGAUACAUUGGAGGGGUGAAUUUUGAAGUUUGAAGUGUCUCGCUCCUCUGGAACAUGCUCUAUUCUAGAUUGUUGUUUACAUUAUGAAUUUUCAGGGUAUAACUGUUUCGAUAAGAUUGUGGAUGUCUAGAAGACUAGAAUAGACUAUGCUUGCUCUAUGUGUCUUGGUAAACAUGAUUGAGUCUUCCUACUCAUAGUAAACAGUUUAAAGUUUCUAAAAGUCCUACCUGAAUCUGUUAGAGAAGUACCAGCUAUACAAUAGAAAUAAUUUCGGUAUAUGAUGUUGAUUACAUAAGUUGUUGGAAUGAUGAUAAACCUACUUAUUUAUAUGAUGUUAGAGACGGAGGAUCCUAAUUAGAUACCUGCAAUCUCCCAAUUAUUAACUUUCAUGAAUAGACUCUCUAGUGGUGAGGGAACGAAGGGUUUGAAUGUAAGAAAGUAGAAACUUCUUAAGACUUUCAUUUAAAAACAUAGCUUCAGCCGUAUGUUAUGAACUUCCAAAGUGUUUCUCUGUCUCACUUUUUGUCCAUUAUUUUCAAGUCAGUUUAUGGACUAUACUAGAGUUGUUGAAUUUCUGCCAUCUACUAAUUCUGUGGUGACAAAUUUCUAGUUCCCGGUGGGUCGUAUCCACCGUCUCCUGAAGCAAAGGACCACAGCUAAUGGGAGAGUGGGAGCGACUGCUGCAGUUUAUUCUGCAGCUAUCUUGGAGUAUCUAACUGCUGAAGUUUUAGAGUUGGCAGGCAAUGCCAGCAAAGAUCUGAAGGUGAAGCGUAUCACUCCCAGGCAUUUGCAGCUUGCAAUCCGUGGUGACGAAGAACUUGAUACUCUGAUAAAAGGUACCAUUGCUGGUGGAGGUGUCAUCCCUCACAUUCACAAGUCACUUAUCAACAAGUCCACCAAGGAGUAAUGAUGAGGGCCAAAAUUCUAUGAGGAGACUCUCCUUUGUGACUUAGGAUCAUGUGUUUUAGUAAUUCGUUAUUUUGCUAGUUAAUUUUCAUGUCUGAUAGUAUUUGUAAUGGAUAAUGGGAUCAGAAACUCUUCUUUUUUAUUAUUAAUCUAGGCUUACUCUAGGAACCCUGUCAUAAUGUCGUAUUGCAUCCCUGGUAUUAAAGGCGUGUUUGAGCUACAAUUGUUGUUUUUCUACCAUUCUAUUUUACAUGAAUUCAGUUGAUGAUGGCAUAACUGCUCUCAAUCGAAGAUGCGGUUCUUUUUAUGCUGCAAGGUGAAAGGUCUAUCUUCAUGUUAUUGACAUAUGUUUACUCGAGUAGUUUCCAUGAAUCAUCAACAGCAGUCAUUUGUGAAAGAAGAUGGGAACAGGUUUUAGUUCCAACAACCUAUUAAAGAUCUGAAAGGCGCGAAUUCAAUUGAAUACUCAUAAAUCCAUGUCCUUCUCAAUAUUCACUGCACAUUCCUCUUAAUCAAUACAGAUAAACAACCAUUAGCAUUAGUAAAUAAGUGAAAAAUUUCCUGCACUCCAACCUAAAACCACCAAAUAAUCUGCGCUAGAAGCAAUGAAAGUCCUUCCUAGAACCUUAAACAUGGAAAAGAACGAAAACCAAUUCUAAACUUCUCAUUAAGAAAAAAUAUCUAGCAAAAGCCACCAAAAUGGUAGUGGCGUAAGAAUGGGGACGACCAACUUAGAAAUUUAGAAGGUUGUCACUCUUGGAACAUCAACUGGGAACUGAUCAAUUUCAGCCAUCCACGGGCUCUUUUCCUUGGCAGGAUCUAUAGUCUUGAGAGCUUUCCACACAGCACUGUUACACUUGAAUCCCGACCCGAAAGCUAUCUGCCAUGUUCUAUCUCCUUUCUUAAUCCUUCCCUUUGCUUCUGUGUAAGCUAACUCAUACCAGAGAGAACUGCUUGAGGUGUUUCCAAAUCGGUAUAGUGUCAUCCUUGAUGGCUCCAUAUGCCAAUCAGACAGAUGCAGGUUCUUCUCCAAUUCAUCCAAGACGGCUCUUCCCCCAGCAUGAAUGCAGAAAUGGUCAAAAGCAAGUCUGAAAUCUGGGAUGUAAGGUUUGAUCUUCAUCUUGAACAGUUUCCUACCCACCAAUGUAGCAAAGAAAAGCAGCUGCUCGGACAUUGGAAGAACAAGAGGCCCCAGUGUGGUGAUAUUGGUCUUCAAAGCAUCACCUGCUACAGCCAUCAGGUCCUUCGAUAGUGUGACACCAAUAUGCCCAGCAUCAUCUUCUUCUUGAGUAACACAGCUAAAGCACUUGUCAUCAGCACCCUUGUGCGUGCGGACAGUAUGGACUAAUUGGUACUUGGACCUCCUUCUGUCUGAGUUUUUGUUUGAAAGAAGUAUAGCAGCCCCUCCCAUCCGGAAUAAGCAAUUUGAAACAAGCUUUGAACGAUCAUUGCCAAAGUACCAGUUCAAUGUAAUGUUCUCCAUGCUGAUAACCAGCGCAUAAGAGUUAGGAUGCACCUGAAGAAGCUUUUGAGCAAGAUCAAUUGAGAUGAGCCCCGCGCUACAUCCCAUUCCACCAAGAUUGUAGCUGACUAUAUUCCCUCGAAGCUGGUAAUGAUUGAUAACCAUGGCAGAAAGAGAUGGAGUUGGAUUGAACAAGCUGCAGUUGACAAUCAAGAUUCCGAUGUCCUUGGGUUUUACAGAUGUCUUGGCAAAUAGCUCGUCAAUGGCACCAUACAUCACUGCCUCAGCUUCUUUCCUGGCUUCUUUCAUUGACGGAUUUGGGGGAAUGUUAAGUACAGCCUCUGGAAGGUAUGUUGAAUCACCAAGGCCGGAUCUCUCAAGGAUCCUUCUCUGGAACUGUAGAUUCUCUUCUGUGAAUGUACCAGUCAUCGUAGACUGAUCCAUGAAAAUCUUUUUCGUGCAUUUUCGAGUUUCUUCUGGCUUGUAACAAGAAAAGUUAACAAGGUACACAGGGCGAGGGCGGGUAAGAAAGUAUACAGUGGAUAGGAACACCAGGAGGGUCGAGCAGAUGAUCACCGAAAUCAGGUUGUAUUGGAGAUGCUCCCAUAGAUCAUAUAGAUCUUGGAGCGAAAAUGUGGAGAGCUGGGCAGCAAUAACAAUGACAAGAGGGGAAAGGAAAAGGUACAUUCCAUGGGUGAUGAGAAUAUGGUAACCAAGCUUCACAUAUUUUAGCUUAAUGGAUUUUUUGAAGUCGGGGAGGUUCCUAUUGUUUGAGGGUCUAGAUGAUGGUGGGAUCAAUGGUGUAUCUGGUUUUGGUUCCGCCAUAUUUCCCUGAUAAACAUACAACACCUCUAAUCAGAUCAAAUGCACAACAAAAUCAUAAACCAAUGUAUUAAUAGAAAAUUAUAAUCACAGAAGAUGAACUACCAGAGACUAAAAAUUAAAUUAGUAAAGGGUGGUUUUCCAGAACAUAAAGGCAAAUUCCAAUAGCUUUUCAAUUGGCAUCCAACCAGAAAUGACUCUUGGAAAGCCAAUGGAGCUUUUCAAAAAAGAAGGUUGUCUAUUAUUUACAGCUACAUAUCACACUGAGAUAAUGAAAAGGCAGAAAGAACACCUAAUGGUCCCAAUCCAAGCACCAAUUCAAAAAUGGUGGAACAGAACAAAAGCUACACACUUUGAUCCUUACAAGUUGGAGCCAAAGUGCUAAACACAAUCCAAACACAACCCCAGAUCAGAUUUUUCCAAUAAAGAACACUUCUUUCCAAACAAAUCAGCAGAUUAACAAACAAUGUUACACAACCCUUAUAAACACUCACACAAAGAACCAAACUUUAUCACAGAAACCAUACAAAUUCACACAUCCAAGAACAGAUCAAACCUCCCAAGAUACAAAACAGAACGUUAUAGAAAAAAGCUGCAAGCUUUGAUAAUGAGGCAAAACCCAGAUCGAAGACUGACCUUGGUUGCCGAAACCCACCACCAGAUCUCACAGGAAUGUCGUCGUCGCCAGCCAAAGACAACCGGAGAGAAACAGGGCAAAAGGGAAUAUGGGAGAGGUUCAAAGUUUGAAGUGAGAUUAUAUUAGAGCUAAAAAUAGGGANNNNNNNNNNNNNNNNNNNNGGCAAAUGCAUUUGCAAUUUUGGGUUUUAGAUAUUUUCUUUCUUCUAUUUUGUGUGUGUUUUCAUUGCUUUUUUCUCAUUUAAGAGGUUGAGAAUAAAGAUGUAGGAAAUCAUUCUAGUGAAGACCCUUAAGUUGAGGAUUUGGUGAGGGCUUUUCGGUUUAUGGUUUAAAAUACCCAAUUUUCGAUCACAUGUUGACAUCUUAUCUGUUCAGUUUUUAGGUUUAUAUGAGUAGAUCAUUUCUACAAAUUUUCACCCAAAUUGGUGUUCAUUAAGAUAACAAACUAGAUCAAAUUAAUGGACGAACCAAAUCUGCCAAAUAUGAACCGUUCAAGUUCAUAAUUGAUAAAUCACACUUAUGAAUGUCUUAACAAUUUUCAAUAUAGCUGAAAAUUUGAAGAAAUGAUAUACUCAUAAAUACCUAUAAACUGAACGGUCAAUAUGUAGAUAUAAGAUCGAAAUGUGGGAUAAACCGAAAAGUCUUUACCAAGUCCUCAACUUAAGGGUCCUCACUAGAAGGGCUCCCUAAAGAUGUAUACCAAAAAGAUAUCAACUUCCAAGUCUGUGUACAUGAAUCAUGUGCCAAUAUUUGUGUGAUAUACAUCUUAUCGGGUUGCAUUAGCUUUCAAGGUCUCUAUGGAUUGUGAAUCGAAAUUUACUCUUAUACAGUUAGUUGUUAGAGUUUAUUGUCUCAUGAAAAUUGUAGCGUUCGAAAAGAUACCAUAAUUUCAUGUCUAGACCCGUUUGGAGAUUUACUACUAUGAAACUCGCAUUCAUCCAAAGUACAGAAAACUAAAAUUUAGAAAGAAAAAAAAAACACCCUCUAGCCUCUGGUUUAUAUGUGGAAAUAAUACCUCCAAUAUUCUUCCCUUUAAUUUUGCUUUUCAAAAUCAAGGUGACAAUACAAAUGGCAUGAUGAUUGGAAAAGAAAAUGUCAAAUUAUUCCCUCUUUGAAUAUGACAAGUGAGAUUGAAGAAGAGUAUAGUGAAAUACAACAAAAUCGAGCCGCCCAUUACAGUUAAGGAGCCGUCAAGAACAAAGCCAGAAGGCUUAUAUUAUAUUUGACUGGUAUACAAUUCAGUGAAUUGGUAAUGUUGUAUAGGGCAGGCAAUUUGAGGAGGGACCAAGCACGAGGUUGAUGACCAGUUGUUCACAUGGAUAUAAAGGUUACAACUCUGUCACUGUCCCUAUUGUCAGCUGCGCUGGCUCCACAUGCUAUGCUGUUCUUCAACUCAAUCCAUGAGCUAUAUCAUCUUCUAAUAACAGAAACAACAAACCAACUUCAACAAUGAAGAAAUUUCCAAGUCUGUCUGUUUAGCAAGAUUUGACAAACUGUUUUAUGAGGAAAUGGUGAGGGUGAGAUGGAAUCUGGGAGAGUUGAAAAGGAAAUGUUGCCAACAAAUUUAUCUUGUGGGGUUAAGUUGGCAUCAACCAUCAAGCAUAAUUCCACCUUUGAUCAAACUUGGUUAAAGAAAAGCAAACUCUAAUACAGGAAAAGAAAUCUUACAGUAGUAACUUGCUGUUGGAGAACAAUGAUAUGAGGGAAAGUUAGUUGAACAAUAGGCAAUGUUGAACAUGCUACUCCAAUGUGAAUUCCUCCAGCCAUAUCAGCACUUCAUUUCUCUAAAAUGCAGUCAGCACCAAAACAACACAAAAGAUCAACCGUUAGAGUGAAGAAAGCAAAAUUCGGUAGGAUUUGGCAAAAAGAGGACUAACAGUACAAAUAAAAGCUUAAUGAUCAAGAUUACUUGCUACUGGUUUUGCUUUGUCUAGAAGGCAGUAGAAGUAACAGCUACCAAGACUACUACAACUAGGGCUAGUAAUCAGGCCAAAGUCGAGUUCAACUUUUCUUGAAAGAGGGUUGCUUGCAGUACUCAUAGACCUUCAAUAUGUGAAAGGGUAGAUAUAUAUCUUGUAACUUAUUAGAUGAAGUUUCAACAGUUGAAAUUUUCUUAGUUGAGGUUUUCUUGAAAACAGGUUUUCUUGCAGUUAUUCCAGAGCUUCAAUGUCAAAGGUAGCUAGAUAUCUUCCAACUUCUUGGAUGAAGUUCCUAUAGUUGGAAUUUUCUUUGGUGAAGAAUUUUCCAUCUUGAAGUUUUCUUUGAUGAAGUUUUCUCCAUAUAUCAUAUAAAAUUAGAGAUAUAUAAGAACACAUUAUCAGACUGGUCACUGAUGUUACAUACCAUUAUAAAGCUCCAAGUUCGGCCAGGGUCAUUGUAACGAGCAAGCAUACACCCGGCCUUAGGUUUGAGACCAUCUCUGAUAAGACUAGCACGCAGCAAAUUCUCCUUUUCACGAACAACAUCUUCGGUAGGCUUCCCACUAAACUUGAUAACAGCAGCAAUGCCUUCUUCCAUUUUUUUCAAGCUAAUUGUUUCUGCAUUAGGAUCUGGUAAACUGGCCACAUCACAUUUUUCUUAUUAAUAUAUAACUCUUCACAAGGACAAAUGUAAGUACGAUAUAUAUCUAACAUCUAUUAAUUCUCCACCUGCUUAAAUCCUUGUCAAGUGGAAGACAUACUUUGAUGGAUACUUUGGAAAAUUCAGCAUCAGAUGCCUCAGUGAACACCGGAGUUGUCAUUGGUAUCUUUUCCAUUUUUGAGUUCUUUCCAAAGAUGUACCUAAGCAAAUCCCAUUUCCAUAUCACAAAAAGAAACAAAAUUUUUUUUUUUUAAAGAAAAUAUAUUUAUAGCACAUGAUUAGCUAAGCUGUAAUGCAAGCACUCACCCAGUAACAUCAUUGAAACCAGCUGAUCCAGACAGCUUGUCUGCACUUCCUUCUACCACUAUAAAAGGGGAGUACUUUCUUACCUGUAGAAUCAAUCCAGGAAUCACCAACAAAACAGUAAAACCAUCCAAUCAAAUAGAGUUACAGAAGAAAACAAAAACCUUCAAAUGUAAUGCAUUUCAUUCAUGAUUCAUCAACUUUAGAGAAUGAAGUCUAAAAGCCCAACUUUUAAUGAAUGCAACAUUAGCCAUUCACUAAGGAGAACACACCUCAUAAUUUGCUGUUCUCUUUAGUAUGUCAUAUUUUGGUGUUUCCAAGUCUGGAGUUUUGUAAAUCCUCAGCUGCAGGGUUUUACAUACAAGAAGAGACUAAGGCAAGAAAGAAUCUUUAUACAUGAUAAUGGAAAGUGUAUAAUGAGUCUGCCAAUACCUGCUUGAAUACAUCUAACAAACCUUCUACAGAAAAAUAGUCAUUCUUCUUAAUGGAAUCCCAGAAGUCCUACAUGUACAUUACAGCAGAUACAUGAACAAUUUUAGAAAUUACGCUGUAUCAUCUACAUUGUACUAUAAAGAGUCAUGAGGUGAAUGAUUGUUACCACAUGGCUGCAGAACUUCCCAGUUUCGGGGUUGAUUCCCAUAACAGAAGUACCAGUGAAGAUCAAUUCUGGUUUCCAAGGCAGAGGGACGAACUUCAUAACCAUAGUCCACCUUGUAGUGAUUUCAUAUGGUCCUGACUAUAUAGCAUCUUAAUCAGUAACUUAAGACAGUCCCACUCCAAUUUCAAGUGGACAUCCACAUGAAUAUGCACAGAUUGAAAACUUUAAACUAAAAGUUUGAGUCUGCACUCAAAUUUUAUUUCCUCAUAUUCAACAUAGUCACAUUAACCUCAUCCAACAUAUAUAUGCAGCUAUGCAUCAUCCAAAAUUCUAAGUUACAUAAUUUCAUUCUAUGAAAAUCAUUGAACUGCACCCAGUUAAAUUCUUAUAUUUAAUUACUCAAUGCCUAAAAUUCCCAAUAUUCUAGUAGUUAAUCUAAUAAGGGAAAGAACACAGGUCCUUUAAACAGUUACCUGUUUUACCCAGUGCAACUGGAACUUGGGAGUGAAGACUGUCUUCAAGAAGGCAAUGUUCAACAAAUAGCCAGUUAUAGAAUCAUGCUUGGUGAUUGGAUCCCUGAACUUCACACGUUCAUCAUACGCCGUCCGAUCAAUUCCUUGAUCAUCAAACAAGUGAACUAAAUCCUGGUACAGAAAAUCGACCACCCUUUCCAUGUCGACGGUUGAUUUUGGCGGGCUUUGGUCUACUAAGCUAAGUCUAACAGCCCACUUUGAGUAGUUUUGCCUUGUUUGAAGCCCCAAGUGUUUGUGUUUCAAGGCUUUGGAACGUGGAUGGCAUGGUAGUUUAUUCGCUUUGGUGGUGCUCAGCCGCCGUAAACUGACGCACACGGCGGGGAUAGGCCUGAAAACUUGGUCGGAAAGCUGUGUGCUAGCCAUUUGGUGGUUGUGGUGGGCGUGUGACUGUGUUGGCUUGGUGCGUGACCAUGCAUUGCUACUAUGAAACAACUUAGCCACAAGUAUUGAUUGGUUGGUGUUCGUUUCUGAAAUUAGUGGCUACAAUUUCUUCAUGUAAACAUAAUUGAAUAGUAGAACUCGUCGUUUGUAAAUACCUUAUGAAAAUGAUAAGGAGAAACACUAGUAUCAUUGUCCUGCAGAUAUGACUUUAAGCUAAAUUCUCCAUUCUAUGGUAGACUAGCACAGUAUUGCAGCACAAUUUCACACUCUCAGUACAAGACUUUACUGAUGAGAAACCCCUCUGUAUAUUUGGCCAUCCAUGAACUUCAAUAUCAUAACUAAUCCAAAACAUAAACACCAAAUAAGUGACCAUUUCCCAUCUCCUAAAUCACACAUUGUGCAGGAGAAAGAUGAAAUGAAGGGCAAGAUUCCUCCUGCCGUAAAUAAGUUGGAUAAGUGAGGGCAUCAAGGACUUUUUCAUUUGCUAAGAAAUUAAAAUGUAGCUGGCUUAGUAUAGAACCCUCUUGUUUCCCAGGGUUCUGACAGGAAUCACAGGAUUAAAUGGCAACAGCCCUCCCUCAGUCUCCCACUCUCAAGACUCCUCUUUCAGGAUGUGUGACGACGAGUGCUAUGAAGGUAAGUCUCUCUUGACCUCUGCAUCCACCUCUAAGCUUGGUUUGUCCAUUUCUAAUGUCAUCACAAAAUGGCUCGAAUCCCUACCCGAAGAAAUCAUACCCAACAUCCUAAUCACACUACCUGUCAAAUCCCUCAUCAGAUUCACCUCUGUCUGUAAAUCUUGGGAGUCCACCAUCAAAAACCCAAAAUUUAUCCACACCCACCUCACCCACACUCUCAAUUCCAAUGACCAAAACGACACCCACCUCAUUCUCUUCCACGAUGUUCAUAGUAAACAUUUCUGUCACUAUCCUAAGUACAAGAAGCCUCUUUCUCUCUGCAUUAUGAUUACACUGCUGCUGUUACUGAGUAUUGCAAGAUUGAGUUUCCAGUAGCUAUCAAGGAAGCAGUCAUGAAUGCUUUUCGUGUUGUGGGUACUUGUAAUGGGCUGGUUUUGCUGGCUGAUGAUUUGGAGGAUUACGGUUACACCUUUGUUGUAUGGAACCCUAGUAUAAGAAGGUAUGUGACCCUUCCCAAGUCCACUAUGAGGUUUUCGAGGCAAGGUACGUAUGUUGGUCCGGUUGGUCUGGGUUAUGAUGCUGUUGGUAAUGACUAUAAGGUUGUGAGACUUACCACCCUUUUUAAGAAAGAGAAUCCUUGUCGGCCUGAUAUUUGGCCCACUUCAGUUGAGGUUUAUUCACUCGCCAAGGGCAUUUGGAGCACGGUCAGUCCUCCUCAAUGUAUUGUUCUUCAUUACUCCGCUGCUCAGGUUUUCGUCAAUGGGGCACUUCACUGGAUGGCUAAGCAUUGCCAUUGGAUAGAUGAGAUGGUACAUAUAGACUCUUUCAUUUUGACAUUUGAUGUGGCUGCUGAGUCAUUUGGAGAGAUAAUGUUGCCCAAGGGCUUCGAAUCAGAGGAGGCACAGUUGUCUACGUUGUCUGAUUCUGGAGAUAGAAAUUCUAUUGCUCUGUUUGUGAGGAAUGAGGUUCCGGGUGCUUUUGGUCUUGAAUAUUGGGUAAUGAAAGAGUACAGUGAGGAGAAAUCAUGGACAAAGUUGAUGGUUUUUGGUCCACAUGAUCGGUGGAUAAAUGUACCCAGGGUAUUGUGUUUUAGGAGGAGUGGUGAAGUGAUGUUGUUACUUAAGGAUGGCCAUACAGUUUCACUUGACAUUGUGAGCGAAGAAUUUAAACAUCUAGGGAUGUAUGGAGGGGACCUUAGCUCUGUUCACUCUUAUGAAGAGAGCCUUGUCUUGCUUGAAAGGAAAGAUGUUGUUUCUUACUGAGGCAAUGAACCAAGUAAGGUGAUUAUUUCUUGAACUUACCUUUGCUGAUAGCUUCUAAUUUUAAUGCAUAUGCUGCUAAUUGUAUAUGAUCUAUGACGAUUGGAUUUUACCUCAGCCACAAAGUUUGAUAUUGUGUAUGCUGAUUGCUUUGAUUGCUCUGUGCGUCAUGUAUUAUAUUUUUUCUUUGCCACAAGUUUGUUGUUCGUGUCUUUCUGGUGUUUCGUUAGGAACUUGCUAUAAUAUUGUUUUAAAUGUUUUCCUGUCUUAGCUAAUUGUCUUUCUUGUUCUGUCGUUUUGAGAACAGAGACUAGUAACCAAGUUGAUUAGAAAUCAAGCAAACCAACUUCAGAACAAUUCGCUGUACUUUAUGUUUGGAAAACAAGACUUAAAUGAGUAACUACUCAUAUCAUAUCAUUGCUUUCUCCGUGUUUUCUAUAAUAUCUGUUUGGUAUUACCUUAGACAGUAGAGUGUGGUCUCCAAGGAACUGUUGAGGCUACUGCAUUGUAUUUGAAAUUACAUGUUUUUAUUUGCUGUUGUUAACUGACCAUAUUAUCUCUGUCGAUGAUGUGUACUUGUCACUUUGAAUCGUUCCCAACCAACCAUAUUAUCUGGUCGAUUGAUUUGUUAGUUUUUGAUGACUACUUGUUACUUUUAAUAUGAAUAUGGCACAAAUCAUGCUAUUUGAUUUUCUAUUUGCAUAGGCAGCAUCAUAUGAAAGCUGAUGAAAUGUGGGAUACCAAAAUUAAGACCGAGUAAUAGUUGCAACUUUCUACUCUAAUUUCUGUAGAUUUUCUUUGUUUAUCAAUAUUUGGAUUGAAUUUCCAUGGCAUUAUCUUUUUCUUUUCUGGGUUGAAUUACCUCCGUUUUACAUUACAUGCCUUGGCAAUCUUGAGCUGAUUAUCAUCCUACAUCUCUGUCAUCAACUGUGAACCACAUACUUUCCCUUCACUUCACUCUCUAGUCUCUAUGUUGUGUUAAUACAAAUAUCUGAACAAAGCGUUGAAAAGUGUUCUACUACCACUUCCGGUGCGUUCAUGCAGCAUCCCUUUUGGGACUCCAUAGCAUUUGGGACUCCAUUUGUAUAAUAUAACUUGCUGAAGCAUUUAUUCAAUUGUGUGCAGGUCAGACAUUGGGACACAUGACUUUCAAGACUGUUUUUUGUAGCUGUGAAGUGUGAGAAUCUGAUGCAUGGGUUUGCAAUUUCAGUCACUCCAUCUACCGACUGAACUUUUGAAGUGCAUCUAUAUAGGAUAUGUAGUCCCAUCUAGUAUGGGUAUGUAAUCCUAACAUGACUCGCUUCUAAUUUGGAUCUUCCAUCAGACUUAUCAGUAGUUAUUAGUAUUCUCGUGUGUAACAAUAUUUCAACUGAAUAGAUUACCCUCUAUCUUAAUCGUUUACGCGAUCUCUUGUGGUUUUUCUUAACCGCAUCCAAAGCUUGAUGCUUACAAGCUUUGGAAUAUGGAGAAUGGCCUAAAUUUGCCUUUGCUACUUGUGAAUUCUUUCAUGCUUGUGUCUUUGCUAUUCCACAUUCUAUUGAAAGAUCCUUUAGACAUUGAGAACAGGUCAACUUGCGGAACAUGAUUCACCUUCGAUUAAUCAGGGAUGACACUAAGAAAUUGAUACUAGGAGAGAAAUUUGACAUAUGCUAAGUAUCAGAAGUCUCUCAAUAUACCCUGAAUUGAUUCCCUCAAAGAUUGAUGUGAAAUUGAAAGAAAGAACCAGUAUCAUACUCACUUCAAGCUAAUUUCUCCAAUCUAUGCUAGACUAGCACAUUCUUGCAGCACAAUUCCACACUCUAGCACACGACUUCACUGAUGAGAAACGCGCCAAGCAUAUCAUCAUUCCCCUAUAUACACACUUCAAUAUCCCAACAAGGCUGUUGUAUUGCCAAGUUGGGCUCUUUCAUUACGGACUUUGGUGGUGGUUCAACGGGGCCGUGACUGGAGUAAAGCCCAUAUGCAUUGCAAAUUGCUUUUCGGCUAUGAGACAUCUUACCCACAAGUUGAUUGGUUGGUGUUCAUUUCUGUUUACAUCCUUAAAUAUAUUAUGCAAAACUAUUAAGAUAAAGAUUUUAAACUAAAUAUUUCAAUACUAACCUCACAAUCAAGAAUUUUUGUGAAAAUAUAAUAUUAAACUAAAAUCAAUAAAAUCCAAACAACAACAAUUCUCUACAUCUUUACAUCAAAAAAAAAAAAACAAUUCUCUACAUCUUUUAAAUCAGAUUUGAGAAUAUACAAUGUGGUGGGAUUGUUCGUUCUUAUUUUUAUUUUAUUUAUGGCUUCAAAUGUAGUCUUUCAUAUAUAUAAUCGUAAAGAAGGAAGUCAAUAAAGAGAUCAAGGAGAAUAUAUAUAGGAUGUGGUUUGUGAAUAAAUAGAGGUAUGCGUUAAAUAUAUUGAUGAUAUAUUUUUAUAUUUUAUCAGAUUGAGGAAAAUAAAAUAAAGAAAAUAAAAACCAGAUUUUCUCUCAUAAUUUUGAGGGCAGAAUUAGAACGUUAAAGAUAAAAAAUAAGACGUGGGGUGAACUAAGCAUUUAGUGGGGUGGAAAUAGCCGCACCCUAAAAUAUUUGUAAAAAAUGUUCUAAAAGGUGCUAAAAACCAAGAAUAAGAAAACUCAUUAUUUGUAAAUUAAAGUGCAUAUCUUAAAUCAUUUUUGUCUAAGUAAAAGCAGGCAUGAAUCGAGAAUCUUAAACCACAAUAAUAUCAUACAACAAUUCUCAAAUAGAAAGAUCAUAGCCCCAUAAAUUACAAAAUUUGCUCACUCAUAUCCACCACUAAAGUAAUAUAUGUACAUUGCAUUUGUGUAGAGAACUACUAUAAAUUUAGGAAAAUUCAUACCUGUCCAAACUUUUUGACUGUUAUAUGUACACGUUUGUAAAACAUUGCCAUAUAAAGUGAACGUUGGACAUGCAUUAGAAAAACACAUUCUUCCACACUCUUGACACAAGUCGUCACUGACGAGAAACGCGCCAAGAAGCAUCAUCCCUCUAUAUAUAUGCCCAUCCAUGAACUUCAAUUCCAUAACCAAUCCAAAGCAUACACACCAAAGCUCCCAUUUCCCUCAUCUCCUAAUUCAGACUCUUCAUUUCAUAAGAAAACCCAUCAUCCAAAACCUCCAAAUCAACAGUCCAAACUAGAAGGAUGUCGAAAAUGUUUGCCCUUUCAAAGUUCGAGACUGCCUCAAUAUCAUGGUGGAAGAAGCAUGGAGAUGGAGACGACGACGGUGAUGAUGGAUACGACUAUGCCCCAGCGGCAUCAGCAUGCAUGGAAGGCGACAGCGAUGACGACGAUUCCGACUAUGAUUAUGCUCCGGCGGCCUCUACGGAAGGCGAUGACGACGACGAUGAUGGUGGUUAUGAUUAUGCUCCAGCUGCAUAAGAGCUGUGUAACUAGCAAUUCAGUCGAAAUUGCUUAUAUUAAUUCUUGAUAUGAGAUCGAGUGGCAUUUCUAUCACAGGGUUAUUUGCAAACCCCUAAGUAUUUUCUGACGGCCUUUGUAGCUCGUCAGAUGUUAUAGGGUAUUAUGUAUCAAUUUCUGAUCAGUAAACCUCUGAAUUAUGGUCCUCUACUACUCUAAUUUCGUUUUUUGUUUGAAACUCGAAGAUGCUAAUUAAGUAUUAACAUGAGCAAAUGUGGUUUGUGACACUGUUUCCUUUCAAUGAUCGAAGUCUGUAAUAGUUUCAAGCACACAAUAAGUCUCAUUUCCCUAUCUGCAAGUUUGCUUAAUUAGUGAAAUAGAAAUACUUUACAUGGAUGAUUUGAUCAUCACUUACUAAAUGAAACUACUUGACUAUCAAUUCGAGGAACCUGGAGAAACCAAAUUUGUUCAUAUGCUGUUGUUAUUUUCCAUCUUUCUUGUAAUGGCUCAGCUCACCCCGCACUUGCUUUAUCAUGAUAUUCUCUUCCUUUACCUUUUCAAUUAUAAUUCUAAUGUAUUUCUCUAAGUGGUCACUUUACUUAUCAUCUGCUAUAAACUAAAUUCAAACUUUCUGGGAUUGCUGACGAAGAGCUUAGUAUUCGACGAGCUACUAA